AAGAAAGAGGUUUUGAUGGAUGGGAAGAUCCCCUCCUCUUUUUUCUCUCAUCUCUUCAAACUACCAAAUGUUAUUCUUUGGGAGGAAGUGAUUUGAGAGAUCUCUUAUUCUAAAAGGUAUGAGAAGAGAUAAGAAGGAGGGACUAGACCGUGGUGGUGGUGGAGAGGACGGCAGCAGUGGAAAUGUCAUCUUUCGAGUCACCGAAGAUGCGUUGACGAAAGUCAGAAACCAUAAGGGGAAGGCCCUUUCGAAGGGACACGGUGGGCUCCCAACCAAGAAGGUCCUUAACUUUAGAAAUGUCAGGUUUUCUUUUAUGGGUCAUCUUCCGUGUUCGGUCUGAACUCUAUCUUUGCAUUUGGAUCUAUUGUCUCUUGCACUACCUGCACAAUAACUUUAUUGGUUAGAAAGAAAGUACUUAAACAAAAUAUUUUAGUGCAUCUCGAGUUGCACCUAUAUUUGUGUCACUUAUUCAAAUAUUCGAUGAAAAGCGAACACAUAUAUAACAAUUAUUUUGUUGAUAUGGAACCAUUUGGGUAGCUUCAUAAAAUAGAAUUAAGGAUCUAUAUUUAAAAUAGACUGUAUCAUAUAAAUUAUUAGGAUGUCCUUUUUUAUCACAAUUUAAGUCUAUAGUUUAACUUGUUAGAAAAUAAAGAAAUGCAACCUUAUAAAGUGUUUUGAUCUAUAGAUAAUAACUAAGUCGACUAUUCUUAAAAUUAGUUUUGCUUCUCCAUGAAUUCAGUUUUGGUUGUACAAAACAAAAUAUUUUAUUGAAAAAACCUACGAGACAAGAAAAGUUUAAAACAUUGUUAUGGAAAGAAAACCUAUUAGUGUUUAUCUAUUGAUGUAAAAUUUUGUUAUAUUUUAUAAAUAUUUUAAUUCAUUAUCCUCUAUUUGAAAAUAAGUGUUUGUAAUAUAACUAAAACCAAUAUCAAUAGUUUGAAUUGGUUGGUCAAUUUACUUAAAAUGCUAAAAUAGCUCCCACCAAUACAAACUUAUUAUUAAUUUUAAAAUCAUAUUUUUUUUACUUACAAAAAAAAUAAUAUACAUACCUAUAUUCAUUUUAAUUUUAUGAUUUUGUUAGAGUUUAUUUUUUCAUAAGAUUCAAAUUAACCAUCCCAAUUAUCUCAACUUAAAUGUUUCAUGAAUGAAGUUAAUUAUUUAUUACGUGAAAGAAACUUAGAGGGCAAAGCAAUUAGGGUUGAUGAGUAAAUGUUCCAAAAAAAGGAUUAAACCUAAAUAUUUUAAAUGCUAAAAGAGAGUAGAUUAGUUUAGGAGUAUAAAUGUGAGAAUGGGGGAGUAGAGAGCUGACUUGAGCAAGUUCGAGCAUAGUGAAUUCGCCGGGGUUGCCCAGAUUAAAAGGCCCCGUGCUCGCCUUCCAUCAGUUUCAUUAGCCCUCCACCUGUGACAGUUUAUUUAUUAUUAUUAUUAUUAUUAUGUAAAACUCUAAACAAUAUCACAAUAUUAAAUUAAUUACAAAGUUAUAUAAUAUCCUAUCUUUAAAAAUCACAUUUGCUAAAUUCGAAAUUAAGAUGAAACAGUCCGUUAAUUUUGUAGUGGUAAUAAAUAAGUGUGUAUAUAUUUUACCAGAUCAGAAACGUAUUGAAAACUCAGGGUUUGCUUGCCAUCUCCAUAAACUAUCAACGGCUCCUUUCUUAAUGCCUGUGGGAGUUUUCACAAUAUAAUAUUUACUAUACUUUUCAAACUUUAAUCCAACAUAACGUUGGGGGGUAAUAUAUUAAUAAUUAUGCAAUUAAUUACUUUGUGACCACCAAGAAAUAACAAACUUACUUACUGUUGCAUUGUUAUAUCCAAGCAAGGUUAACAAGUGAAGUUACAAGCAACAGAAGAUGGAUACUAAUCUCCAAAAAAAUAACCGGAUAUCAUUUCUAAGAAAAGAAAGAGAACCACAUUUACCUUUGUCACCUUAUGCUACCUCGAGAUUAUUAAGCUUUGCACAGUGAGGAGUUGGGAGAUUUUUAUUCCACUGGAGUCUCUGGAGUUCUACGUCACAAUAACGCGAAACAAGGUUUCGAUAAUCCCUUAUCACACUGUUCUCUAUUUCAGCUCGAGCUGGGCUUCCAAGAGGAUAUCUUACAUCAAAAUUUGAUGAUUUGACAAAAAAUUCCACGCCAUGUUUCUCUGUAACCAUAGGAAUACUAUAGAAUUGAUUUUCAUGCAAAGAAUAUUCAGGCUCUGGAAAUGGCAUAUAGACCAACAAGUAAAUUAACAAUGGUAACAUUAGAAGAAUGAUAAAAAAUUUGGGACCUCUCCCAUCAGAUUCAGUCUUCUGUUGGCUUUCCCUACCUCCGUUGGGAUCAAUUUUAUUUUCAGACGAAUCAUGAUUCGUUUCACUUCUCCGAUGCCUUGCAUUCUGCUGUUGGUGCUGAUACUGAUCCUAGCUAAACUCGGGUUAAAGAGUUAUGUUUAUAUUUGUAUAUUUUAAUGGAGUUAAUUGCAAAUACAACGAUUAGAUACAAAAUAUUUGCAUAUGUAACACAUAUUGUAUUGCUAAUAUAAAUAUAUCACUCAUAGAAUUUGCUAUAAUUAUACUUGUUUAAACAUACUAAUACACACUUAAUCUUCUUAGUUCAAUAAUGGUAUGGAGUGGAACAAACUUCCUACAUUAGGAUAAAAGGGUCACACAAAUUACCUUCGUAGUAAACUUACUUUUGACAUUAUUCAUUUAACUUAGGGUAAGUAUAAUGGAUUAGCAAUUUUAUGAAUAAUAAUUAAGUAUAUAACAAUAUCUUUUAAAAAUUGUAAAUGUAGCAAAAUAUAUUUGUGAUAGAUUUAUAUCGUUAAUAGACUCUUAUGCUUAUAAGCGAAUGACAUAUGUGAUUUAAAAUAACUGCAGCAAUUAGUUUAAAAUGUUGUUAUAUAUCUACGAAUUUCUUAAUUGUUAUAUUCAUUUGUCAUUAGUUGUAUUUAAAAGGGAUGACCAGAAAAACAUUAAAACAAGAGGUUUACUUUUGAUAAAAGAAAAUUUAAAUUUAAAUUGCUAAAAUAGCAAAAUGUCCAUGUUUAAGUGAAAAACUUGCAUCCCAAAUAAAAUUAUUCAACAAUAAUCACGGUCGAACUCAAACUCCCAAAAACAAUGAUUACAUUUAUUCCCUAAUUUGCUAAUUCAUUUUGGAUUAGGUUUAUUUUGACAACAAUAAAAAAUUGAGGUGUGGAACAAUGAUAUUAUAAAUGCCAAAGAGUAGUUAAGAUGCAAAAUAUAAAUUUAUAUUUGCAAUAUUAGGUCAAAAUGAAUGAUAAUUUAGUUAGAUUUUUGUCAAAUAAAUAAAAAUGUGAACCAUACCAAAAGCAAAUAUAGAUGCUUUUUUAUUAUUGAAUUUUCAUAGAAUAAAUAAUAAAAAAAAGUAGAAAAUAUUUGCCUUUUAACUUUUUCUUUUUAAUUUUCAUAGAAAAUAUUUAAUCCAAAAAUUAAAUAACUCUCCUCCACGGUCAAUUUUCUUUCCCUCUUCUUCAACCUCAACGGUCUCUUUUAUUUCAAAUUUCUUUCCCCUUUUUCUUCUCGAUCGGUUUACUCUGCCUCAUCUCCCCUUCUCUUCUUCGUCUUCCUCAAACCCUGCGUAUUUCCUAUCUCUCAAAUUCCAUUUCGCUCUUCCUAUACCUCCAAAAUUUCGCUCUCCUCUCUAACGUGAAGCAGCCAAGAAACUCUAUCUUGCGACAUACCCAUCUCGUCGAUCCACCACUUUCUUCUUCUUCUAGCCUUAACGGUGCCGAAAUCAAGGGCCGCAGACCCCCUCGGAAACCCAAGUCUUCCAAAGAAAAUUCUCCACCCUCAGAUCGGUUUUCGAUUCCAAAUCCUGAAGAGCCCGCUUCCACCUAGGCCUCCCUCUUCUAACCCGACCGUUCCUGAGAGUUCGCUAUCACAUACUGCUUUUUUACCUGUGUUGUUGAAUCCCGAUCCAAGUAAAUGCUAAAAUAAUGUUGCUAAUAUCUGGAAUAUGGUAUUAUUGAAUUUAGUAUAAAUAAAUAAAUAAAUAAAAGAAGUAUACCUGUAACAACUAACAGUUGUGGGCACUGUCGGAAAAAGGCAAUGAAUUUGUAAAUCGAAGUGCAGAUAGUUCUGUUGUUUAGGAUGGAAAAGCAUGAGUAUCACGUUUCUAUAUUCAACGGACUGGUACUUGUAAAAUUUAGGAUCAUAAUCAUUUUAUUAUGCAGAGACUGGCAGAUGGUUUAAGUAGCUGGUUCCGGAGGCAGAAGCUAACAGGUGCAGCUGGGGAGCGCUUGAAGGAAGCACGCAAUAUCAACCGACCACUCUCACAACUCGGGUAACCGAUCAAAACUAUUGGAGAUAUUUCAAAUUUCAUUUAAGCAGUGAUCUUUCCAAUGAUUUUUUCUCUAUUUAUUUUGUAAUGUCAAUUAGUUGGCUAAUUAUUUAUCAGAAUGCUUGUUGAUAUCGCUGCAUGUUUUAUUUUGUAAUGUUUGUACUUUUUAGUUGUGAUUUGUGAAUAUGCUAGGAUUGAUUUGAUUUGCUCUUCUGACUGUUAAGAUCGGAAUGAUGUUGCUCAUCUGAAAGAAGGCACAUCAUGUGCUUGAAGACUUGUAGAGUAUGGAGAGUGAAUGGUCAAAUUUGAGGAAUCGUAUCUGCUGGCUUUGUAGUCCAAACAGGUUGUCUGGCUAACUUUCUUUUUCUCAUUUUCAACCAAUUAGGAUAGCUGUCAUGUUUUUUGAAUUCCUUGCCAUUGUUGAGUAGUAACUUGGCAUUUGUUUAUUAAAAGGUUUUAAUUAAGAUUAUGGUGUUCAUAACUUUGUAGUCACACUAAAUAACUUAAAAGAGUUAGUUUGACAGUUGACAAACAUGAUAGUAAUGUGAUAGUGAGUGCAAGGGUAAAAAGAGUUGCUUCUGUUGGGUUAAAGUGAUGUUUGUGUUUUUUAGUGUGAUGUUUUUGUUUUCAAGUUCGUUAGUAGACGUAUUACUUAAUUGAAAAUUUUGAUACCGUAGCCAGUGUAGGGGAAGAUGAAUGGAGGGUGCUAUUAGACUAGUUAAGACUUAUAUGUAUCCUAAUUUUAGUAAUAUAUAAAAUUGAGAGAAUUUCCUUUGAUUUUCAGGAACAAGGAUGAAUAAUCAAUGAAAAAUGAAUGAAAAGGUUUAUCCAUGCAAGCUUCAAACCAAAGUCAAGGAUGUCGAUCCUUCCAGGGAGUCCAAAGUUCCCCCCUUAUUUUUCUCCAUUUACUUUGAUUUUCAAAAGCUUUUAGGACAGAAAAAGCAAUUUUUUGAGUGGGUGUGGGUAAUAGCUUGCUUAGCUUGCAUGUUUAGUGUAAACUUGGGGGUUCAAAUUUUGCCCAAAUUUCAAAAUUUUUCAGAAUUCUUUCCAUACAAUAAUGAGCAUUAUACCUUCUUAGCUUAAUUAGAUCUUGCAUAAAAAGCAUGAUUGGCAACCCUUGAGCACUGAGCUCGGGUUUAUGAUGUGAAAUUCUGAAUUUUGAUGAGUAUAUGUGCUGAAAUUUGAGCAUAAGCUGCUGUCUUUUUUGUUUUAAGCUCCUUUUAGCUAUUUCUUAUUGAGAUGUGAAUGCAUGAUUGAGAAAAUGGUAUGUGUGUUGUGAAUGCUUGAUUGCAUGUAUAAUAAAUAAGUGCAUGGAUACUUUUCUAGCUUUGUCUUCCUUUGUUGCUUUGUCGUGACUUACCUAUGACGCACUUAGUCCAAACCUAGCCUAGAUAGAGUAACAAAGGAUAGGAGGCACUCUUUAGAAACUGGGAUGGUUUUAACAAGUUUAUCUUGUCAAACAUGAGUUAGAAGCCUCUUGUCUAGCCACAGUGAACUAAAUCCCUUUAGAAAAGGGUCGACAUUAACAAAACUUAUUGUCACUUCGAAGGGAGCAAUCAAACUUAAUUAGUAACUAAAUGUAGAACCAUAGAAAGGUUAGCCCACCGGUUCUAGCAAGACCUUGUUACCACAUUGCAUACCAAAGAAACAAAAGAGAGACUUGCAAAUGCAAAACGUAAAAAGGUUAGACAAUCAAGAGCUAUAAAAAAACAAACAACACAUGCAAUAUACAUUAGAAAAAUCCCAUAAAAAAGCAAAGAGCCAACUUGGUUCGGUCAAGUAGAAUGUGUUGAGUUCCCUAACUAUCAGAGCUUUUAGCAGAAAACUUUACUUUUGGCCUAACCAAAACCAAACCACCUACUCUUAGCGUUCUAAACUUAGCAUCGAGUUUGAUGAGGGCUUUGAAAAGAGGAGGAAUCCUCCCCGAUCCACAUUAGGGGGAAAACAAGGCUUGUUGUCACUCCGAAGGGAGCAGUCAAACUUAGCAUUGAGUUUGACGAGGGCUUUGAAAAGAGGAGGAAUCCUCGUUCCAUAGUAGGGGAAAACGAGGCUUGUUAUGAGGGUUUUCCCUUGGGAAAUUAUUAUAAAAGUGACAAAUGAAAAUAUUGAUUGGUUUCUGAACCACUGUGGUGCCCUUGUUUGUUAUUUUCCCUUAUGUUGCUCUAUGCUUGGUUUUCUAAUUGAUAAUAUCAUCUUAAAGUGUUCUAAUUGAUAGCACAUAUCUCUUAGUGUUAGUACUUUCUUACCUUUUCUCUCUUACAUAUAUAAGGGAUAUGUUGAGCAUUUUCGCUAGCAAGGAUUAUGUACUUAACAAGGCUUAGUGGAUUAGAGAGUUAAGAAAUUUGCAUAUGCUUGCAUCCAGACUGUACACCAUAAUAGGUAAUUAGUUUUUUCCAUUUCAACAUUCCUUAUUAAAAACUUAUCCUUUUUAACGUUUUGAAUGGAAAAACAAAUGUUUGAUCUAUCAUUGUUGAUUUUGUUGGCUUUCUAUGCUAUGAUCCUUUAAUUGUAUAUGAUAUAUUUCUUUUGUUGAAAAGUGAUAUAUUUCUUAGAUUUUGUUCAGAUAUAUAUAAUUGACAUAAAGGUUUUUUUACCUUCAGCUAACGAAUUCAGACUGAUCUUAUUUAUAUAUAUGAUAAGUUGUCUUUAUUUUUCCUCUGAAUUAUUCUUACUUGAUGUUGUUCUUGAUAGAAACCAAUUGAGGAAUCAACUUUUGGCUGCACCUGUGAACUCUAACACACCUGCAACUCUAUUGUUAGACACAAUUAUUUUCUUAUUACAACCUGAACUCCCAUGGGUUUGUAAAAUUGUUGGUUACUUCCUGGAAAGAAAUGCAUAUGCGUUGAUUAGGGAUAUCACUUUGACAGGGAAGGUAUAAAUGUACUUCCUUUUUUUCUACUUGCAAGUGGUUUUUUUUAUAGAUAUUCUGUUUUGCCGUGGAUUAUCCUCUGCAGGUGUUUUCAGAGAACUAAUUCACACUCAAACUAUUGCAGGAAAGUGCAGAUUCACAUUCCAAGAGUUCAUUGGCUUCUCUAGAACAUCUGCUGUCUCUUUUGAGUUCUCAUGUUGGUAAGAAGCCAUGUUGUUGCCCACGUGUUGAUCCCAAUUGGAGUUUCUCCUCUCAAAUUCUUACUCUUCCUUUACUGUGGCGGACAUUCACAUUUCACACCUCUCUCUACCCAAUGGACAAAGUUGCAUGUGUCAUCCUCUACUAGGUUGUGUACCUUGCUGUUUGGAUAUAAUGGCGUUAGUAAUGGUUAAAGGUCAUGUUUUCUCAAUAACGAGAAACAUAACAUGCAUGUACUUCAUUUAAAAAAGAAAAAAAAACUCUAUAGAUUUUUUUUGAAAAGAUCUUUUUAAGUACAACUUGGUGUGGGACAUAAAAAAUUAUGACUAUUCUAGCAUACAGAAUGGAGUUAGUUCCAGUACUCUGGAGUUUUAUUAAAAAGUGCCACGAGAAUAAAAAAUGGUCAUCCUUUUCAGAGAAAUUGGCAUAUUUAUCAGGAGAUGCACCUGGUUGGCUAUUACCUUUGGCUGUUUUUUGUCCUGUGUACAAGUAAGAUUAUCUUCUUUAUUCCUGUUCCUCUACUUUUGAAUUUCGCUUUAAUUCCUCAUCUGAUGUUAUAUAAUUAUAUGGUAUGUUAUAAGAUUCGGCAUGUCCUGAUCACUUCUUUCCUUAUCAAUCAGGCACAUGCUCAUAAUAAUUGACAAUGAGGAGUUUUAUGAGCAGGAGAAGCCACUAUCGUUAAAGACAUAGAUGCCUGAUCGUUAUUUUAAGACAGGUGAGCUCUUUAAUUCCAUCAUAUGUCCAAAAAGAUACCCAUACCCUCCCACUCAAGACACUUAAGUAAUUGCUCAGAGAAAUAACAAAAUACUUGGCCCCACUCUAACAAACACAUUCCUAAGGGCCCACACAAAUAGAAAAAUACCAACUAACUCUCAAUCAUUCUUUCUUCUUCCUAUUCUUGUCUCUACGGGAAUACACGUUUACUAUGGGAGGUCUAUCAUUAUCCGCCCCCAAAGAGCCACCUUGUCCUCAAGGUGGAAUUCAGGAAACUGUUCUUGAAUAAGAGCAGCUUGUUCCCAUGUUGCACUUUCAAGUGUCCCCUCACUCCAACGGAUCAAAACUUCUAAGUUGUCCUCCUUUUCUAUUGUUUUGCGAACUCCCAAUACUUCUACUGGAGACACUUGCAUAGACAAAUCAGCAGCCAAAUCUUUUGGAAUUGGGAAUAAUGGCCUGUUUGAACUCACAACCUUGCGAAGAACAGAAACAUGAAAGAUGGGUGUAUAAGCGAUUCCUUGGGAAAGGCCAAACGGUAUGCAACGAAACCAAUUCGUGCCACGAUCAUAAAUGGACCAAUGAAUCUUGGGGCCAAUUUGGGGUGCUUAAAACGGCUGAGAGAGGACUGUUGGUAAGGGCGUAACUUCACAUAACCCAAUCAUGAACCUUAAACAGAACCUCCUGUCUUUUAGCAUUAGCAUAUUUGACCAUUCGCUGCUGUGCUUUCAGUAAAUUGGCCUUCAAAACACCCAAAAUUUCAUCUCUUUCUUUCAUCAAAUGGUCUACUUCAUUCACCCGACUCGAGCCCUUCACAUACGGUAAUAUAGAGGGGGUGGUCGCCCAUAGAGGGCCUCGAAGGGGGUCAUCAAUAUGGCUGUACGGACUGUUGUAUUAUAGCUCAAUUCAACCCAAGCUAGCCAUUUAACCCACUGUUUAGGUGUGUUCAUAGCAAAACACCGUAGAUACGUCUCCACCCCUCGAUUGACAACUUCUGUUUGACCAUCCGUUUGGGGGUGGUAAGUGGUGCUUCGUCUCAACUGAGUUUCCAACAACCUCCACAACUCUUCCCAGAAUAGACUUGUGAAAAUACGAUCACGAUCCGACACUAUACUUCGGGGGCAUCCAUGCAAACGAAUAAUCUCUCGCAUAAAAACAGCAGCAACCACUUUUGCACCAAAUGGAUGUUUCAAGGGAAUGAAAUGUGCAUACUUGGAAAGACGAUCCGCAACUACCAAUAUAACAUCAUAACGCUCGGAUUUGUGGAGGCCCUCAAUAAAAUCCAUACUAAUAUCUUCCCACACACGGUCCGGAAUGGGUAAUGCUUGAAGGAAACCAGCCGGAGUUAAAGACAAGUAUUUGGCUUGCUGACACACGGAACAUUCAGCAACAUAGGUGCGGAUAUGGGCUUUCAUACCUCGCCAAUAGACCUCCCUUGCUAGCCUUUGAUAUGUUUUCAAUGCACCAUGAUGUCCCCCUAUCGGGCUGUUAUGGAACUCAGCUAAUAAUAAAGUAAUAUCAGGUGAAUCCUCCUCCUUGUAGCAAAUAUCCAUCUGGAGCUGGCUGUCCAUUUAUCAAGGACAAUCGAAUAUUGUUAAGAGAUUCAUUUCCAGCCACUUGAUCGAUGAAAACCGAAGGGUUUAGCCCGCCCACAAUACUUACGAGGCCCAAUUCAAAUACCGGUGGUAAUCUCUAUAAGGCAUCGGCCGCUUUGUUUUCCAAUCCUUUCUUGUACUCAAUCACAAAAUCAUACCCCAAUAGUUUAGCGAUCCAUCUCUGAUAUUCUCCCCCGAUAGCCCGUUGUUCAAGAAGAAACUUCAAACUUUUCUGAUCUGUACGCACCACAAAAGGCUUACCCAAUAGAUAUGGUCGCCAUUUUUGAACAGCCAGCACUAUUGCCAUAAGCUCCCGUUCAUAAACAGCCUUAAACCUAUGGGUAAUAGGUAAAGCUUGACUGAAAAAGGCCACUGGUCGUUGAUUUUGCAUUAGGACAGCCCCAAUACCCACACCCGAAGCAUCAGUUUCCAGCACAAAACUUUGUGAAAAAUCAGGAAUACCUAGCAUCGGGACAGACAUCAUUGCUGACUUUUAACUGCUGAAAUGCGUUCUCGGUCGUCUCAUUCCACUUAAAGUUACCUUUUUUUAACAGUUGUGUCAAGGGGGGCAGCCAAUAGAACCGUAGUUUGCAACGAAUUUCCGAUAAUACCCCGUUAGCCCCAAAAAACCCACCUAGCUCCUUCACGUUCUUGGGUGCUGGCCAUUUAACCAUCGCUUCUAUUUUUGUUGGAUCCGCUGCCCCCCUCUGAAGAAAUAACAUGGCCCAAGUAUUCAAUUUUGUCAACCGCAAAUUGGCAUUUUUUAAAGUUGGCUACCAGUUGAUGAGCUACUAGAGUUUCCAAAACCAUUGCCAAUUGGUGCAAAUGCUCGUCCAAGGACUUGCUGUAAAUUAAGAUGUCAUCAAAGAAAACCAAAACAAACUUGCGUAAAUAUGGGCGAAGAACAUCACUCAUGAUUGAUUGGAAUGUUGCCGGAGCAUUUCAACCCAAACAGCAUCACAAGGAAUUCAUAGGGCCCCUCGUGGGUUCGAAACGCUGUUUUGUGAACAUCGGCUGCCCGCACCCGAAUUUGCUGAUAACCUAACUUUAAAUCAAUUUUGGAGAAUAUGGUUGCCCCAAAUAAUUUGUCCAACAGUUCAUCAACAACAGGAAUCAGAUACUUAUCUGGUAUAGUGGCAAGAUUCAGUGCUCGGUAAUCAACGCAAAAUGCCAGCUACCAUCCUUUUUCUUAACAAGGAGCACUGAAAAGGCACUUUUGCUUGGCUGAAUUAUUCCGGCUAGCAGCAUUUCCUUAACUAGUUUCUCUAUCUCAUCUUUCUAAAAUUGGGGAUAACGAUACGGGCGCACGUUCACUGCACGAGCCCCUGGUUCUAAUUCAAUAGCAUGAUCAUGAUCGCGAGGUGGGGGUAAUUGAUUGCUUGGUUCAAACACAACGCUAAAGGACUGAAGAACUUUUUGAAUUUCUGGUUGUAGUUUACUCAAGUAGUCUGCUAUGUGUUCCCUUGCUUCGCCCACUCCCCACUGUACAACUGCACUUAAUUCGAUUGACACGCCUUGAUCUUCCUUCUCAAAGGUUUUCAUUAUCGAUUUCAGUGACACUUGGGAUCUUACUAAACUUCUAUCCCCUUGAAGAAUUACCACCCAUUCACCCAGUGAGAAUUCCAUCUCCGACAACUUGUAAUAAAAAAUUACUUUCCCUAACAUUUCCAACCAAGUAACUCCUAAUAUAACGUCAGCACUCCCGAGUGGUAGAGGGAGAAAAUCGUGAGUGAUUGAUAAAUUGGCGAUUGUCAGGUUUACAUCCUUACACACACUGGUUGCUUGGACUAUGCCUCCGGUUCCCAGAACAACCCCAUAUGCAUCCAUGGUUUCUACUGAAAUUUUUAGCUCUUUGACUACCUCUUCUGCAAUAAAAUUGUGCGUGGCUCCCCAUCGAUCAGCACCACAACCUCACGUCCCCUUAUUUCUCCUUUAAUUUUUAUGGUUUUCGGCGAAUUGAAACCUACCAAUGAAUUUAUCGACAGAUUCACUAUUUUUGUAUUGACUUCCUUAUUCCCGUUGGUUUCGAUUUCUUCCCCCACUUGAUCGGUUUUGUCACUUAAGUCUUCCCCUUCUUGUACAGCAAUGAUGUUCAAUUCACGUCUUUUGCAGCGGUGCCCUAGACUAAACUUCUCGUCACAUCUAAAACACAAACCUUUUUCCUUCUUAAUCCGCACUUCGUUGUCAGUCAUUCGGCGGUAUGGUUGAGACAACGUACUCUUCGCGCCCGAUUCCUGCGAUGAAGUAAUCGUCGUGGACGAGUACGACGAAUUUCGCUAGGGUUAAUCGUAAUCGUUCGUGAUGUAGCGACCCGAUCUGAGGCCUUUGACCCAGUUUGACUUCUCGACCUGCUUGGCCCACUAUUUGACAUUUUAAUUGAUAAAUUAGGGUUUCCACUUGCCCCAUGAAUUCUCUUCAAUUGAACCACUCGAUCAUCUUCUCAAUUAUUUGGGCCAUUAACAUUUUAGCCUCUAGGCCCACUGAAUUCAAUUUUCAGAUCUCACUUUGAAUCUCUUCCUUCAGCCCACACACAAACUUACUUUCUAGGGCUGCAUCACUCAUAUCUUUAAGGCCGACCGAAAAUUGUUCAAAUCGCCGCCGGUAAUCCCUCACGGUGGUCUCCUGCUGUAAUUUCAUCAACCUUGCGUGUUUAUCUCCUUGGUCGGACGCUUUGAAUCUGGCCCACAGAAGCUAUCGGAAUUCUGUCCAGCUGCCGAUUUUCUUUCUAUCCUCCUUCCAUUGAUACCAGUCCAAAGCUUCCCCCUCCAAGCACAGGACCGCCGCAUCCAACUUAUCUCUCUCGUCAGAUAUUCACCACAAAAUAGCGCUCCACACGUUGUAGCUAUCCAUCCACAUUCUCUUCUUCCUCCCCUUUAAAUAUCGACACCUCCAGUUUUCGUAGCCUCAUGUCAAAAAGGGGUAUCUCACGAAUAUUUGGUGCACAUGGUACUCCAACUCCCUCAUCCACCACGGGUUAGUUUUUUGUUCACUUUUUUCUUCUUGAACUUGUUCCUCAUUCAUUAUUCCCUUUCCCUUGUCCGUAAUCAUUCUUUCACUAGAUGUGGAUCCUUUUGAAGCACUUCCAUCACUCCCAUCCUGUGUAUUAACAAUUUCAUAUCCUCACUCAAUUUUUACAGAUUAUCCUCAAUCUUUUGUUCAGCCAUUGUACUUCGAACUUCUGCUUCCGCAAAUUGUUUCUUCAUCUUCCUUUCAAAUGCUAAUUGUCGUUCUUCUACUUGUAAAAAUUUUGCUUCUACUCUACUUUCCAUUUCAGUCCCUGUGGUUACUCCCUCUAAACCUUCUUCCAGUUCAACUAUCCUAGCUUCCAUCUUACCAACCAUACCAGGAAAGAUGGCUCUGAUACCAAAAUUGUUAAGGCUUUAGCCACAAUUUUAUUUAUCAACUGUGGGGAAGGAUUUGAGAGCUCCCCAGUUUCUCCACGCUCUAAUGAGAGUCUAUACCAAAAUCAUAUGUCCAAAAAGAUACCCAUACCCUCCCACGCAAGACACUUAAGUAAUUGCUCAGAGAAAUAAUAAAAUACUUGGCCCCACUCUAACAAACACAUUCCUAAGGGCCCACACAAAUGGAAAAAUACCAACUAACUCUCAAUCAUUCUUUCUUCUUCCUAUUCUUGUCCCUACGGGAAUACACCUUUACUAUGGGAGGUCUAUCAGCUUUCUAUAUAAUUUAUGAGAGUUUAAUAUUGCAUGGUUGCAUGGUAUAAAGAUGGAAUAAUAUUUAACCCAACAUUGAAUAUUUCCAAUGUUUAUCAUCACAACAUGUAUAACUAUCUAAAUGACUUGCCAUCCUUGGAUCCUGAAUUGUAUCGCCACCUUAUUUUCUUAAAGGUGUGUAUUCCCUGGUAUCACUUUUAGCUGAUACCACACUUAGCCUGUUGAUCAAUGAUCUAGAUCAAUCUAGUAUCCUGGUAGAAUCUUUUUCUCACUUCUUAUCUUAAAUAUGAAGGUGACAUUCCUGAACUAGAGCUAUAUUUUGUUAUUAUAAACAAUGAAUAUGGAAAGCAAAUUGAAGAAGAGCUACUUCCUGGAGGAAAAAACCGUCGUGUCACCUGUGAAAAUGUCAUCACAUUCAUUCAUCUUGUUGCCAAUCAUCGUUUGAACUUUCAGCAUAGUUUGUCCCUUGUUUAUCCAAUGUGUCUCCCUACUCCAAUGUUGAUUGAAAACAUGUCCUCCUCAGAUACGACAGCAAAGUUCUCAUUUUUUGAGAGGGAUUCAGCAGCUUAUACAGAAAGAAUGGAUCAACAUGUUCAAUGAGCAUGAAUUCCAGGUAUCACUAACUCACUGAGAUAGUAACGUGGUUUGCAUGAAAAGGCUGUUUUGCUGUUAUAUAAUCUCUUGAUGACUCGUUUAUCAUUGCACAUCAACUGCCUCAUGUGCCUUGAAUCCUGUUUCAUGCUAGUAUUAAUUAUACUAUUUGGGAAAGAAGUAUGUUAAAGGAGGAACAUUUUUUCUCCUAGACCAUACAAAGUCAGUAGGGUUAAGCACUUAGAUUUGCAUUUUUAUUCUUCUUAUUGUGUGGGUGUGUGGGUGGGGGAGGGGGGAGGGGGUUAGUAGUUUUGAUAAUGUGCCAUUGUCGACCUUUAAUUUUCAUGUGACGUGAAACACUAAACUAAUUAAAGCAAGAACCUAGAAUGAUUAGGAGUACACUUGAUCUUGUGAUCUGGGCAGCAACCAACCAAAGCCUAAACCCUAGAGGCAUCAGGGUCUUCCUUAUUGAGUUCACCUGAAGGAAUAGAUGUGGGUUUCCUUGAUGAAGUGAAGAUUCAGGUUCUGGAUAAGGAAACUAGUCUUCCUUAAGAUUCAAGUUGUUCAUUUUCGAAGAGGCACAAUGCUCGUAAAAGUGUAGAGGCAGAAUUUUACUAAUCAUUAAAAUCUGAGAAAUAAACAAAGUGAACUAGAUUAUUUUUAGCCUACAUGGACUCUAAGUGGUGACAACUGAAGUCCUUGUAAGGGGAAAAGAUGUGGGAAAAAAAGUUCCCUUGCGAUGGGAAAUGAUAAGAAAAACAUAAAGAGAACCCUAAUUUAGGUCAAAUCAUGGACCAAUGGCUAAAUACUAUGAAGUUUUGUUGCUGGUCUUUUGUGGUUCCAGGAUAAAUCGAGUGGUCUAUUUCAUUUCAGCUUUCAAUAUCAGGUUCACUGGACAGCUUGGAUGUUGAUGACCUACGGACACAUACUACUUAUUCAAGUGGUUAUCAUAGGGUAAGUUCUAUUAAACCCUUUUUUCUAUAUAUGUAUUUUUGUUUCUUUUCUUUUCUGCGUAAUUGUUUUGCAUAUUGUGUUCGAUAAAAUUUUGAAAAUUUGAAAUCUUGCAAGAAGAUUAGUUACAAUUAAUCUUCCUUUGGAGGUUGAACAAUUCUUGGUUUAGGAUAUCGAAUACUAGAUUUAUUGUAGUGCAAUCGGAAUUGUGAUGUCAAGUCAAUUAAAUUUCAUAAUUGUAGAUGAUGUUGGAAGAUCUCACCCGGGUAAUUGGGAGAUGGUUUUGAAGUCUUUGGAGUUUAGGGAGUUGGUCAUCGUUUAGAUUCUUUUUAAUAUUUUUCAAUUAAUUUCGAAUUCAUACAAUGUAUAUGCCUGUAUUAGUGUUUGAAACUGGUGAUAAAUUGAUUACCAUUAUUCAGACUUCUAGUCCUCUCUUAUGUUUCUAUGACUAUGAAAACAAACUUUGGACUUGUAUUGUUUGUAAUGCUCUGUUUGGUCAGGCACAACCAUGAUCAAGAAAUUUGUGAUAGGAAACGGAGAAAUAUCUUCACUUUUUUAAUGAUGUUCUUUUAUGCUGGAUUGAAAUGUGGGAACUUCGAAAUUUGAAUUUUUAUUUCAUGCUUUCAGGAGCAUUAUGUCAUUGAGAUGUUUUGGGAAGUUAUCAAAAGUUUCUCAGUGGAAAACCAAAAGAAAUUUCUGAAGUCAGUAUUUUCAUUACACAUCAGUUGGUUACUUCUUGUCUCAAGUUGGCUUAAAGAAAAACUGAACUUCAGAAAUAUAACAAUUGUAUCUUGCUUUUUCAUUAGGUUUGUAACUGGUUACUCUCGAGGACCUCUUCUUGGCUUUAAAUAUCUUGAGCCAUGUUUUUGCAUACAAAGGAAAUUGGUGUUUUGUUCAUUUUUCUCCAUUUCCUGGGUAAAAUUCGUAUCCUCCUUAUUCUUAAUUAUUUGUUUUGGUUUCCCUUAAGGGGAUAAGUUGUUGCUUCUAGAGCUUAAACUAAUUUAUCCUGCUAGCAAAAAUCAUGUGAAAAAGUAACUCAGUACUUUGCGAGACAUUCCUGGCUACAUGCUUGAAACUGUAUUCAAGCAUAUAUAGAUUAGCGUGGAACAUAAAAAAAAUGGGAUAAUUGCAAAUGUAACAAUUAGAUUCAAAAUAAUUAAGUAUAUAGCAACAUUUUAAAAUGAUAAAAAUUCACAUGUCAUGUCCAAAAUUACUCGAGGAACACAUUUUAGCCAUUGAAAAUCAAAUUUGUGCUAUGAAAAUCGGGUUUAAGUAUUAAAUCAAACAUUAAAUUGAUUAAGAUUCUCAAUAGUUAAGGGCAUGCCAGAGUGGCUUCUAACAUAUACGGAGUGAUUUUAACUCUAAAAAUCAUUCUCAAACAUAUCCUAUGUUUUUCACCUUCGCGGCUCGUCCAUUAUGCUUGGGUUUUCUUUUUUACUUGGCCAUACAACAUCCAGUCACCAAGAAAUUUUUAUUUUUCGUGAUUACGUGAAACUACCACCAAUUUGGUUGAAUAACUUGGUUAGGUUAUGAUGUAAUAUAGAAUGUCAUGGCUAAACAACUGUAGUUAGUUAGUAAAACAGUUUUAAACAAUUAAACUGUUCAGCUGUUAGGACUGCAGUUAAGACUGUUUCAUAAAAACAAGUUAUUUCAUCUACUUGUAACUACGUACAUCAAGUGGUAUCAGAGCAGACCCGAUCCUAGACGGAUGGCUGGCCGGAGAAGAAUCCCCGCCGCAGGGGACAACCGCGAGCAAGAAGAGGUGGAAGAGACCGUCACCCUCUCUCCAAGGACCACCACUGUACGCUUGCUGGUCGUCGAAGACUCCUUGGGAGAUUUACAUGACAAAAUGAACAAAGUAAUGGACAACUUAGACUCACUCACCGAAGAAUGGAUGAACUACCGACACCGGCAAGGAACGAGGAUUAUGACUGGAAGGUAGGAAACAAGGUGGCUGACGGGCUCAAAGGAACCUUAGAAACUGGCCCAACCAAAGAAAUGAUCAAGAAGGAGACCAGGAGGAAUCCCACUACGACACGCCGACGAUGAUGAGCAAGAUGAUGACGAGGAGUGGCAAAACGUGCAAGAUUAUGAUUCUUCCAGUGGCACGACCAAGGAAAUAUUUGGAACGACAACGGAGAAUAUCGAAUGGCUUAUGGCUAUAGAGGACAUAAAGCAUGACGAGAGAUUCAUCACGACUACAAAAUGAAAAUUGACCUCCCAACCUAUAAUGGUAAACGGGAUAUCAAAUCUUUCUUGGAUUGGAUAAAAAACACCGAGAACUUAUGGCUUGAAAUUGAGAGGAGGAGCCUCGGCAUGGUGGGACCAAUUGAAGAUAAAUAGACAUAGAUUCGACAAACCACUCAUACAAUCUGGCUCACGGCUAUAGAGGACAUAAAGCAUGACGAGAGAUUCAUCACCACUACAAGAUGAAAAUUAACCUCCCAACCUAUAAUGGUAAACGGGAUAUCGAAUCUUUCUUGGAUUGAAUAAAAAACACGCGAGAACUUGUGGCUCUAAAAUUGAGAAGAGGAGCCUCGGCAUGGUGGGACCAAUUGGAGAUGAAUAGACAGAGAUAGGGCAAACCACCCAUACAAUCAUGGCUCACGGCUAUAGAGGACAUAAAGCAUGACGAGAGAUUCAUCACGACUACAAAAUGAAAAUUGACCUCCCAACCUAUAAUGGUAAACGGGAUAUAGAAUCUUUCUUGGAUUGGAUAAAAAACACCGAGAACUUGUGGCUCUGAAUUGAGAGGAGGAGCCUUGACAUGGUGGGACCAAUUGGAGAUAAAUAGACAGAGAUUCGACAAACCACCCAUACAAUCAUGGCUCAUGGCUAUAGAGGACAUUAUAAGUGAUAGUGGAAGCAGUGAGAACUUUUAGCAAUAAAGAUUGUGACCACAAUCAAGGAAAUUUGCACCGUGCCCCUAUCCAUCGAAAGUAGCUACAAAGACCAGAUUGUGUGCGACGUUAUAGACAUGGACGUGUGCCAUCUACUCCUAGGCCGACCGUGGCAACAUGACACCUGAACCAAAUACAGGGGGAGGGAAAACACCUAUGAGUUCCAGUGGAUGGGAAGGAAAGUAAUUCAACUCCCAUUAACAAAGAAAAACUCUAAAGCCUGAAGCAGAAGAAAAAAGGACAACUCUUCAUCACAGUGAGCGGGAAGAAGAUCUUGAGAGAAAGGGAGCAAGACCUUUUGGGACUUGUAGUGGCUGACAAACCCCUGGAGAAAGAAGGUGAGACUAGAUUAGAGAACUUUUUGCAGAUUUCCUCACCUAAAGAAGGACUUGCAAGGAUUGCCACCAAUUCGUGACAUCCAACACCAAAUUGAUCUUACCCCAGGAGCCUCGCUACCUAAAUUACAUGACCACAUUGAAGACUUGUUGAAAAAGGGUCACAUGAAGCCUAGCUAAGCCCUUGUGUUGUGCCAACACUGCUCACACCUAAGGCCGGAAGUUGAAGUAUGUGUGUAGACAGCAGGGCUAUCAACCGAAUCACUGUAAAAUACCGAUUUCCUAUUACUCGAAUUGGAGACUUACUAGAUCAACUAGGUAAAGCUACCAUCUUCUCAAAAGUUGACUUAAGAAGCGGUUAUCACCAAAUAAGAAUCCGCCCGGAGACGAGUGGAAGACAACCUUCAAAACUAAUGAAGGGUUAUUUGAAUGGUUGGUGAUGGCCUUUGGCUUAUCCAAUGCACCAAGCACCUUCAUGAGGUUGAUGAACCAGGUGCUCGUUUCUAAACCAGUUCAUAGUGGUUUACUUUGAUGACAUCCUCUUGUACAACAAUAGUACUGAAGACCACAUUCAGCACUUAAGAAAAUUGUUCCAAGUCCUGGCCGAAACUGAACUAUACAUUAAUCCAAAGAAACGUACAUUCCUCACCAAGGAAAUUGUCUUUCUCGGCUUCGUAAUCAAAGAAGGAAAAGUAGGUAUGAACCAAAGAAGACAGGAGCCAUAAAGUCUUGGCCAAUACCAACCUCCAUCAAGGAGGUACAAGCCUUCCUUGGCUUGGCAUCCUUUUACAGAAGAUUCAUCAGAAACUUCAGCUCAAUAGUGGCCCCCUUAACCGAUUGCCUAAAGAAAGGGAACUAUAAGUGGAAUGAAGAGCAACAACAGAGCUUUGAAGAGAUAAAAAGAAGACUAACUUCUAGCCCUGUUCUACAAUUGUCGAACUUCGCAUCACCCUUUGAAGUAGCUGUUGAUGCUUGCGGAACCGGAAUUGGAGCCGAGUUAUCACAGCAAGGCCACCCUAUUGAAUACUUCAGUAAGAAGUUGAGCACAACAAGACAGUCUGGAGCACUUAUGAACAAGAGCUUUAUGCCCUUGUCCGAGCACUCAAACAGUAGGAAGUUACCUCCUAUGCAGGGAAUUUGUACUCCUAACGAACCGCUUCUCUUUGAAAGAUCUCUAGUCACAAAAGAAUAUUACUCGGAUGCACGCACGAUGGAUCUCCUUCCUACAAAGGUUCGACUUUGUCAUUAGGCACCAAACUGGUAAGGAGAACAAGGUGGCAGAUGCACUAUCAGGAAGAGCUCCUUACUCACUAUUCUAUCCAUGGAGAUUGAGGCAUUCAAACACUUACCUAACCUAUAUGGGGAAGACGUUGACUUCGCCAUGACAUGGACCAAAUGCAGCAACUACACCAAGGCGGAAGACUUCCAUAUAAUGGAAGGAUAUCUAUUCAAAGGAGAUCAGUUGUGUAUCCCACACACAUCACUUCUAGAAGCACUACUAAAAGAGGCUCAUUCAGGAGGAUUGGCUGGACACUUCGGGCAGGAUAAAACUUUUGAAAUAAUCUUUAAGAGAUACUACUGGCCUUAAUUAAGAAGAUACUGUAACAACUUUAUUAAAAGGUGCCCUAUCUGCCAAAGAGCUAAAGGUUCAAGUAUAAACGCAGGUCCUGUACUCACCAUUACCUACCCCAAUUUCCAUUUGAGAAGAUCUAUCAAUUGAUUUCGGGCUCUGAUUACCAAAAACUCAAAGGCAGUAUGACUGAGUCAUGGUUGUAGUUGACAGAUUCAGUAAAAUGGCACACUUUGUGGCUUGUAAGAAGUCAAAUGAUGCCACCUACAUAGCUAAUUUAUUAUGUCGAGAGAUAGUUUGGUUGCACGGAGUACUAAAGACCAUUGUUUCUAAUCGGGAUGUCAAGUUCCUAAGCCAUUUCUGGAAGACAUUAUGGAGCAAAUUUGACACAACCUUGAAUGAAAUAUAGCACAACAUCACACCCUCAAACAGAUGGCCAAACAGAAGUUACAAAUAGAACUGUCGACAACUUAAUAUGCUGUCUUAGUGGAUCCAAACCAAAACAGUGGGACUUAGCUCUUGCACAGUCAGAAUUCGCCUUCAACAAUAUGAAGAAUAGAUCAACCGGCAAAUGUCCAUUUGAGUCGUAUACACAAAACAGCCAAGACUAACAACCUUUGACCUAGCAUCACUCCCCACAACUAUUGACACUAGCUCAGAAGCAGAAAAGAUGGUAGAAAAGAUUCAGAACUUACACGAAGAAGUCCAUAACCACCUAAAAGAAUCAACUCAGUCCUACAAAAAGGCAGCAGACAAAAAGAGAAGACAAGCUACCCUUACUGAGGGAGACUUAGUAAUGAUUCACCUCAGAAAAAUUCGAUUUCCAACUGGAACACAAACUGAAAGACAGACAAUUAGGACCAUUUCGUGUCCUAGAAAAGAUUUGAGAUAACGCUUACAGAAUUGAACUACCACCAGACUUGCACAUUCAUCCUAUUUUUAACAUGUGGCAGACCUGAAACAGUACUAUGCCCCAUAUGAUUUCUGCCUUGUCAACUAAGUCACUCGGUCGAGUUCCAUGCUAGGGGUGGAAUGAUGUAAUAUAGAAUGCCAUGGCUAAACAGCUGUAGUUAGUUAGUAAAACAGUUUAAAUAAUUAAACUGUUUAGCUGUUAAGACUGCAAUUAAAACUGUUUCAUAAAAACAGUUAUUUCAACUACUUGUAAGUACUUACAAUUCUCAAUAUAUACUCCAUCUCUUAGCCACUAUUGGUGGAGAAUUCAUUGUGAAAAAACUAAGUCCUUUGAGGUAGAUAGUUUUAUGUCGCAAGUUGGUAAAGAUGGAGUUACUAUAGAAAAUAAUUCCUUUGAGGUAGUUUGGGUUUGAUUAUCACUCACAUUGAGGAAUGCAACCGUACAUGGCUGAUCCAAAUUGCCACAUCAGCUAAAAGUACUACCUUUAGGAACUAGUUCGAAGUUUCAUUCUUUCAUAAUAAGAAUCAUAACUUUUCAUGAAUAUGUGAAAAGUUACAUUGUAAUUCCAACCUUCGAAGACCAAGUAUUUAAACAACAACAACUCUCCCACAUAUUUUCGAAGAGAUUUUUGGAAUUGGUUUCAAACAAGCUUAUCUUUUAUUUUUGAUUGAAUACAACAAAUAUAUUUAUGUUUAUAUGCUGAGGAAGCAAGGCUAUUCAAGGUAGCUUCUCAUCUAAGAUAUAUUGAUGUCUAUCCAAUGAGAGGAGUUUGGCAUCCUAAGAAUCCCGGGAAGACUUUAGUCUUUGCUCAUUGGGAUUUCUAAAUGGAAAAGCUCAGAGUAUUUCUUCAAUUUAUUUUUUGUUACCUGUACAUAAGUUAGAAAGGACCAUUCCUAGAGUAAUAAAUUAGAGCUUCUUUAGUAGGAAAGAAAAAGAUUAAUAAACUCUAUAGGUUGUUGAUGAAAUAUUAAAUGAUAUUAAAAUGAGUGAUUUCUAUUGCCUUCUCUCAAUCUGUAGAACCACUUUUCAUUUCACAUGGAGGACUAUUUGUUAUAUUCUUUAUAUUAGAAUAUUGAAUUAAUUAGAAAGUUGACUUUGAUUUUCUUUUCCAUUCAGACAGUUCCAUUAGUUAUGGCACUAAGUGGUGAAACAUUGAUGGAGAUGGUUGGUGACACUUCCAUUGUGUAUUCAGUGGAUUCACAUGCUUCCGAAGUCAUUGUUAGUGGAGUGAAGAUUGUUCGGCAAAGAUAUGGAAAGGUUAAUACUUCAAUCUAUAGGAGUUCAUCAGUUUUUGUUAUUCCUUUCUUCUUCUUCUAGCGUGGAGUUAUAGACCACUAUAUCGUUCAGAUAGACCACCACAAACUUGUUAAGGUAUUAUGGAAGACCUGGUUCAUUAGCGUACAGAACGUUGCAGGCGCAUUGGUAAGACCAAAUGGCAUGACAAGGAACUCGAACGCCCCAUACCUCGUAACGCAGGUGUUUUGGGCUCAUCCUCUUUGGCAAUUCUUACUUGAUAAUAGCCCGAUCGCAGAUCUAGCUUCGAGAAAUACUUUGCUCCAUGAAGGCGAUCAAACAGGUCAUUGAUUAUUUGGUAGCGGAUAUCUGUUGCGAACCGUGAUCUUGUUUAGGUAGUCGAUGCACAACCGCAUACUUCCAUCGUUCUUCUUCUGGAAAAGGGACUGGAGCUCCAUAUGGAGCUUUUGCAGGCCUCACAAAUCUUGCGCUCAGCAGUUCGGCCAACUCCGGCGGCGCCAUACGAUAAGCAUUCUUCGCAGGCGGCUUUGCCCCUGGCAGCAAUUCGAUUUCAUGGUCGAUCAUUCUCCACGGAGGCAAUGAUUUCGGCAGGCUGUCUGGCAUCACAUCCUUGUACUUCUCUAAGACACUCAGGAUGUCUUUGGGGACUGUUUCCCUUGAGCUUUCCAACGACUCCAGUGGGAUAGCUAUAAAGGUUAGAUCGUCACGAGCAAGGCCUUUCUUCAACUACAUAGCCGAGAUCAUCUAUAUCCCAUCCGGCUGACGAAUCUCCGUUUGAACAACAGUAGGCGUUCCAGUAAUCACUAGACAUUUGGCUAGCGGCAUUGGUAUGACUUGAUGCUCAAGUAGAAACUCCAUACCUAGUACCACGUCGAAUUCAUCCAUCUUUGCAAUCACCAAAUCUAUAGGACCGCUCCACUCUCCCAUCCUCAUGGUCGUUCGUUUUACCAACCCGACGAUAGGUAGGGCAGCUGAGUUCACGGCUUUCAUUUUUUCUGCGUCUUUCUUCCAACGGAGAUUCAGCGUCUGGCUUCCGCUUCUGCAAUGAAGUUAUGAGUAGCACCAGAAUCCACCAUAGUGCUCUUGGGUGGCUUCUGGUUGACCCAACAGUCUACGUACAUGAGACCAUUCUUUGUCUGUCCACUGGUCUCCCCCAUCUUCUUCUGGAGCGAUGACAGAAACUUUAAGGCCCCCAUCCGAGGAUUCUCACCCUCUUCUAUCUGUCCAACGUCUCCUUCAGUCUGACUCAAUCUAUCAUCUGAGUCGAGGCUAGGGUAGCUUGAAAAGCGUUGAAGGCGGUACGGUUGGGCACUCUCUCUAGCAAGAUGGGGCCCUUUACAUAUGAAACAACUGAUGGAACGACCGGAUUGUUCUGAUUGUUUGGUCCUCGCCAGUUGUUUCCUGUAUUCGCUUGGAAGGGCUUGCGAUCUCCACCUUGUCGCUUGUCUCCCCCUACAGUCUUCGGGGAAUUUGGGCGGUUGUUUCUGUUUCCUCCAGAGGAGGAAGCUUGAUGUCGUCUUGCAUCUUGAGAUUCGCUAGAUAAGUCAAACAACCGUUCAGCCACUGCGUAUGCUGACGUGAGGUCUUGAAUUCGUUUUCAUACAACUUGGUCCUAGCCCACGGCUUCAAGCCCUCGACAAAACAUAAAACUGUCUUUCUCGGUCAUGUCGCGUAUGUCCAACAUCACCCCCGCAAACUGUUUCACGUAGUCCUGAAUGUUUCUCGUGUGCUUCAAUUCACGCAGCUUCCGUCGGGCUAGAAUUUCGACAUUCUCAGGGAAAAAUUGCAACGAAGUUCUCCUUUUAGGGCAUCCCACGUGUCGAUUGUGCAACGCCCUUCUUGAAUGUCCAUGUAUCGGGACCUCCACCAUAACUUCGCAUCUUCUGACAGAUGCAUGGUUGCCAACGUCACCUUGGCCUCUUCAGUAAUUGUGUUUGUGGCUUUGUAAUACUGCUCGACAUCAAAGAUGAAGUUUUCGCAAUGCCUUGGCAUCUCUCGCCCCACAAAGGGCUUGGGCUCAGGAACCUUGAUUCUGCGCACAGGAAUGGUCCUCCAGCUGGAGCCUGGUUUGCUAGUUCUCGUAUAGUAAGGUUCACCCUCGUGUUUACCUAUGCGAGCUCAUUCCUCACGACAUCGAGGGUUGCUCGAAAAUCCUCUGUCAUGCCGUUGAUCAUCUCCAACAUGUUCUUUUGCGAGUUAUCAAGCUCCAUAACUCGUUCUUCCAUCUGGGCAAUAGAGCCCGAUGAACUGCCCCAAGCUCGUAGGCGACAUUUCCCGUUUCAUUACUCGGGACUCUAGAGUGUCGACUCUAGUCAGUAACUCUUGGAUGGGUAGUCCGUCAAGGCGAUCGGACACGGCUUCAAUGCCAUCAGCUUUCUUGGCAAUAUCCUCAAGCCGCUGUUCCAAGAACCGGAUGGAAUCAGGAACUUCCACCAGGUAGAGCAUCUGCUCUUCGAUUCCCACAAGUCGCUCAUAUGGGUCUUGCUAGACUGUUUCGCCACCGACAUCUUUCUGUCACGCACUGUCAACUAGCCAACCUGGCUCUGAUACCACUUGUCACAAUCGUAAUUCUUCAAACACGAUGUGAACGAUUGUGCGGCACUUGUUCUAGCUCGACGAACAAGUCAGCCGAUCAAAAUCCACAAAUCGCGGACAACUUUAACACAUGCUUCAACCUCCCCUCACGUUCUUGGAAAAUAUUUUUAGAAAACGUGAAAGAUGAUUAAAUUGAUUGAAAACAUUGUUAAAACAAGCAUUGAAGACUGUCAAUUGCAAUAAGAAAGCAUAGAUUGCAAAGAGUACGACAAGGCUUGGGCGGGGAUUCAACAGGUAUGCCUCCCCUAUAGUACAUUUUUAACAUUUUCAUCUCUGGUAGGCUUGCAUAUGAAAAUGCCGAAACGUCACACCCAAGCAUAUCGACUUGAAAUUUAAAGCAACUACCUAAACUACAUACAAGACAUAAAGACAAGAUAAAUUGGGGCUAAUCGGAGCAUACGGCCAUAGGUAAACACACCUUGGACAAGUAUGUCCGUUACACUAGGCCUCCAAUCACCCAAGUUUACCAAAGGAGGGGUAAAAAUAAAAAUUCCACCUAGACAACAUGGUUGUUAGGAUGACCAGUGGUCCUAACAACACGUGGCAGCAGCAGAAAGGGAAUAUAUAUAUAGGCGUUUUUUGCUAGGGUUGAUUAUCUUGGUUAUUAUGUAUUUUGAAUGAACGUUGUUCAUUGGGGAGAGAGCAGCCCUCUUACUUGGUUGAAGCUUAUGAUUCCAUAUUGAAUAUAUAUACACACAUAUAUCAGCUUCUCUCCAUUGUACUGUGUUUGUGAGUGUGCUGGAAAUAUUCUUUGUAUUUGUGUGGGUGUGGGUUGAAUCUUUUGCAGGUGAAACAAGAACCUACCAGGGGGGACCACUUUGGUAGGGCCGGGAGUUAGAGGAAAGAGAUAAAAGAAAGGAAGCUACAGAGGGAGGGGUAUGGAACUUUGAGGAAGGAAAUCUGCAUUACUCCUUGAGAGAGGGAAAGCAGAGGGUCCAAGUUCAUCUUUGAAUUGUUCUUGAGUCUUUUAUUUGGUUGCUAUUAGUUUGAGUAAUUUUUGCUUUGAAUCUGUAAUCGCGAUCAAUACUCUAUUGAUCCACGAAGAGUCUCAAUAAUUCGUGUAAGUUUUCAUAUUAUAUCAACAUAUACGAACACUGCUGUGGUGUUCUAUCAUAAUUCUGAGAUACUGAGCUUCGUUUAAGAUCCUUCACUGUGGCCAAACCGAGUUUGUGAGUUGAACCUUUCAUGUAUUUAUGAGAAAUGUUUCUCUAUCUAUUUGAAGUCUGUUUGAUGGAGCAUUUGGUUGGGAAGAGAUGACUAACUUUUAGUGGAAAGGCGAAGGACUGGUGAAGCCCUGAAGGGGUGUUGAAGUUGGCUAAAGUUUAUGUGUUGAAUUGAAUUUCUUUAAGAGAGUGGGUUUUUUUUUUUUUUUUUGUAGCUUGAUUUUUAAAUUUGAAUUAUGUUUAUUAUACUAUAAUUAUUUAUAAACCCUAAACCCUAAUAGCAUUUUAGUAUCACGAAGUUGGAUUAUUUUGUUGCAGAUGGAAUUUGUGUCUAGAGCAUUGAGCAUCCUGGUUGCGUUUGGGAUGCCAAGUUUUUGGAAAAUGGAGAUAUUGUCACAGCUUGUUUAGAUGGAGUAGUACGUGUCUGGACGGCAGAACAGGAAAGAAUUGCUGAUCCCCAAGAAUUGGAGUUAUUUGCUUCAAGACUGUCUCAGUAUAAGUUGAAGAGGUGCCCCACAACAGCUGCCACACACACACACACACACUCACAAAGAGGAAGUUCCAAAAUCCUUUGUCAUCUCUCUUUCUCUCUCUCUCUCUUACUUAUUUGACUUUUGAGGCAAAGCAUGAUUCUGAGCAUAUCUAAAAUAAUGUCGUAUAGAAUAUAUUCUGUUUGAGUAUGAUUUAGCGACUUAUGUACAUCUUUAAUUUAUUUGUUCAUACCUCAUGAUAAUGUGCACUUUUAUUCCUAUGUUGGCUGUUGGUCUUCUAUUUGAUAAGUUGUCUCUAAUUUAAUUGUGUUAGGAAGAGGGUUGGAGGAUUGAAAUUGGAAGAAUUAUCUGGGAUGGAUGCUUUACAAAUUCCAGGUCUGGUUACACUAUUCCAUUUUAAUAAGAAGCCAAGAUGCUAUCCGCUUCUAUACCUUUUUCUUUUACCCCUUAAUUUCAUGAAUCUUUGUUCCAAAGUGGAUGGGUGGCAAGUUUUCUUUUUCUUGAUAUUUGUGAUGUCUAGGCAAGCUCACACACCCUCGACUAAUCUCACAUAAUCCGCUUGACCCUACAACAUUUGGGUGUUAAGGAAACUCAUAGGAAAUUAAUUUACAGCUGCCACACACACACACACUCACAAAGAGGAAGUUCCAAAAUCCUUUGUACAUCUCUCUUUCUCUCUCUCUCUCUCUAACUUAUUUUGACUUUUUGAAAAGCAUGAUUUUGAGCAUAUCUAAAAUAAUGUCAGAAUAUAUUCUGUUCUGAGUAUGAUUUUAGCGACUUAUGUACAUCUUUAUUAUUUGUUCAUACCUCAUGAUAAUGUGCACUUUUAUUCCUAUGUUGACUGUUGGUCUUCUAUUUGAUAAGUUGUCUCUAAUUUACUUGUGUUAGGAAGAGGGUUGGAGGAUUGAAAUUGGAAGAAUUACCUGGGAUGGAUGCUUUACAAAUUCCAGGUCUGGUUACACUAUUCCAUUUUAAUAAGAAGCCAAGAUGCUAUCCGCUUCUAUACCUUUUUCCUUUUACCCCUUAAUUUCAUGAAUCUUUGUUGCAAAGUGGAUGGGUGGCAAGGUUUUCUUUUUCUUGAUAUUUGUGAGUGUCUAGGCCAGCUCACACACCUCGACUAAUCUCACGGGAUAAUCCGCUUGACCCUACAACAUUUGUGUUAAGGAAACUCAUAGGAAAUUAAUUUACAGCUGCCACACACACACACUCACAAAGAGGAAGUUCCAAAAUCCUUUUGUUCAUCUCUCUUUCUCUCUCUCUCUAGCUAUUUUGACUUUUUGAGGCAGAAGCAUGAUUCUGAGCAUAUCUAAAAUAAUGUCAGUAUAGAAUAUAUUCUGUUCUGAGUAUGAUUUUGCCGGCCUGUGUUAUGUUUAACGCCUUUCUUUUUGCUUCUAGGCUGUACUGGAGCUUGUCAUAAUCUUCCCACGUUGCCUCAUGAGGAGGGAGACCUUGCCAUUUAAUCAAAACCUCACAGCUUCCUCUUUUAUUCUUCGAGUACCCAGAUAUUUCCUCCGGUAUAGAUUUCCACUCAUGAGUUUCAGUAACGUAAGGCAGCAUGUCUGUCUGUACAAGUUGAUGAUCACCAACCAUUUUUUUGAGUUGGGACACAUGAAACACUGGAUGGAUGGAAGCGGAUGCUGGCAACUCUAGCUUAUACGCAACCAGUAUGAUGCGUUCCACAAUCGUAUAAGGCCCAAAGAACUUGGGGGAUAGUUUCUCAUUUUUCUUUUGUCGUAAUGAGAUCUGUCUAUAGGGCCUAAUCUUCAGGAAGACCAUAUCGCCAACUGCAUACUCCACAUCAUGACGCUUCAAGUCUACGUUAUUUUUCAUCUUGUCCUGUGCGACGAAUUAGUGUUCUUUUAGGACUCCCAGAAUUUCAACUCAUGCCUUGAGCUAUUCGUUUAAGGUAGUGUUUGGAGUGUCCCGGUCACCAUAAAACAUCAAUGGUGGUGGCAUACGUCCAUAGAUAGCCUGAAAUGGAGUGACCCCUACGGAUCUCUAAAAAGUAGUGUUGUACCAAUAUUCAGCCCAAUGUAUCCAUUUUGACCAUUCCUUAGGCCGUUCUCCACAAAAACAUCGCAGAUACGUCUCCACUCCCCUAUUAACCACCUCAGUUUUCCCAUCCGACUGAGGGUGAUAAGCGGUGCUUCGAUUUAAUCGGGUGCCUGCCAUUUUGAACAUUUCUUGCCAAAAGUUGCUCAAGAAUACCUUAUCUCGGUCGGACACUAUCGAUUUGGGAAAGCCAUGAAGUCGGACAAUCUCCUUAACAAAUAUAUUUGCUGAAUCUGUCCACCACUACAAAGAUGACUUCGAAACCAUUCGAUCUUGGUAAGCCCUCGAUAAAGUCCAUAGAUAUAUCGCUCCAAAUAUUGUUUGGACUGUCCAGGGACAGCAGCAGUCCGGUGGGGAUAGUGCUAGGGAGUUGUUCUUCUGACAUAUUACACAUUCCUCACAAUACUUCUCAACAUCCGCCUUCAUUCCUUCCAAUAUAGCUCACCAGUUUGUCGUUUGUAUGUGCGUAAAAAUCCAGAAUGGUCUCCAAGUACCGAAUCAUGGUAAGUAUGUAGGAUUGUGGGUAUCAAUGUAGAUGUUUUGGACAGCACAAACUUAUCCUUAUAUCUUAACAUACCUUUUCGGAUGGAGAAUUUACCCUCUGUUCCUUCUUCCAUUGCUUGUAGCUCUUCCAUUAUUUUGCUCAACUUUUCAUCCGCUUCGACUUCCUUUUUAAUCACCAGAAUGUCAACCAAUGUAGGAGCUGUUAUGCUACCGAGGUUAACUGUAGGAGGCAUCCAAGACAAGGCGUCUGCUGCUUUAUUCUCCAAGCCGGGUUUGUAGACCACCUCAAAUGAGUAUCCCGUUAGCUUCGCUACCCAUUUCUGAUACUGAAGCUGUAUCACUCUUUGUUGUAAUAAGAACUUCAAGGAUUUCUGAUCGGUCUUCACAAUAAAUUUUCUUUCCAACAGAUAUGGUCGCCAUCGUUGCACAGGCAAGAUUACUGCCAUUAAUUCCCUUUCAUAUACAGGCUUGGCCCUAUCUCUUAAGGCUAACGUAUGGCUAAAGUAUGCUAUGGGGCGCUUGGCUUGGACGAGUACGACUCCUACCCUAUAUCUCGAUGCAUCUGUUUCCAUUUCAAAGGUGGCAUUGAAAUCAGGCAACACCAAAACGGGCAGGGUCAUCAUGGCAUUCUGUAGUUGUUGGAAUGCCUCCUUAGACUCCUCAGUCCACUGGAAUCCCCCUUUCCCAAGUAGUUGAGUCAAUGGUGCGACAAUGAAGCCAUAGUGCUGAACGAACUUUCUUUAGUAACAGGUGAGGCCUAGUAAUCCUCGUACCUCUCUUAUAUUACUGGGUAUAGGCCAUUCCCUGAUUGCUCUGAUUUUCUCGGGGUUCACUUCAACUUCUUGUCCUGAAAUGAUAUGACCCAAAUAAUCAAUACGUUCUUGCGCGAAGCUGCACUUCUUCUGGUUUGCAUAUAACUCAUUCUUUCUCAGGAUUUCCAAUGCUAACCCAAUGUGCUUCAGAUGAUUUUCCAAGUUCUCACUGUAGAUUAGUAUGUCGUCGAAAAAUACUAAUAUGAACUUCUGCAAAAAUGGUUUAAAUAUUGAGUUCAUUAGAGCUUGGAAAGUGGAUGUGGCAUUAGUUAAGCCGAAUGCCAUAACCAUAAAUUCAUAGUGUCCAUCAUGUGUUCGAAAUGCUGUUUUUUCGAUGUCUUCUCCACACAUUUUGAUCUGAUGGAACCCCGCCUUUAAAUCAAUCUUUGAAAACCAGUUUGCUCCAUUUAAUUCAUCGAAAAGCUCCUCAACCACCAGAAUAGGGAAUUUUUAUCUUCAAAAAGUUCACCCAAAUCAAUUAAUGAAUAACCAUGUUAAUUGACGGGUUCUUUUUUUUAUUUUAUUUUGACAUAAUUACAACUAAGAUGCACUUUUUUAUUGAAAAGAUACAAGUAAGAGGGUAAAUUUUGAAUUUUCUCACUAUAUAUGUUGCCAAAAAACCUGGUGUGAAGUGUAAGUAUUUUCUUAAUAAUUUCAUUUAAACCAUGCUCAAUUCUACGCAAUAUGAGUUUUGGUCCUUUAUUAUGAAAGUGCAUAUUUAGAUUUGGUUACAAAUGUUUUGUUUUAUGAAAAAAUCAUUUGUGACUAUUGUUUCAAUCUUUUCAAUUGAAACACGUGCACAUAUUCACGUGAAAUAUCUUAAUUCUAUUUAAUUUUUAAAUAUGCUUUAGCAUAUAAUAAACAAAUAUUAUACAAUAUUAAUGGUAAAAUUAUUAUUUAAAAAAGAAAAAGAAAUUCAUUGUUGUAGUAAUUAAAUAAUUGAAUUAAUGUAUUAAUAUUGUGAUCCAAUAUUGUCAAUAUAUAAGAAUACGAUAAUUUUUUAUUCUAAUAUGUCAAUGUGAAAUCACAAGAAAUGAUGCAAUUUUUCACCAUUAAUUCGUUACUACUUUGAAUCAAUUAAAUCCCCUUUUGUGUGUGUUUGUUUUCUUUUGAACUUUGGGAUUUCGUGACGUUUUUUUUUUCUAAUGUGUAACUGCAAGAGUUUAUUUUGUUUUUCUUUUACACGUACAUUUUACAUGUAAGUUUGGAGGAAUCAAUGCACCAAUUUGAUGUGUGUGCAACCAUCUCCACUCUAAACAGAAUGCAUCGUAUCUCGAAGAUCAACUAGUCACAUCCUAUCAAUAUUAGUUACACAUAUUCGACAUAAGGUUUUAUUUUUUAAAAUAUAGAACUUUAUUUUGUAAACUAAAAAAUUGGAAAAAUCUUCUUUCCAAACAUUAAAAUGGACACUUACAAUAGAAAAGUCACAACUACGUUAGAUCACAAAAAGUAAUAUAAAUUUUUUCGACAAUUUAAGAAUAAAAUAGAUGUAUAUAAUUUUUUUCUCCACGAGCGCAUUUAAUAUAGUAGAGAUUUCAACGCUGAAAAUUUAGUUUACAUCAUGUCAAGGUAAUAUUACUCUGUAUUUUUUCCCUAAAAGAAGGUGUCCAUAAAUUUGUAACUUUUUGCUACUAAACCCAACUUUAAUUAGUGUUUAUGUUAAAAUAUUUAUAAAAUAUAGUACAACUUUAGUAAUUUUUCAUCGGCAGGAAAUUAUCUAUUAAUAUAAGUCUAUUAGUGUCUAUUAGGAUAUUAUAUUUUCAAAUCUCGUCUUUUAUUUAGUUAUUUUGAUUAGUUGGAAUUAUCUAUUAAUUGAUUUUUUUUAUCUAAUUUUAAAUUUUAACCAAAGUAAUCAAUUCCGAUCACCAUCCCACUGUAAUGUUAUUAUUUUAAAAAUUAAACUUCAUUUUAUUUAUUGAUUAAAAUCUUCAAGACAUAGCCUUCAAAGAAGAUUGGAUAUAACCAAAAUAAUGCUGCAUAUAUCAUUUAGAGUCUUGCCAUUCUUCAAAAGCAACGAUGUAUCCUUAGGCGGCUGUGCGAACUUAUCCUGACAGUCACCAAUAUUAGUCAUGGCACCAGAAGUUACAAUAUUGACACCAUUAAAGUCCCCAAGUGCCAAGUCCUUUUGGGCAUUUUCAAUGUCACCAAUAGCUUCAUCAUAGCUCUCAGCACAAGACGAAUAUCGUUGCUUAAGUUGAGGAUUGGUGGCGGUUUUUGCCAGUGAGUUGGCUAAGUCAAAGAUUUUUCAGCAUUUGUAUGAGCAAGGUUUAAGGUGUAUACAGCCAAGCCUUUUAGAUUUGUAGUGCCCGCAGAUUUCAACACACUUGAACAAAAUUGUGGAUUUGAGGUUUUUGGACAGAUGGUGGAAACGACGUCAUUAGAUGAUGCCACAUUUGAAAUGAUGGUGAACGAAAGAACUCCAACGAGAGAGAUAAUAAUGAGACAAGAGUUAUUGGCCAUUUUAAUUUUUCUUUGUUGUUUCCCGUCCUUAUUGAUAUGAUUCAUUUGAUAAAUACAUAUAUAUAUAGAUGAAAUUUAGAGAAAUUGUUUGUUUUUCUUAUGGAGGAGAAAUGGCAGUUGUGAUUACAUAACUAAAUAACCCAUUCUAGUCUUUUGUUUGGUACUUUUAUCUUGAAAUAGCCCACCCAAAUCAAUUCAUGAAUAAUCACAUUAAUUGUCUUUUUUUUUUUUUACAUAAUUACAACUAAGAUGGGCUUUAUUUUUAUUUUUAUUCAAAAGAUACGACUAAGAUGUUAAAUUUUGAAUUUUCUCAUCAAUCCAUUAGAGGUGACCUAUGCUCCAAUCUUUUCUUACCAACAAUUUAGGCCUUAUAAGUGUAUAGAAAAUUGAACAGUGAAUAGGAUAGUUAGGCUUUGUAAAACUUACAAGUUACAUAGUCCAAACUCUGAUGUCUCUUCCGUUCCUGUCCUGCUUUGAUUUUACCCCCUUCUUUUCUCAAAUACAUUUUUCUACAUUGUCGUUUCUUCUUCUCUAACUCAUUUUUUCCAAUUAUAUAACAUGUCCGUAUGUACCAGAAAUACAGUGAGCGGAAUUCAUGGAAGUUUUUCCCUGUUUCAAGUUCUAAGGUAUGUGCCUCCAGACAUCCCAGAAGUCAAUAUCCUAGUGCUUUCUGUAUAUAUAUUGAAGAAUUUUCGUUGUUUACUUUUCUGGCUGAAAAGGGGGGACACGAAACUUAUGUGACAGAAAUCAAAGGAUAACGUGUCUACAGUAAAUCGAAAUAAGAGUCUGGUUUUCAUUGAGUUCAACGUAUUCCUCAAACAGAAACACAGGGCCGUAUGCAUACUUCUACGACUACAGUAGUCAUCAUGCUAGAGGUAAACUAUUCCAUAAGUUCACUAUAAAUUGUGAAAUAAGAACUGUCUGAUACUUGUCAAAUAAGAAUUGCAUGCGUUAAUCAGACUAAUGUGUGGUAGAAUAUUACCUGAAUUUGCUAAGUUUGUCCUGGACAGUUGUCUAAUGUUAAUUCUUUCCCCAUUUCCUUUAUAGGUCCCUGAUAUGCUAUUGUGCUCCAUUUUUGCCAUUAACAAUUAUAAUGUGAAAAGCUAUCUCUCUGUUAAAAAUACCUAGAUGAUGGAUUAAUGUGGAGUGGCCGAUUAAAAUGUUCUGUCAUAUCACACCAGUGCCUUAACAUGAAAAUCCAAGUGCAUUACUAUACAGUUAUCCUUAUAUAUAGUUGAUAUUCAUAGUGUUCGUACUGUUUCUCUGUAGGAGUGUUAACAAUUUAGAUAUGAUAAUUUCUCUUAUUUGACUUUGUUCUCCGUUGCAUUUGCAUCUUGAUCAGCUAUGUUUAUCUUGAUUUGUUGAGCUUAUGUUAUUAUUGCAUCUAGGCAGAUGAAGUUGAAGUAGUGAUUGAUCCGAAGGACAUUGAACUGACUACUGCAAGAUCUGGGGGCGCAGGAGGUGUAACUUUACUUCAAAUAUUGCUUGCAAUUAGCUCUCUGAAUUUGUUCUCAUAAAACCAAAAAAAUGGUAGAAUAACCUUUCUAUUUAUUUCUCGUUGUCAAUAAUUAUGCAGGGCGAAAUGUCAACAAGGUGGAGACAGCAAUUGAUCUUUCCCCAAGCCGACAGGAAACCACAUUUUUUGCACUGAAGAAAGGACUCAACUUGAGAAUAAGAUUCGGGCUUUUCUAUUGCUACGAGCCAAACUAUGAGCAUCCAUUACAAUCAUAGCAUUUCUCACAUCAUCGUAUAAAUUACGUGAAUGUGCACCUCAUUCAUACAAUUUAUGUAUUUUUCUUUUUAUGAGUACAAAUUCGGGGUAGAGGGAUUUAAACCCGAGACCUCUUGGUUCUAAGUACAUACAUACAGGCGUUAGUUGAGCUUGGUUGACAAUUUCUAUACUUUUUUAAGUAACAAAUAAUUGGAGAAAUUUUGUGGCUAUAUUUAUGAUUUUUCUCAAAGAACUUAAGGAUCUUUAUUUCCAUUUCUAUAUAUUGUGGGAAUUUUUGCAGACAUUGAUAUGGGUGAAACAAAGAAAGUAAGCGAACAAACUAAUAUUGGACAGUUGGAGUUCAGCCCUGCACGACCCUUUGACAAAGCCCUUCCCUCACUUCUAGCCACCAUUGUCCAUUGUUCACACCUAACACAACCUAGUGGUAGCAUGUCACUUCCUCCUUGCCAGCCAGUUCACCCCAGCCUGUAGGUCAGUCAGCCUGUUAUAAAAGAAAAAGUCAAUUUUUAUGUUCUCCCCCAACCGACAGUGAGCUUCACGGUGACAUCUAUCCUAAUCUACACUGACUUUCACCCUACUUCGACCACAACCAGACUUUCAUAGUUAAUAGGGUGGUAAUUUUGCUGGUUUCGACAUUAUGUACAUGCAUGAGUUUAAUCACCCCUCCCUCCUCUUUUCCUUUUCAGUUAUGAGAUUAAAGUGAGGGAAUGACAAGAGAAGAUCAUGAACCAACGAAAAUUACAGGUAAUUAUUGUUUUUCUUUUUUUCCUUAACUCUUUUUAGCCUUUGGAAAUAUUUAGCAAAGAACUCAUGUAUGAUCUGCAUUGAGACUGUUCUUGAGUUGCUUUCAUCAGACAAGUUUAUGAAGUUCUUGUUGUUGGUUUGUCAUGAUUUUGUUUCAAUUUUUCUGGGAAACUAAGAGUUGUUACUCUUGAUUUUUUUUCGAGUAUUUCUCAGUCUAAGAGUAAUUUAUCACUAAGCACAUGAUUUUGUUGGUAACAUGCAAGAUACAACCUGAAUGGAAUAUCAAAUACCAUAAUGUAUUUGUCAGAUCAUGCAAGACAAUUAUACAAGCAGAUAAUUAUGCUUAUAGUAGCAAUCGGCAAUAAAAUUAUUUUUAAAAUUUAUUUCAGUGUUCUAAUUACCUUGUUAUCCUAAUUCCUAUCUUCUUUCGCCUUGCAGAUGUGUUGAAAUUUGUUGUCAGAAUCUGUUUGAAUGAUGAACUUCAUGCAUACAAUUGUUGUGGUUGUCACAACUGGAAUCUAUUAAACAAAAUCAAAUACUUGAUAAUAACUACCUCUCCACACUGUUAUGUUUCUUGUUUUUUCGUUUUCAAUAAUUUGAUCGGUUUUAGACUUUUGAUUUAUUUUCAAUUAGAAGUAAAUGAAUGAAGGAAAAAGAUAACAGAAAAAGUUGAUUUUACUUUUACUAUCAUUUUCCUAUGCUUUUUAGUUUAUGGGGAUAGAUAUUUGUUGGUGUUCCUUUUCUUAAGUUAGAAGAAAAAAGUUGGGGCAUAACUUUACAUGGACAAUCAAGUCAUUUUUUUUCUUAAUUUGUGUCUUUUAUAGCUAAAAGAAGAAAACUUAAGAAUUACAUAUAAGUAGUAUAAAGUCCUAAUAUAAGCUUGAUAAAAAAAUUUCCUUUAAUUUUUACUCUGUUUAUAAACUUAUGAGGUUACAAAUUGCAAUAUAUUUUCUAAUACCAUAUUAUGAAUAAUUUGGAUAGCUGGUUGUGUUUGAAAACUGUAUCUUCUUCCAUCGUCAUUGGUUUAUCGUUGCUUUCUUUUCAUUUUUGUUAAAUUUCAACAAAUAUCAAGUUGAUGUGACUUUUAUUGUAGGAUAUGGGUAAUGUUUACAAUUUCAAGGAUUAGAACUUUUCGUUUAUGUUGUUUAUCAGACCUUCUAUACAUCUCUACAAUUAUAUGAUCUUUAUGGUGAAUACAUUGUGCAAGGCCGUAUAUUAUAAGAUCAAUACUGUUUUUUAAAGGAAAGAAAAAUAUAUAAUGUGCUACACACCAAAUUUUCUUCAAAGAAAAAAAAACAAAUUAAUAUAUUCAUACUUUCUUUUUGUAGUUUGUGAUCCUAGCUAAACUCAGGUUAAAGAGUUAUGUUUAUAUUUGUAUAUUUGAAUGGAGUUAAUUGCAAAUACAACGAUUAGAUACAAAAUAUUUGCAUAUGUAACACAUAUUGUAUUGCUAAUAUAAAUAUAUCACUCAUAGAUUUUGCUAUAAUUAUACUUGUUUAAACAUACUAAUACACACUUAAUCUUCUUAGUUCAAUAAUGGUAUGGAGUGGAACAAACUUCCUACGUUAGGAUAAAAGGGUCACACAAAUUACCUUCGUAGUAAACUUACUUUUGACAUUAUUCAUUUAACUUAGGGUAAGUAUAAUGGAUUAGCAAUUUUAUGAAUAAUAAUUAAGUAUAUAACAAUAUCUUUUAAAAAUUGUAAAUGUAGCAAAAUAUAUUUGUGAUAGAUUUAUAUCGUUAAUAGACUCUUAUGGCUUAUAAGCGAAUGACAUAUGUGAUUUAAAAUAACUGCAGCAAUUAGUUUAAAAUGUUGUUAUAUAUCUACGAAUUUCUUAAUUGUUAUAUUCAUUUGUCAUUAGUUGUAUUUAAAAGGGAUGACCAGAAAAACAUUAAAACAAGAGGUUUACUUUUGAUAAAAGAAAAUUUUAAAUUUAAAUUGCUAAAAUAGCAAAAUGUGCAUGUCUAAGUGAAAAUUAAUUCAACAAUAAUCACGGUCGAACUCAAACUCCAAAAACAAUGAUUACAUUUAUUCCCUAAUUUGCUAAUUCAUUUUGGAUUAGGUUUAUUUUUGACAACAAUAAAAAAUUGAGGUGUGGAACAAUGAUAUUAUAAAUGCCAAAGAGUAGUUAAGAUGCAAAAUAUAAAUUUAUAUUUGCAAUAUUAGAUCAAAAUGAAUGAUAAUUUAGUUAGAUUUUUGUCAAAUAAAUAAAAAUGUGAACCAUACAAAAGCAAAUAUAGAUGCUUUUUUUUAUUGAAUUUUCAUAGAAUAAAUAAUAAAAAAAGUAAAAAAUAUUUGCCUUUUAACUUUUUCUUUUUUAAUUUUCAUAGAAAAUAUUUAAUCCAAAAAUUAAAUAACUCUCCUCCACGGUCAAUUUUCUUUUCCCUCUUCUUCAACCUCAACGUCUCUUUUAUUUCAAAUUUCUUUCCCCUUUUUCUUCUCCAUCGGUUUACUCUGCCUCUCAUCUCCCUUCUCUUCUUCGUCUUCCUCAAACCCUGCGAUUUCCUAUCUCUCAAAUUCCGUUUCGCUCUUCCUAUACCUCCAAAAUUUCGCUCUUCCUCUCUAACGUGAAGCAGCCAAGAAACUCUAUCUUGCGACAUACCCAUCUCGUCGAUCCACCACUUUCUUCUUCUUCUAGCCUUAACGGUGCCGAAAUCAAGGGCCGCAGACCCCCUCGGAAACCCAAGUCUUCCAAAGAAAAUUCUCCACCCUCAGAUCGGUUUUCGAUUCCAAAUCCUGAAGAGCCCGCUUCCACCUAGGCCUCCCUCUUCUAACCCGACCGUUCCUGAGAGUUCGCUAUCACAUACUGCUUUUACCUGUGUUGCUGAAUCCCGAUCCAAGGUAAUGCUAAAAUAAUGUUGCUAGUAUCUGGAAUAUGGUAUUACUGAAUUUAGUAAAAAUAAAUAAAUAAAUAAAAGAAGUAUACCUGUAACAACUAACAGUUGUGAGCACUGUCGGAAAAAGGCAAUGAAUUUGUAAAUCGAAGUGCAGAUAGUUCUGUUGUUUAGGAUGGAAAAGCAUGAGUAUCACGUUUCUAUAUUCAACGGACUAGUACUUAUAAAAUUUAGGCUCAUAAUCAUUUUAUUGUGCAGAGACUGGCAGAUGGUUUAAGUAGCUGGUUCCGGAGGCAGAAGCUAACAGGUGCAGCUGGGGAGCGCUUGAAGGAAGCACGCAAUAUCAACCGAUCACUCUCACAACUCGGGUAACCGAUCAAAACUAUUGGGAGAUAUUUCAAAUUUCAUUUAAGCAGUGAUCUUUCCAAUGAUUUUUUUCUUUAUUUAUUUUGUAAUGUCAAUUAGUUGGCUAAUUAUUUAUCAGAAUGCUUGUUGAUAUCGCUGCAUGUUUUAUUUUGUAAUGUUUGUACUUUUUAGUUGUGAUUUGUGAAUAUGCUAGGAUUGAUUUGAUUUGCUCUUCUGACUGUUAAGAUCGGAAUGAUGUUGCUCAUCUGAAAGAAGGCACAUCAUGUGCUUGAAGACUUGUGGAGUAUGGAGAGUGAAUGGUCAAAUUUGAGGAAUCGUAUCUGCUGGCUUUGUAGUCCAAACAGGUUGUCUCACUAACUUUCUUUUUCUCAUUUUCAACCAAUUAGGAUAGCUGUCAUGUUUUUUGAAUUCCUUGCCAUUUUGAGUAGUAACUUCGCAUUUGUUUAUUAAAAGGUUUUAAUUAAGAUUAUGGUGUUCAUAACUUUGUAGUCACACUAAAUAACUUAAAAGAGUUAGUUUGACAGUUGACAAACAUGAUAGUAAUGUGAUAGUGAGUGCAAGGGUAAAAAGAGCUGCUUCUGUUGGGUUAAAGGAUGUUUGUGUUUUUUAGUGUGAUGUGUUUUGUUUUCAAGUUCGUUAGUAGACGUAUUACUUAAUUGAAUUUUGAUACCAUAGCCAGUGUAGGGGAAGAUGAAUGGAGGGUGCUAUGAGACUAGUUAAGACUUAUAUGUAUCCUAAUUUUAGUAAUAUAUAAAAUUGAGAGAAUUUCCUUUGAUUUUCAGGAACAAGGAUGAAUAAUAAUCAAUGAAAAGGUUUAUCCAUGCAAGCUUCAAACCAAAGUCAAGGAUGUCGAUCCUUCCAGGGGAGUCCAAAGUUCCCCCCUUAUUUUUCUCCAUUUACUUUGAUUUUCAAAAGCUUUUAGGACAGAAAAAGCAAUUUUUUGAGUGGGUGUGGGUAAUAGCUUGCUUAGCUUGCAUGUUUAGUGUAAACUUGGGGGUUCAAAUUUUGCCCAAAUUUCAAAAUUUUUCAGAAUUCUUUCCAUACAAUAAUGAGCAUUAUACCUUCUUAGCUUAAUUAGAUCUUGCAUAAAAAGCAUGAUUGGCAACCCUUGAGCACUGAGCUCGGGUUAUGAUGUGAAAUUCUGAAUUUUGAUGAGUAUAUGUGCUGAAAUUUGAGCAUAAGUGCUGUCUUUUUUGUUUUAAGCUCCUUUUAGCUAUUUCUUAUUGAGAUGUGAAUGCAUGAUGAGAAAAUGGUAUGUGUGUUGUGAAUGCUUGAUUGCAUGUAUAAUAAAUAAGUGCAUGGAUACUUUCUAGCUUUGUCUUCCUUGUGCUUUGUCGUGACUUACCUAUGACGCACUUAGUCCAAACCUAGCCUAGAUAGAGUAACAAAGGAUAUGAGGCACUCUUUAGAAACUGGGAUGGUUUUAAAAGUUUAUCUUGUCAAACAUGAGUUAGAAGCCUCUUGUCUAGCCACAGUGAACUAAAUCCUUUAGAAAAGGGUCGACAUUAACAAAACUUAAUGUCACUUCGAAGGAGCAAUCAAACUUAAUUAGUAACUAAAUGUAGAACCAUAGAAAGGUUAGCCCACCGGUUCUAGCAAGACCUUGUUACCACAUUGCAUACCAAAGAAAAAAGAGAGACAUUGCAAAUGCAAAACGUAAAAAGGUUAGACAAUCAAGAGCUAUAAAAAACAAACAACACAUGCAAUAUACAUUAGAAAAUCCCAUAAAAAAGCAAAGAGCCAACUUGGUUCGGUCAAGUAGAAUGUGUUGAGUUCCCUAACUAUCAGAGCUUUUAGCAGAAAACUUUACUUUUGGCCUAACCAAAACCAAACCACCUACUCUUAGCGUUCUAAACUUAGCAUCGAGUUUGAUGAGGGCUUUGAAAAGAGGAGGAAUCCUCCCCGAUCCACAUUAGGGGGAAACAAGGCUUGUUGUCACUCGAAGGGAGCAGUCAAACUUAGCAUUGAGUUUGACGAGGGCUUUGAAAAGAGGAGGAAUCCUCCCGUUCCAUAGUAGGGGGGAAACGAGGCUUGUUGUCACUCCGAAGGGAGCAGUCAAACUUAGAAACUAAGUUUAGAACCAUAGAAAGGUUAGCCCACCGGUUCUAGCAAGACUUGUUACAUUGCAUACCAAAGAAACAAAAGAGAGACUUGCAAAUGCAAAACGUAAAAAGGUUAGACAAUCAAGAGCUAUAAACAAAACAAACAUACAUGCAAUAUACAUUAGAAAAAUCCCAUAAAAAAGCAAAGAGCCAACUUGGUUCGGUCGAGUAGAAUGUGUUGAGUCCCUAACUAUCAGAGCUUUAGAAAACUUUACUUUUGGCCUAACCAAAACAAACACCUACUCUUAGAGUUCUAAACUUAGCAUCGAGUUUGAUGAGGGCUUUGAAAAGAGGAGGAAUCCUCCCCGUUCCAUAGUAGGGGGAAAACGAGGCUUGUUGUCACUCCGAAGGGAGCAGUCAAACUUAGAAACUAAGUUUAGAACCAUAGAAAGGUUAGCCACCGGUUCUAGCAAGACCUUGUUACCACAUUGCAUACCAAAGAAACAAAAGAGAGACUUGCAAAUGCAAAACGUAAAAAGGUGAGACAAUCAAGAGCUAUAAAAAAACAAACAACCCAUGCAAUAUACAUUAGAAAAAUCCCAUAAAAAAACAAAGAGCCAACUUGGUUCGGUCAAGUAGAAUGUUUUGAGUUCCCUAACUAUCAGAGCUUUUAGCAGAAAACUUUACUUUUGGCCUAACCAAAACCAAACCACCUACUCUUAGCGUUCUAAACUUAGCAUCGAGCUUGAUGAGGGCUUUGAAAAGAGGAGGAAUCCUCCCCGAUCCACAUUAGGGGAAAACAAGGCUUGUUGUCACUCCGAAGGGAGCAGUCAAACUAGCAUUGAGUUUGACGAGGGCUUUGAAAAGAGGAGUCCUCCCCGUUCCAUAGUAGGGGAAAACGAGGCUUGUUGUCACUCCGAAGGGAGCAGUCAAACUUAGAAACUAAGUUUAGAACCAUAGAAAGGUUAGCCCACCGGUUCUAGCAAGACCUUGUUACCACAUUGCAUACCAAAGAAACAAAAGAGACUUGCAAAUGCAAAACGUAAAAAGGUUAGACAAUCAAGAGCUAUAAAAAAACAACACAUGCAAUAUACAUUAGAAAUCCCAUAAAAAACAAAGAGCCAACUUGGUUCGGUCAGGUAGAAUGUGUUGAGUUCCCUAACUAUCAGAGCUUUUGGCAGAAAACUUUACUUUUGGCCUAAUUAAAACCAAACCACCUACUCUUAGUGUUUUAAACUUAGCAUAGAGUUUGAUGAGGGCUUUGAAAAGAGGAGGAAUCCUCCCCGAUCCACAAUAGGGGGAAAACAAGGCUUGUUGUCACUCCGAAGGGAGCAGUCAAACUUAGCAUUGAGUUUGACGAGGGCUUUGAUAAGAGGAGGAAUCCUUCCCGUUCCAUAGUAGGGCGAAAACGAGGCUUGUUGUCACUUCGAAGGGAGCAGUCAAACUUAGAAACUAAGUUUAGAACCAUAGAAAGGUUAGCCACCGGUUCUAGCAAGACCUUGUUACCACAUUGCAUACCAAAGAAACAAAAGAGAGACAUGCAAAUGCAAAACGUAAAAAGGUUAGACAAUCAAGCUAUAAAAAAACAAACAACAAUGCAAUAUACAUUAGAAAAGUCCCAUAAAAAAAGAGCCAACUUGUUCGGUCAAGUAGAAUGUGUUGAGUUCCCUAACUAUCAGAGCUUUUAGCGAAAACUUUACAUUUGGCCUAACCAAAACCAAACCACUACUCUUAGUGUUCUAAACUUAGCAUCAAGUUUGAUGAGGGCUUUGAAAAGAGGAGAAUCCUCCCCGAUCCACAUUAGGGGGAAAACAAGGCUUGUUGUCACUCCGAAGGGAGCAGUCAAACUUAGAAACUAAGUUUAGAACCAUAGAAAGGUUAGCCCACCGGUUCUAGCAAGACCUUGUUACCACAUUGCAUACCAAAGAAACAAAAGAGAGACUUGCAAAUGCAAAACGUAAAAAGGUUAGACAAUCAAGAGCUAUAAACAAACAAACAACACAUGCAAUAUACAUUAGAAAAAUCCCAUAAAAAAGCAAAGAGCCAACUUGGUUCGGUCGAGUAGAAUGUGUUGAGUUCCCUAACUAUCAGAGCUUUUAGGAGAAAACUUUACUUUUGGCCUAACCAAAACCAAACCACCUACUCUUAGAGUUCUAAACAUAGCAUCUUGAGUUUGACGAGGGCUUUGAAAAGAGGAGGAAUCCUCCCGUUCCAUAGUAGGGGGAAAACGAGGCUUGUUGUCACUCCGAAGGGAGCAAUCAAACUUAGAAACUAAGUUUAGAACCAUAGAAAGGUUAGCCCACCGGUUCUAGCAAGACCUUGUUACCACAUUGCAUACCAAAGAAACAAAAGAGAGACUUGCAAAUGCAAAACGUAAAAAGGUGAGACAAUCAAGAGCUAUAAAAAAACAAACAACACAUGUAAUAUACAUUAGAAAAAUCCCAUAAAAAAACAAAGAGCCAACUUGGUUCGGUCAAGUAGAAUGUGUUGAGUUCCCUAACUAUCAGAGCUUUUAGCAGAAAACUUUACUUUUGGCCUAACCAAAACCAAACCACCUACUCUUAGCACUCUAAACUUAGCAUCGAGCUUGAUGAGGGCUUUGAAAAGAGGAGGAAUCCUCCCCGAUCCACAUUAGGGGGAAAACAAGGCUUGUUGUCACUCCGAAGGGAGCAGUCAAACUUAGCAUUGAGUUUGACGAGGGCUUUGAAAAGAGGAGGAAUCCUCCCCGUUCCAUAGUAGGGGGAAAACGAGGCUUGUUGUCACUCCGAAGGGAGCAGUCAAACUUAGAAACUAAGUUUAGAACCAUAGAAAGGUUAGCCCACCGGUUCUAGCAAGACCUUGUUACCACAUUGCAUACCAAAGAAACAAAAGAGAGACUUGCAAAUGCAAAACGUAAAAAGGUGAGACAAUCAAGAGCUAUAAAAAAACAAACAACACAUGUAAUAUACAUUAGAAAAAUCCCAUAAAAAAACAAAGAGCCAACUUGGUUCGGUCAAGUAGAAUGUGUUGAGUUCCCUAACUAUCAGAGCUUUUAGCAGAAAACUUUACUUUUGGCCUAACCAAAACCAAACCACCUACUCUUAGCGUCUAAACUUAGCAUCGAGCUUGAUGAGGGCUUUGAAAAGAGGAGGAAUCCUCCCCGAUCCACAUUAGGGGGAAAACAAGGCUUGUUGUCACUCCGAAGGGAGCAGUCAAACUUAGCAUUGAGUUUGACGAGGGCUUUGAAAAGAGGAGGAAUCCUCCCCGUUCCAUAGUAGGGGGAAAACGAGGCUUGUUGUCACUCCGAAGGGAGCAGUCAAACUUAGAAACUAAGUUUAGAACCAUAGAAAGGUUAGCCCACCGGUUCUAGCAAGACCUUGUUACCACAUUGCAUACCAAAGAAACAAAAGAGAGACUUGCAAAUGUAAAACGUAAAAAGGUGAGACAAUCAAGAGCUAUAAAAAAACAAACAACACAUGCAAUAUACAUUAGAAAAAUCCCAUAAAAAAACAAAGAGCCAACUUGGUUCGGUCAGGUAGAAUGUGUUGAGUUCCCUAACUAUCAGAGCUUUUAGAAAAAUUCCAGGUAUCACUAUACCGUUUGAAGAAAUUCUACUAGAGCUAAAUAGCGAUCAAAUCGGUUACGAUAUUCUUCUACAUUCGUUUUCUGUUUGAUUGAGAAAAAUCUUCCAACCAAAGUUCCUUCUCGAAUUGAUCGAAACUGUACAAGCAUUCGUUCUUUCAGGGCAGCCCAAUUCUUAAAAACUUCCUCCAAUUCCAUCACCUGUGCACGUGCAAUUCGACUUGUCUUUCUUCUGCUAUAUUGUAUUGCAAUUGGUGGUCUAUCAUUACUCUCCCUCUCCAAAGACACCUUGUUCUCAAGGUGGGAAAUGAGGAAGCUUUUGUGUAAAAUCAUAACAAUUCUCCCAUGUAGCCUCAUGAGGUGGUAUUCCUUUCCAACUAACAAGCACUUCCCACUUCUUUGUUGCUGGAUUUUUAGGAUAGCCAAAAUUGUCUGCUGGUAGUAACUCUUGAAAUGUAGGAACAUCAUCAAUUCCAUAUAGUUCGGUAAAUGUCAUUCCUCCCUCCAUAGCUCGACAUUUUGUCAAGAAACCGUAAUCAGAUGGUGUCCAUGUCUCCAUCAUGUGUUACAGACUCACUCUAGUCUUUGUCAAACUCGGGUCACCCCUUAUAACAACAUUCUUUUCAUUUUGUAUGAAAGUUAAAGUGAGUUUCCGCCAAUCCACUUCAGUUACCCCAACGUGUGCAGCCAUUGCAUUCCAAGGAUGACAUCACGAUAGAACACUGAUGUAGUGUUUCUAUUAUAUUGACAAUUCAAACACAACUUACAACAUAAGCAAACCGUGAACCUCAGAAAAUGAGUCACGUUACAUAUAAUUCACAAACAUCAAACAAAGAAAACCUCCUAAUCCAAAAUUCCGAACAACAAAAUACUAAUAAGCAAACCAGAAUAUAGAACACCAAUCUUCUGCUUCCCCUGUCUUUCAAGGAGUAUUGCAGACCUUUUCCUUCACUCCGAAAACUCACUUUAACAAAGAGGCAGCCACAUUUUCAGGUACAGAAAAUAAAGUAGGUAGUAUAUAGGAAGGCUAACCAGAACUGAGUUGCAUAAGGUUUGUCCUCCGCCUCUAGAGAUGUUAUAUCUUUUCCACCUUUCAAGUUUCUUGUGAAUUCGAUCAAUGACUGGUUGCCAAAAAGACUUUUGUCGAGGGUAGCCUCCCAAAGGGAGACCUAAAUAUAUAAUCGGAAGCUGGAAUAAAAAGAGAAGAGUAUCAUCGACAAAUUGAAGCAAAGGGAGGUGGAUCAAGUCUUUGCCAACAAGGAAACCUUCAAACUGGCUGUUAAUAUGAAGCUUGUUUAUGAUUUCUCCUAAAACCUCACUUACUAGGAGGAAUAAAAAGGGGGAGAGGGGGUCCCCUUGGCGGAUACCUCUAGAUGCUAUUAUCCGGCCUCUAGGCUUACCAUUGAUGAAGACUGAAUACUUUGGAUUUUUUAGGCAGCCCAUUAUCAAUGAUAUCCAUUUUGAACUAAACUUUUUCAAAGAUAAAUUUUUGUCUAAAAAGUUCCAAUUCACCCUAUCGAAGGCUUUUUCCAAGUCAAGUUUUAAAAUUCAUCCUUUUUUCCGUUUUUCCCUAUAAUCUUCCACGGCCUCGUUAGCAAUUAAUAUUGGGUCAAGAAUUUGCCUACCUUCAAUAAAGGCGCUUUGAGUGGAGCUUAUAAUUGCAUCCAUAACUUGUUUUAGACGUUCAGAUAAAACCUUUGCAACAACCUUGUAUGCUAACGUAGUAAGGCUGAUUGGACGGAAAUCCUUGACUAGAGUCACAUUGUCUUUUUUCUGCACUAAACAAAUGAAGUUUUCUUGGAUGCAAGCAUUUAAUCUUCCAUUUCUGUGGAAAUCAGACAUUAGUGAUUUGAAGAUAUCCUUGAAAAUAGACCAUUGGGUGAUUAGGAACUUCACUGUGAAGCCAUCCGGGCUCGGAGCUUUAUUGUUGCCAAGUGCCUUUACUGCCUUAAAGAUCUCCUCCACUGAAAAUUGGGUAACAAGAGCCUCAUUCUGAAUUGAGGAAACACAAGACCAAUUACUGUUAAUAGGGAUGAAUCUGUCCCCCGGAAUUCUGGUAUAAAGUGACUCAAAAAAUUUCAGCAUAAGCCUUUCAAUGUCGCGGAAUGAAGUCGAGACAACCCCAUCAUCAUUUUUUAAUUCAGUUAUGAGGUUCCUUCUUUUUUUCGCAUUUAGAAACCGGUGGAAGAAGCCCGUAUUCUCAUCACCCGAAGAAAGCCAAUUGAGUUUACUCUUCUGAAUAAAAUUACGCUCUUCGUUUUGAUAAAUACUAAGUAAUUCCGCUUGCAAAGCAGCUCUAGAAUUCAACUCUUCUUGAUUUAAUCCAAUCAACUCAGCCACAGAAUCAUAUUUUUCUAAUUUUGACAUCAAGGAUUUCUCUGUUUUUUUUUUACCUUAGCUUGCGCAGCAAUAUUCCAAGCUUUUACUGCCAAUUUAACUGAUCUCAACUGCUCAUGAAGAAUGAAACCAGCCCAUCUCUGGAAGUUAGAGUUGCUCACUGUUUCAACAAUAAUCUGAUUAGAAUCACUAGACACCAACCAGCUGUUACAAAACCGAAAAGGAGAGGGACCCCAAAGAAAAGAACCAGCCUCCAAGAAUCUGUUUUGGAGUUUGUUCGAUCUGUUCGUGAUGAUACCAAUCUGUUAUGAUCCUAUUGCACUUGCAACUUUUAGGGUAUUUUUCUUCCAUUUCUUUUCUACUUCCAAUUUCAUUUUCAAUUUCUGCAAAUUUUUUAGUUUUUCAUAUGUAUAUUGUUUUCCAAUGGUCAUUUGUUGUGUGGUGUCUUUCUUGUAAGUCAUUGGUUACUUUGUAAAGAGAAACACAUUAUGCACUAUGUCAUCGUUCUACUCUUUCUGCAACAUUUCCAUAAAGAAGCAAGAAAACAGCUAGCAGGCAGAUCAAACUUUCUUAAAUAUUCAAUUGGCCAUUUCGCCUUUCUGGAUUUAACAUUCUGCAUUUGUGUCGUUACCCUUAAAUCUCCUCACAUCUCUUUGUUCUUCCAACAAUCGUUAAGAAAAAUCCCUGUAAACCGAACCCCAUGUAUUCCCUUUUCUCCUCACUCGCCAGAAUUUUGCCCACUCUCCAAACAAAAUCAUUUCAGCCUUACUUUUGUUCACUACCCAUUUCCAAAAAUUUCAUUUCCCUCUGAAAAUCUUUGUUGAUGGCCAAACCUGUGGCUGGGAACCGUUCUCGAUCAUGUCCAGUGCUGAACCUCCCGAUGGACUGCAAGGAUCAAGGGUUAAGGUUGGUUUUUCUAUUUUUGUUGGUUAGAGUUCGUGUUCUGUUUUUUUUUUACUUUGAGUUAAAUCCUUUGUAUUUGAAGAAAUUAAAGUUAUGGGAUGUGAUGCAUGUUGGCAGGGAACUGAUUCCUUAAAAGUUGGUUAGUGUUCUUGUUCUGUUUUUUUUUUUUUACCUUGAGUUAGUUACAUUGUUUUUUGUAGGGAGCUGAAUCCUUUCUUGGGAACGUUUUGGCGAGCAUGGAUGCUGUUUAUUUUAGUUGGACGCCCACUGCAAAAUCUGUUUUGGAGUUUGUCCGAUCUGUUCGUGAUGAUACCAAUCUGUUAUGAUCAUAUUGCAUUUUGAAGUUUUGGGUAUUUUUCUUUGGUUCUUUUCUACUUCCAAUUUCUGCUUAUUUUUUAUUCUUUCGUAUGUAUAUUAUUUUUUAAUGGUCACACGUUGAGCAAUGUCUUUCUUUUAAGUCAUUGGCUACUUUGUACAGAGAAGAACAAAGUGAACUAUGUUAUCGUUCUACUCUUUCUACCCCAUUUCUAUAAAGAAGCAAGAAAACACCUAACAGGCAUAUCAAUCUGCUUAAACAUUCAAUUGGCCAUUUAGUCUUUUGGGAUUUAACAUUGUGCCAUUCUUGUCGUUGCCCUUAAAUCUCCUCACAAACUCUUUGUUCUUCCAACAAUCAUUGAAAAAGAUCCCUAGAAUCGGAGCCCCAUGACUUUCCUUUUCUCCACGCCGGCCAGAAUUUUGCCCACUCUCGAAACAAAAUCUUUCCAACCCUAUUUUUCUUUACAACCUAUUUCCAAAAAAUUCAUUUCGCUUUUUGGAAAAUCAUCGUCUAUGUCGAAACCUGCAUCUUGGAACUGAUUGUUCUCGAUCAAGUCCAGUGCUGAACCCCCGAAUGGACUGCAAGGAUCACGGGUGAAGGUUUAUUUCUUUCUUAUCGUUGGUUAGAGUUUUUGUUUUGUAUUGUACUGCCUUGACUUAAUUCCAUUAUUUUUGAAGAAUUUAAAGUUAUGGGUUUUGAUGAUCCUUUCUUAGGAACGUUUUGGCAAGACUGUACACUGCCUAUCUGAGUCGGAAUCCCACUGCAAUAUCCAUUUUGGAGCUUAUUCGAUCAAUUCAUGUUGAUACAAAUUUUUUAUAAUCAUAAUGCAUUUGGAAAUUUUGGGGUAUUGUUCUUCGUUCCAUUUUUUUUUUCUACUUCCAAUUUCGUUUUCAAUUUCUGCAUAUUUUUUAUUCUUUCUUAUGUAUAUUGUUUUCUAAUGCUCAUAUGUGGUGCAAUGUCUUUCUUUUAAGUCAUUGGUUUUUUGGUGAAUAGAAAAACAAAGGGAACUAUGUCAUCGUUCUACUGUUUCUACGACAUUUCCAUAAAGAAGCAAGCCAGAUCAAACAUUCUGCCAUUCUUUUGGUUCCCUUAAAUAUCCUCACAACCUCUUUGUUCUUCCAACAAUCAUUAAGAAAAAUCCCUGUAAACCGAACCCCAUGUCUUCCCUUUUCUCCCCACUAGCCGGAGUUUUUCCCACUCUCCACACAAAAUCCUCUCAACCUUAUUUUUCUUGACUACCCAUUUCCAAAAUUUUCAUUUCCUUGGAAAUUCUUUGUCGAUACCGAAACCUGCAGCUGGGAAUCGAUUGUUGUCGAUCAUGUCCCCGGUGCUGAACCUCCCAAUGGACUGCAAGGAUCAACGGUUAAGGUUUAUUCUUUUGUUAUCGUUGGUUUGAGUUCUUGUUCUGUUUUUUUCUGCUUUGAUUUAAUUGCAUUGGUUUUGAAGAAUUUAACGUUAUGGGUUGUGAUGCAUGUUGAUAGCAAGCUGAAUCCUUUAUUAGGAAUGUUUUGGUGAGCAUGGAGUCAGUUUACCGAGUCGGAAUCCCACUGCAAAAUCUGUUUUGGGGCUUGUUCGAUCUGUUCAUCAUGAUACAAUUUGUUGAGAUCAUAUCGCUUUUAGAACUUUUGGGGUAUUUUUCUUCCUCCCAUUUCUUCUACUUCCAACUUCAUUUUUAUUUUAUGGAUUGAUCAUUCAAUUUCAGCAAACCCACUGGUUAUGGUCAAAAGCAUAUUUAAGUUGAAGAUAUAGUAUUACAUUUACCUCGUAAGUUUUUGGAUGAAUUGGUGAUUUAACAUGGUCUAGAGUGGAUAGUUUAGGAGGCUGUUAGGCCACCAUUGUUGUUUACCUAUAAUAGAAGAAAGAAAAAUAAGGCACGUUAGGAACCAACAACAGUUACUUAAAAAAGAUGACAGUUAUCUAAAACUGGAAGUUAAAUGGAUGAGAGGGAGGUGGGAAAGGGCAGGCAGUUUUUAGUAAAAGGAAGGGCCUGCAAUACUCCAUGAGAGAUAGGGGAAGCAGAGGGCUCACGAUCUUGUUCUGGUUUUAAUUGUAGUAUUUUGAAUUGUGUUUAUUUGUGUUUUGGAUUAGGAGGGUUUCUUUGCUUGUUGUUUGUAAUUUCUCUGUAAUUUUCUUUUUAUUGUAACUUUGAGUUUCAAAUGUCAAUAUAAUAGGGAACAGUACAUCAGUGUUCUAUCAAGGUUGUAUGUUCAAAAGUGAGUAGAUAGUUGAGGAGGUCCAAUGUUCAAAAGUGAGUAGAUGGUUUAGGAGGGUCCUAUGUUCAAAAGUUUGCUGGUGUGUAUCUUUGUUGGCUCGACAUGUUUUUAAUUUAUGAUUGUUGUUGGUGGAGAGAGCGGAAGAUGCCGGGGACAGCUUGGAGAAGAUCAAGCGGCAGCUGGCCUCUGGGUCUGGUCGGAAUUUGUUGCAGGGUCCCCUUCUAAAGCGAUCUGAAACAGUAAACUAACGCAUUGCAACUCUUUCUGUCUUUCCUUUUGUUUUGAAUUGAUGGUUACUGCUUAAUUGCGCUGUCUUUAGGUCUUCCAUUUAAAUCGUUCUGACUGUUUUAGUGAUAUUUGAAGACUUAAUUAAAUCACCUAGAAGUACUUAUUAAGAUUAGGACGUCGGGAUUUGUGAUUUCAAGGAGAUUAGAAAUGUGAGAAAUGCCCAUGUUCGUGAUCUAACUGUCGGCAUAUUUGUGUUUAUGAAUAUGGCCGUCGAUGUGAUAGUAUUCUCAGACUGUUUUGUAGUGCGCAUAUGCAGAAUUGUGGUCACAUUUGAUCAGCCUUCUAUUUUCUGCGUUUCUGUUCUUAGACAGCAUUUUUUUAUGGCAAUGAGCCUUCAUUGUAGCAAAUCUGAUUUUCUCUAUUACAAUGUUUGCAGUUGAGGAAAUGGAAUGAGCGAUGGGUAGUUUUGGACCCAACAACAGGGAAAAUGGAGUAACCAUACGUCCCAUUUACACUGUUUUUGGUCCUUCCUUGCUUGGUUCAAUGUAGUAAUAUGUUGGUGGAAACAGCUCAUUUCUAAUGCUGCUGCCGAUGGUGAUGGGGUCAAUGGACCUCUGCCAAGAGUGUUCAUAUCACAAAUUGUUGUGGAUUAGUUGAGUAAAUAAACUCAGGUGCGUUUUACCGAAUUCUCGAUAUGAAGAAAUCUGAAUAUAUUUUUUCCUUCUGAAAUUUGGCUACAAGCUGUAUCUGGGUGCUGCAGUAAGUGUAUUGUUAGCGAUGUAGUAGGCAUAAGGUGGGAAUAGGAUGCAUUUUGUGUUUUAUCCAUUUAAGUUUUUGGUUUAUGCAACAAAACCUUAGCUUGAAUUACAACUUCAUAUCAUUUUUCCUACUGCAUUCAGGACAUAAUCAGAAGAUACACUGAAUGUUCUUGCAUUGGGAUUAAGCAUGCUGCUUUGGUUGGUUCUCUGGGUUCCUUCACAUGGGAAAAGCCUUUGCAUUCAGAGUUUGAGCAAUUAGCAAGGCUUUUAAUCUCCCAUGACUCUGAAACUUAUGUUAUUUAGGUCACCAUAUUAUCGUGGAGAAUGAACCAAAUUUCAUUUCUGAAUUGUGAUUUCACCAAGAAUUUGAAAACAAAAAUGCAUAUUGUUUUCUUUCUGAUUCUCUUUUAUUGCGUAUUAUUUUUUAUUGGUCAUUUACCUCCCACAGAUGACAUGAAUAGCGCCAAACAACUACAAAGAGAACUGCCACACUCCUAUAAUUGCUGCUAACCUACCUAACUAAGAAUAUACGACAAUCUCGAAAAUGUGCCAAUGAGAGACAUCAUCAGAUCCAGAGAUCAAGUUUGCCAAGAACUACUCAUAGUAGAAUUUGCAAAUAUGUGGUGCAAACUGAGCCAAGAAUAGACAACUCCAACCUUUUUGGAAUAGACGUGGUUAUCAACCUUUUGACUCUCUUCUUCUUUUCUUUCCUGACUUGGAUUCACUGCCCUGAUCAUUGGAUGAAUUUAGUGACUUUCCCUUUGAGUUCUCCAUUGUUUUCCCAGAAGUUGAUGAAUGCUUCUGUUAGGAUUCUACACCCUUUUUAAUAAAAUACCCAACUAUGGCUAAACAGAGACAGCACCCUGUGAUCCUUUAUUUAUAUAUAUAGCCCAAAGUUACAGCUACAAUAAGGAAUGAAAACAAGAACAAUGAACAAUAAGAACAAACCUGCACCCUUCACAAGAAGGAUACCCCUCUCCUAUCGGCUGCUGCCGCCUCCCUUUUCUAAAAGAUAACCAAAAAGAUACCUAUCCCUAUUUCUCAAUCAUUCUAUUUAUACUCACCCUCAAAUUCCUACCCAGUGGGACCCACCUGCACAUUCUUUUAUUUCCCACUCAUUCUCUCUCCUUACAUGUUGGUGAGUUUCCCUUCUUACCCUUCCUAACAUACGUAUGUAUGAUUGGGGGUCUCACAACACCCCUCGGUUCCAAAUUCACCUUGUCCUCAAGGUGGAAUGUGGGAAACUGUUGAUUCAUUUGAUAGACAGCUUCCCAUGUGGCUUCAGUUUCUGGUAAAUUCUUCCACUUGACUAGCCAUUCGUUAGCUCCCAAUUCUUUGUUCCAGCGAAUUCCCAAUACCUGUUCUGGCCAUAGUUGUAAUUCGAAAUCUGUUGUCAACAUAGGUUGCUGUUGCUGCACAACCUUCUGCUUACCUAACUUGAGCUUCAACUGUGAGAUGUGGAACACAUCAUGAAUACUCGCCUCUGGUGGAAGUUUCAAUCUAUAGGCCACCUCUCCUAUCUCUUCAAUGAUUGUGUAAGGCCCGUAGAAUUUUGGCGCCAGCUUUUCACACCUUUUCCGAGCUAAGGAUCUCUGCCUAUAAGGUCUGAGCUUUAGGUAUACUUCAUCACCCACCUUGAACUUCAAUUCCCUUCUUUUGGUGUCUGCCCAUUUCUUCAUGCGGUUUUGGGCUAACUGAAGGUUCUCCUUCAAGGCGUUCAAUGCCAGAUCUCUCUCCUUGAGCAUUAUUUCUACCUCAUCAUUCUGAGUUUUUCGGGUUCCGUAGGAUAGAAUCGGGGGUGGUUGCCUUCCAUAUACGAUCUUGAAAGGGUUGGAACGUAUGGAUGAAUGGAAAGUAGUGUUAUACCACAGUUCAGCCCAUGGAAUGAACUUAUGCCACCUUUGAGGUUGCUCAUUGCAAAAGCAUCUCAAGUAUGUCUCCAGACAUUGGUUUACCCUUUCCGUUUGCCCAUCUGUUUGUGGGUGGAAUGCCGUGCUUCUUUUCAGUUUAGUUCCCAUAGUUGUAAAUAACUCCUUCCAAAAAUGACUAAUGAAAACUUUAUCCCUGUCGGAUACUAUGGAUUUUGGAACCCCAUGCUUGCUGAUGAUCUUUUCAAUGAAUGUCGUCGCCACUUGUUUAGUUGUGAAAGGGUGCUUCAUAGUGAUGAAAUAAGCAUACUUGCUCAAUCUGUCUACCACCACCAUUAUCACAUUCAUUCCCCCUGCCUUCGGUAACCCUUCUAUGAAAUCCAUUGACCAUUCUUCUAGUAUGGCUUCCGGAGCAGGAAGUGGAUGUAAUACCCCUGCUGGUUUCGUCGCCUCAUAUUUGUUUCUUUGACAAAUCUCACACUGUUCCACAUAUUUCUUAAUAUCAGCCUUCAUUCCCUCCCAGUACAGCUCUCCGCUCAUCCUUUUAUAUGUCCUCAAGAAUCCCGAGUGUCCUCCUAAGAUGGAGUCAUGGAAUGUAUGCAGCAAUGUGGGAAUCACUGACGACUUCUUUGAUAAUACUACUCUCUUCUUGUAGAACAGUUUCCCAUUCUCCCAGCUAAAUUUGCUAAUUCCCUCUGGAUUCUGUUUCAAUUCUUUAAUGGUUUUCUGUAAUUCCUCAUCUUGGUUGACUUCCUUGUCUAUCACUUCCAUGUCUACAAUGCCAGUUGUCGUCAAGGAGUUUACUUCCAGCGGAUAUUCCAUCCUAGGAAGGGCAUCUGCUGCUUUGUUUUGUAAUCCAGGUUGGUAUAAUAUUUCAAAAUCGUAUCCCAGCAGUUUGGUCAGCCAUUUCUGAAAUUGGGGUUGUACUUCCCUCUGCUCAAGGAGAAAUUUCAAUGCCUUUUGAUCUGAGAUAAUUGUAAACUUCCUUCCUAAUAGAUAAUGACGCCAUUUCUGCACUGAUAAUACUACAGGCAUCAGUUCUCUUUCGUAAAUGGACUUGGCCUGGGCUCGUGUCGACAAUUUCUGGCUGAAGAAGGCUAUGGGGUGACCAUUCUGUGAAAGUACAGCUCCCAAUCCUGUCCCUGAAGCAUCUGUUUCGAUUAAAAAAGGUAGAUCCCAAUUCGGCAGUGCUAGCAUCGGGAUAGUAGUCAUGGCCAUCUUUAAUUUUUCAAAAGCCUCGGUUGCUUGUUCAUCCCACGCAAAAGAAUUCUUUUGCAACAAUCUGGUCAAGGGGGCUGCAAUUUCUCCGUAUCCUUUCACAAACCUACGAUAAUAGCCCGAUAAUCCCAGAAAUCCUCUCAGACCCGUGACAUCUUUCGGCUGAGGCCAUUUCACCAUGUCUUUGAUCUUCUCCUCAUCAGCCUGUACUCCUUUACUCGAAGUUAUAUGCCCCAAAUAUUGGAUUUUGGAGUGAGCUAUGACACACUUCUUCUUAUUUGCAAAUAGAUGGUUAUCCCUCAACACUGCAAAUACCAUCCCUAGAUGUUUCUCAUGUUCUGAUAUAUCCUUGCUAUAUACAAGUAUAUCAUCGAAGAAUACCAAUACACACCUUCUUAAAAAAGGUUUGAAUACCUGAUUCAUCAAGGACUGGAAGGUGGCUGGUGCGUUUGUAAGACCGAAGGGCAUUACCAGAAAUUCAUAGUGACCCUCAUGUGUUCUGAACGCGGUCUUCUCAACAUCUUCCUUCUGCAUCCUUAUUUGAUGGUAACCGGACUUCAGAUCUAGUUUUGAGAAAACCGUGGCUCCAUGUAAUUCAUCCAGCAGUUCUUCUAUCACUGGGAUAGGAAAUUUGUCCGAUAUGGUUACUUGGUUGAGUUUCCGGUAAUCUACACAAAAGCGCCACCCUCCAUCUUUCUUUUUGACCAAUAAAACAGGGAUGGAGUAAGGGCUAUGACUGGGACGUAUCACACCUGCUUGCAGCAUUUCCACCACCAAUUUCUCAAUUUCCUCCUUCUGUACAUAACCAUAUUUAUAUGGUCUGACAUUGAUGGGCCUUUGGUUCGGUAAAACCAAUAUACGGUGAUCUAUUUCUCUCUUAGGGGGUAGUUUCUUUGGAUCCUCAAAGAUGUCUGCAUACUGUUGUAACAGAUUUUUAAUCAUUGGAAUCUCUUCCUCGUCCCCUUUCAUUUCCUGCUCCGCUUCCACCUCCGUGUCUACUUCAUACUUUUGGAAUUCCAACAGAAAACCCUGAUCUUCAUUUUCCCACGUUUUCUCAAUGGUUUUCAGGGAACAUUCUGCUUGGAUGAGGGAUGGGUCUCCUUUCAAGAUAAUUUUCUGUUUGCCUAAUCUUCAUGGUGCCUGUUGUAUCCAGCCACUGCAUACCCAAUAUUACAUCCACAUUUCCCAACUCAAUAGCAAAAAAAUCAGCCACCACCACCACCCCUUGUAGUUCCAAUUCCACUCUCUUGCAAACACCCUUGCCUGUACACUUGGUGCCAUCUCCAAUUGUAACUGCAAACGGGUUACCUUUUUCCAGAUAUAAGUUCUUUUCCUUUACUGUCCGGUUAUGUAUAAAAUUAUGGGUUGCUCCACUAUCAAUCAGCACUAUCACUCAUUUGCCCUUUAUAUUUCCCUUCAGCUUCAUCGUUCCCUUCGAUGCCAUCCCAUGGAUUGUCUUCAAUUCUAUUUCCUCCCCUUCAGCAAAAUCCAGAUGGUUUAAUUCCACUGUUUCCCCUGGUUCCUCUUCCAUCUUGCCUUCCUCUUCCUUGCUCUCCUCUUCAUUCAUGAUAAAUAACAUCAGCUCCCUUUUUUCCUUCACUCUACAUCUGUGCCCUGGUGUAUAUUUCUCAUUGCAUUUAAAACAUAGGCCCUUAUCCAAUCUGGACCUGAAUUCUGCGUCUGAAAGUCGUUUGAUAGGAGGUUCACUUUUUUGAUAACUACCCUUAAUAGGUAUAGUUACUUGUUUUAUGGGGAAAUCUGUCCUCCUCAUGUAGCCUUUGUCUGUUCCAUCUUGGAUUUUUCCUGCAUACUCUUCUUUUUUCUUUGGUCCACUGUCCUGCCCUCGGUCUUAGUCAAUUUCAUUGCUACAUUCCGAUCAUUGACUAGUUGAGCCUCCCUCAUACAAUCUUCCAAUGUUCGAGGGAAACGACUAACGACUUCUGCCUGAAGAUUGGGUUCCAGACCGGUCAGAAAAGCAUCUCGUAACACACUUUCCUCCAUGUGAGGGAGGGGAGCUGAAUAUGUGACAAAUUUCUUCACAUACUCACUGUAGGAUCCAUCUUGUUGAAUCCUAAUCAAGCGUGCCACUAGACUUGUUUGUCCCGAGUCCUUGAAGAAAUCAAACAUCCUCCCUUUCAAAUCUUCCCAUGACUCUACUUUCUUCCUAUUAUGCGUCCACCUGUACCAGUCCACUUCCUCUUGCCCAAAACUGACCACCGCCACUCUGAUCUUCUCGUUUUCUGGCAGGUUGUUCAUCUCAAAGAAAUGUUCUGCUCUAUAUACCCAGGAUUCUGGAUUUUCACCUAAGAACAUAGGCAUUUCUAACUUUGCGUACUUACUUCGAUCCACAUUGCUUCCAUUUACCUCAUUACAGACUUCCGAUUCUUCUACUUUUCCUUUCAACUUCAUGCUGGAUCCAUCAGAUGUUCCGGAUUCAUCUCUUUUCUUAUAGCUAUGAUUCUCUCUUAGUUCCUCUGUCAGUCUUUCCAUAGAUUUCUUCAUUUCCAGUAGCAUUUCUUUCAUGCUCAGCAGCUCCUUCUCGGUUCCUUCCAUUCGUUCCACCAUUUGUCUUUGUGCCAUGCGACGCGUCACCACCCCCAGUUUUUUUUUCUCUUUUUGUCGGGCUCUGAUACCAAAUGUUAGGAUUCUACACCCUUUUUAAUAAAAUACCCAACUAUGGCUAAACAGAGACAGCACCCUGUGAUCCUUUAUUUAUAUAUAUAGCCCAAAGUUACAGCUACAAUAAGGAAUGAAAACAAGAACAAUGAACAAUAAGAACAAACCUGCACCCUUCACAAGAAGGAUACCCCUCUCCUAUCGGCUGCUGCCGCCUCCCUUUUCUAAAAGAUAACCAAAAAGAUACCUAUCCCUAUUUCUCAAUCAUUCUAUUUAUACUCACCCUCAAAUUCCUACCCAGUGGGACCCACCUGCACAUUCUUUUAUUUCCCACUCAUUCUCUCUCCUUACAUGUUGGUGAGUUUCCCUUCUUACCCUUCCUAACAUACGUAUGUAUGAUUGGGGGUCUCACAGCUUCACAUCUCCACUUUCUUUUUCUUUUGCUUUUGAAGAUGUGAACUUAACCUUGGUGGAAAGAUUGGUAUUAUUAGACUUAUCGCCUGUUUUGGUAGACUUGCCUUUUGAAACAGGAGUUUUUGGGGUUUCUUGUUUGGACUUCCCCGUCUUCGAUACAUCUUGCUUGUUGGACUUUGCAACAGCGACAGGUGUGGAUGUCUCAUCGUCCUUAGAUUUGCUAGUCUUGUUGGAUUCGGCAUCAUCAUUCUUCGACUUGCCAGCGAUUUUUGGACCUGUGCUACCAAGUUUACUUCCAAUUUCAAGAGUGCCUUGAUCCUUUGAUUUACUUCCAAUUUUUGGAGGCUGGUUUCAGCAUAGGUGUGGUUUCCUUUUUAUCAUCAUCACCUGACAAUCUUUUCACGUUUUUUCCAGAAAUAGAUUUAGCUGAUCCCUUCUUUCUCUUGACCUCUGAUUGUUUUAAAGAACUCCCCCCACUCUUGCUGGUUCCAUCACCCUUCCUAACAGACUGCUUCAAUGUCUUAGUUUCAAAAUCACUUGUAGUGUCACUUUCCCUUUCUCCUGCAUCUUCAGCUGCAGCCUUAGCAUCAUCAGAAACUCCAGCAGGAACCUUCUCUUCAGCAUCUGAAUCGAGCUUUGCUCCUGAGUCAUCCAUUCCAUCCAAUGAUUUUUUUGAAACUUCUGCAGAUGAUGCCGCCCCCUCUUUAACUGUGUUGCCUUUCCUUUUUGCCUGUCCAAUCUUAUUUCCCUGUCCAGACUUAUUGUUACACCGAUCAGGAACACUUUCUCUAAGUGAAGGUGAAGCAACAUUUGCAGAUUCAAUCUCCAUAGCCUUGGCUGAGGAAGGCUUGGCAUCAGUCUCAUUUUCCAAGGGCAUGGAGGCUGUUUAUUUGAGUCGGAAGCCCACUGCAAAAUCUGUUUUGGAGUUUGUUCGAUCUGUUCAUGAUGAUACAAAUUUGUUAUGAUCAUAUUGCAUUUUGAAGUUUUGGGGUAUUUUUCUUCCAUUUCUUUUCUACUUCCAAUUUUUGCUUACGUUGUAUUCUUUCUUAUGUAUAUUAUUUUCUAAUGGUCUUGUUGUGCAAUGUCUUUCUUUUAAGUCAUUGGCUACUUUGUAAAGAGAAAAACAAAGUGAACUAUGUCAUCGUUCUACUCUUUCUACCCCAUUUCCGUAAAGAAGCAAGAAAACAGCUAUCAGGCAAAUCAAUCUACUUAAACAUUCAAUUGGCCAUUUAGUCUUUUGGGAUUUAACAUUCUGCCAUUCUUGUCGUUGCCCUUAAAUCUCCUCACAAUCUCUUUGUUAUUCCAACAAUCCUUAAGAAAAGUCCCUGUAAACCGAACCCCAUAUGUUCCCUUUUCUCCACAUCGGUCAUAAUUUUGUCCACUCUCCAAACAAUAUCCUUUCAACCUUAUUUUUCUUCACUACCCAUUUCCAAAAUUUUCAUUUCCCUUGGAAAAUCUUUGUCGAUGUCGAAACUUGCGGCUGGGAACCGAUAGUUCUCAAUCAUGUCCAGUGCUGUACCUCCCAAUGGACGGCAUGGAUCAAGGGUUAAGGUGGAUUUUUUUGUUAUCGUUGGUUAGAAUUCUUGUUCUGUUUUAGGACAUAAAUUCCAACACAAAGAAUGUUUAAGUGUUAGCUUUCUCUACUCAUAACCUACUCAAAUAUUAGAAAAAAGGACUUAACGACACAAAUUGCAUCCAAGUGUCCAGAUGCAACACUAUAGUGCCAAACAAACCUAACUAGUGUCCAAAAUGUGCCUAAGAUUUAAAGACAACCAAACGAUGCUUAACUGUGAGCUUUUCCAAUGCAUAAGCUACCAAAAAGUGAGAAAAAAAGGUCUGAACAACCUAAAAUCGCAACCAAGUGCCCAAAUGCAACUACUAUAGUGCCAAAUAAACCUAAGUAGUGUCCAAAAGGUGCCUAAGCUUUAAAGAAAACCAAAGAAUGCUUAAAUGUGAGCUUUCUAGACUCAUAACCAACUAAAAAGUUAGAAAAAAGAAUUUAACAACCCGGAAUGACAAUCAAAUGCCAAGGUACAACAACUAUAGUGCCAAACCAAGGUGCGUAAGCUGUAAAGGAAACAAAAGAAUGCUUAAGUGUUAGCUUUCCCGACUCAUAACCUAACAAAAGUUAGAAAAAAGGACUUAACAACCCGAAAUUGCAACCAAGUGCCAAAGUGCAACAACUAUGGUGCCAAAGAAACCUUAUUAAUGUCCAAAAGGUUCCUAAGGUUUAAAGACAGCAAAAAAAAUGCUUAAGUGUGAGAUUUUCCAAAUCAUAACUUUAAAAAAUGUGAGAAAAAGGACUUAACGACCUGAAGUGGAAAUCAAGUGUCCAAGUGCAACAGCUAUAAUGCCAAACCAACCUAGGUAGUGUCCAAAAGGUGCCUACGUUGUAAAUGCAAUCAAAGAAUGCUUCAGUGUGAACUUUCUCUACUUAUAACCUACCAAAAUGUUAGAAAAAAGGACUUAACGACUCGAAUUGCAACCAAGUGCCCAAGUGCAACAAAUAUAGUGCCAAACUAACCUAACUAGUGUCCAAAAGGUGCAUAAGGCUUAAAAUCAACCAAACAAUGCUUAACUGUGAGCUUUUCCAACUCAUAAGCUACGAAUAAAUGAGAAAAAAAUGACUUAACAACCCGAAAUGGCAACCAAGUGCCCAAAUUCAAUAACUAUAGUGUCAAACCAACCUAACUACUAUCCAAACGGUGUUAAGUUGUAAAGGCAACCAUUGAAUGCUUAAGUGUGAGCUUUCUUAACUCAUAAGCUACCAAAAAAUCACAAAAAAGGGCUUGAUGAACAAAAAUUUCAACCAAGUGCGUAAGUUAAACAAAUAUACUGUUAAAACAACCUAAUUAGUGUCUAAAAGGUGACUAAGGUUUAAAGACAACCAAAGAAUGCUUAAGUGUGAGCUUUCCCGACUCAUAACCUACCGAUAAGUCAGAAAAAAUGAUUUAACGACUCGAAAUGGCAAGCAUGUGCCCAAGAGCAACAAAUAAAAUGUCAAACAUACCUAAGUAGUAUCCAAAAGUUGCGUAAGCUAUAAACGCAACCAAAUAAUAUUUAAGUGUGAGCUUUCUCGACUCAUAACAAACAAAAAUGUAAAAAAAAAAGACUUAACGACCCCAAUUGGCAACCAAGUGCCUAAGUGAAACAACUAUAGUGCGAAACAUACCUAAGUAGUGUCCAAAAAGUGCCUAAGCUGUAAAUGCAACCCAAGAACUUGUAAGUGUGAGCUUUGUCGACUCAUAUCCUACCAAAAUACCUGAAAAAUAACUUAACGACCCGAAAUGGCAACCAAGUGCGCAUGUGCAAUAAUUAUAGUGCCAAACAAACCUAAGUAGUUUAAAAAACGUGCCUAUUAUAUAAACACAACCAAAGAAUGCUUAAGUGUGAGCUUUCUCAACUCAAAAUCUACCAAAAUGUCAGAAAAAGGACUUAACGACCCAAAAUGAAAAUAAGUGCACAAAAGCAACAACUAUAGUGCCAGACCAACCCAAGUAGUGUCCAAAAGGUGCCUAAGGUUUAAAGACAAACCAAGAAUGUUUAACUGUGAGCAUUCCUGAUAUGGAUCAAGAAAUCAUGAUUGAAUCAAAUGAAGAAGUUAAGGAGAUGCAAUGCUUGGAAGUUGAAGAGUUAUUUUGGGCAACUCAAAAGUCAUAAAUUUAAAUGUUUAAGAAAUAAUGUUUAUGUGUUUUUAGUUAUUAUGUUAGUUGAAAGGUUAUCAAAUUAAAUGUUUUGACCUUUCAUUUCAUAUUUUAAUUAGUAUAAAUAGGGUUGUAAUUUUUCCACAUUUAAAAAGAAGAAUUUGGGAUGAAAGAAAUCUGAAAAUUCUAGAAUGUAGAAUUUUGUUCUUGUCUGUUGUGAUAGAAUGCACAAACAUUUGAAGCAUUCAAGUGAGAGUUGAUCUACCUUACUUGUGGAGUGUUUUGAAGAUUAAGGAUUGAUGGGAGUUUCUAAUUUUGUUCGAUCCUUGGUUUCUUAGAUCAUCUAAGCAAUUUGUAUGUAGCCUAUCUUAGGGGUUGAAAUCAAAUUGGUUUUGCGGCUAGUGGGGUUGUGUUCUUUGAGUCUUGUUGUUUAACAUGAUUCUUAGAUCCAAUGCCUAGGGGUUUCUUAUCAAUUUCCAACACAUAACCUACCAAAAAGUGACCAAAAAGGACUUAAGGACCUUAAAUGGAAACCAAGUGUGCAAGUGCAUCAACUAUAGUGCCAACCAACCUAUGUAGUGUCCAAGAGGUGCUUAGGCUGUAAAGACUAUCAAACAAUGCUUAAGUAUGAGCUUUCUUAACUCAUAAACUACCAAAAAUUGAAAAACAAAGAAGGAAUUAACGACCAAAAAUGGUAAAUAAGACAAGAACUAUAGUGCUAAACCAACCUAAGUGGUGUGCAAAAGGCGUCUAUAGUGCAAAUCAUGUCAUUUUAAUUGAUCAAUUCAUAAGUUAGUCCUAGAAGUUUUAUGGUAUAGUGCUUGAUUUGGCAAUGCAUAGGUAAAGAAACCAUAGUGACUAAAGUUCACAAAUCAAAUGUAUAGUAUUGUGUUUGAAAUGACUUUAUAAGUGAAUAAAAACACUAGGAAAAAGAAAUUUAGUCAUAUAAGGGAUCAUCUAGCACACAGGUUUUUGUCAAGUUCCAAAUGUAGUAACACUACAACAAAAAUUAUCUACUACGACAGUUGUUUAUAUCACAAAAUGGAGGGAGGAAAAAAAAUUAUCACAAAAGGAAAAAAAACGCGCGGGAAAAGGCGAAACUUUUCGGAUAAUACUUUUCGCGACAGUUAUUUGACGUCAUAGUAUUGUAAUUGAAAAAAAAUUUAGAGGCCUAGAACCACAAAUGAAAGUCACGAAUGAACCAUCAUCAUUCUUCUUAAAUCGCCACUAAUCUUAAAAGUGCAAGCAUUGUAUAUAUGUUUAAUUUUUAAAAUAAAAAGAAAACAGUUCUAAAAAAGAAAAUGGUUAUCAAUUCCUAUCUGAUGAGUUGUGGUAAAAAUUAUAUCAAUAAAAUGAACAAGAAAAAAAGAAGUGUAAGGAAGGAAAAGUUGAAUAUCGUAGAACCCAACGAAUUUUGACCUAAUCGGCUUAACUCUCCUACAUUCUACAGGCUAUUGUUGCUUCGGCCGUGAGUGAAUAUUUUCCUACGCAAGUUCUGAUAUCGAAGGAACCCAACGCAUUCUGACCUAAUUGGCUUAACUCUUCUACUUUCAACUAGCUAUUGUUGCUUCGGCCAAGAGUGAAGAGUUACCUAUACAACUAUCGAUCCCGAAGGAACCCGACGCAUUCUGACCUAACCACUUUAACUCUCCUACUUUCUACAGAAAUUGAUGCUUUGGCCAAGAGUAAAAAGUUCCCUAUGUGAAUUCUGAUACGUAAAGAACUUGAUACAUUCCAACCUAACCAGCUUAACUCUCCUACUUUCUACCGGUUAUUGUUGCUUCAGCCAAGAGUGAAGAGUUCUCUACGCAAGCUUUGAUUCUGAAGGAACCUGACGUAUUCUGACCUAACUAGCUUAACUAUCCAACUUUCUACAGGCUAUUGUUGCUUCAACCAAGAGUGAAGAGUUCCUUAUGCAAUUUAGGAACCCGAUGCAUUCUGACCUAACCGGCUUGACUUUCCUACUUUCUACGGCCUAUUGUGGCUUCGGCGAAGUGAAAAGUUCUUUACGCAAGUUCUGAACUCAAAGGAACCCGAUGGAUUUUGACCUAACCCGCUUAACUCUCCUACUUUCUACCGGCUAUAGUUACUACAACCAAAAGUGAAAAGUUCCCUACGCAAGUUUUGAUCCCGUAGGAACCCGAUGCAUUGCGACCUAAUCGACUUAUCUCUCUAACUUUCUAUGGGCUGUUAUUGCUUCAUCCAAGAGUGAAGAGUACCUAAUGCACGUUCAUGUCUCGAAGGAACCCGAUGCACUCUGACCUAAUCGAUUUAACUCUCCUACUUUCUAUGGGUUAUUAUGGCUUCGACAAAGAUUGAAGAGUUCUCCACACAAGUUCUGAUCUCGAAGGAACCCAACACAUUCUGAACUAACCAGCUUAACUCUCCUACAUGCUACGGGUUAUUAUGGCUUCGACCAAAGAGUGAAAAGUUCUCUACGCUAGUUUUGAUCACGAAGGAACCCGAUGCAUUUUUGCCUAACCGACUUAACUCUCGUACUUUCUAUGGGGUAUUGUGGCUUUAGCCGAGAGUGAAGAGUUCCCGAUAAAAGUUCUGAUUCGGAAGGAACCUGACACACUUUGAGCUUUUCGGCUUAACUCUCCUACAUUUUACGGGCUACUGUAGGUUCAGCCGAGAGUGAAGAGUUCACGAACAAGUUCUGAUUCUAAAAGAACCCGAUUCAUUUUAAUCAAACCAGCUUAACUCUUUUACUUUCUACGGGCUACUGUGGCUUCGGCCGAGAGUGAAGAGUUCCUCACACAAGUUCUAAUCCCAAAGCAACUCGACGCAUUCUAACCUAAUCGGGUUAACUCUCCUACUUUCUACAUGUUAUUGUUGCUUCAACCAUAAGUGAAGAUUUCAUUAUGAAAGUUUUGAUCCGGACGGAACCCUACGCACUCUGAGCUAUCCGACUUAAUUCUCCUACAUUCUACAGGCUAUUGUUGCUUGGUCGAGAGUGAAGAGUUCACCAACAAGUUCUGAUCACGAAGGAACCAGACGCAUUCUAACCUGAUCGGCUUAACUCUCUUACUUUUUAUGGGCUAUUGUGGCUUCGGCCGUGAGUGAAGAGUUCCGGACACAAGUUCUGAUCUCAAAGGAACUCUAUACAUUCUGACCUAAUAUGCUUAACUCUUCUACUUUUUAUGGGCUAUUGUUGCUUCGACCAUGAGUGAAGAUUUUCCUACGCAAGUUCUAAUAUCGAAAGAACCGAAUGCAUUUUGACCGAACUAGCUUAACUCUUCUACUUCCAACGACCUAUUGUUGCCUCGACCAAGAGUUAAGAGUUCUAUAUGCAAGUUCUUAUUCUGAAGGAACCCGAUGCAUUCUGACCCAACCGUCUUAACUCCCCUACUUUCUACGGGCUAUUGUGGCUUCGACAAAGAGUGAAGAGUUCUCUAAGCAAGUUCUGAUCCUAAAGGAACCCGACGCAUUCUGACCUAACCGAUUUAACUCUCCUACUUUCUACGGGCUAUUGUGGGUUUAGUCGAGAGUGAAGAGUUGUUGAUGAAAGUACUGAUCUCGAGGGAACUAGAUGCAUUUUAACCUAUUCGGCUUAACUCUCCUACUUUCUAUGGUCUAUUGUGGCUUCAACCGAGGGUGAAAAGUUCCCAACACAAGUUCUGAUCUGGAAGGAACCCGACGCAUUUUAACCUAUUUUGCUUAGCUCUCAUACUUUCUAUGCGCUAUUGUGGCUUCAGCUAAGAGGGAAAAGUUCCUGACACAAGUUAUGAUACCAAAGGAACUCGAUGCAUUCUAACCUAACCAGCUUAACUCUAUUACUUUCUACGAGCUAUUAUUGCUUUGACCAUGAGUGAAGAUUUUCCUAUGCAAGUUCUGAUAUCGAAAGAACCAAAUGCAUUCUGACCCAACUGGCUUAACUUUUCUACUUCCAACGGGCUAUUGUUGCUUCGGCCAAUAGUAAAGAGUUCCCUACGAAAAUUCUGAUUUCAAAGGAACUCGAUGCAUUCUGACCUAACCGUCUUAAUUCUCUUACUUUCUACAGGCUAUUUUUGCUUCCACCAAGAGUUAAGGGUUCCCUACGAAAGUAUUGGUCUCGAUGGAACCCAAUGAAUUAUGAUUUAACCACUUUAACUCUCAUACUUUCUAUAGUAUUGCUUCGGCCAAGAGGGAAGAGUUCCCUAUGCAAAUUCUGAUAUUGAAGGAACCUGACACAUUUUGACCUAACCAGCUUAACUCUCCUACUUUCUACAAGUUAUUGUUGCUUCGGCCAAGAAAGCAUUCCCUACGCAAAUUUUGAUUCUGAAGGAACCCGACGCAUUCCGACCUAACCGGCUUAACUCUCAACCUUUUUAUGGGCUAUUGUUGCUUCGACCAAGAGUUAAGAGUUCCUUAUGCAAGUUCUAAUAUCGAAGGAACCAAAUGCAUUUUGACCUAACUGGCUUAACUCUCCUACUUUCUACAGGCUAUUGUGGCUUUAGCCGAGAGUGAAGAGUUCCAUGAAAUUUCUGGUCAGGAAGGAACCCGAUGCAUUUUAACAUAUUCGGCUUAACUCUCCUACUUACUAUGGGCUAUUGUGGCUUCAACUGAGAGUGAAGAGUUCCCGACACAAGUUCUGAUCCUAAAGGAACUUGAUGCAGUCUGACCUAUCCGAGUUAAUUCUCCUACCUCCUACGGGCUAUUGUUGCUUCGACCAUAAGUGAAGAUUUCCCUACGCAAGUUCUUAUAUCGAAAGAUCUAAACGCAUUCUCACCUAACUGGCUUAACUCUUUUACUUCCAACGGGUUAUUGAAGCUUCAGCCAAGAGUGAAGAGUUCCCUACGAAAAUUUUGAUCCUGAAGGAAAUCGACGCAUUUCUGACCUAAUUGGCUUAACUAUCCGACUUUGUACAGGCUCUUUUUGCUUCAGCCAAGAGUUAAGGGUUCCUUACGCAAGUAUGGAUCCCGAAGGAACCCGACACAUUCUGAUCUAACCGCUUUAACUCUCCUACUUUCUAUAUGAAAUUAUUUCUUUGGCCAGGAGGGAAGAGUUCCCUACGAAAAUUUUGAUACGAAGUGAACCCGACGCAUUCCGACCUAACCAGCUUAACUCUCCUACUUUCUACGGGCUAUUGUUGCUUCAGCCAAAAGUGAAGAGUUCCCUAAGCAAAUUUUGAUUCCGAAGAAACCGAUGCAUACCGACCUAACCGGCUUAACUCCCCGACUUUCUAUGCGUUAUUGUUGCUUUGACUAAGAGUUAAGAGUUUCCUACGCAAGUUCUGAUUCUCGAGGAACCCGAUGCAUUCUAACAUAAAUGGCUUAACUCCCGUACUUUCUACGGGCUAUUGUGGCUUCGGCCGAGAGUGAAGAGUUGUCGAAGAAGUUAUGAUCCCAAAGAACCCGAUGCAUUUUAACCUAACCGGCUUAAUUCUCCUACUUUCUACGAGCUAUUGUGGCUUCAAUCGAGAGUCAAGAGUUCCCGACACAAGUUCUGAUCCCAAAGAUUUCCUUGUGCAAGUUCGGAUAUCUAAAGAACCAAACAUGCAUUCUGACCUAACUGGCUUAACUCUUCUACUUUCAACCGGCCAUUGUUGCUUCGACCAAGAGUGAAGAGUUCCCUACGAAAAUUUUGAACCCGAAGGAACUCGACACAUUCUAAACUAAUUGGCUUAACUCUUCGACUUUCUACGGGCUAUUUUUGCUUCCACCAAGAGUUAAGAGUUCCCUACGCAAGUAUUGAUCCCGAAGGAACCCAUCGCAUUAUGAUUUAAUCGCUUCAACUCACCUUCUUUCUACAGGAAAUUGUUGCUUUCACCAAGAGUGAAGAGUUCCCUACGCAAAUACUAAUACAGAAGGAACCCGACGCAUUUCGACCUGACCAACUUAUCUUUCCUACUUUCUACAAGUUAUUGUGGCUUCGGUCGAGAGUGAAGAGUUUCCUACAAAAGUUUGAUCCUGAAAGAACCCAAUGCAUUAUGACUUAAUAGGCUUACCUCUCCUACUUUCUACCAGCUAUUGUAGCUUCGACCGUGAGUGAAGAGUUCUGAUGCAAGUUUUGAUCCCAAACGAACCCGACGCAUUCUAACCUAACAAGCUUAACUCUCCUACUUUCUACGGGCUAUUGUAGCUUCAGGCAAGAGUGAAAAGUUCUCUACACAAGUUCUCUACUUUCUAUGGGCUUUUUAUUAUAAGUGUAAAGAAAUAGGUGUAUGAAUUGGAUUGAUGAACACUUUUUUGAAUUUUUUUUAAGCUUAAAAGGAUAUUUAUGGAACUUUCAAUAAUUCAUCAAUAUUUUUUAAACAGAACUUUUCAAUAGUUGAUGAUUAUUUUUUAAACAAAACUUUAGCGACUUUCAUCUAAAACCAAAGACAAUGGUAUUUUUGAACCGUUUUCGAAAGUUUAAGGGCAUCUUUCAACUUUUAAAAGGAGACAUUUUUGACACAAACCACUAGGGGUAUUCUAACACUGACAACACUAACAACACUAACAACCCAGACUACCCAUCCCAAAUUUCGAGUAUUAUUACCAAAUAUGUUUUUUAACUUAUGGAUAUGUUGAAUUUUGAUAUUAUGAAAUUUUAGUAAUUGAUAUGUGUGGUAAAAAAAUUUAAGUGUUUAAGUUAAUCAAGAAUACACUCCGUUUACAAGGAGUACAAGGAGUCCAAGUAGAUAUUAGUUGUGUUUGAAAAAUUAUGAAAAAAAAGACCUAUUUUAAAAAAAAGUACAAUCAAGUGAAAUGUUACAUAAACUUCACAACAUAGUUAAUAAGAUAACACAAUAUUACAAGAUUUUGUUUACACGUAUACAUAUAUAUACCUCAUUUUUCCAUCCUCUCAAAAUACAUCAUGGAAAGAAUAAAACAAACACAAAAUCAAUAACAUGAGGCAAACCACAGUUUGAACCAUGCACAAUGCUCUCUCUUUCUAGACUUUUAAUGCACGGUCAUUCUGUUUUCCGGCACUGGUUGUAAAGCAGUUCUCACUUUCACGCCACCUCCAACAACUUUUGUGUUGAUGUUAUUAUUUUCCAUCUUCUUAUGGUUAAGUUGGAGUUUUUCCUUGAACAACUUCCUCAGCUGCCUUAGGCUAGUAUUAUCAUUCUUCACCACUAACUGAAUGAACUUUGCUUUGUUCUGUUCUUUUUCAGCUUCUUCUUCCUCAGCAUCUGGGUUGUCCAUUAGCAAACUAAUGGUUUGUUCUUCAACGGGAGAUUUGGCUUCUAUUGUUGGCCUAGGGAAUUGGUUUGCCAAUGAUUGAACUGCAUUGUUGUUGGAGGAUGUGAUAGUGAUUUCCACCAAAGCUUCCUCACAUUGAACAAUGGCAUUUGGGAUUUCUGGUUGUGAGUCGAUAGCUUCGACACUUAUGUCUUUAGGAAGAGUUUCUUCUUCCAUUUUCCAUUGGAUCUUGACAUCAACCAAAUCAUCAGAAACAUUCUUGGGGAACUCCUCCGUGGACUUAUUGAUAAUUGUAUCAUCUUCUUCAGCUUGAACGGAACUUUUCUCCAUUUUUGUUUCCUUCUUGUCUCCUUCAAUGUCAGCAUCUGAUGCUACAUUUCCGGUUGUGGGAUCUGAUCAUUUUCAUCUUGAUCGUCUUUCACUUCCAAAGAUUCUUCAUCACUGCUCAAGGCAUCAUCUCCAUCAACUUCAGUUUCUUCUUCCACAUUUUCGUGGGGAAGAGACAGUUCUUCAGCAGAGUUAUUCACGUGUGUUUUCUUCUUCAACAUCUUCUUCAAUUUUAUGUUUCAAUUCACAGGUAGACUCAUUUUGUUGAGAUUCAAAUUCCAUACCAAAUUCUUCUGCAAUGCUCGAUUUGUGAACUUCAGUAACAUCCAAGUCUUCAGUAGGCAGAGAAGAUUUGUCAGAUUCAUUGAUUUUCUCAGCAGAAAUCUCCACAGAAUCAUCAUCUUUCGAAACUUCAUUUACUUUUUCAUCUUCAGAGAAGCAUUGCACAUCCGAGUUAGCAUGAGGUGCCUCUGUUUUAGAAUCAUCAACGCUCUUUGCACUAGUUACAUUUUCAUCAAAAGAUUUUAACAGAUCAUCAAGAACCAUUUCUGGUUCCUUCUCUGAGAGUGCAGUAAGUGUAUUGUUAGCAAUGUAGUAGGCAUAAGGUAGGAACAGGAUGCAUUUUGUGUUUUAUCCAUCGAAGUUUUUGGUUUAUGCAACAAAACCUUAGCUUGAAUUACAACUUCAUAUCAUUUUUCCUACUGCAUUCAGGACAUAAUCAGAAGAUACACUGAAUGUUCUUGCAUUGGGAAGAAGCAUGCUGCUUUGGCUGGUUCUUUGGGUUCCUUCACAUGGGAAAAGCCUUCACAUUCAGAGUUUGAGCAAUUAGCAAGGCUAUUAUUCUCCCAUGACUCUGAAACUUAUGUUAUUUAGUUCACCAUAUUAUCGUCGAUAAUGAACCAAAUUUCAUUUCUGAAUUGCGAUUUGACCAAGAAUUUGAAAACAAAAAUGCAUAUUGUUUUCUUUUUUAUUCUUUUCUAUUGCGUAUCAUUUUCUAUUGGUCAUUUGUUGUGCAAUGUCUUCUUCUUAAGUCAUUGGUUACUUUGUAAAGAGAAAAACAAAGUGAUUUAUUUCAUCGUUCUACUCUUUCUACAACAUUUCCGUACAAAAACAAGAACACUGCUAACAGGUAGAUCAAACUUCGCUAAAAUUCGUUUCCCUUCUUGGAAGAUAUUCGUCCAUGCCUAAACCUGCAGCUGGAAACUGAUUGUUCUCGAUCAUGUCCAGUGCUGAACCCCCAAAUGGAUUGGAAGGAUCAAGGGUGAAGGUUUAUUUUCUUCUUAUCGUUGGUUAGAGUUUUUCUUUCGUUUUGUUCUGCUUUGAGUCAAUUCCAUUGUUUUUUAAGAAUUUAAAGUUAUGGGCGUGAUGAUCCUUUGUUAGGAACGUUUUGGCAAGACUGGAGACUGCUUAUCUGAGUCGGAAUCCCACUGCAAAAUCAUUUUGGAGCUUAUUCGAUCAGUUCAUGUUGAUACAAAUUUCUCUUGAUCGUAAUGCAUUUGGAACUUUUGGAGUAUUUUUCUUCCUUCCAUUUAUUUUCAACUUUCAAUUUCAUUUUCAAUUUCUGCGUAUUUUUUAUUCUUUCUUAUGUAUAUUGUUUUCUAAUGGUCAUUUGUGGUGCAAAUUCUUUCCUUUUAAGUCAAUGGUUAUUUUGUAAAUAGAAAAACAAAGUGAACCAUGUCAUCGUUCUACUCUUUCUACAACAUUUCCAUAAAGAAGCAAGAAAACAAUAGUCUUUUGUGAUUUAACAUUCUGCCAUUCGUGACGAUACCCUUAAAUCUCCUCACAAUCUCUUUGUUCUUCCAACAAUCAUUAAGAAAAAUCCCUAGAAAUCGAACUCCAUGUCUUCCCUUUUCUCCCAACCGGCCAUAAUUUUUCUCACUCUCCAAACAAAAUCGUUUCAACCUUAUUUUACUUCACUACCCAUUUCCAAAAUUUUCAUUUCCCUCGGAAAUUCUUUGUCGAUGUUGAAACCUGCAGCUGGGAAUCGAUUGUUCUCGAUCUUGUCGAGUGCCGGUUCUAAUGGAUUGCAAGGAUCAAGGGUUAAGGUUUAUUUUUUAGUUGUCGUUGUUUAGAGUUGUUGUUCUGUUUUUUUCUGCUCUAAUUUCAUUGCAUUGUUUUUGAAGAAUUUAAAAGAUAUGGGUUGUGAUGAUCGUUGAUAGGGAGCUGAAUCCUUUGUUAGGAAUGUUUUGGUGAGCAUGGAGGCAGUUUAUCUGAGUGGGAAUCCCACUGCCCAUCUUUUUUGGGGCUUGUUCGUUCGGUUCAUAAUGAUACAAAGAACUUUUUGGGUAUUUUUCUUCCUUCCAUUUUUUUUCUACUUCCAAUUUCAUUUCCAAUUUCUUGAUUGAGCAUUCAAUUUCAGGAAAUGCACUGUAUACUGUCAAAAGCAAAUUUCAGUUGGCAAGUGGUUUGGAAUAUCAGAAAAAAGUAAUGGUAUAGUUUAUAAGGUAAUUUUGAGGUGAUUUAAGAAAAAUUGGUUGUUCGGCAAUCAAUUUUUCUACAUUACCUCGACUCUACCUUAAUAGAGGACAUGUGUGUCUUCUAGUUUCACAUUAGUUGGGUCUUUCUUUUCUAUUGCAUAUUAUUUUAUGUUGGUGAUUCGUUGUGCAAUGUGUUUGUUUUAAGUCAUUGGUUACUUUAUAAAGAGAAAUACAAAGUGAAUUAUUUCAUCGUGUACUCUUUCUACAACAUUUCCGUAAGUAAGCAAAAAACUGCAAACAGGGAGGUGAAACUUUCUUUAAAAUUCAAUUGGCCAUUUCUUCAUUUUUGAUUUAAUAUUUGUGUCAUGACCCUUAAAUCUCCUCACAAUCUCUUUGUUCUUCCAACAAUCAUUAAGAAAAAUCCCUCGAAUCUGAACCCCAUGUCUUUUCUUUUCUCCUCACCAGCUAGAAUUUUGCCCACUCUCCAAACAAAAUCUUUUCAACCUUAUUUUUCUUUACUACCCAUUUCCAAAAAUUUGAUUUCCCUCCUCGAAAAAUCUUCGUCCAUGCAGAAACCUGCGGCUGGGAGCUGAUUGUUCUCGAUCAAGUCCAGUGCUGAACCCCCAAAUGGAUUGCAAGGAUCAAAGGUUAAGGUUUAUUUUUUUGUUAUCGUUGGUUAGAGUUUUUGUCUUUUUUUUUCUGCUUUGAGUUAAUUUCAUUGUUUUUGAAGAAUUUAAAGUUGUGGGUUGUGCUGAUUCUUUCUUAGGAACGUUUUGGAAAACCUGGAGACUGCAAAUCUGAGACGAAAUUCUACUCAAAAUCCGUUUUGGAGCUUGUUCUAUCUGUUCAUGGUGAAUCAAGUCCGUUUUGUUCUGCUUGCACUUUCAUUUUGAAUUUUUGCAUAUUUUUUGUUCUUUUCGAUGUAUAUUGUUUUCUAAUGGGCAUUUAGUGUGCAAUGUCUUUCUUUUAAGUCAUUGGUUACUUUGUAAAGAGGAAAAAAAGUGAACUAUGUCCUCGUUCUACUCUUUCUACAACAGUUCCAUAAAGAAGCAAGAAAACUGCUAAAACAGGCGGAUCAAACUUCCCUAAACAUUCAAUUGACCAUUUAGUCUUUUGGGAUUUAACAUUUUUCCAUUCUUUUUGUUUCCCUUAAAUCUCUUCAUAAUCUUUUUGUUCUUCCAACAAUCAUUAAGAAAAAUCCCCGUAAGUCGAACCCCAUGUGUUCCCUUUUCUCCUCACCGGCCAGAACUUUGCCCACUCUACAAACAAAAUCAUUUCAACCUUAUUUUUCUUCACUACCCACUUCCAAAAUUUUCAUUUCCCUAUGAAAAUAUUUUCCGAUGCCGAAACUUGCGGUUGGGAACCGAUUAUUCUCUAUCAUGUCCAAUGUUGAACCUCCCAAUGGAUGGCAAGGAUCAAGAGUUAAGGUUGAUUUUUUUGUGAUUGUUGGUUAGAGUUCUUGUUCUGUUUUUCUGUCUUGAUUUAAUUUUGUUGUUUUUGAAGAAUUUAAAGUUAUGGGUUGUGAUGAUCGUCUGUGCAUGUGCGAACAUGUUGAUUUUUUUAGUGAUGAGAUUCUUCCAAUUUUAAAAUAAUAAUUUCGUUAUCUUGAUGUUUAAGCCAUUAAUGUUAUUUUGAGAUAAAAAUAGCGAACAAGUUGAUAUUUUUUAAUUUUGAAUUCAAUUAAGGUUAUUUUGAUACAAAAUCUAUGUUGAGAUUCUCAAAUUCUGAAAAAUAAUAAUUUGGUUAUUUUGAAAUUUAAAUUCAAUUGGGUUAUUUUGAAAUUAGUAAGAUUGAAUAAAGUUAUUAAAAUAUUGAAUCAAUUAGUUGAGUCCCAAGAUAUUAAAAAAAAAGUUGCAAUAUGGAUUGAUGUAUAUUUUUCAAGUAAAAAUUAAUUAAAAGCUGAUAAAUGACAUAAAUUAAUUACAACGUAGAAACUAAAUAAUUACAGUUGGAGAAGGUGGAUAUUUUGUAAAAUACCAUGCACGUGCAAAAAAUGUUAUUUGCUAAAAUUCAAAAGAAAAAAUAGUUUUUCCAUUUUUUAAAAUAACCCAUAGAAAAGUUGUUAUAUCUCUUAGGACAAAGAGUGUGGAUCUACAGGUCCAUAUUCGACUUAUUUUUUGUUGGUAAAAUUGCAUAAAACCGCAUUAUAUUGAAAUAAUGACACUCUUAAACCAAUAUUGAUAGAAAUUAUAAUUUAAUUAAUGUUUUUAAGUCAAAUGAACAUGAUUUUUACUCCUAAACAUAAUUAUUGUAAUUGUUUUUUAAUCUUAAUUCAUUUACACAUCUUUGUGCAUAUGUGUGCGUGCGCGUGUGCGUGUGGGUGAGUGUGCGUGUACGCUAGCGUGUCCGUGUGUGCGCAUGUGCACGUGUGUGUGUGUCUGUGUGUGCUCGUGUGCGCGUGUGCUUGUAUACGAACAAGUUGAUAUUUCUUAAUGUUGAGUUUCUUUCAAUUUUAAAAUAAUAAUUUAAUUAUCUUGAUAUUCAAGUCAUUAAUAUUAUUUUGAGAUAAAUAUAUCGAACAAGUUGAUAUUUUUUAAUUUUGAAAUUCAAUUAAGGUUAUUUUGAUACAAAAUCUAUCGUUGAGAUUCUCAAAUACUAUUAAAUUAUAAUUUUGUUAUUUUGAAAUUCAAAUUCAAUUUGGUUAUUUUGAAGUUAGUAAGAUUGAAUAAAAUUAUUAAAAUGUUGAUUCUCAAAUUAUAUAAAUUUGGUUACACUAGAAGAAAUUUGCCAUUCAAUAUCGGUUUAAAAUCGACAUUAAUGAUCUUUGGUGUCAGUUCGGAACGACAUUAAUGAUCUUUGGUGUCAGUUCGGAACUGACAUCUAUGCUAGCGUUAUUAAAGGCCUUUAAUGUCGUUUUUGCUUUGAUGUCGGUUUAAAAACGAUAUCAAAUGCAUCAGUAAUGUCGGUAUGGUCAUUGAUGUUGGUUUAAAACCGACAUUUUUUAUGGUGCUAUUGUUGACCUUUAGUGUCGGUUUGCCUUUGAUAUCGUUUUUAAACCGACAUUAAAGUCUUGUUUUUUGGAUCUAUUUUUACAAAAAAAAUAUAUAAUUAUUGCAUUAUUGUUCAUUUUUUAUAAACUGACAUUAGAUACGUGUAAAUAAAUAUUUUUUUCUCACACCAACAAAUCAAUAAAAUUAAUAUUAUUUUAGGAACUACAAUAUUUUUCUUUUACAUUUGUAUAUAGAAAAUGAAAUCUUAAUAUUGCGUUUGUAUAUACAUUCUAUAAUAAUACAUGAAACUAGAUCCUAAUACAAGACUUAAAUAAGAAACCUUAAACGCUUUCACAAUCUUCAACUUCAACAAUUGCUUCCAUCUACUUAGCUUAGCUUGGCUGGCUAUCUAAGACCAAAAUAUACUUUACAACCUGGGGAAGAUUAAAUCUAGAAUUUGCAAAAUUAGUACAUAUUAUUUAAAAUCAAACUAAACAGACUGCAAUCUAAAUGUGGAAAAUUAAAAAUUACCACAAAGUUUCAGUAGAGUAAAUAAUGUAGCAGCAACAAAGAAGACAAUUGAAAUGGCAACCCAAAAGUGCUGCAAAAAUAAAGAAGAAAAUAAGCUUUGAUCAAACAACUCAUUAAGAAGAAGAAAAUAACCUAAUUUGGUUCUUCAAAGAUCUAUAAGAAAAAGAGGAAUACAACUAAAGAAUAAUUAUACCAUCCUCGACUCUUACUUCAAAGCAAAUUUUGAAUGUUCAAUUUAGCAAUGCUAGUCUAUAGGCUUCUUACUCUUAAUUGUAUAAAUUUACCCAUCAAUAGCAACAUUGUUUUUAUAGAGAAAGUUAAACAAUGGAGAUGAUAAAUAAUCUUACAAACUCCUAUUGGAUCGUUUUUCUUUUCAAAUGAAAAUAGUUAAUUUAUUUCAUUUAUGGAAGGUGAAAAUCUCAAAUAUAUAGUAAAAGAACAUGGAAUAUAAGGAAGCCCAUAAAAAGAAGAGACUCCACUAGCUAGGUAUUGAUCAAAGAUAAAUAUAUGGAUAAAUAGAUGCAACCUACAAAUAUAUCAAAACAGACUAAUACUCAAACUAAACUAAAGAAAACAAAAACAUUUACUACUAAAAGAUAAAAUAAAACACAAUUCAAAACAAUUAAUUACCAAGAUUGAUCUCAAUCGAAAACCAAAACGCAUUACAUUAUGAAGAUAUUGUGCUUCACAUAACACUCCAAAUAGCUAUACCAAAAUUACUUACUCUACAUUUUCCAUUUUGGCAAAUCCACCUACAAGAAUGGUAGUUACCAAGCUCAUUUCUAUGUCUUCUCUUCUUUCAUUUUUCUAACAAAAGAUAGUAUGAAUAAGGCUGCACAUUUGAAAAAAUAAAGACAAUUAAUAAUCAAUAAUGCUACCUAGCAGUCACAAGUUAACAAUCAAAUGAAGAAACCCAAGGAUUUUUGCAGCGGAAGCACGAUGAAGAUUGGUUGCCGUUCGCGAUCUAGGGUCACAGAUUGAGAAGAGAAGAAAAUUAGAAACCAACUUGGAGAGAAAGAAAAGAAAAAUUGAUAGGGAAAGAGUAGAGUAAGAAAGAGAAAAGUAAGAAAGAGAAAAGUAAGAAAGAGAGGAAAAUUUUAGUUUUUAAAACCUAACAAUUUUUUAAAAAGAAAUUAAAAAUGAGGGGUCAUUAAUGUCAGUGUUUACAAAAUACAAAAAAUUAAAAAAAUAAAAUCAUUAAUGUCGAUUUAAAAACGACAUUAAACCCUUAUCAUUAAUGUCGGUUUGAUCCACCUUUUCAAAAACGACAAUAAAGACAAUUUUUCAUUUUUUUCACCUGACACUACAACCCAGAUUUGUUGUAGUGUUAUUAUGGGUUGAUGUAUCUUUUUCAGAUAAAAAAUCCUAUUUGCUAAAAUUCAAAAGAAAAAGUUGUUUUGUCAUUUUUUAAAAUGGCCCAUAAAAACGUUAUUAUAUCUCUUAUGACAAAGAGUGUGGAUUUACUAGUCCAUAUUUGACUUGUUUUUUGUUGGUAAAAUUGGAUAAGAUCGCAUUAUAUUGAUAUAAUUACACUAAUGACACUCUUAAAUCAAUAUUAAUAGAAAUUAUAAUUUAAUUAAUGUUAUUAAGUUAAAUGAAUAUAGUUUAAAAGUCAUUCUCAACACAAUUAAUGUAAUUGUUUUUUAAAUUUAAUUCAUUUUCACAUCUUUGUGCAUAUGUACGUGUGUGCGUGUGUGUGCGCAUAUGUGCGAGUGCACGUUUGCCCGUGUGGGUUGAUGUGCGUGUGCGUAUGUGUGUGUGCUUGUGUGCAUGUGUGUAUGUGUGUGUAGAUGUGUGUGCAUGCGCAUGUGCGCAUGUAUGUGGGUGUGUACGUAUGCGUGUGCGCGUGCGUGUGCUUGUGUGUGCGUGUGAAAGUGUGGGUGUGUGUGUGCUCGUGUGUGUUAGUGCGUAUGUGUCCGUGUGCAUGAGUGUGCAUGUGCGUGUGCGUGCAUGUGUGUGGGUGUGUGUGUGCAUGUGUGCAAGUGCGCAUAUGUUUGUGUGGGUGGGUGUGCGUAUGUUCGUACAUGUAUGUGUGUGUGUGUGCGCGUGCGUGUCUGGAUGUGUGUGUGCGUUCAUGCGUGUGUUCGUGUGCGUGCAUGCGCAUGGGCGUGCUUGUGUGUGGAUGUAUGCAUGUGCGUGUGCGAGUGCACGUGUGCCAAUGUGGGUGGGUGUACGUGUGCUUGUGUGUAUGAGUGCACAUGUGCCCGUGUGGGUGCGCGUGCGUGCAUGUGUGUCGGUGCGUGUGUGCAAGUGCGCAUGUGAGCGUGUGUGUGCAUGUGCAUGUGAGCGCGCGUGUGUGCAUGCGCAUUUGUGCGCGUGUGUGUGCUUGUACGCGCAUGUGCCCGUGUAGGUGGGUGUGCGUGUGUGUGAGUGCGCAUGUGCCCGUAUGGAUGGACGUGCGUGUUUGCGUGCAUGUGUCUGUGGAUGUGUGCAUGCGUUCAUGCGUGUGUUCGUGUGUGUGCACGUGUGUGUGUGGGUGUGUGCGUGUGCGUGUGCAAGAAAAGGAAAAAACAAUGAUUAUUUUGAUGAUGCUACUCGAGAUUGUGUCUCUCGAAUCGUAAGUUUGCUUGCGAUUUACUUAUAUACAAUAUUUAAUCUUUUGUUAACUUAGUUAAUGAUGAAUACUUGUAUUGUUCUAUGAGAUGCAUUAGCUGAAACACAUAGAGAUGAGGACAUAUUGACUGAGUCAUUGGGCUCUAAGGAGCAUGGUGGACGUGUACGUGGCAUGGAUGGUUUUGUCUCUCAAUCACUAUAUUUCAAGACAGUGAAAGGGAAAGAGAAAAUUGCAAGUUCUCAAGUUGUAGAAGAUGACUCAAAAAGCAAAAGUUACAAAAAGGGUCAUAAUCACUUGAGAUCGUCCAUCAGAAGUGUUAACAUAGAUCUCUAUGCCGAUGAGGAUUUGGGCAACACACCUAUGAACGAAGAAGUGAAGGUAAUUAACUUUGUUGUCACUUUUAAAAUUUUAAUGUUUAUAGGAUAAAUUGUUCUUAAUGAUGCUUUUAAUACUUGUAAAGUAAACACCGUGCAAAUUGGCUAUAGGAACAAUUAAUAAUAUUGUUGCAAUAGCAACCGUACUUGAUGAUAGCAAUGGUGGUCCCAAUGUUAAAAUCUUGGUGGACUUGCUCAUAGGAGGAGAUUGUAGUUUACCUAUUCCAGUGAAGGGCAAGAUAGAGACUUUAAAUCAAGCAUUAGGUAAUAUUGUUGAAUGACCUCGUUGACUUGUUUAUGUGCUAUUGAAGCUUUGAUAUUUAUUUGUGAUUGUAUUUUAGGUUUUGAUAUUAUUUUGUUUGUGCUUGGAGCAUUCAACCCCAAAUGAUGUUCUGUAUUCUUCAAAUUACAUAAAUGUUAAUGGAACCAUUAAGCUCUUAUAUGGACAUGUCGUGAACAAUAUGAAGGAUGUAGAUAUGGUUCGCAUCCUAAUGAACGAGCUAAUAUUCGGUAAAAACAAAUUCAUUUAUUUAGCUCGUUAGGACUUGCUCCAUUAUUGCGGCAUGGUAGAAAUAGGCUAUAUGUGCAUCCUAGCAUACAUUACGUAAGUAAACAUCUUUUACUCAUCUUUAUGUCCAAUACUAUAGCUAUAGUUAUUUUGUUCCUUUUUAACUAAGGUUGCUUUUACUUAGAUAUCUUUGGGAUGAAUGUGAUUGUGGAAGCAAGUUUUUUGUUAUGACCAAGCAAAAAUAACAUCACAUAUCAAGGAUCGUGAUCUCCGAUCCAGAAAUUUUGCCAACCAGUUAGAAGCGGCUACCUUGGAACAAAUAGUUCUAAUUCCGUAUAAUACUGGGUAAAUAAAUAAGAUUAACACAUUAUUAUGUUUUUCAUUGAGGUUAAAUGUAUACUCACAUUGAAGAUGUUUAUUGUAGUUUUCAUUGGAUGUUGCAUGUCAUCGAUCUUCGAGAGAACUGUGUUUAUGUUUUGGACUCUCUUCAAAGUAAAGUUAACGAAGACAUCCAUGGAGUCAUAAAUGUGACUUAUGAUUUACUUCUUAUUUGACUUCAUUGUCUUCUAAUUCUAAUGUUUCCAAAUGUAUAGAGGAUUAAAAACAUGGCAAGCUAAGCAUGAUUUACAACAUUAUCGGUCAAAUCCGAAAUGGAAACCUAUAAAGGUAAUUUGCAUUGACACAUAAUUAUUUUCAAUGAAACAUAAGAAUAAUUUGUAUGUAAUUUAUAUACAUGCAGUGUCCUCGUCAAUUGGAUUCGGUUGGGUGUGGGUAUUAUGUCCAAAAGUAUAUACAUGAAAUCGUGCAUAUUUCUAGUACUCCCAUCACUAGCCUUGUAAGUUUCUACUUUCACUUUUUAUAUGUUACAAAUUACAUAAAUUAUCUAAACUUAUUCUUUUCAUACCUUUCUUUUUACGUAGUUUAAUACAAAAAAGUGCAUAUACGCAAGAGGAGAUUGACGAGAUUCGAACAAAAUAUGCAAGCUUUGUUAGCCGAUUUGUGUAAGCUUUUACACUUUUUUUGUAGUAUAUAAGUUACUAGUACUAAUACUAAUUGUUUUAAUAUAUAAGCUACGAGAUUCUAGUACUACUUGUUGUACAUACUUUAAUUUUGAGGUUUUCUGCUUGUAGUAGUUUAUGAAUAAGUGUUGUAUUGUAGUGUUUUAGGUGUUGACUUUAGAGUGUAUUUGUUGUAGUACUAUGUGGAAAGUGUGUAUUAGUGGAGGAAUUUGUUGUACACAUACUUUAAUACUUUACAUAUUAUUUACUUGAUUGAUAUGUGUAUUUUUGUAGUAUUAUGAAAGUGUGGAAAGUGUAUUUUUGUAGUUUUCCAUGGAAGUGUGGAAGUGUAUGUGCUGGUUUUGUGGCCUCUUACCAUGUUGAAUUCUAUAGCUAGAAAUAGUAUUAGUUUGCCAUUGGAUGUGUGGAAGUGUAUGCUGGUUCUGUAGGGGUUGAUCUUCCUUGUAGGUGAAAUGGAAAUAUUGGUUUGCCAUGGAAGUGUGGAAAUGUAUGUGUUGGUUUUGUAGGUUUCUUACAUGUUGAAUUCUAUAGCUAGAAAUAGUAUUAGUUUGCCAUUGGAUGUGUAGAAAUGUAUGCUUGUUUUGUAGGUGUUGAUCUUCUUCCUUGUAGGUGAAAUGGAAAUAUUGGUUUGCUAUGGAAGUGUGGAAAAAUGUAUAUAUGUUGGGUUUUUAGGUGUUGAAUUCUGCAGCUAGAAAUAUUAUUAGUUUGCAUCGAAGUGUGGAAGUGUAUGUGCUGGUUUUGUAGGUUUGAAUUCUAUAUAGCUAGAAAUAGUAUUAGUUUGCCAUUGGAUGUGUGGAAGUGUAUGCUUGUUUUGUAGGUGUUGAUCUUCUGCCUUGCAGGUGAAAUAUGGAAGUAAUAUAUAAGGUUUGCCAUGGAGUGGUAGACAGCUAGCAAUCAUGCAACAAUUAUUUUUUAUACUUUUUUAAUAUUCGAUGACGAACAUUUCAUGUCGUAAUUCGUAACAAAUAAUGUCGAUUUCGACACCAUGAAAAAUAAUUAAAAUAAAUAAAUUAAAAAAACAAACAAGGCUUUGAUGUCGGUUUAAAAACGACAUUAAAGGAAAACCAACAGUAAAGGUCAACAAUUACGCCAUAAAAAAUGUUGAUUUAAAACCGACAUCAGUGGCCAUCAAUGAUGCAUUUGAUGUCAUUUUUAAACUGACAUCAAAGCAAAAAUGACAUUAAAGGCCUUUAAUAACGCUAGCAUAGAUGUCAAUUCCGAACUGACACCAAAGGCCAUUAAUGUCGGUUCUAAACUGACAAUAAAGAGCAAAUUUCUUCUAGUGCUUGCUCCAUAUUAUAAGUAGAUUUUCAUUUAGCUAACUGCUAAAGUGAACUUAUGGACUUCCACUUAGGGUUCAGUCGUUAUAUUCUCGAUAGUCGAGCCCCAUAUUAUUCUCGAUAGUCGAGCCCCAUAUUGUUUGCAAUGGAAUGAGUCCUCACAUUAUAACCCUUGAGGAGACGAACAUGAGAGCUUUUCCCUUCUCGUAACACGAAGAAGUGAAAGAUGUAGAGACAAUAUUUGGAAAAGUUCUUUUCAACCUUUUAUGCUACUAGUGUGAGGAAGAAAAUUUAUGGCAUCACACAAGGAAAGGAUGAAUCAGCUUUACGAUUAUUGGGGGAGAUACUUGGCUCAGUGCCAAGUUUUUCAUCAUUAGGUACAGAACCAUAUGUUGAUUCAAUAUUUAUAUGGGUGAUUGUUGCAAUGAGAUAAAAUGAUUAUUGAUAUGGAGGCAUGAGGUGCUCUUAAGGAUAAUACGACAACUAAAGUAAAUAAAUUGAUUUCACUUUGAAAUGUAAAUUUAUUAGGUCCCUUCCUAGUAUGUAAAGGGUAUUAAGGUUAUUACAUAUUGACUGUAAUUUGAAAUGUUCAUAUUUACUUUGAAAAUUAGUAUAAUGUAUGGUGAUAUAUUAUAAUAUAAAAUUUAUCUUUUAAUUGAACUUUAUUAUAUAAAUUUAAUUUUGUAUAUGAUUUAAAAUUAAUUUAUGAAAUAAUAAAUAUUUGAAUGAGUUCAAAUAUUAAUUUAAUAUGAAUUAAAUUUGUAAUAAAACUAUAGAUUAAAAUUUAAUACGUAUAUGAUACAAAUUCAAACAAUAGGUUAUGAGAGAAAUUCAUAUAUGAGUAUGAUUCAAAUCUAUAUUAAAUCAAAUAUAAAAUAUUUAAUUUAGAAAUUAAAUAAUUGAAGAAUUAAUUAAUAAUUUAGUUUAAUUCUAUUUAAUUAAAUUCAAACUAUUGGUUAUGUGAGAGAUAUUCAUUUAAAUGUGAUUUAAAUGAAAUAUUAAUUAAAUGUGAUUUAAAUAAUUAUUAUAUAUAUUAACUAAUUAUUUUAGUGUUAAUCAAAUUUAAGUGGAAUUUUCAAAUAUACUAAUUAAAUUGAAACUAAUUAGCAUAAUAAUUAAAUUCUCUAUAGCACAUUUGAGUCUUUUUGUAAAUAGUUUCAAUUUUUUGCUAUAUUUUGUAAAUAGUUUUAACUUUUUUGCUAUUUGUGAUCAUUAAUUUAAAUUAAGAUAAUAACUUCCAUAUGUGGGUGUUAUUUAGAGAAUGUGGGAUGCUCCCGUAUUCCUAUAUCCAAGUGGCGGUGAUUUCCAAUUAAAUAUUAAUUAGAUUAAUUUAAGAGUAAUUUACAUAAAUGUAGAAAAAUCCAAAAUAUUUAUGGUUCGUAUAACAAAAUAAGAAAAGUCCAUGAUGCGAGAUUAUUUUUUCACAAAUUCCAUAGACGUCCUUGCGAUUUAUAUCUUCGUUGUGAUUUAUUAAUAACGGGUCAUCUCGAUGCAAUUAAGGUCGAGAUCGAAUAACUAAAGGCAAAAAAAUUUCAUUUCGGAGCAUCUCAAUGUAAUGUAUGCCCAAGAUUAAAUAAAAUAAAGACAGAAUUCUUUCAUCCCGAGCCAUUUCAGUGCAAUUAAGGCCUGAGAUCGAAUAACUAAAGGCAGAAGUCUUUCAUAAUGUAGCAUCUUAGGACAAUGUAUGCUCGAGACUGAAUAAAAUAAAGGUAAAUUUGUUUCAUCCCAGGCCAUCUCUCGGUGCAAUUAAGGUUCAAGAUCGAAUAACUAAAGAUAGAAGUCGAUCGCUCCGGUUAUUGAGGUGUUGUUUCUCUUCAACAAUCAGGACUUAGUGUUAGUAAAUGGUGAAUGAAAAUUAUACUCAAUCUAGGCGAUAUAUCACUAAGCAUGUUAACUGCAUGUGAAUUGCUCACUAGACCUUCAUAUCGUGUGGCAACUAAGUCCUCUUGAGUACAAGUUUUCUUACUACUUGUCCAAGUGCAAGUGAAAUGGUAGGUUUACCGGGGUGAUCCCGGGUCGAACAUAAGGAAUUGAUUCAAGAUAUUAAUUUUAGGUAUUACUUAUCAUCUAGGCAGUAUAAAAGAAUUAAAGAAUAACGAAUGGUAUAAAAGAAAUACAAGAACAAACUACCACUAGAUAUCUACGCUUAGAGAUUCUAUAAAAGGGAAUAUGGAUGACAAAAUAGAAAUGGGAACUAACUUGUAUGCAAGAAAGAGCAAAGGAAUGUCUUUGUGUUAUAAUGCGAUUAAGUAACACGACAACUUUAAUAGGAUAUAUCUCGCUCAACUAACUUAUAAUUAAGAAGUGCUCCUCUCAGAGUCAUUAAACGUCACAUAUGGUCACCUCUCAGAAUCCAUAUGAUUAAGUGUGCUUAGGAGAGAUAUAUCUAGAAGAUUUCACUUAUAAAACGUAUAGAGCAUCGCAAUUAAGGACAACAACCUCUCGGUGCCUAAUGUUCACACUUUUUCAUCUCUCGGUAUACAAAUGAUGGAAGUUAUCUCACUAAGGUGGAGUUCGUCGCGAAACUCCCCCUUGCACGUAUUAGCCUUAUCCUUGCUACUUGCCCUCUCGAGUAGUUGGCGAUUGACGUUGGCUAAGCGAUGAGCAUAGCCUAACUAAUGCGACGAGAAUUAUAAACUGAACUUCUUAUCAAUAACUUAUCGCUAAAUUAAACUACUAAUAACACAUUGACAAGUGAAAAGUAAAGAGGUAUUGAAUUGAAAAGGUAUAAACAUGUAAUAUAUAAAAGAACCAAGCGCAUUUUGACCCAACUUGCUUAACUUUUCUACUUCCAACGGGCUAUUGUUGCUUCGGCCAAGAGUGAAGAGUUCCCUACGAAAAUUUUAAUCCUGAAGGAACUCGACGCAUUCUAACCUAAUUGGCUUAACUCUUCGACUUUCUACGAACUAUUUUUGCUUCCCCCAAGACUUAAAAGUUCCCUACGCAAGUAUUGAUCCCGAAGGAACCCAUCCCAUUCUGAUCUAAUCGCUUCAACUCACCUACUUUCUUCAGAAAAUUGUUGCUUUCGCCAAGAGUGAAGAGUUCCCUACGCAAAUACUAAUAUGGAAGGAACCCGAUGCAUUCCGACCUAACCACCUUAUCUUUCCUACUUUCUACGUGUUAUUGUGGCUUCGGUCGAGAGUGAAGAGUUUCCUACGAAAGUUUGAUUCUGAAGGAACCCGAUGCAUUAUGACUUAAUAGGCUUAACUCUCCUACUUUCUACCAGCUAUUGUGGCUUCGACCGUGAGUGAAAAGUUUUGAUGCAAGUUUUGAUCCCAAGCGAACCCAACGCAUUCUAACCUAACAAGCUUAACUCUCCUACUUUCUACGGGCUAUUGUAGCUUCAGGCAAGAGUGAAGAGUUCUCUACACAAGUUCUCUACUUUUUAUGGGCUUUUUAUUAUAAGUGUAAAAAAAUAGGUGUAUGAAUUGGAUUGAUGAACAUUUUUUUGAAUUUUUUUUAAGCUUAAAUGGAUACUUAUGGAACUUUCAAUAAUUCAUCAAUAUUUUUUAAACAAAACUUUUCAAUAGUUGAUGAUUAUUUUUUAAACAAAACUUUAGCAACUUUCAUUUAAAACCAAAGACAAUGGUAUUUUUGAACCGUUUUCGAAAGUUUAAGGGCAUCUUUCAACUUUUAAAAGGAGACUUUUUUUACACAAACCACUAGGGGUAUUCUAACACUGACAACACUAACAACCCAGACUACCCAUCCCAAAUUUCGAGUAUUAUUACAAAAUAUGUUUUUUAACUUAUGGAUAUGUUGAAUUUUGAUAUUAUGAAAUUUUAGUAAUUGAUAUGUGUUGUAAACAAAUUUAAGUAUUUAAGUUAAUCAAGAAUACACUCCAUUUACAAGGAGUCCAAGUAGAUAUUAGUUGUGUUUGAAAAAUUAUGAAAAAAAAUCCUAUUUUUAAAAAAAGUACAAUCUAGUGAAAUGUUACAUAAACUUCGCAACAUAGUUAAUAAGAUAACACAAUAUUACAAGAUUUUGUUUACACAUAUACAUACAUAUACUGGUGGUUAAAGUAAGAUUAGAUUUGAAUGUAAAUUUAACCGAAAGUUAUGCCAUUCAACUAGAGUAAUAAAAUAACUAAAGAGCCUCAAUAAAUUACAACAAAUGUGAUGGUACUUUGACACCGGAAGCUCAACCAUUUGAAGGAAAGUUCCAAACAAUGGAUAAAAGGAAGCAUACUAAAACACAAGUAAAACAAGAGGAUUAUUUUUAUUGUCUUCCAUUAUCUGAGAGUGGAAUGCAAACAAAACAAUGCAAAAGCACCAUUCAAGACAUCUGACUAAUUUAUACAAAGUGUAAAUAAGACACCAAUACAAUGUUGAACAUUCUCCAAAACAAGAUGCAACAUACACAUCAUUCAUUUGGCUAUUCAACGGGAAUAUGUCACGUUUUUUGCCAUAAUUAUUCUUGUUUCAUGUUUGCCCACGAUGGCAGGACAAGACUUUCAGGUAAAGCAAAUCUUGGUUUUCCACUGUCAAAAGGCCUUGGCUGCUUGCAGGUAAUACUUAGUUUUCCAUUUUCAACCUUAAGGUUGCACUUUAUGUUUAAAUUGUCCAUCCGAACAUCCUUUUCUUUUUCUUUUUCUUCUUUCCUUCGGGUAAUAAACAAUAGUGACCUUGAAGAAUUAAGAGAAUUGGGGUUUGGCACCUUUGGCACUUUUUAUCAUGGAAAAUGGAGGGGAACUAAUGUUGCUUGAAAAUGAGUCGAUGAUAGGUGUUUUGUUGGGAAGCCUUCUAAACAAGAUCGCAAGGUUGUUCAUUUUAAGUAAUUGGCUUUUCUUUUCUUUUGUUAUUCAUGUAUUUUCUUUUUGUUCAUUGACUCAGAUCCUUUUUAUUGUUUUAUACUGUACCAAUGAGCAGAUUUUUAGAAUGAAGCAAUUAAGUUUGCUGAUUUGCACCACCCAAAUGUGGUACUUUUUAUGGUGUCGUGCAUGAUGGGCUUGGGAGAUCUAUGGCCACAAUAACAGAACAUAUGGCCAAUGGUUCGCUCAUAAGUGCUUUGUUGAAGAAUGAAAAGUAACAAUUGUUCUCAUUUGUUUGCUGUUUAAUUGGCUAUUCUUUUCUUUUGUUAUUUGUGUAUUUUUCUUUUUGUUCCUUGACUCAAGUCCUUUUUAUUGUUUUAUAUUGUACCAGUGAGAAGAUUUUUAGAAGUAACAGAAUUUAUGGCUAAUGGUUCGCUCAUAAAUGCUUUGUUGAAGAAUGAAAAGUAACAAUUGUUCUCACUUUUCAUAUGUUUAAUUUAAUUUGUUAGAAGUUAGUUGCAGUAUAAUGUAUCUUCACCCUUAUAUUAAGCAUAAAAUACAAUUGAUGCAGGAGUCGUGAAAAGCGGAAGCACCUCUUGAUUGCUAUGAAUGCGGCUUUUGGAAUGGAACACCUACACAAAAAGAAUAUUGUGCACUUUGAUUUGAAAAGUGAUAAUCUACUGGUCAAUCUUCGAGAUCCUCAUCACUCAAUAUCCAAGGUUUGUGUAUUGUUGAUAAUAGCAUAAUUAUCAUUGUAGUGCAUUUCAUUUAGUUAAACUCUUGAUUUGAUUUUUAAACAAACCAGGAGGAUAACCAAUUUUUAUAGUUAUUGUUGUAAUUAACACAAUUAAUUGUCAAAUAAAAACUGUAUUUGAGUAUUAACAAUUUUUUGUUUGACUAAUUAUAGUAUGUUUUAAGAAGAAAAUAAGCUUGGCUUGUCUUAGAUAUACGAGAGAUAAAGUAAUGUUUUUAACUAAAAAUGCCUUAAACCAUCAAUGGUCUCAACUCCUCCCAAGACCUCUCAAAACCCUUACUCUCUUCUAGUCACAUGUUCCAUUAAAAAAAAAUCUAGUGAGAUAUUUCACAACCUUGAUCACAUAAGACUACAAUCUCUAUUUCAAACCAAACUAACUCUAAAGGGCUCGACAAAAGUUGGAAAUCAAGGUAGCAAACUGCCAUCUCUAAAGGAUGCGAUGUGAUCUAAUUCCUUAAAUGCUCUCGUGCUAUAAAUGCAUGGGUGCAGUCCAAACACAAAGGAAGAUUGUCCCUAUAUAUAAUCAUUUUUUAUAGGAAGCAUAUCUGAUAUAAUCUAUAAUGUUAACUCCCUAAUGCAAAGUCCUUGCUUCUAAUUAUGCCACUCUAGAAACUUGACAUUCUUGGAAGUUUCUUCGUUUACCGUGAGGUGGAGUUGAUAGUAAUAAUAUUGAUGGUGUUGGUUGUGUAGAAACCAACCUAAACUGUAACGAACGAGACCACCUCAAAGUCAUGAAUCAUGGAUGUUGGAAUUUAAUCAGUUGCUUUCCUUGUUAUUAGUACAACUUCCCAUGCUAAUAAACCUUUUUGGUUGUUUGGAUGUGAUAAAUUCCAGUUUUAAGUAUCAAACUCCCCAUGAGUGUCGAGCAUUAUGAACUAGCUAGUGCAACAAUCUUGAUGACAUCAAUAUUAGAUCAAAGUUCUCUCUCUAUAUAUUUUUCUUUCUAUGUUUUGAUCUGAAUUUUGAAGUAUGUAGUAUGUGUUGGCUGAGGAUUCUAGAACUAACAGAUUUCUUUUUCUUUUUCUAGGUGCUGUUUAUGGUAUGAGGCCAUUAGAUUUAAGGUAAUACUAUCUCCCAUAAAUUCAACCAUGGCUCUCUAACUCUGUUAUGACAAUCUAAAGUUUCUCAUCAAAUUAUCAUGAAUAGUUAAUCUUUUUCCAGUUAACUAGUGUUUUAUCUAAGCAUCUUGAAACUAAUAUGAGAUUUCGGCACUGCCUUGCUAGGAAUUCUAUUAUCAUGGGAGAUUACCAAAGUUAUGUUUUAUUAGCAUGGGAUCAAAAUUCGCACUCAACCAACUUUGAAGUGAAAAAUAAAAUACUACAGAUUUUGUCCUUGUCGAAACAAAUUUCAUAAUCUUUUCUCAUAUUUUUAUAUUCUUCUUCAUGUCAUUCUAAAUGACUUUGAGGAGAGGAAAACUCAUAGAUUAUAGGAAAUUAUUCGUAUUCCUGAAUAUUUCUACGUUUGGUUCAAUUAUUCCAUUCUUAUUAUGUUAAGUUUUAGUUUUAAAAGCCCAAAGGUUUACAAGAAAAGAAAAAAAAAAGACUUGAAACAGUUUUUGAUGAUGAUAGAUGAGAAUGAAUUAUUGACUAAACUUGUAUCUGUUGUUGCAGGUGUUAGGACUAUUGAAAAUUAGAUAUAUUGGAUAAAAAACAACACUUGGAAGUACUGCCAUAUUUGGCCUUUUCUUAGGGGCUGGGAGUUUGAUACAUUGUGGAAAGUCAUAUUAAAUCACAAGGUCCUGUAUUACAAGUUAUGUUUAUGUGAUUAUUACCUUAAUCUUACUUUUAGCCAGCAAACAAGAACAUUUAUUGAAGUCGUGGAUCAUUGAUGCACAACUAGGUUCGACAUUAUGUUUGGCUUGGCGUGCAUUCCAUUGAUACACUUCGUCUCGUGCAUUUUAUGAAUACUUUAUGCAUUCAUCAAUAGUAGGUAUCUUGAAAUCAUUAGAGCAAUAAACAUGUUGCAACCAGAAUUUGACCGCUUAUGUUAUGAUGCGAGCUAAAUUAUUUGUACAGGAUGGCCAAAUUCUUUUUAUUACCUUUCUAUGUAUAGUACCCGUCGUGUAUUUAAAUUCCAGAAAUGAGAAACAAGAGUUUCACGGAGAAAAUGAAUGCACUGGGACAUAGAAAAUGAAAAGCCAACCAAAGGAGUCCAAACUACUACAAGAGAUAAUUAGGCCAAAUAGACUAGUACAGAACGUGUUAGUGGUCGAGUCCCUCACAAAGGUGUUAUAUUAAUGACCUCUCAAAACCUCUCUAAAAAGUCUAUUGUCUCUAUGUCACGUUUGACCUUGGAUUGGAGACCACCAAGGAUUGAACCUUUUAGAGACCCUCAAUCUCUCAUACCUCUAUCAUGUGGCUAUUGAAACCUUUAAUGGUCUUUAUAAAAUGUAUUUUUGUUGAUUAGGGAGGAUCGCUGUAAGGACUUUUGUUUUCUUUUUCCUCCCUAAUUUGGGAUAAUGUUGUUCUCUUUAACUCUUUUUACUCCAUUUGUUUCAUUUGAUUUUUCAAAUAUUGGUACAAGUUGGAUUUUGUUUCUCCCUUAUUAAACAUAAUUGAUUUUUUUUUCUUCAAUUCUUGACCUAUACCUUUCUGGUUGCUUAAGCUCAUAUGUAAGUUUGUUUUUUGUUGUAUGAUUGAGUUUUUCUUUUACUGUACUUUUGAUGUCUAUGCCAAUGAGCGUUCAAUUCUACUUGUACCAUGAUUUGCAGGGUUGACAUGCAAAAAUUUCUUAAAUGCUAAGCAACCCCUCACAGUGAGUGAAAGAGUUGAGAGUGAAGGUGAAAAUACAUCUUUCACUUCUAAAUCAAGUACUUCGAUAUCCAUGUUUUUUUUUUUUAUAGAAAAACCAACUCAAAAUUUGACAACUAAAAUUUUGGAAUUUUGACUAAUUCCUACAAACACAAUAUUCUUAUGCUUAAAAGAUCAACAAAACAUAGUAAAAAAAUGGAAGAAAGUAAGUUUAAUUUUUUAAAAAAAAGAAAUUAAAAUAAUUACUAAGCAGAUGAAAUCUUACCUUUCAAAAACAUAAUUAAGAGAGCUUACCUUUCAAUAUCAUGGUAAAAGAUAUAUGAAUGGAUGUGUUAUUAUUAUACUUUAGUCUCUUGAUGGUAUAAUUUAGUCAAUAAUUUGAUGUAGAAAAUUGAUAGUAAAUAGAAAUUUGUAGAAAUAGAGAAAAAAGAACAUAUUGUCUUUAACUAUAACUAUCCCACAAAGAAACACAGAAACAAGGUUUAUGAAGAAAACAAAAAUUCCACUUUAAUCACAUUUAUCCAUUUUUUUUACAAUAAACUCCAUUUUAGACUUUUGGCAGAUCCCCACACCUUCACCACAACAUUACAAAUUAGUAAUAAUAAUAAUAGAGAAAGAAAGAAAAAAGCUAAAUUUUUUAUAAAAAAAAUUCUACCCAACCAAAACAUGCAAGAAGUUGGUUAUAUAAAGAGAGUGAUUUUAGAGGAAAGCUCCCAAGUACAAAAGACCACUGAAAAGAGUGGCUCUCAAUUUAUUUUGUUUUAAUUUAUGAAGUCGAAAGCUCAAAUAUGUGCUUAGUGAAAUAUAAAUAUAUAAAGUUUCAUAUAACACUUGUAAUUAAACUUAGGACAAUACAAACCAAACCAAGAUAACAAGUUCACAAAAUAAAAGUAGAAAGUCAUCAAAUCGACAACUGGUCCAACAUUAUCUUUUAAGAGAACCUUGCAAUACUCCAAUUUAAGUUUUACCUCUAUGGCAUCCACCCUAUGGAAUAUGAUUUGCAUAAGCUUUACCUUGUCUCGAUUCCAUAGUUCAGGGAUAUCUUGCAGUUCUUUCACGACUUUAGCACGCAAUUCAACCUCUGUUACACACUUUUCUUUAAGUCAAUUUGCAAUUGCUUUUAAUUGUCAUUUCUAACUUCCAUUGCAUUACUUAUCACAUCUAUCCCUUCAUAUUGUUGGCCACUCUUUUUUCUCUUACUUUCACUUCAAUAAUUUCUUCUUUCAUCUGAUCAACCUGCACGUAUUUCUAACAUCUCAUCUGGUGACAUAUCAAGUCAUUGGCUAUACAUUGUCGGGAUGUCUUGAUCAUGUGAAUCACCCAAGGGAACACCAUCAUUAAAAUUGUAAUGCACAUUACAUCCCACAUCAGCAAAGGUCUCUGAACAUGCUCAUGUUUCCCGAUCUUUGCCGAAGACAUAGGACAGAUCAUCAUAAUGUGGAAAUGAUUUGUGUAGAAGGCUUUUGGCUCCAGGAUGACUCUAUACAAACAUAAUUAAGACAUAUUAGAUGAUGAUUGGGAUUAUAAAAGUACAUAAAAUUGUACUGUGAAAUUAAUACCUUGACCCAACUAUCAAACAACUCUCGCUCUACAACGAUGCAUUGAUAAUCUUCGUUCCAUCCAAAGCUACACUUUAGAAAAUGUGCAAAACUUUAUUCCAAACUUUAUUCCAUGUACACUUUAGAAAAUUUGACUUUGCAAUUUCAUUACAAAUUAUUUGUUCCGCAUAUCAACUAUGUAGAAUUAAGUUAGGAAAUAAUUUUCAAACACACAUGAUUUAGUAUUGCACAAUUUCCGUGGAUAAUAAUAAGUUACAAAUAAUAAAUGCGAAAUCAUUCUAGGAAAGUAAUGAAUUACAAAUAUGGUCGUUAGAAAAACAAAUAUUAAAAAUAAUUUGUAAUGCAUUUUAGGGGGUGUUUUUCAAAUAUUUGAAAAUGAGAAUAACACUUUCAAUUCAAUAAUUUACUUUCAAAUUUGAACAAUUAGACUAUGUGAUAAAUUUAAAAUUAAUUUAAGUAUUUGAACUAAAAUUGUCAUUUGAAAGUAUAACACACAAACUAUUUUUUUCAACGAUGAUUAAUUACAAAAAAAAAAAAUUAAUUAGAAAACUUUACUACACAUUUUUAUCACACAUUAUAGAGUCUACCUUUUUAAAAGGGUAAUUCAUAGGUUUAGGCAAUGUAAUUCUUUAGAUCAACCACACAUAAACUUACUUUGAUUACACAAACUAUUCUAUUCUUGGGCUAUUAUAAUUUGGUAUAAAAACCAUGAAUAACACACAAACUAUAGAGUGUUUAAGAAGUUUGGCUAAAUUAGAUUAUAUUACUGCUAAAUUUAUAAAUUUACUAAUAAAUUCCCAUAGCAAUAUUAUUAUAAGCAAAUGGCCAAGUAAAAUAAACAUAUUUUUUCUUGUUUGUCGUCUUGCGAUCUGUCUUUGAUGUGUAAGGUCAUCAGUUGUCACCACAUAAUGGAUCCACAAUAACUAGUUAUGAUACUUACCGUAUUUACAACUUCCAAACAUGAGUUACUUAUGACACUUUAAUUAUUAUUGGAUGAUCAUAAGAUGAUAGAACAUACAUCAUUUGAUAGUAGACAAUUAUCAUAUUUUCGACUAAUUCAUGAGUAUGAUCUUUCCUGUUGUCAAAGUACAAUAAUGAAUAGAAUAUGUUUUGCCAUUUUAUGCCAUUUACUUAGGACGACUGCUAGAUUAGUUGGAACAUAAGUUACAGAUGUAGAAGAGAUGAUUGUCAUGUUCUUGCAUAUAUUAGCUAAUGACUUGAAAAAUCUAAUAAUACAAAGGGAAUUUGUACGGUCUGGUGAGACUAUUUCUUUUGAAUUUUCUGAUGGCAUUAUUGCUUCCGUCCCCUAUUCGUACAUCAAGUUUGUCGAAUAUUCGUUACUGCCUUAGUAUAAAGGUAACCAAAACAAAAAAUUGAGAUGAGUUUGAGAAGAAUAGAAAAAAGAACAUCAUAUUCCAAACUUGUACAGGUGAAGGAGUAUCACAUAAGGGAUGAGUUUGAAGUAGGGAUUGGUGUGAGCAUCUUUGAAAGUACAUCCAAACAACAACAAAUGGAAAAUGGUUGAAGCCAAAUUGCUACAAAUAGAAGGACAAUUAGAGGUUUAAAUGCGAUGUGGAAGUAGGAAUUCCACACCCUUUAAAAUAAUUUCCAAUUUGAAUAAUUGGUGCAAAUCUAAUUAGUGUGUCUGAUUGUCAAUUCUAUCUAUACUUAGAUAUAUGUAUAUAUAGCUGAAACACUUACUAAUAUAAUAUCGAAUAUAUCUAACCUCCUCCCUAGAAUGUUCACCGAAGUUGGGCAUCGUUUUUUUUUUUUUUACAAGCGGCAUCAUUAGUAGUUGAUGUAUCAAAUUUGAGAAUAUAUGCAAUUAAAUAUUGUGAUAUCAAGGAAGAAAUGUCCAAAAGAGAAAAGCCCAACUGAAGAAGCAUGUAAUAUUUUUUUUCCACGUUUACUAACAAUCUCCUCAAAACAUUCCUAACUUAAUUAUUACAUGUGCAAUAUCUUGGGUUCACAUGAACCUUGUCCUUUCCUCAAGGUUGUACCAUGAAAAUUGGGGGCAAAAAUCAUCUAUGUUCGUUCAUAUGGUUUCAUGCUCCAAGAGCCCUUGCAACUUACCAAUAGUUCUUUGGUGUCGGAUUGGGGGUAUCCGACUAUGUUGGCUGGUUUUGCUAUCUAUUCAAAAUAUUUAGUUAGGAUUUUGUUUCUUUAGGGGAUGAUUUUGAAACAAAUGACACCAACAACAUCAAAUAGGGGCAAACACAAUUAGAUCAAGAAAAUAGCCUCAUAGGAAAGAGCUUUACUGUCAAGAUUCAAACCAAUGUACCACUUAAAAGGUGGAGCCUAGAAAAAUAACCAAUUGUAUUUAUUAGAUAAAAACUUAUGGGGUAAAAAUUAGAUCAAUUAUAUCUAUAAAUAUAUUAUUAUAGCUUCAUAGAACGAGAGUCAUUCUCCACUUGUGAUCUCUUCACUUGUUGCAUUUAAUUAUUUUUUGGCUUGAGCUCGUGAAUUCAGUCCUUGCUUCCAAUCUUUUUAGACUUAUUUGACAACUAAUCACUUUCUGCAUUUUCAAAUUUAAAGAAAAUUUAUAAAAUUUGGAUUGAACUUCAUAAACUAUGGUUGGAUUUGGAACUCAUUGGUUGACUUCAACGUUUAAGAGUCAUAAAAGACACAACUUACUUUCUCACCUGUCACCACUAAGCCUACGACAACAUCUUUUUAUAAGAUAUUCAGUUAAUCUUUAGAUUGUUUACCGAAUAAUCGUCUAUUGUUUUGUAAUUGAUCCCACCAAGCGCUUGCGCCACCUUGAAGUUUGAGAGCAACUAAUCGGACCUUCUUAUGUUCGGGUGUAUUGGCAUAGUCGAAAAAAAUUUCUACGUUCUUGAUCCAAUCAAGAAACUUCUCCACGUCCAUUCGACAAUCAAGAAAUUUCUACGUUCUUGUGUUCGGGUGUAUUGGCAUAAUCUUAAAUCCAAUAAAUCAAGUUCCAAGGCUAUUUUUGAAUAAACUUGAACUUUAUGUGUAAACAUAAACGUGGAUCAAGUUCGAGUAUAUAGCCUAAAUAGUCUAUAGUAUAUGAAAUAAAGGUUGGGCGCCUUAUUUAGAGAAACUAUGGAUGCGGCCCACUUUGUAGUACAAACGAGGUGAUCCUAAUCGUUCAUGUAGAGACAUGAAAGUGGGGGCAUCCUAUGUAAAAUGUUUACAUAAGACUGAACCAUGAAUUAGUCUUUUUUACGUUAUAACACCGUUUACUGUUUAAAACUGACUAUCUCAAUUAUUGAUGACCUAGGUAACUUAGACUUAAUCCUGAGUUAACUAUGAACUCCUGUUCACACGAGAUUAUCCUUAGAUCUGCAUAGGUGAGGGCAGCUCAUCAGCGUUGGCCCAAUAAGCCUCCCAUUUCAGGGGUAAGAUCGGGUGGAUAGCUGGGAACAUAGGGUACAAGAUGGAAUUCACUCCUACCCGCUUUAGGGUUAGUAGAUAGGUUGUUCUCUUAAGCACUGAAUCCAAGUCUUGAACAAGGGGCCCCACCCUCUCAUUGGACCGAGAGGGAUUAAGUUUAUAGGAUUGAACCUUAAACCAAUUGUUCAAUAGUGGAUUAGUGGGACUUAAGGAGCAAGAUGUAAUCUUGGGGGUAAAACGGUAUUUUGACCUAGCCAAGGUUACGAGCAACCUGUGAAGGAUUAACUUACUGAUUAUGGUUUUAUCAAAUGGACACAAAUAUAUCUAUAGUGAGGGGAGUGCAACUACGGGACUUUAGUGGAAUGACCCGUUAGUUAACGAAUGUUGAUUAACUCGGUUUAAAAGAGUUUAGCUAGUUAAUCUUGAAUCGUUGGAGCCCAUGAUCUAUAGGUCCAUUAGGUUCCUCUGCUAGCUCAUAUGGAUUAAACUUAGAACAGUGUGAUGAAAUAAGUCGAAUUGUUCGAAUUGGGAGAAGAAAGGGAAACCGACAAAUAUAGUGAUAUAGUCGUCGGUCUUCUAAUUAGAAAUAGAGCUUUAUGUUUUACAUACUAUAAGUAUGAAUGCGGAUUCAUACUAAGAAGCUCGAAAUUGAUAGAAUUGGUCAAAAAUAGUAAAAAGUCAAAAUGUUGACUUUUGACUUUGAAAAGUCAAACUUUGACCGGCCUUAUAUUCAAAUGUGAUUUAAAUUUUGGAAAAAUGAAUGCGGAUUCAUGCUCGGGAGGUUGGAAUUAGUCAAGACGGACAAAAUGGUAAAAAGUCAAAAUAUUGACUUUUGACUAAGAAAAGUCAAAGUUUGACUUUUGACUAGAAAUAUCUAAUGACCAUUUUACCCUUGGACUAAGUUAGUGGGAAAAUCCAACAUUUUGUUGGAUAAUCCCACUAACUCUUAGUGGGAUAUGUGGCUAUAUGAGAUAUAGACACCUAGCCCACUAAGUUCCACUAAUUGUUAGUGGAACAUUAGGUGUUGAGAUUUGGCAAAUGAAUUGCAUGCAUUUUUUCAUGUAAUUAGGUUAUAAAUAGAGGUGUUUUCAAAUGUUGAAAAAACUUUUGCCUCUUUUAUCAUUUUCAUCAUCUCAACAAAAGAAAAAAGAAAGCUUCCAAUCUCAUUUUAUCUCCAUUACUUUCUACACCAAAAUUGGGUCCCACAACCCGGUUCUUUGUCUAGAGGAUAGCAGUUGAGUACUAGUGGUGGUCUCGGUUAGAAUUGGUAAGAAGAUAUCAAACCUUUUGAAAGCUUCAAAGGUAAUAUUUCUUAAAACCCUAAUUUGAUUAGUUUAUGGUUACAUGUUAAUUGUGGCAAUUAGGGUAGAAAUUCGAUUCUUUUUCCGCUGUGCAUGACUUAGUUCUAUCAUGUGGUAUCAGAGCAUGCUUCAUUUUUACCCAAUUGCAUGUGGUGGGUUCAUAUUUAUUAGAUAAAUUUUGGUUUGAACUAAAAUGGAUAUAUUAUGAUUUUGGCUCUAGAUUAAGUGUUUUUGUUCUAAUUAUUGUAAUUAGCCUUGUUAAUGGCUUAUUUUUAUUGUUGCAAAGUGUUUGUAAUUUUUAAAAAAAGAAAAAAAGUCAUUAGAGUUGAAGUUAGGCUGUAACUGGUUCAACCGGGUGAGAGAAUUGAAAAAAAAUGAAGAAAAGAAGGUCACAGACCCGAAAACCCGCCUUGACCCGCUUCGCGACCCGCACGCGCCCGCGCGCCCGCAUGCCCGCACGCCCUCCUGCGCCCGCGCGCCCGCCUGUGUCCGCAUGCGUCUGCGCGCCCGCGUGCCUGCCUUCGCCCGACCCGUGUGCGCCUGGGCCGGUUCAAGCGGUUUCGGUUGGUUUUUCAGCCGGUUCAAAGUUUUUGGGAGUGGUUCUGUACUACACCAAAGUAAUUAUGUAAUAAUUUAGUACUUAGCUUAAUUUAGGAGCCAAAAAUCAGUCCAUUUUAGGGUGUUUUUUUUUAUUUAUGCAUGUGAUGUAUGAUUAAAUUACUUUAAAUUUGUAUGUGCAUUUUGAAUGUCAUAUAGAUUUAAAAUCCCACCAUAGGUUAACAUGUUCAUGCAUUAAAAUGUAUGAUAUAAAGGUUAUAUUGUAUUGUAUGCAUGUUAAUUGAUUAAUAUGGAAAUUAAAAUCCCACCAUAGGUGUUUGCUUUUCAUUCUAGGUCAUAAAGCUUGGGUGUGACGUUUCGGCAUUUUCAUAUGCAAGCCUGCCAGAGCUGAAAAUGUUCAAAAUGUAUUAUAGGGGAGGCAUACCAGUUGAAUCCCCGCUCGAGCAUUAGUUGUACUCUUUGCAAGCAACCCUUUUCGUGGCACGCGUGCGGGGCCUGUGAGCUGUCCUCGAGAGGUGCCUGCCAAUGUUGUGGGCAUAUGUCCUGGUCACCCUUGGGCUGUCUCGGGACCACGUUGGGCUACUCCUGGGCCAUGCUAAAGGAGUCGUGGCACGUAUUGGCGCAAUUUUGCGGGUGAUUUUUGGGGUCAAAGCUUCACAUGUGACAUCAGGCUUACUUCUUUUCAUUUCUUUCUUUUUUCUUCUUCUUUCUUUUUCCCGUUUUAAAUUUUAUCUCUAAACCAAACUCCAACUAACUCUAAUUUAUGUUUAGGAACUUGUAAUUUUGGAGUACAAUAUAAGUAUAAUUGUUUGUGUUAUAUUGUUUUUUUUUUAUUAUUAUUACUAUUAAAAAUAGCCAAAUUAAUUAAAAUAUUUAUAAAGUAUUUUAAAAUUUGAUAUUCGAUAGAUCGAUCAAUGUCACUAAACAUAUAAGGGCUUAUCAAUAUCUAUUAUUAAUAUAAUCUAGUAAAUAUUUUGUCGAAUUUAUUAUUUGUGACAGUUUUUUUCUAUUCUUUUUUACAUAUAUUCAAUAUAUAAAAUAUCAAUUUUUUGAAAAUUUCAUAUAGGAUUAUUAACAAGUUUAACAAAUAGAUAAAAUGAUUUUCAACAUUAUUCUAAUACUAUGCUUUAAAUUAUGUAAGAGAUAAAUCUCUAUAAAUCAUAGAUGAAUUAUUUUAGAAUGGAAAACAAUACAAAAAUGUGAGUGUUGAGCAAGAAAUUUUGACCAAUUAAAUUACGUCACAUCAUCACAGUAAAUAAUGAUGAUUAUACUUUUGUUUGAGUUUGGAUAAUUAAGUUACUCAACCCAACCCAAUUCAGAUCCAACAAAACAAAUGGGCUCAAGCCCAAGUCCAAGAAUCAAAUGGGCCCAAGUCCAAACUCAUCUCGCAAAUGGGCUCAAAUCCAAGCCCAAUAAGCAAAUGACCCCAAUUUCACCUAAAGCCCAUGAAAUGUCUAUAAAUAGAGACCACUGUCAUUCAUUUUAAAAGGGGUCUUUGGUUGAAAGAAGAAUUGAAGCUCUGAAGAAUUGAAGAUUCAAACUUCUACAAGCUCUCAAGACGUGCAAGUUUGUAUCAACUUCGAGAUCAACAACUUCUGAAAGAUUGAAGACUUGGAAAAUUAAACUUUUCUUGGAUUCCAGAAGAUCGAAGUUCAAAUCAACGUGCAACUACAACAUCCUGAAGAUCGAAAAUAAAAAAGUUCUAAGUUUUAACUUGUAUUCGAGAAAAAACAUCAAAAGAGUAAAUACUAGAGGUUGUAUUCACAAUAUUCUUUAAUAUAUAAAGUUCAACUCCACGAAAUACAUUUCUUCAAAAUCUCGUGUGAACAGUUUGACACGUCCAGUGAGACAAUCUCUACCUUUCAUCUCUUUCUCUUUUGAAGAACAUCUAAAGAAAUCAUGUCGAUUGACGAACAAAUGACAUCGGCAAGCAGCCAAAUACUCACAGCCGCUCAAGGGAGACUCAAUCAUCUGAGGAAAUGCCAUCCUUUGAGGCCGCAAAGAACAUUUGGGAGCAACUGUCCAAGCCACCAAAAGGUGGAAUUAUAGUCGAAGAAAAUCCUGUGAUUGACGAACAAAUUUCCUCCUGUGAACGCUCGAAUGAGAAGAUGCCUCAUCCAAAUAUCAUGUCGAUUAUGGUGACUGACGUGGAUACAAGUGAAGACAUAAUGACUGAGCUUAAAAAGAAGAUCAACAGGCUCAUGAAGGUCGUUGAAGAAAAGGAUAAUGAGAUUGCAUCUCUCAAGAAUCACAUCGAACGUCAUGAUGCUGAAUCAAGUCAUACACAUACUAUCAAAAAUACUGACAAAAGGAAGACAAUUAUGCAAGAAAGUCAACCACAAAAUUCAACCUCAAUUGCAUCAAUAUCUAUUCAGCAAUUGCAGGAGAUGAUUGCAAACUCCAUCAAAACUCAAUAUGAUGGACUUGCUCAAACUCUCUCUCUAUAUUCCAAACCAUAUACGAAGAGGAUCGACAAUCUCAUAAUGCCGAAUGGAUACCAACCACCCAAGUUCCAACAGUUUGAUGGAAAGGGUAACCCAAGACAACACGUUGCUCACUUCAUUGAAACAUGUGAAACUCCUAGUACGAGAGGAGAUUUGUUGAUAAAGCAGUUCGUUCGAACUCUGAAAGGAAACGCCUUCAAAUGGUACAUCGACCUGGAACAUGAAUCCAUUGAUAGUUGGGAGUAACUUGAGGGGGACUUUCUCAAUCGCUUUUACAGCACCCAGCGUAUCGUCAGCAUGAUGGAGUUGACAAAUAGCAAAUAGCGAAAGAGGGAGCCAGUCAUCAACUACAUAAACCGAUGGAGAGCUCUAAGCCUGGAUUGCAAAGACAAGCUCAUAGAAAUGUCUGUAGUCGAGAUGUGCACCCAAGGCAUGCAUUGGGAACUUCUCUAUAUUUUGCAGGGGAUAAAACCACGCACGUUUGAAGAGUUGGCGACUCGUGCCCAUGAUAUGGAACUAAGUAUCACUCGUAGAGGAGCAAAAGAUUUUUUGGUUCAAAAAAUGAGGAGUGACAAGAAUUAAAUUGAUGACACUAAAAAGAUUACAGAUAGUGUCAUAAAUGAGUCUAUGGUUGUUCAUGCAACCCCUUUGAAAUCUUUCUCUAAAAGAAAAGAAACAAAAUUUGAAGGAAAGCAUGAUAGAGAGGAAAAGCGACGCCCUUAAAGAAAGACAAGAAAAUUUUUAUCCAUUUCCUGACUCUGAUGUUGCAGACAUGUUAGAGCAGCUGUUAGAGAAGCAACUUAUUCAACUGCCAGAAUGCAAACGACCGAAACAAGCAGAGAAAGUAGAUGAUCCUAACUACUGCAAGUACCAUCGGGUCAUUAGUCAUCCUGUUGGAAAGUGUUUCGUGUUGAAGGAGCUGAUUAUAAAGUUGGCUCGUGAAAAGAAGAUCGAGUUAGAUAUGGAUGAAGUAGCUCAGACAAAUCAUGUUGCAAUUGAGAUGACUUCAAGUGUUCCGCCAUCAACACACCUUUAUGAUUAAUGGAAAAACUUGGUCCAGUUUGGGACUUUUGAACCUGUACAUGUUCGAUUCCAACAAAGGAUCGUGACAAAGAAAUCUCAAAACAAAGAAAAGCCUAUUGAAGAUGAUUGCGAAGGAUGGAUAGUCAUGACUCGUAAAAAGGGGAGACAAUCAAUUUUCGUACAAACGAAGUCGCACUUCCAUCAGAAGCAUGGAAAAGGAAGCAACUCUCGUAAAAAUGAGAAAAGAAAUAAGAUGUGGAAGUCUAAGCCUAUCAAAGGAAAAGACGAGGACUUCAUCCGACAUCGACGGUCGAUAACUUUGAAAGAAUUUCUCCCAAGAAGCUUCCUUGAUGAUCAUCCAAAGAAAGUAUUAGAAGUCCUUGCAUGUCAUGUUGUCAGUAUAACAGAAGUCGACAACAAUUAUGCAUCUUCUGAAGAAAUCGACAAUUCAAAUGAAAUUAAGCAAAGGACUUUUGUCUUUGAUCGUAUCAAGCCUUCAAUUACUCAAUCUUCAAUUUUUCAAAGAUUGAGUAUGACCAUGAAAGAAGAAGAAAACCAAUGUUUAACAUCUACUUCCACUCAAACUUUAGCUUUCAAAAGGCUAAGUAUCUCCACAUCAAAGAAAUAUCAACCUUCAACAUCUGUUUUUGAUAGACUAAAAUGACAAGUGAUCAACAUGAAAAAGAGAUGAAAACUUUGAAGGUAAAAUCACUUCAUGAAGAAAAUAAUGGCGAAGAUACGCAGUUGUGUCUCAUCACGCAUGAAGAGGAAGUUAUUUGUUGACAUAAACACAGAAGGUCCCUUGAUCGUGAAGCCAAAAAUUAUUAUAUUCACCAAUUCUACAAAUGAAGAAGGUGAACAAAUUUUUUACGAAAAUAUUUGUUAAAUGUGUAAAGCUCCUUAUCGCAAAAGCCUAAAUUGCAUGAUGCUCUUAGUCCACAAGAGCUUAAAAGGUGAAUAACAAAAAAAAAAAAAAAAAAACAACAACUCAAUUGAACUACGUUAUGACUUGAUCUCUGUGUUAUAAAAAGGAUACGUAGGCAGCUUAAAGAUUACUUUAAGUUCAGUCGCACGAAAAAAAAAAAUUAUGCUUCAUCGUGAUGAUGUAAUCUCAAUAGAAAAUGAAAUUCAUGAACAGUUACAACAGAAAAGAAAUGGGACAAAUGGGGCAAAGUCAAAGUAGCGAGCUCUACCUUUUCUCGCAAGUGUUGCAGCUGAAAAGAUAUUCAUCUUCAUCUUCUCUCAAGUGUUGCAGCUGAAAGGAUCUUUAUCUUCACCUUCUCCAUGUGUUGCAGCCGAGAGGAUUCAUCUUCACCUUCUCCAUGUGUUGCAGUCGGAAGGAUUUAUCUUCAUCUUCUCCAUGUGUUGCAGCCGAGAGGAUUCAUCUUCAUCUUUUCCAUGUGUUGCAGCCGAGAGGAUUCCUCUUCUCCCACGUAUUACAGCCGAGAGGAUUCAUUUUCAUCUUCUCCCACGUGUUAUAGUCAAAAGGAUUCAUCUUCAUCUUCAUCUUCUCCCACGUGCUGUAGCCAAAAGGAUUCAUCAUCAUCUUCUUCCACGUGUUGCAGACGAGAAGAUCAUCAUUUUCAUCUCCUAGGUGUUGCAGUCGUUAUCAUCUGCAUCCUCGAUGUGUUGCAACCGUCAUCAUCUACAUCUCUGAUGUGUCACUGCCGACAUCAUCUGCAUCUUCGAUAUGUCGCUGUUGUCACCAUCUGCAUCUUCGACGUGUCGCAACCAUUACCAUCUGCAUCUUCGACGUGUCGCAGUCGUCAGAAUCUCCAUCUGCAUGUGUUGCAGUCAUCAUCAUCUGCAUCUCUGAUGUGUUGCAACCGUCAUCAUCUGCAUCUUCAAUGUGUUGCAGGCGUCAUCAUCUGUAUCUUCGAUGUGGCUGUCACCAUCAGAAUCUUCGACGUGUCGCAGCCGUUAGAAUCUUCAUCUCCAUGUAUUGCAGUCAUCACCAUCUGCAUCUUUGAUGUGUUGCAGUUGUCAUCAUCUGCAUCUUCGAUGUGGCCGUCAUUAUCUUCGAUGUGUCGCAGCCGUCACCAUCUACAUUUUCGAUGUGUCGCAGCCAUCAGAAUCUCCAUCUCCAUGUGUUACAGUCAUCAUCAUCUGCAUCUCUGAUGUGUCGCAGCCAUCAUCAUCUGCAUCUUCGAUGCGGUCGUCAUCAUCUUUGAUGUGCCGCAGUCGUCACCAUCUGCAUCUUCGACGUGUCGCAGUCAUCAAAAUCUCCAUCUCCAUCUUCGAUGUACGAAUUUUCAUCUCCAUCUUCGUCUUCCAUGUGCUCCAGUUGGUCGAAUCUCCAUCUCCAUUUUCGUCUUCGAUGUGUCGCAGUCAAUUGGAUCUCCAUCUUCGAUGUGUUGCAGCCGAUCGGAUCUCCAUCUCCAUCUUCGAUAUGUGGAUCUUCAUCUCCAUCUCGGUCUUUCAUGUGCUGCCGUCGGUCGAAUCUCCAUCUCCAUUUCUGUCUUUGAUGUGCCGCAGUCGAUUGGAUCUAUAUUUACAUUUUUGUCUUCGGUGUGUUGCAGUCGAUCAGAUCUCCAUCUCCAUUUUCGUCUUCGAUGUGUCGCAGCCGAUCGGAUCUCCAUCUCUAUUUUCGUCUUCGAUGUGUUACAGCCGAUCGGAUCUCCAUCUCCAUUUUUGUCUUCGAUCAAGCUUGGUGUGCUCCACCAUAUAAAUUGACCAAACUUCGUAUAACAUUUUAAUCACACUUAUGUCCAAAUGCAUAGUAUGAUUAAAUUGACAUAUUAACUAGAACCAAAUCCAAGAACAAAUUCACUUAUUUCAGCUUAUCGUUUUCAAGAUUCACCCAUCAUAUAAACGUGCACAAAUCUCUAAAAGGAGACAUUUGUUGAGCAAGAAAUUUUGACCAAUUAAAUUACGCCACAUCAUCACAAUAAAUAUGAUGAUGAUUAUACUUUUGUUUGAGUUUGGAUAAUUAAGUUUACUCAACCCAACUCAAUUCAUAUCCAACAGAAAAAAUGGGCUCAAGCCCAAGUCGAAUAAGCAGAUGGGCCCAAGUUCAAACUCAACUCACAAAUGGGCUCAAGUCCAAGCCCAACAAUCAAAUGGGCCCAAGUCCAAGUCUAGCAAGCAAAUGAGCCCAAGUUCACCUAAAGCCCAUGAAAUUUCUCUAUAAAUAGAGACCAUUGCCAUUCAUUUUAAAAGGGGUCUUUGGUUGAAUAAAGAAUUGAACCUCUGAAGUACUGAAGAAUUGAAGAUUCAAACUUCUACAAGCUCUCAAGACGUCAAAGUUCAUAUCAACCUGGAGAUCAACAACUUCUGAAAGUUGGAAGAUUAAACUUUCCUUGGGUUCCAUAAGAUCGAAGUUCAAAUCAACUUGCAACUACAAUAUCCUAAAGAUCGAAGAUCAAAAAGUUAUAAGUUUUAACUUGUAUUCGAGAGAAAGCAUCAAAUGAGUAAAUACUAGAGGUUGUAUGCACAAUAUUCAUCAAUAUAUAAAGUUCAAUUCCACGAAAUACAUUUAUUCGAAAUCUCGUGUGAACAGUGAGAAUAUGGUUAACCAAGUUUAAAUAUAUAAUGCAACAAUACAAACGUAGUGACCAUAAUCACAAAAUUUAAACCGAACUCAAACAACACAUGAACAUAAAAUAAAAAGCAACAUACCAACAUUGUUUACUAUCGAAUAAUAGUCCAAAUCAAGUCAUGGAUUGGUCAAACAUUAUCUUUAGGAGAAUAUUACAAAGAAAAAAAAGUAUGAAAAAGUGCAUUUUAUAAAAUAUUAUUAUAACUAAACUAAAAGUAUUUUCUUGAAUAACCUAAAAAAUCUCAUUUUUGUUUAACAUUUUUUCUAAAAACUUCUUAAAAUAAAAACACAAUCGUGUUUUAAAAUAUAUAUUUUAAAAAAUAUUUAUACGUACAAAUUUCUUUUGUUUGUUAUAUAUACUAAAAAAUAUUUUUAUAAAAAAUCUUCAAGACUAAUCGAUGACAACGGUCGUCGAAGUUGAUUAUCGGAAGUUCGUCGAUGGAGUCACUAGAGAUGAUGGUGGGAGAUUGGCCGACCAUGAUCAUUGAAGAUUAGCCUAAACCCAAAAGAUAAAUAAUUUUUUUGUAAUAAAAGUAAACUAACAUUUGACUGAACAAUUUUCUCUAUUCCUUUUGACUUCUUUUGGAUUUUUUUUCUUUUUCAAAAUAAGAAUGGUCACUUUGAUUCUCAAUUUUGUCGGAUUAUAAUAAUUUAUACUCAAACACAUAAUAUAAUAACUCGUACUAUAAUAAUUUACACAUAAACACAAAUUAUAAUAACUAAUAUUAUAAUAUUAUGUACCCUAAACACGACUAUAACAACUUAAACUAUAAUACUAUGCACCAAACUUCUCCUAAAAGAAUUUGUUUAUAUGAAUAUGAUGUCUCUCUAAAGAUGAAGAAACAAUUUAUUUAUAGAGAGUGAUAUUGCAAAAAGUUAGUGAAACUUAGGAGUGAGCAUUGACUUUAAAAAAAUCAAUUCAAACAAUCGAAAUUAACCAAAUCUAUUUAUUAUUUAAUAUUAAAUAAAACAAACCGCUCAUAGUAAUUGUCUCGUUCCUAGAUUUGGUCGAUUUCCUAAACCUUAAGUCUAUAUUUUCAUUCUAUAGGUUUUGUUUACGGCACUCGGGUGAAAAAAUGGCGCCCAAGGGAAAGAAAACCAAUAGCCCUACUAGCGACAGCGACGAGGACGAAACCUUCUAUUACCGGUAUCCCUCCGCCCCCUCUUCUGACCCGUCGCUGCCGUCGUCUUCACAGUCGCACUUCUCAUCGCAAUCGCACUCACACUCACACUCUUCCACUAAGUCUGGCGGUGGUUCUGGAGGUUUGGUUCCUUCGAAGUCUACUCUCUAUGUUUCCAAUUUCGACUAUUCACUCACUAAUUCCGACCUCCACACUCUCUUCUCCAACUUUGGUAAGAUCGCUCGUGUUACGGUGUUGAAAGAUCGACAGACUCGCAAGUCUCGCGGCGUUGCCUUCGUCCAGUUUAUUUCUCAGGAUGACGCGGUGAAGGCCGCGAAACAGAUGCACGGGAAGAUUUUGAAUGGCCGUGUUCUUAAGGCUGCUAUAGCGACUGAUAAUGGUCGUGCCGCUGAGUUUAUAAGGAAGAGGGUUUAUAAGGAUAAGAGUAGGUGCUACGAGUGCGGCGCAAUUGAUGGGCAUUUGUCUUAUGAAUGCCCUAAAAAUCAAUUGGGGCCAAGGGAGCGACCAGAACCGAAGCGGGUAAGAAGGGGUGGAGUUGGUGCUAGGCACGAGGAGGAUUGGGGAUCGGAUGUUGGAGAAGGGUUUGAGGAUGACAAUUGGGCCUCGGUGGUGGACGGAGAUGCAGACCAGAGACUCCUGACUGGCGGUGAGAACAUUGUAGAGAAGAAAAAAGAGAAGAAAGCAAGUUAUUUCAGUGACGAGAGCGACGAAGAUGAUUAACUGAGCCUGUCUCUUUGGGAAGAGUUUGUAAAAGGUGCGUGGUUUUUACUAUUGUAUUGUUUUUAUCUGCCGUUCCAUUAUAUUUUGAACCUCUAUUUCUGGUUGAUUUUGGUGCAUGAUUUUUGGGUGGCAUUGUUAGAUGAGAUAAAGCUUACAGAGUUUAGAUUUUGGGCUGCCGGGUGCGAUAAGUAAUAAUGAGUUACAGGUAUGUAGUCUACACUUCGUGGUAAUGUCAGGAGUAGUCAGGAUUGGAAUACUAACUCUUAACCUAUGGCACUUGCUCUCCACCAAUAGGUUAGUAAUUGAAACUAGAAAUGUUAUGUUGAAUUCAAAGACUCUCUUUGGAGAGCUGAAAUGUAUGAGUUUAAUUACAAAUCGGCUCUAAAACGCUGAAUCCAACCAUUGGUUAUUGAUUACAUUACAUUACAAUCUCAUCCGAUGACGGUCUACCGAAUACCCCAAGGAUUUAGGCACCGCUGUUAACAGUAUAUGAGCACUACACUGGAAUUUGGAAGUGGUAAUAAAUACUCAUCUUCCAAUGCCUCCUGUUUUCUUUUAAGAGUUAAGGAUUUCUGCAGUCAGAGAGUAUAAGUUGCUUAUUCAAUCUCAUGAGCAUGAGCAAUAUUUGUAUUUUUGUACAUUUUGGAAUUCCCAUAUCAUGAUCUCGGCGUUUAAUGCCAAGGGCUUGAUUUCCCAAUGUGCCAAGACUUGUCCAAAGGAUUCUUUGAUCAAACAUUAUUGUUAUUAUUAUUCUUUUUGAGGAGACAUUUCUUUUAUCAGAAACAUAUAAAUAAUUUCAUUGAUGGGAUGAAAUUACAAAAGAGCACAUAUGCUGCGAGAGAUUACAAAGAUUAUUCCAUUGUGAUAUAAGAGAAGUAAGAUUGUAAUAAUGAAAGUGUGGGGUGAAUUUACACCAAGUGAAGGUUGUAUACAAAAGAUGAUCGAAAAGUGAGUGAAGUCGGAUUCCUUAUCUUUGAAAGUACGAUGGUGGCAUUUGUUUCAGAUGAGCCAAAAGAGAACUCUUCACUAAGAUUAGAUGAAAAGCAAGGGUGGGGAACUCCAGAAAACCCAAGGGACUUGGGAGAAAAAUCAAUCCAAUGACAUCAAUCGAUAAUGAGAGUGAAGUCAUUACUUAAACCUUUAAAGUGGAUACACGUUCACCAAUUUUAAGGUUCAUACCUUGUGGUUUGGAUCAGUGUUAGGUGGUCUGCUCUCUUCUAGUUAGCAUCAUAGUUCAACAUUUUAACCUAAUAUAUUGUAAUCCUCUUCUUCCUACUGACUAUUUGUCCAUUUAGGCACAUUUUCUAAUAAUUUUGCUUUUAGUUUUGUUUGUUUUCUUCUGUUCAAAGACUAGGAAAGAAAAAGUAGUUUUCAAGAACAUUUUUAUCAAUUGUUCAAAGAAGUUUAGUCAUAAGUAAUUUUCAUAAGCAUAAUUUUGUGAAACAAAAUUGUUGCCAAAUAGAGGCUUAAGUUUUUUUAGCUUUCAACUUGACUUUGUGAUCAAUCUCUUCAUGUUUGAAAGAAGAAGGCAUUUGCCACAUUUUAGCGAAGAAGGCAUUUGCCACAUUUUAGCUUUCUCCCCUUUACCACUUUGUUUUAGUGGAGCUACGUGAGGAAAAGGUGCCAUGUCUCUGAACUAUUUUGAUUUAUCAUUCAUAUAAUUUCUUACUUCUAAAUCUCUGAUGUACCGCAAAAAAUAUUGCUAAUAUAUUUGAAUCUAUCUAUUCUAUAACUUAUAUUCUUGCACUUUCAAUGCUUUGAUCAUAGUCACAAGAUGUGUGUGGAAACAACAAAAUGCAACCUUAAACAUAUUGGGUUAAAGAAAUAUUCGAUAUCACUGAUUUCAACUUUUGAUUAUCACUGAUUCAUCUAUAAUUUUGGCUGGAUCCAUGAUCUUCCUAACUCAUAGUAGUAUAUGUUUAUCAUAACCAAUACGUCUUACUGUCGUUACAACAUCUUUGUGGGUUUUUGUUAUUGUUUUGCUUUGUUUUAGCUGUUGGUUUAUUUGACUAGUGACUUACAUGAGAUUUAGUCUACCUUGACAUUUCUCAUAACACGACCCGUCCUUGUCUUCUGAGCUAAGAGGAUCAGGCUUAGUCAAGUCUACCGUCACAUUUCAAUUUAAUGAUCUAUUAUGUUUGAUUUUUCGUGAAUUUGUGUUACUUAAUAUGAUCUAUUUUGUUUCUCGCUUAUCAAAUAAUUGGAAUCAAGAGGAGAUUUGUUUAACAUUUGAUGAGAAUGGUGAUGCGUUAAAGAUUCGAUUUUAUUGCCAAGUGUCUUCGUGAGAUUAUGUCUUUCGGUAGUGUUGAAAGAGCUACUGUUUCUAAUUUUGGUUCAUUUCUUGUUAUGGGAGAUUGGUUUAAGAUAUGGAAUAAAUGUAGUUCAUUUCAGGGUAAUGAUGUUGCAAAGCUUUUUAAUAUUCCUUCACACAACCAUGGUUCCCUGUAUUCAGUCACCUUUAUUUUCUUGUGGCAGGCUACAUUAAGAUAUAUCAAGGUUGGAGACCAAAGUUGAGAGGCUAAAGUCGGUAGUACAAGUUAAAGAUAGGGAGAUUGCAACAGUUACACGAAUAGUACAAUCUCGAGACUUGUCUAAAUUCCAUGAUUUCUCUCUAUUUAACAUUGAACAAGGAAGUUCUUUUCCACAGGAAGCCAAAGGUAAGGCUGCUUUUAAAGCUCAAAUUGACAAGCUACAGUAGGAAAAUGUUGAACUCCAGAGAAGGGUUAUUGGCAAUCAGGUUAUGGUAGUUGGAUGCUGUGAGAUAGAUACUAGUUUCUAUGUAAUAAUUUUAGUACUAAUGUUGUUUUCUGUUUGUGUGCAAAGCAAGUAAGAACUCAACAAAUACAUGAGAUGAAGAAGAAAGAAAAGGAGUACAUCAAAUUGCAGGUGAGAACCUACAGGGUAUAGGAAUACCUACAGGAAAGCUGGAUAUGUAUGUUGCUGCUGCUGGCAUAAACCCUCAAAGAGUAUGUUUUUCUUAGACAAGCUCAACGCCCUCCCUUCAUCCAAUGGUUGUUUAUCCAACUUGAUUUCAAUCAGUUGUGGCUAUUGUUUUAAUUGUUUAUAGGAUUGCCUGCAUUCAGAUUGUUUUAUCUUCUCAUGUUGGGCUACUUCCAAGAAAUUUUUUAAGCGAAGGGUGGAUAAUAGCUCGCUUGUUUAGUCUAAACUUGGGGGAUUUCAAAUUUUGCCCAAAUUUCAAAAUUUUUCAAAAGUUUUUCAUUACAAUAACGAGCAUCAUAACUUCUUAGAUCUUGCAUAAAAGGCAUGACUGUCAACCCUUGAGCACUAAGCUCGGGUUUGUGACGUGAGAUUCUGAAUUUUGAGAAUAAGCUUAUGUCCUUUUUGUUUUUGCUAAGUUUCAACUAAUACACUCGGUAUUUAUCUUUGUGCUUAUGUGAUAGAUUUGUUAUGCACUGUAGUGAUGUGGGGUGUUUCCUUAUUUUCUGCAUCUUAACUACCUUAUUUCCUGCAUUUUAACUAUCUUAUUUCCUGCAUCUUAAAUACCUUAUUUUCUGCAUCUUAAAUACCUUAUUUUCUGAAUCUUAGUUGGUACUGAAAUUUGGUUUGUUUCAGUGAAAGAGGCACUAUCAGCAUUGACAUGUACAUGUGAUUUUAGGCAUGAACCAGGAGAGUGAGAGUUUUAGUGUGCCGUGUUUAGAAUUUGCCGAUAUCUUUUUCCCGUUCCAGCAAGUAUUCCUGAUUGUGGGGGUAACUCUCAAGUCUGCAGUCUUUUCUUCAUGAAAUUUGUAGAUUAUCUAAGAAUACUAAUAUCAUUUAAUGUUGACAUUUUUUUAGCAACUUUUCUUAACCCCACUUUUUGAAUUUCAUUAAGUUUACUCUUGUUUAAUUGACAGAUUCUUCCAGUAAUGCUAGAUAUUGGUACUAACAACGAGAAGUUACUUAAUGAUUCUCUUUGUAAGUGAAAGGGAAACCUUCAUGUCGUUUAUCUCCAUAUUUUCCAUGUAAUGUAUUGUGCUUAUAUUGAUCUGUUUCUGUUGUCAAUGGCGAUAUAUUUGGGUUUUUUGUUGUUGUUGUGGUGGUGGUGGUGAAAUAUUUUAUUUAAGUCUCUAGUUAAUAUUUAUGCUUACUUAACAGAAAAUUUGUUGCUUGAGCUUGCUUCAUUUGGUUCUUUUACUUGUUUAAGUCCUCCUCUAACUAAUUAUACAUUUCGUCCUUUUACUUGUUUAAGUCCUCCAAAAAGUAUUCAUUACUUUAAUAAAUUCCCUCACCAGCAUCAUCACCUCUUAUUCAACAAACUGUUUUUUCCCAAAAGCAAAAAAGGAAAAAAAAAAAAAAGAUAAAGACAAUCAAGAACAACCAUCAACUACAUGAAAAAAAAAAGAGAAGAAAAAGAUAGCUACCGAAAAACAUUACUACCCAUUUUCAUUAUCAUCAUCCUCUACUAUGCUUUUCCACCUUCUUCUAACCCAUUUUUCCAUUGCAGGAUUUAUUGGAGUUGAGGAGUCCCACAAUCUUUAUGUUCUGUUUGUUUUUCCAUCACUUUUUCAAGGCUGUUCAAUUGGAGUUCCAUCUUCAGGUAAUAUUAAUGUGUUUGUUUCUAAGAUAAUUUUGUUAAACACUUGUUUUUGUUGUCCCCAUCCACCAGCUGUUUGGUGAAAUGCCGCAUUGAAUAAUUUUGUGGGUUCUUGGGAAGCGUGUGAUCUAUGUGUUGUGGAAUUUGUAUAAUUAGUUAGAGUGAUUUAGGAAAACUUUUGUAUUUGUAGUUGAAUAGAUAAUUCAUUCCAUAUUUAGAGCAUGAUUAAGAGUUAUUUUGAAAUUGUUAAAAUUACUUCAAAAGAUAUUUGGAUAAUUUAAAUGACUUUCUAUUGUAUGUUGAUCACGUUUGAUAGAUCGAAAACUUUUCUUCUUCUUCUUCUUCUUUGUUUCUUCCUGCUGCCUAUUUGACCUGCAACUUUGAGUGUAGUUGCUUGGCUGUCUAAUUGCCACCACUCAAAGUCACUCCUUCGCCUUCUUAUCACUCUUAAUUUUCUUGACAACAAAGUCAAACUGCUACAGAACAAUCGAAUUUUCGUUUGAUUAAUUUUCUAUCCACAGGAGGCUUUUGUAUGUUGAUCACCCUUGUUUUCUUUGAAAAGUUUAAAAUUCCAUACACGAUAUAUUGGGAAACUUUCACAUUUCUCGGGACAUUAAAAGCUCAAGAGCAUUGAUUUUGAGCAAAAUAAAAAUGAAAAUCCCUUUUAAUUUCCGGCAACACCAUAUUUGAAGUUCAUUGUAUUUUCUUCUUCCAACUACAGGUUGACGUGAUUGUCUUGACAGAUGGAAGUCGUAUUCUUGGCCUCGGUGACCUUGGAGUUCAGGGAAUAGGAAUACCUAGAUUGGAGGGAGAAGAGUAUCUAUCUAUUGUUGAUGAAUUUAUGGAAGUCGUGGAUACAUGUUGGCCUAAAGCUAUUGUUCAGGUUUAUUGGUUAAGAUAUCAAAUUUUUAACUGUGUUCACUGCCAGUAAUCAGUAUCGUAAUCUCGCAAUUUGAUUUUGAAUGAUGCCAGUUUGAGGACUUUCAAAUGAAAUGGGCUUUUGAAACAUUACAACGUUAUCGUAAGAGGUUCUGCAUGUUCAACGAUGACAUACAAGUGAGUAGUUCAUGUUGUAUUCAUGCAGUUGAUAAUUACUUAAAAGGACAUUCAUUUUCGUUUAUUUCAUUUCAUAAAGGGAACUGCUGGUGUUGCUCUCGCUGGACUAUUGGGAAAUGUGAGAGCUCAAGGGCAGCCAUUGAGUGAUUUUGUUAACCAAAAGAUAGUAGUGGUAGGGGCUGGAAGGUAUUGUCAGCUGUUUAACUUUAACAUUUUCUCCAAAUAGCAAUACUGCUAACUAUUUAGGGAUCGUAAGCCUUGUCCUCUUUGUUGAAACAAAAGUGGUUGUUUGAAUGAGGAAUUACUAUUACUAUUACUAUUACGUGAAUAUAAGAGAAAUGAAAACUUUGGAAACUAUAGUUCAAUCCUUUUGGUUUAACCUUCAUUUGUUUCAACAUGCUGUUUUUUCUCCUCUUUCAACUUCAGUGUUGGGCUCGGUGUUCUUAACAUGGCUAUUCAGGCUGUUUUGAGAAUGGUAGGGAACAACGAUUCUACUGCAAGAAAUCGAUUUUUUUUCUAAUAGACAAAGAUGUAAGAAUCUUUUUCAAACUUUCAUUUCUCAAUUUAUGCAUCAGUCUGUCCAAGUUUUUCCUUCCAUGAGAGUUACUGAUUUCAGAAACCAAUCGGAUGGGGUUUGGAAUUUGGGUAGCUUUAUUAUGGGUUAAUUUGUAUGACGCAGUUUCGUGUGAAAAGUAUGAGGCAGUUGAAGAAGUUAAAUGACUUGUGGUGGUAGUAAUCAGUGUCAAACUCAUGUGGUUUUUAACUUACAAAGAAAGAGGAAAAAUAUCAACUUAGUCCGAUGCAGAUUAGGGUUUUAAGUCUUCUAUCUAAUUGUUUGUGUGAUAAAUGCAGUUACUUUAUCAAAAACAAAGAAGAAAAGGAAGGGACCACAAGAUUCUUUAGUAUUUUAAUUUUAUUGCAUUACAUUAUAUUCAAUCUUCAUUUUUCUUGGUUGUGCUGCAAAUGGUGUUUCUUCUAUUAUGGAUUUGCAUUAUACAACAUUGCCAUAUUAAGUCAUAAAGUUAUGAAAAUUAGAAACACACCCUUUGUAGGAGAGAACAUGAUCCUUCCUUUGAAGUAAAUUGAGAGAAUUUCCUCUACUGCCUCAAUUUUAAGGCUUGAGGUUUGAAGAACAAGGAUGAAUAAUCAACGAAAAAGGAAUGAAGAGGUUUCUCGUUUAGGGAAAAUAGCGAUUUUUCGUUUUUCAUACUUCCAAAACGACACAAGUAUGAACUUAUUGUGUAUUAAAUUGAUCGAGAGGCCUUCCAAUUGUUUGUUAAUCUAUAGUUUCUGUCUCUAUUUUAAUUAACUGCUACAUGUAGAAGCCUAACUAACUUAGUUAGAGUUCUAUCAAAAAAAGGAAAGAAAAAAAGGAAGAAGAAAGAUCAUGUGAUAAAUUUAUAGAAAUGCCAUGCAAUUAUUUUCUAACUAUUAAUUUAUGUUUCUGUGGUAAAUUACUGCUACUAGAAAUCUAAUUGUGUUCGGUUAGUUAGACUUCAUGGGUUUGAUUUUUUUUUUUUUUUUUGUUAAAGAGGUUCCAUAAGUAUACCGAUGGUUUUGAAAUUUUGAUUUGAUGCAUGUCUGAGAAAUUUCAAGGCUAAAUUAUACAGAAUACCCAUAAACUUUGUACUUUAUAUAAAAAUACCAUUGAAAAUACACCCAAAACAUAAACUACCAAAAGUGUUAAAAAUACAGUUAAUAUAAUUAUCCUAAUUUUAGUAAUAAAUGAAAUUGAGAGAACUUUCUUUGAUUUUCAGGAACAAGGAUGAAUAAUCAAUGAAAAAGGAAUGAAGAGGUUUAUCCAUGCAAGCUUCAAACCAAAGCCAAGGAUGUCGAUCCUUCCAGGGGAGUCCAAAGUUCUCCCUUAUUUUUCUCCCUUUAUUUUGAUUUUCAAAAGUUUGCAAUUUUUUAAGUGGGGGUGGGCAAUUGCUUGCAUGUUUAGUCUAAACUUGGAGGUUCAAAUUUUGCCCAAAUUUCAAAAUUUCUAAAAAAAAUUUCCUUACAAUAAUGAGCACUAUACCUUCUUAGAUUACUUAGAUCUUGCAUAAAAAGCAUGACUAGCAACCCUUGAUCACUGAGCUUGGGUUUGUGAUGUAAAAUUCUGAAUGUUGAUGAGUAUAUGUGCUGAAAUUUGAGAAUAAGCUGCCAGUGUUUUUUGGUUUAAGCCCAUUUUUAGCGAUAUCUUAUGGAGAUGUGAAUGCAUGAUUGAGAAAAUGGUACGUGUGUUGUGAAUGCUUGAUUGCAUGCAUAUAAUAAAUAAGUGCAUGGAUACUUUUCUAGCUUUGUCUUCCUUUGUUUCUUUGCCAUGACUUACCUAUGAUGCGCUUAGUCCAAACCUAGCCUAGAUAGAGUUAAAAAAGGAUAGGAGGUACUCUUUAGAAAUUGAGAUGGUUUUAACAAAUUUGUCUUGUCAAACAUGAGUUUGGAGCCUCUUGUCUAGCCACAAUGAACUAAAUCCCUUUAGAAAGGGUGGGCAUUAACAAAUCUUGUUGUCACUUCGAAGGGAGCAGUCAAACUUAGAAACUAAGUGUAGAACCAUAGAAAGGUUACCCCAUCGGUUAUUGUGUGCGUACCAAAGAAAGAAAAGAGAGACUUGCAAAUGUAAAACUUAAGACAGCGAGACAAUUAAGAGCUAAAAAAAACAAAGAACAUAUGCAUUAUACAUCAGAAAAAUCCCAUAAAAAAAUGAAGGGAAACUUCACUUUUGGCCUAACCAAAAGCAGACCACCUACUCUUAGCGUUCUAGACAUAGCAUUGAGUUUGAUGAGGGCUUUGAAAAUAGGAGGAAUCCUCCCCGUUCCACACUAGGGGAAAAACGAGACUUGUCACUCCGAAGGGAGCAGUCAAACUUAGCAUUGAGUUCAAGGUAUCCUUCUUAGAUUCUUGAAUCAUGACUACAUUAGGACUACAAUAGUUGAUGAAUUUUUUAAGUGCACGUUUAGAGGGGUCGUUCAAACUCCUAGUGCUCCAGGAGACAACCUUCAUAAUGACUGGGAGGAGGAAAAGGCAGUUGCACAUCUAAUUUAAGCCAUAAUGAUUCCACAAUCACCGACUAUAGACACUAAAUCAUUAGGCAAAUCCAGGGGAAUUUUAAUAGGGAGAAUAUCUUCAUCAUUGAACAAGACAUUCAGAUCCAUCCCAUUAAUUUCUUGGACUAAUUUAGGGUCAACUUCAGUGUUGGGGACUGCCAAUUUAACUGAUCUCCACAGUAAGUUGAUUAAGUUGGGGAACACGAGACAAGGCAUCUGCUGCUUUGUUUUCUAGUCCCGGUUUAUACACGACAUCAAAAUUGUAGCCAAGAAGCCUAGCAAUCCACCUCUGAUGUCGAGGUUGGAUAACCCUUUGUUCCAAUAAAAGUUUCAAUGAUCGUUGAUCAAUUUUCACUACAAACCUCCUGCCCAAAAGAUAAGGUCUACAACAUUGCACAGCCAAAACUACAGCCAUAAAUUCCCGUUCAUAAACUGGUUUAGCACGACCCCUCAUAGCUAAUGUCAGGCUAAAAUAAGCAAUUGGCCGAUGAUUUUGAAUUAAGACAGCAUCUACCCCGUAUCCAGAAGCAUCGGUCUCUAUUUCAAAUGGUAAGGAAAAAUCUGGCAGUGCUAAGAUUGGGAGAGUCAUCAUAGCCAUCUUUAAAUUCUCAAAAGUUUCAGCAGCUACAACAGUCCAUUCAUAAGCUCCUUUCUUCAAUAAUUGAGUCAAAGGAGCAGCCUAAUUCAUUACAAAUCUUCGAUAAUAUCCUGUCAACCCAAGAAAUCCACGAACUUCACGGACAUUUGUGGGCACGGGCCAUUCUUUGAUAGAUCUAAUUUUCUCGGGAUCGACCUCUACACCCUUGCCCGAAAUUAUAUGGCCAAGAUACUCCACUUUCAUUUUGGCAAACCCACACUUGUGCAUAUUAGCAUAUAAUUUAUUCUCUCGCAGCACCUCUAACACCCAUUCUAAAUGUUGAAGAUUUUCAUCCAAACUUCUGCUGUAAAUUAAAAUAUCAUCAAAAAAGACUAAGACAAACCUGCGUAGGUAAGGUUUAAAGAUACUAUUCAUCAAAGCUUGAAAUGUUGAUGGUGCAUUGGUGAGCCUAAAAGGCAUGACAAGAAACUCAUAAUGCCCCUCGUGAGUUCUAAAAGCUGUUUUCUCCACAUCCUUUUUACACAUUCUAAUUUGAUGAUAUCCCACCUUGAGAUCAAUCUUCGAAAAUAUAUUAGCCCCAUUAAGUCAUCAAAAAAUUCCUCUACUACUGGAAUAGAAAACUUGUCUGGAACGGUCACACUAUUCAACGCACGAUAAUCUACACAAAACCGCCAACUACCAUUUUUUUUCACCAACAAGACCAGGCUCGAAUAUGGACUAGUACUAGGUUUUUAUGCCAGAUGCCAUCAUUUCAUCAACUAAUCUUUCCAUCUCAUCCUUUUGCUGGUAUGCAUAUCUAUAAGGUCGAACAUUGACUGGAUUAGUCCCCUUCUUAAGAUGUAUAUGAUCUUCAAUGGUACGUUGUGGUGGCAACUCUCCAGGCCAAUCAAAAACAUCUUCAUACUUAGCUAACACGGCUGGAAUAGACUCAUGAAUGGUAGACACUUCAUCAACCCCAUACAACGCUGCAAAUGCCAUUCCACCUUCCAAAGAUCUACACUCAAUCACAAAUCCCUAAUCAAGUUCUGUCCAUGUCUUCAUCAUGUGCUUCAAACUCACCCUAGCCUUCGUAAGACUCGGAUCUCCCCUUAAUACAACCUUCUUCCCAUUUUGUAUGAAUGUCAAGGUAAGUUUUCGCCAAUCUACUUCAGUUACUCCUAAUGUAUGUAGCCAUUGCAUAUCAAGAAUGACAUCCCCCCCCCCCCCCCCCAAUUCCAAUGGCAGAAAAUUAUCCACAACCUUCCAUUCACCCAAUAGCAGUUCCACUUGUUUACAAAUUCCCUUCCCUUUUACAGCAGAUUCAGACCCCAAAAUAACCCCAUAAUCAGAAGUUUCCUGCGACUGCAACAACAAUUGAGUUACUAACUUUUCAGAUAUAAAAUUAUUGGUCGCGUCGCAAUCUAUCGAUACUACUACUGACCAAGCAGAAACCUGGAAUUUUCCAUCCGCUGCACGUUUGAAACUUGAUUCUCCCAUUAUCACUUCUCGGUUCUCAAUCUUUUGGGCCAACUUCAUCAUUUGAGCAAGCCCCAUAGGUUCCCAACAUUCCAUGUCUACCUUAAUCCAUGGUUUCAAACCAUUCAUAAAUGUUUCUUCUAAGACAGCCUUUUGUAGAAAAGGCAAUGGUGCUACUGAUUUAUCAAAUAAAUUCCAAUAUUCUUCCACUGUAAUUUCUUUCUUGAUCUUUAAAAAUCUUCCCAGAAUUAAUCCCUCACGACUCGAUCGAAAUCAAACAAUAAGUCUCUUCUUUAAAUCGUCCCAAUUAACAAACGGUUCACGAUCUUCAUGAGAUCUAUACCAAUUCAAAGCUGCUCCAUCAAAACUAAUAAUGGACACAGUCAUUUUCUCUGACUCACUCAGUUUGUGUAUCUGAAAGUAUCUCUCAGCCCUAAAAAACCAAGAAUCAGGAUCAUUUCCCACAAAAACUGGCAUUUCAAUUUUUUUAAAUUUGCUUUGGUCGCCUGCAGAAUCUUCACCCUCCAACUUGGUAUGUUUUUCCUCAGAUUUUCCUCCCAUCAUCGUCCAAUCACUGACAUCAACCAUGCUGUCAACUCACUUGAUGGUCCUUCUAGUACUUCUUCCAUCGUUGUCUUCCCUUUGAUCAUUCCUUCAAUAUAUUUCAACAGUGUUUCUGGUUGCUGUUGUUGCUUCUCAGCCUGUACUCCUAACCUCUCAAUACUCUUCGCCAAAGAUGACAUGUUUUCCUUGAUUGUUGGCAGAUCAUGUAAUUCUGCUCGAAUGCCGGAUAUUUCUUGAUCUACCAUUUCCAACUUUUCCUCAAUUCGCUUUUGAGCCAUGAUAUAGAACUUCAUAGAUUCGAUUUCUCCGAUACCAAAAUGAUAGAACACCAAAUAGUGUGUUCUACUAAUUUAUUAAUCAGCCAAACAUUUACAGAAAACAGGUUCUAACACAGUCUUGAAAACAAAGUACUCGACAAUUUGGAAGACAGAAAGCCCUAGAAGAGUGAAUAUCACGCUUUGGAGAAUGCGAAAUGGACUAUGAACUGUGCAGAAGUUUUGCAAAUGAAACCUCCCUUUCUCAUACAAAUAUGAUGAGAUAAACUGUGAGAGGAAGGUUUCAUUUGCAAAACUUCUGCACAGUUCAUAGUCCAUUUCGCUUUCUCCAAAGCGUGAUAUUCACUCUUCUAGGGAUUUUUGUCUUCCAAAUUGUCGAGUAUAAAUGUUUUUCAAUUGGGGAGGCAAUGGAGAGAUGGUUGACUAAUGAAUGAACCAAAAACUUCCCAUUUGAUUCUGAUUUCUAGGUUCUUUUAUUUUGGGAGACUUGAAAUUCAUAUAUUUCUUCAACUUUUAGAAGUCUCCUGAAAUUUAGAGCCCAUGAAGUAGUGGAAGAGUCCCAAAACUCCUUUACAUCUCUAUUAUUAGAGUUCAAAGACAAUCUAAAUGAUCUUGAAAAGAAACAACAUCUGCCCAAAAAUCAUUCCAAAAUGCUAUUCUUCAACCAUCACCGAACUUGAACAAUGCCUAGGAAUCCACUUGAAGCUAGCAUCUCGAAAUGCUAAUCCAGGGACUAUGGAGACUGCAAGUGACAAUUCCUUUAGUAUGCCAUCCAAAUUAACUUUCUCCAUGGAUACUCUUCACCACUUUAGCCCAAAGGGAAUUCUUUUCAUUUAUAAAUCUCCAUCCCCAUUUAGCAAGAAGGUUGCAUUUUUUUAACGUUGCACCAUCGACGCUGAGUCCACCAUCCUCUUGCGAACAAGACACCACCUUCCAAUUAAUCACUUUAUGAAUCAUCUUUUCUGGCAUUAAGAAUAUAGACAUAUAGUGUGUAGGUAUAUGUGAAAAAACCGACUUAGGAUUUGCUAGGUCGUUUUGAAAACUCAAGUAAUACCUAGACACGUUUUGAGCACGUUUUAGGUUGGUUUGAACUAAGUUUGCUGCAAUUACACACCUGGUUGCCAUUUAGGGGCUUGUAGUGCUUUUUUCACAAUAUUUGAACUUUUUUCGUAGGGCAUGAGUUACGAACCUACACGUAAGCUGUUUUAGGACAUUUUGAAAGUUCAAGUGAUACUUAGACACGUUUUUAACUCGGUUUAGGUUGGUUUGAAACUAAGUUUGUUGACCUUAUCCAAUUGGUUGCCAUUUUCGGUCUUGAAGUGCCCUUUUCACACUUUUUGAACUUUUUGGUAGGCUAUGGGUUACCAAUUUACACUUAAACUUUGUUUAGUUGUUUUGAAAGUCCAAGUGAUACUUAGACACGCCUUGACCACUUUUUAGGUUGGUUUGGAACUAAGUUUGUUGCACUUGCGCACUUGGUUGCCAUUUUGGGUCCUGUAGUGUUUCCUUUUUUUCCAUACUUCUUGAACUUUUUGGUAGGUUAUGAGUGACAAACUUACAAAUAAACAUUAUUAGGUCGUUCUGAAAGUUCAAGUGAUACUUAAACACGGUUUGAAAUUUUUUUAGAUUUGUUUAAAACUAAGUUUGUUUCACUCGCAUACUUGGUUGCCAUUUUAGGUCUCAAAGUGCAUUUUUUACGCAUUUUGAACUUUUUGUUAGUUUGUGAGUUACGAAUUUACACUUAAGGAUUGUUAGGUCGUUUUAAACACAUUUUGCGUUGGUUUGAAACUAAGUUUGUUGCACUUACACAUUUGAUUGAAAUGUUGGGUCUUGAAGUACUUUUUUUCACACUUUUUGAAAUUUUUUUAGGUUGUGAGUUACGAACUUACGCUUGAGUAUUGUUUGGUCGGUUUGAAAUCUUAGACACGUUUUGCACUCUUUUUAGGAUGGCUUGAAACUAAGUCCGUUGCACUUACAUACUUCGUUGCCGUUUUGGGUCUUGAAGUGCUUUUUUUACACUUUUUGAAAUUUUGGUAGGUUGUGAGUUACAAACUUACACUUAAGCAUUGUUUGGUCGUUUUGAAAGUUGAAGUGAUACACACACGUUUUGAAUACAUUUUAGGUUAGAUUGAGUUUGUUGCACUUGGUUGUCAUUUUUGCUCUUGAAAUUCUUUUUUCAACCUUUUUGGUAGAUUAUGAGUUACGAACCUACAUUUAGGAUUUGCUAAGGUCGUUUUGAAAACUCAAGUAAUACCUAGACACGUUUUGAGCACGUUUUAGGUUGGUUUGAACUAAGUUUGUUACACUUACACACUUGGUAGCCAUUUUGGGUCUUGUAGUCAUUUUUUCACACUGUUGGAACUUUUUUCGUAGGUUAUGAGUUACGAACCUACACGUAAGCUGUUUUAGGUCGUUUUGAAAGUUCAAGUGAUACUUAGACACAUUUUUUUCAAGUGAUACUGUUUUAGGUCGUUUUCAAGUGAACUUUUUUCUUCUUGUAUUGACUGUUUUACUAUUUCUUCAUGGUUUGUAUUCAUGGUAUUUAUUUUCGUAAUGAAUCUUUCAUGUUCUGGUAAACAUUGCAGAAACACAUAAUUUCAGCAAUCUGUCAAAGAGUUGAAGGAGAAGACAGAAGUACUUAAAGGUCACAUGAAGACCUAAAAGUUAGGUAAUUUUUUGAAAACUUUUUUCUUCGUCUUGCUUAGUUUUAGUGGUAUUUGUUAACAGGCUGAGACACACUCUUGUAUGCCAAGGCUGGGUGGCCAAUUCAAUGGAUGGCCUGAGACGGUGAAAUGACGAGUGUAGAACAAAGUAGACAAUCGAGCAGAUUUACAAGUAGGAGGAUGGUGUUUGGUCUUACUGUAAAGCUACUGCUAGAAAGGUGAUUCUCCCUUUAUUUACACAUGUUAUCUAUAUUUAAUUACUGUUUUUAUGUGAUGGUGAAUAAAUAUUUAAGUCGUUUCAAGUUUUUACAUCAUGCUUGAGUUAAUACAUUUCCCAACUCGCACUAAUUUUAAAGUUGAGACUAAGUUUGUUGCACUUACACACUUGGUUUCCAUUUUGGAUUUUGGAGUGCUUUUUCUACAUUUUUUGAACUUUUUGGUAGGUUAUGAGUUAUGAAGUAACACUAAAGCAUUAUUAGGUCGUUUUUAAAGUUCGAGUGAUACUUAAACAUUUUUUAACACCUUUUAGGUUGUUACAAACUAAGUUAGUUUUACAUACAGCCAUGGUUGCCAUUUUGAGUCUUGAAAGAUUUUUUUUCACACUUUUUGAAAUUUUUGGUAAGUUAUGAGUUAUAAACUUACACUUAAGCGUUGUUAAGGUGUUUGAAAACUUAUACGUGUUUUCAAUACUUGUUAGGUUUGUAUAGAACUAAGUUCGUUGCACUUACACACUUGACAUUUUGGGUUUUGGAGUGUCUUUUUAAAAAAUUUGGAACUUUUUGCUAGGUUAUGACUUAUGAACUUGUAUUGAAUAUUUGUUAGGUCGUUUUGAAAGUUCAAGUGAAACUUAGACACGUUUUGAACUCGUUUUAGGUUGGUUUGAAACUAAGUUUUACACACAUUUGAUUGACAUGUUGGGUCUUGAAGUACUUUUUUCAUACUUUUUGAAAUUUUGGUAGGUUGUGAGUUACAAACUUACACUUAACCAUUUCUGGGUCGUUUUGAAAAUUCAAGUGAUACUUACACACGUUUUGAAUACAUUUUAGGUUAGAUUGAGUUUGUUGCACUUGGUUGUCAUUUUUGGUCUUGAAAUGCUUUUUUCAACCUUUUUGGUAGAUUAUGAGUUACGAACUUACACUUAGGAUUUGCUAGGUCGUUUUGAAAACUCAAGUAAUACCUAGACACGUUUUGAGCACGUUUUAGGUUGGUUUGAACUAAGUUUGUUGCACUUAGACACUUGGUUGCCAUUUUGGGUCUUGUAGUGCUUUUUUCACACUAUUUGAACUUUUUUCAUAAAUUAUGAGUUAUGAAUCUACAUGUAAGCUGUUUUAGGUCGUUUUGAAAGUUCAAGUGAAACUUAGACACGUUUUGAACUCGUUUUAGGUUGGUUUGAAACUAAGUUUAAAACACAUUUGAUUGACAUGUUGGGUCUUGAAGUACUUUUUUCACACAUUUGGAAAUUUUGGUAGGUUGUGAGUUACAAACUUACACUUAAGCAUUGCUUGGUCGUUUUGAAAAUUCAAGUGAUGUACACGCGUUUUGAAUUCAUUUUAGGUUAGAUUGAGUUUGUUGCACUUACACACAUGGUUGUCAUUUUUGGUCUUGAAAUGCUUUUUUCAACCUUCUUGGUAGAUUAUGAGUUACGAACUUACACUUAGGAUUUCCUAGGUCGUUUUGAAAACUCAAGUAAUACCUAGACACGUUUUGAGCAUGUUUUAGGUUGGUUUGAAUUAAUUUUGUUGCACUUACACACUUGGUUGCCAUUUUGGGUCUUGUAGUGCUUUUUUCACAAUAUUUGAACUUUUUUCGUAGGUUAUGAGUUACGAACCUACACGUAAGCUGUUUUAGGUCGUUUUGAAAGUUCAAGUGAAACCUAGACACGUUUUGAGCAUGUUUUAGGUCGUUUUGAGUAAAUGGUAUGUAUGUUGUGAUUGUUUGAUUGCAUGUAUAAUACCUUAUUGAGAUGUGAAUGCUUGAUUGAGAAGCUGAUAGAACACCAGGUAAUGGUUCUUAUUUGUUCAUUAAGCAACCAAACUAUUACAGAAUACAAUACUCAAACUAGUCUUGAAAACACAGAACAAACAAGUACUAUUACAGACAAUAACCAUGUACAAAAUAAAACAUUCAAACAUCAAAAGUAGUUUACGAUAAUGGAAAACACUUUCUAAGAUUAAAGUAACUGAACAACUUCUGAAAUUCUGCUCUCCAGAAAAUACAGCCCUUCCACUUCCAGAAACUGAUUAACCAACCCCCAUCUUUCCUUCCAAAAUAAAACAUUCAAACAUCAAAAGUAUGUAGGAAGGCUAACCAGAACUGAGUUGCAUAAGGUUUGUCUUCCGCCUCUAGAGAUGUUAUAUCUUUUCAUCUAAGAACAAAAUUGAUCACUUUUUUUCCCUUGACAAUCUCUCUAGUUUCUAGGUUAGGUUAAGUGAUGGGAAUGACUAACCACACUCACAAACGUUUAUCUGUAUGGCUAUUGCAAGCAUGCUACUUGCAUAGACAAUCCAUUUCUAAAUAGUUGCAUAGAAUGUUUACUUAUUGGUAUUAAAUAUUCUUGUUUGAAUAAGAGGUUUUCUUUAAUGGUUAAGUAAGCUCCUGAAGGUGACAAGUACAAGGUUGCACGAACGUGGGGCCGUAUCAAUAUUGUUACUCGGAAAUGGUUUGAUCAGUCCAUGGCCAGAAAAGGUAGUAGUUCGGGUUGUAUAUUUGAAAACCGAUAUGAUAUUUGAAUUGUUGGCAGUUAUUUGUCUAAUAAUUUUAUUAGUUUCUAACUUGUUUCAAAUCCUUUUAUUCUCAUUUUUAAUUGAUAGGAUGUUUUAAUGAGGAGCUGUACCCUGUUGGUAGCGUUUCUGGAACUUCAAAUAAAUUGACAAGGGGUUGCUUGACUGCUCACAAUAGCCAAGAAAAGGAUAUUGGGAACUUGGAAGCUGUACCGUCCUCAUUUCUUACCGAUUCAAAAUUCACAGCAGUUGCUGGUCCUGGGUUUUCAGACAUGGAUGUUAAAGUUACUCUUUCACAGAGCACGUCUAUGUUUUCAGAUGCUUCUAAUUUUAUAAAUGAGGUUGAUGUUGAAGUGCCAGUCACGAUGGGAAGGAAUGAAGAAAACACUGUUAAUUGUCUUGCAAAUGACUUUUAGUCUGAAGAAAACGACCUAUAUUUGUCAGCAUGUAGAAUAAAAGUUGUUGGGUUUGAAGCUUCUGAGAUGCGGAAGAUUGUAAAUAUGAUUCUCAGAGGUGGAGGCUCCCGAUACAUGGUUUUCAAUGACAAAUUAACACACAUAAUAGUUGGAGAUUCGUCAGAAAUGUAAUUAUCCUUUUACUUUAAUCGCAACAUAGGUUUUGUGAACUUUAUUGCUUGAAUUUGUGAGCUCGCCUGUGCUGUGAGCUUUUUGAUUUCAUUUGAAUGGUCUAUCCACCCAAUUGAAAAUUAGUUUUAUCAUAUUUCAAAUGGCAGGGAGAAAAAGGAGGUUAGAGAUAUUGCUACUUCAGGAGUUGUUCAUGUGGUUAGAUCCAACUGGCUUGAAGAGUGUGACCGUCAGAAGAAGGAGAUCCCUAUUCUUGGUAGACACAUGGCAUAUGAUGAACUUAUUCCUAAAGGUUUGAUAUGCAGGACUCGUAUUCUAAGCUAUCUGUCUUUUGAAUAGCAACCUUAAACUACCAUCAUGCAGAAUAACUGCACAUUUCAUUUGGAUGCAUGACUAAUAUUUGUUUGGAGAUCCCUAGCCUGUUUGUCUUGUUCUAAAUUUUCUGGCUGUUUACUUUGCAGCAUCUAGUAAAAUGAGCACCAUUGUUAUGGAUCAAAAUAAAGUUCCAAAUGUUCAUCCAAUCGUGCCAUCAAAUGUGUCAGAAGGAAAUAUUCAUGUUAGCAUUGGAAAGACGUCAAUAGCAGUGGAAAGAAUUGAAGAAAAAAGUGAAACAAAAGUGAAUGGAGACAGGAAAAUGAAAUUAUCCCAGAAAAGCCAACAAUGUGUAGCAAAUGGUACAAACAAGAGUUGAGAAAAGAUGGGGCGUGAUUUCAUGGUUUCAAAUGGGAAGUCAUCAUGUGUAUUUAAGGGGAAAAUAUUUUGUUUUUCUAGUUCCUUUCCAGAAGAUCGGGUAUGUUGUAAAGAUUCUUUCCUCUUAUUUCAAACAGCAUGAUUAAUGUACACUAUGCACUUUAGGUUUUAGAUGUAUUAUUGUGGUAAAUAGCAUCCAUUUUUUUAAAAAAAUAACAAAGUAGAAGCCCUGUAUUCAAUAUCAAUUGACUUGAGUAAAGAGUAGUUCAUUACUGCUCCAACUCCAUGAUUUUAAAAGCAAGUCAAUGGUGCAGAUAGGAUUCUAGAUCUACUGUUUCUUUAACACUCCGAUCCUGUUAAGAGAAUGAUAUAAAAAAAAUGGAAAAAUUACCUUUUUAGUCCCCAAUUUUAUAGAAAUAGGUUUAUUGGUCCUUGAGUUUUCAAAAUGUACUCUUUUAAUCCUUGAGUGCUUAAUGUUAUACUGGAGACUCUCAAAACCAAUUUUUAGAAGAAGUUAUUCUACCUUAAAAAUGUAUAAAGUUAUAUUGGGGACUUUCUAAACCAAUUUUUAUAAACUUAGAGACUAAAAAGGUGCAUGACCAAAUGGGUCUAUUUUUCUAAACCUGGAGACUAAAAAUGUACAUUUUUAAAACUCAAGAACCAAACACACGUGUUCUUCAAAACCAAAACUUGGGGAGUAAUUUUCCUAAAAAAUUUAAGAUAGUGCCAAAUGUCAUUUAGCAUGUGAAAUAAUUACGAUUUUCAUUUUUCAUUUGAGGAAUAUGCCUUCAAAUUUUUUUUACAUUUUAUUUUUGAACACUAACAAACAUGCAUCAACUUUUGACUUCCAUAAUCCCAAAUAUUUUUUAUGUAUAUUUUGAGAUCAUAUUUGAAAUUCUCCUACUAGAGAGCUGAAAUUGUUGAAUGGAUAAAUCAAGGGGGAGGCGAGGUUGUUGAAGAUCACAUGAAGCAGAAAGUGCACUUCACUGUUGAAUGUCAUGGUGGGAUACCAAGGAGUACAGACGUUCAUAGUACUUAUGUGUCAAGUCAUCGGGUUCGAUCAUGUUUAGAGGUAAGCGAUAAUUAAUUGUCUUAUUUGUGAUUUCCGUUUUAGAGCUCUACUAUUGGGUUUUGUUUGUGUUUCCCUUUUUGGACAUAAAAGUCCACACAAGGUUGAAUAGCAUAUUUUGUUUCAUUUAGCCACUGCAAGUUUGGAUUGUGUUUGGGUUGGAGCUUUGAAUUUUGAGGGACUUUAGUUUUGUGUUGAGCCACGCUCUUAUAAUAUGAAGGAUGGAUACUGUUUUUUCCAAAACCAAACGCACAUCAGUUUUCUAAGAUUACAACAACUGUCCUCCCAGUGUAAAAAAAGGUAUCCUCAAACCAACCAAAAGAAGGGGAAUAUGUGAGCAAGAUUUAUAGUUAAUAAAUCAUCAAAAGUAAAUUAGAGUUGGACUCGAGAACUCUUGCUGAUGUAUAGGAAAAGCAGACAAGGUAUGGGAAUAUAAAUUAAAACAGCCUUUAGAUGAAAAGGGCUGCUACAACUGAUCCUACCUCAAAUGGCGGUACCAAAAUAUAGGACUUGAACCUCAGUCUUCUCCCUCGCCCGUUGUUCUUGGCAAUGUUAAAGUAUCUCAAUUCGUACACAUUCAUCUCCUUGUUUGAAGCAAUAACUCAAAGCCAAUCUCUAAUGUUGUGUUUCUUGAAAUUCUUCUUAGCCAAGUAUUUAAGAUUCCUCUUGGAGAAGUAGCUAUUGGAGUUGAUGUUGAUCUUGUUCUUGUCCUGAGUGAUAGUGACUGAGUCAUCAAGUGUCUCUGCCACCCCAGCUUUGUUGGUCUGAUGAGGUGAUGGCCGUGAUCUUGUCCUCAACUGGCAUCACACAAUCAAAUGGUCACAUCCUUAUUUUUUCCCUUUGGGCCACCAGAUGCGGCUGGUCGAUGACUCAUUCUGCUUCUGCUCUGCUACUUGUUUCCCUAACUCUGCAUCUGUAUAGAACAAUUGGCAUAAAUGGUGGAUACUAUUAAAUUGGAAAAUGGAGAUUCAAUCAGUUCUAUCAUUUUGACCUUUUGAUGUUUAGGGGAAGGUGGUAACAUAAAUUUACCUUCUCAGACUAUCCAUUAAGGUUGGUCUGAAAAGAAAAGGGUGGUCUAUCUUGGAAAACAUAUUUGGUUGUUCUCUUUUUUCUUCACUCUGUCUACAUUUUGGAAAUAUGAGUGCUAUCAUUGUGUGAGAGGUUUCUUUAUUGACAAAAUUAAUUGGAGUUCAACAUUUGAAGAAGUCUUUCUAUGACUGUCCCUUGAACUCCAAAGGUUUGCACUCCAUCCCUGUGCCAAACAAAUAGAUGCUUCUUAUAUAUUUUUCUCUGGAAUUGAGAAAGUAUUGAUGCACACUUCUGUUAAAUGCGUUAAAUUACGGCUUUGAAGCCAAUUUUGAAUGGAUAGCUGGCGUAGAAACUGCCAUUAUUGAUGAAAUUUGAUACUACUGAUGAUUUUUAAUUUUAAUUUUAUAUUAUUAUUAAUUUCGUAGCCUAAUUAUGUUCAAUAUCUUAAACUGAUAUUUGAAAUGAGAAUUGAAUUUUUAUCUUGUUUUUAUUUGUUUACUGACUAUUUCAAAUAAACUCGUUAUGAAGGAUGGAUGUUUGUGGGAUACCAAUGGGCACAUUUUCUAUUCUCCUCUUCCUUGCUGUGUCCCUUUGCCUGGAUUUGAAAACAUACGGUUUUGUGUUUCACAAUAUGAUGACAAAGACAGAGUAUUGUUAAGAAAUCUGUGUUUUGUACUUGGGGCCAAGUUUGUGGAGAAGCUGACAAAGAAGGUAACCCAUCUAAUAUGCAAGUUCACCGAUGGGACAAAUUAUGAGGCUGCUUGUAAAUGGGGGAAACAAUGCAUUACAGCUGAAUGGAUAUAUGAGUGUGUCAGCCAGGUACCUUUGCGAUUUUGUUGCUUUUCAAUUAUAUAUGUUCACGUACAUGCAUAUCCUGGUAGAAUUCUAGACCCAUUGGUGUAUCCUUCUAUUAGGAUUGAUGUUUUUUAUGUUUAAACUUUUGGUUUCCUUUGCAUUUGGUUUAAUCCUUAAUCGUACCAGAUUUUCCCGCCAGACUGUUCGCUUGUUGGUCAAGACCAUUCAGAAACUUCUCCAAUUGGUGCUUUAUCUAACCAGUGGUCAAAAAGGUAAUUUUUGCCGUUGUCUCCUUGAUCUUCUUAUGGAAAGACCAUGCUGAAUUGAAGUGUUUAACAAGAACGGUCGCUGCCUGGAAAUAUAGUGAGACCAUUCAACGAAGUCGUUAUGAAAGAGUUUAUUUUCACUAUAAGAGAAAUAUUUUUUUUUAUAUUCUUUUAGUCUCUACUGAUGAAUUGCUUCCUAGAACAAUAUAAUUUAUAAUUUCUUUCAAAAUAGGUUCGUUUGAGUAAUAGUGUUAAUUAUAAAACUCAAAUCACACCGUUUGCAAUGCUUGAAAACCAGUAUUCACAAAUAAAUGCUAUCCUUGAGCAUUAACUUUUUUCAUGGGACAUUUGCAAAAAUGGUAAAACAAGUUAUAACUUUAUUAUUUGUGAAAAUGAUCAAAUAAAGUCCAGCCCACCCAUAUAAAAGCCUGGAUUUGAUUAUUUUUGCUAUAUUUUCAAAAUCACAAACCUUAAAGACAUUUUUACAAAAUACCUAAACUAAUUUGCCACCCAAUAUAGUUUUCCUUUUUCAUUUUAGAAAAACCAGGUUUGGAAAUAAAGGCAGUAGGUUAUUUCUUUAAAAACUAGCCAUUAAAUAUCCCUGUAUUCUAAGUGGAUCUUAGCAUAAUGCAAGCUUUAGUGUUUUUUCGAGAAAGACUAUUAUGUUCAAACACAAUUCAAUUUUGCCUUUGUAACUUGGUUUUUGAGACCUUUGUGUCUUGUAUUUUCUCAGAGCUGAAAGAAAAGAAGAUGUCGGCAAUUCUACUACUGAAGAUGGGACUGUGGGCAUAUGUGAUGGCUUUAGUGAAACACAAACAGAGUCUCAGGUGUGUGCUAUGCAAUCCAGAAGGGGGAAUGCAACUAUACCCAACUCACAGGUUGAUGACGGUGAAUGGGAGCUGUAUCCACAAGUAACUGCUCUAUGCAUUGGAAAUGCUAAAUACUUUGGCGUGGUAUGAAAAUUGUGCAAAUGCCGAUCCUUCCAACAGGAGUCUAGAGGUAUAAUUCGUUUCUGUGGGAUUUUAUUUGAUCACUUUUUCCUUCCUUGUCUUCUUAACUAUGUGAUGCUUUUCUUUGCAGGUAGUAAUUCUUCAGGAUUUCAAGUGGUAUGACUUUAUUCUGAAUUUACACAAAAUAUACAAUGGGACAUAUUUGACGGUGAAAAACGUAACAUCAAGAAGGUUAGUCAUCUCUUUAAAAAUUAUAAUGUGCCUAGAUUUUCCAUUUUGUAUUUCAAUUUUUCUCUCUCCAACGGUCUGUUUUAUGUUCGAGACUUGUGGAAGCAGAGGUGAAGAAACUAUAAUUGAACUGGAUUUGCAUGGAGCAUUGUGAUUUUCAUUUCUGUCAAGUUUUUGCUUGAGAAAAACUUACACUCAAACUUAUAUGGAGAUGCUUUAUUUACCUAGCAGAGAAGCCCUAAGAAAAGUAAUAUUGUUAAACCUUCUUACUUCUGGCAUUCUGAUGUAUCCUCAACCAAAAUUAGAAAGUUAUAUGAUUAUCCUUUUUUCCUUGUUAAAUCUUUGUCAACGUUGAUGAACUCAAUUAAUCGAUAUCAAUGUAACUCAUCCAUGGUUGAACAUAUGAUUGAGCAUGAUUUCACAUUUCAGCUCCACCUCAUUAAAAUUCAUUGUUUGGCAAUGAUGCCCUUUUCUCAAUCAAAACUUCCUAUUUCUGCUUCUGAGCUUGUUCGUCUGCAAUGCAACUAUCAUCAGUUUAUUGUUUUGUUGUUCAAGCAGCGUUCGUUUGAUCGAAGUGGAAGAAGUUUCUUGCAGCGGCAGCAUAUAUGUUCAAUCUGAUGGGGAACACUUGGGGUUUCUCCAAGGAAAUUCCAUAUUCUACCAGCUGCCAUUGAAAUGAUAUGCUGAACAUGAGCUCCCUUUUGCGGAGAGAGAAAAACAAUAAGCAAAAGUUUCGUAGCCGUAGGACCCUUUUUUUCUAACGUGGACUCCUCUCUCAAAUUAGAGUAGACAAAGUAAGUUGUUAUUUUACUUUUUUUUGUAUCGAAACCUUCUUUAUACAAAAGUUUCAUACUUUCAUCCAUGGCCAAAUUAGAAAAUAAUGUUCACAAUUUCUUGUCUUGUUAAAUGAAAUUUCACAUUUUUUGAAAAUUUUGGAUUAUAAUUAUUUGAAAAAACAAAUUUUUUUUUGCUAACUUUACUGAAAAUUUUGUUGCUUUACGGGUUACCCUUUUAGUUAACGGUUCUUAUUAGACAAUUUUUUUACCUAAGUUUUUCUCUUUGAAAUUUGAUUUUUUUUAGUCUAAUUUUUUUUAAAAAAAUAUUUGUUUUAGUUCUAAUUUUUUUUUUUUUUUUUGCGUUUUAAAUGGGCUUUAUGACAAAUAAUUCAAAUGUUUCUUAAAUGGCCUUUUCUUCUCUAACUCCUUUCUACUUUUUCCCUCCUCCCCCCUUCUCUCUCUCUCAUUUCAAAUUUCUUCCCCCACUUCUUCUCUAACGGGCUUUAUGAAAAUAAGCUUGGCUUGUCUUAGAUAUACGAGAGAUAAAGUAAUGUUUUUAACUAAAAAUGCCUUAAACCAUCAAUGGUCUCAACUCCUCCCAAGACCUCUCAAAACCCUUACUCUCUUCUGGUCACAUGUUCCAUUAAAAAAAAAUCUAGUGAGAUAUUUCACAACCUUGAUCACAUAAGACUACAAUCGCUAUUUCAAACCAAACUAACUCUAAAGGGCUCGACAAAAGUUGGAAAUCAAGGUAGCAAACUGCCAUCUCUAAAGGAUGCGAUGUGAUCUAAUUCCUUAAAUGCUCCCGUGCUAUAAAUGCAUGGGUGCAGUCCAAACACAAAGGAAGAUUGUCCCUAUAUAUAAUCAUUUUUUAUAGGAAGCAUAUCUGAUAUAAUCUAUAAUGUUAACUCCCUAACGCAAAGUCCUUGCUUCUAAUUAUGCCACUCUAGAAACUUGACAUUCUUGGAAGUUUCUUCGUUUACCGUGAAGUGGAGUUGAUAGUAAUAAUAUUGAUGGUGUUGGUUGUGUAGAAACCAACCUAAACUGUAACGAACGAAACCACCUCAAAGUCAUGAAUCAUGGAUGUUGGAAUUUAAUCAGUUGCUUUCCUUGUUAUUAGUACAACUUCCCAUGCUAAUAAACCUUUUUGGUUGUUUGGAUGUGAUAAAUUGCAGUUUUAAGUAUCAAACUCCCCAUGAGUGUCGAGCAUUAUGAACUAGCUAGUGCAACAAUCUUGAUGACAUCAAUAUUAGAUCAAAGUUCUCUCUCUAUAUAUUUUUCUUUCUAUGUUUUGAUCUGAAUUUUGAAGUAUGUAGUAUGUGUUGGCUGAGGAUUCUAGAACUAACAGAUUUCUUUUUCUUUUUCUAGGUGCUGUUUAUGGUAUGAGGCCAUUAGAUUUAAGGUAAUACUAUCUCCCAUAAAUUCAACCAUGGCUCUCUAACUCUGUUAUGACAAUCUAAAGUUUCUCAUCAAAUUAUCAUGAAUAGUUAAUCUUUUUCAAGUUAACUAGUGUUUUAUCUAAGCAUCUUGAAACUAAUAUGAGAUUUCGGCACUGCCUUGCUAGGAAUUCUAUUAUCAUGGGAGAUUACCAAAGUUAUGUUUUAUUAGCAUGGGAUCGAAAUUCGCACUCAACCAACUUUGAAGUGAAAAAUAAAAUACUACAGAUUUUGUCCUUGUCGAAACAAAUUUCAUAAUCUUUUCUCAUAUUUUUAUAUUCUUCUUCAUGUCAUUCUAAAUGACUUUGAGGAGAGGAAAACUCAUAGAUUAUAGGAAAUUAUUCGUAUUCCUGAAUAUUUCUACGUUUGGUUCAAUUAUUCCAUUCUUAUUAUGUUAAGUUUUAGUUUUAAAAGCCCAAAGGUUUACAAAAAAGAAAAAAAAAAGACUUGAAACAGUUUUUGAUGAUGAUAGAUGAGAAUGAAUUAUUGACUAAACUUGUAUCUAUUGUUGCAGGUGUUAGGACUAUUGAAAAUUAGAUAUAUUGGAUAAAAGACAACACUUGGAAGUACUGCCAUAUUUGGCCUUUUCUUAGGGGCUGGGAGUUUGAUACAUUGUGGAAAGUCAUAUUAAAUCACAAGGUCCUGUAUUACAAGUUAUGUUUAUGUGAUUAUUACCUUAAUCUUACUUUUAGCCAGCAAACAAGAACAUUUAUUGAAGUCGUGGAUCAUUGAUGCACAACUAGGUUCGACAUUAUGUUUGGCUUGGCGUGCAUUCCAUUGAUACACUUCGUCUCGUGCAUUUUAUGAAUACUUUAUGCAUUCAUCAAUAGUAGGUAUCUUGAAAUCAUUAGAGCAAUAAACAUGUUGCAACCAGAAUUUGACCGCUUAUGUUAUGAUGCGAGCUAAAUUAUUUGUACAGGAUGGCCAAAUUCUUUUUAUUACCUUUCUAUGUAUAGUACCCGUCGUGUAUUUAAAUUCCAGAAAUGAGAAACAAGAGUUUCACGGAGAAAAUGAAUGCACUGGGACAUAGAAAAUGAAAAGCCAACCAAAGGAGUCCAAACUACUACAAGAGAUAAUUAGGCCAAAUAGACUAGUACAGAACGUGUUAGUGGUCGAGUCCCUCACAAAGGUGUUAUAUUAAUGACCUCUCAAAAUCUCUCUAAAAAGUCUAUUGUCUCUAUGUCACGUUUGACCUUGGAUUGGAGACCACCAAGGAUUGAACCUUUUAGAGACCCUCAAUCUCUCAUACCUCUAUCAUGUGGCUAUUGAAACCUUUAAUGGUCUUUAGAAAAUGUAUUUUUGUUGAUUAGGGAGGAUCGCUGUAAGGACUUUUUUUCUUUUUCCUCCCUAAUUUGGGAUAAUGUUGUUCUCUUUAACUCUUUUUACUCCAUUUGUUUCAUUUGAUUUUUCAAAUAUUGGUACAAGUUGGAUUUUGUUUCUCCCUUAUUAAACAUAAUUGAUUUUUUUUUCUUCAAUUCUUGACCUAUACCUUUCUGGUUGCUUAAGCUCAUAUGUAAGUUUGUUUUUUGUUGUAUGAUUGAGUUUUUCUUUUACUGUACUUUUGAUGUCUAUGCCAAUGAGCGUUCAAUUCUACUUGUACCAUGAUUUGCAGGGUUGACAUGCAAAAAUUUCUUAAAUGCUAAGCAACCCCUCACAGUGAGUGAAAGAGUUGAGAGUGAAGGUGAAAAUACAUCUUUCACUUCUAAAUCAAGUACUUCGAUAUCCAUGUUUUUUUUUUUAUAGAAAAACCAACUCAAAAUUUGACAACUAAAAUUUUGGAAUUUUGACUAAUUCCUACAAACACAAUAUUCUUAUGCUUAAAAGAUCAACAAAACAUAGUAAAAAAAUGGAAGAAAGUAAGUUUAAUUUUUUUAAAAAAAGAAAUUAAAAUAAUUACUAAGCAGAUGAAAUCUUACCUUUCAAAAACAUAAUUAAGAGAGCUUACCUUUCAAUAUCAUGGUAAAAGAUAUAUGAAUGGAUGUGUUAUUAUUAUACUUUAGUCUCUUGAUGGUAUAAUUUAGUCAAUAAUUUGAUGUAGAAAAUUGAUAGUAAAUAGAAAUUUGUAGAAAUAGAGAAAAAAGAACAUAUUGUCUUUAACUAUAACUAUCCCACAAAGAAACACAGAAACAAGGUUUAUGAAGAAAACAAAAAUUCCACUUUAAUCACAUUUAUCCAUUUUUUUUACAAUAAACUCCAUUUUAGACUUUUGGCAGAUCCCCACACCUUCACCACAACAUUACAAAUUAGUAAUAAUAAUAAUAGAGAAAGAAAGAAAAAGCUAAAUUUUUUAUAAAAAAAAUUCUACCCAACCAAAACAUGCAAGAAGUUGGUUAUAUAAAGAGAGUGAUUUUAGAGGAAAGCUCCCAAGUACAAAAGACCACUGAAAAGAGUGGCUCUCAAUUUAUUUUGUUUUAAUUUAUGAAGUCGAAAGCUCAAAUAUGUGCUUAGUGAAAUAUAAAUAUAUAAAGUUUCAUAUAACACUUGUAAUUAAACUUAGGACAAUACAAACCAAACCAAGAUAACAAGUUCACAAAAUAAAAGUAGAAAGUCAUCAAAUCGACAACUGGUCCAACAUUAUCUUUUAAGAGAACCUUGCAAUACUCCAAUUUAAGUUUUACCUCUAUGGCAUCCACCCUAUGGAAUAUGAUUUGCAUAAGCUUUACCUUGUCUCGAUUCCAUAGUUCAGGGAUAUCUUGCAGUUCUUUCACGACUUUAGCACGCAAUUCAACCUCUGUUACACACUUUUCUUUAAGUCAAUUUGCAAUUGCUUUUAAUUGUCAUUUCUAACUUCCAUUGCAUUACUUAUCACAUCUAUCCCUUCAUAUUGUUGGCCACUCUUUUUUCUCUUACUUUCACUUCAAUAAUUUCUUCUUUCAUCUGAUCAACCUGCACGUAUUUCUAACAUCUCAUCUGGUGACAUAUCAAGUCAUUGGCUAUACAUUGUCGGGAUGUCUUGAUCAUGUGAAUCACCCAAGGGAACACCAUCAUUAAAAUUGUAAUGCACAUUACAUCCCACAUCAGCAAAGGUCUCUGAACAUGCUCAUGUUGCCCGAUCUUUGCCGAAGACAUAGGACAGAUCAUCAUAAUGUGGAAAUGAUUUGUGUAGAAGGCUUUUGGCUCCAGGAUGACUCUAUACAAACAUAAUUCAGACAUAUUAGAUGAUGAUUGGGAUUAUAAAAGUACAUAAAAUUGUACUGUGAAAUUAAUACCUUGACCCAACUAUCAAACAACUCUCGCUCUACAACGAUGCAUUGAUACUCUUCGUUCCAUCCAAAGCUACACUUUAGAAAAUGUGCAAAACUUUAUUCCAAACUUUAUUCCAUGUACACUUUAGAAAAUUUGACUUUGCAAUUUCAUUACAAAUUAUUUGUUCCGCAUAUCAACUAUGUAGAAUUAAGUUAGGAAAUAAUUUUCAAACACACAUGAUUUAGUAUUGCACAAUUUCCGUGGAUAAUAAUAAGUUACAAAUAAUAAAUGCGAAAUCAUUCCAGGAAAGUAAUGAAUUACAAAUAUGGUCGUUAGAAAAAAAAAUAUUAAAAAUAAUUUGUAAUGCAUUUUAGGGGGUGUUUUUCAAAUAUUUGAAAAUGAGAAUAACACUUUCAAUUCAAUAAUUUACUUUCAAAUUUGAACAAUUAGACUAUGUGAUAAAUUUAAAAUUAAUUUAAGUAUUUGAACUAAAAUUGUCAUUUGAAAGUAUAACACACAAACUAUUUUUUUCAACGAUGAUUAAUUACAAAAAAAAAAUUAAUUAGAAAACUUUACUACACAUUUUUAUCACACAUUAUAGAGUCUACCUUUUUAAAAGGGUAAUUCAUAGGUUUAGGCAAUGUAAUUCUUUAGAUCAACCACACAUAAACUUACUUUGAUUACACAAACUAUUCUAAUCUUGGGCUAUUAUAAUUUGGUAUAAAAACCAUGAAUAACACACAAACUAUAGAGUGUUUAAGAAGUUUGGCUAAAUUAGAUUAUAUUACUGCUAAAUUUAUAAAUUUACUAAUAAAUUCCCAUAGCAAUAUUAUUAUAAGCAAAUGGCCAAGUAAAAUAAACAUAUUUUUUCUUGUUUGUCGUCUUGCGAUCUGUCUUUGAUGUGUAAGGUCAUCAGUUGUCACCACAUAAUGGAUCCACAAUAACUAGUUAUGAUACUUACCGUAUUUACAACUUCCAAACAUGAGUUACUUAUGACACUUUAAUUAUUAUUGGAUGAUCAUAAGAUGAUAGAACAUACAUCAUUUGAUAGUAGACAAUUAUCAUAUUUUCGACUAAUCCAUGAGUAUGAUCUUUCCUGUUGUCAAAGUACAAUAAUGAAUAGAAUAUGUUUUGCCAUUUUAUGCCAUUUACUUAGGACGACUGCUAGAUUAGUUGGAACAUAAGUUAUAGAUGUAGAAGAGAUGAUUGUCAUGUUCUUGCAUAUAUUAGCUAAUGACUUGAAAAAUCUAAUAAUACAAAGGGAAUUUGUACGGUCUGGUGAGACUAUUUCUUUUGAAUUUUCUGAUGGCAUUACUGCUUCCGUCCCCUGUUCGUACAUCAAGUUUGUCGAAUAUUCGUUACUGCCUUAGUAUAAAGGUAACCAAAACAAAAAAUUGAGAUCAUUGAACUUUUAAAAAUUGAGAAGAAUAGAAAAAAGAACAUCAUAUUCCAAACUUGUACAGGUGAAGGAGUAUCACAUAAGGGAUGAGUUUGAAGUAGGGAUUGUUGUGAGCAUCUUUGAAAGUACAUCCAAACAACAACAAAUGGAAAAUGGUUGAAGCCAAAUUGCUACAAAUAGAAGGACAAUUAGAGGUUUAAAUGCGAUGUGGAAGUAGGAAUUCCACACCCUUUAAAAUAAUUUCCAAUUUGAAUAAUUGGUGCAAAUCUAAUUAGUGUGUCUGAUUGUCAAUUCUAUCUAUACUUAGAUAUAUGUAUAUAUAGCUGAAACACUUACUAAUAUAAUAUCGAAUAUAUCUAACCUCCUCCCUAGAAUGUUCACCGAAGUUGGGCAUCGUUUUUUUUUUUUUUACAAGCGGCAUCAUUAGUAGUUGAUGUAUCAAAUUUGAGAAUAUAUGCAAUUAAAUAUUGUGAUAUCAAGGAAGAAAUGUCCAAAAGAGAAAAGCCCAACUGAAGAAGCAUGUAAUAUUUUUUUUCCACGUUUACUAACAAUCUCCUCAAAACAUUCCUAACUUAAUUAUUACAUGUGCAAUAUCUUGGCUUCACAUGAACCUUGUCCUUUCCUCAAGGUUGUACCAUGAAAAUUGGGGGCAAAAAUCAUCUAUGUUCGUUCAUAUGGUUUCAUGCUCCAAGAGCCCUUGCAACUUACCAAUAGUUCUUUGGUGUCGGAUUGGGGGUAUCCGACUAUGUUGGCUGGUUUUGCUAUCUAUUCAAAAUAUUUAGUUAGGAUUUUGUUUCUUUAGGGGAUGAUUUUGAAACAAAUGACACCAACAACAUCAAAUAGGGGCAAACACAAUUAGAUCAAGAAAAUAGCCUCAUAGGAAAGAGCUUUACUGUCAAGAUUCAAACCAAUGUACCACUUAAAAGGUGGAGCCUAGAAAAAUAACUAAUUGUAUUUAUUAGAUAAAAACUUAUGGGGUAAAAAUUAGAUCAAUUAUAUCUAUAAAUAUAUUAUUAUAGCUUCAUAGAACGAGAGUCAUUCUCCACUUGUGAUCUCUUCACUUGUUGCAUUUAAUUAUUUUUUGGCUUGAGCUCGUGAAUUCAGUCCUUGCUUCCAAUCUUUUUAGACUUAUUUGACAACUAAUCACUUUCUGCAUUUUCAAAUUUAAAGAAAAUUUAUAAAAUUUGGAUUGAACUUCAUAAACUAUGGUUGGAUUUGGAACUCAUUGAUUGACUUCAACGUUUAAGAGUCAUAAAAGACACAACUUACUUUCUCACCUGUCACCACUAAGCCUACGACAACAUCUUUUUAUAAGAUAUUCAGUUAAUCUUUAGAUUGUUUACCGAAUAAUCGUCUAUUGUUUUGUAAUUGAUCCCACCAAGCGCUUGCGCCACCUUGAAGUUUGAGAGCAACUAAUCGGACCUUCUUGUGUUCGGGUGUAUUGGCAUAGUCGAAAAAAAUUUCUACGUUCUUGAUCCAAUCAAGAAACUUCUCCACGUCCAUUCGACCAUUGAAGGUAGGGAGAUCCACUUUCAUACGUAUUUCUUGAUCUUCUUGAAAGUAUGGUCGAAGUCCAAGCCUUUGUUGAGGUUCUUGAUGAAUGUUCAGCAAGUUGUCUUCAUCGGAAGAGUCAGAAUCGUUUAAGAAAUGUCCAGGUACGUUGUUUCCAUACAAUCGAUUAUUGUGGAUGUGAAUAGAUUGAUUUCUUAGUAGUUCUUGGUUUACAGCAGGGUUUCUUGGUCUUUCUUGUCUUUCUUGGUUUGCUGCAAUUGGGUUUCUUGAUCUUUCUUGUCUUUCUUGGUUUGCUGCAAUUGGGUUUCUUGGGGGCUGAAUUGCUUCUUCUAAACGUUGGACAUGAAAUCGGGUAAAAAGGUUUGUUAAUUCUACUAACGAUUGUUGUAUAUCUGACUGCCCUUUUCGAAGUUCUUCAACAACUUGUUCUACCAACUGCAAGCGUUGGUUGAAGGAGGCUUCCGCGUCCAUGGAUAAGAGUGGUAGGAUCCAAGUUUUUUGAGGGAAGAGUGAGCUAGGAUCACGCUCCGAUACCAAUUGAUGCAGUAAUUGCAAAGCUAGAAACCUUUAUGUAUAAUGCCUCUUUUUUUUUUAUGUCUUAUUAAUGAAAAUGAGAAGCCUUUUUAUAGGCUGGAGAUUACAAGAGUUGUUAAACUAACUUGGGGUUGAGUUAGUUUAACUUGGAGUUGAGUUAGUUAUAACUAACUCAAGAUACAAAAUUGGUAAUUCAAAUAACUAAUCCUAAACUAUAAAAAUGGUAAUUCAAACCCCUCCUCUAGGAUAAAACUCAAGAAACAUCAAGAAGGGAGAUGUUCUACAUCAAAGUGUAGAGAACGAUUCAGAAUCCUUGGUGAAAGGAAUGAAUGAUAACUAAUGUGUGUUUAUGUGAAAUUGUUAUGUUAUGAGUAUGUUAAGGAUAAAGAAAGGUUUAUGCGAGAUAAAAUUAUUUGAUGCUGUUUAUGCGAAAUAAUGUUUAUGAAAAGGUAUUGCGAAAAGGAUUUCAUAAAACCUUAGUCUUUUAGACAUUCUUUCAAAAAUUCAUCUUCCAAGAUGAGGUGUUUAGGCCAAGUAGAGAAGAAGGCUGAAGGAUUUGCAGCGAGAUGACCAGACGUUUUGAAAAUAGUUAAGCAUUGGUUGUUUGGUCAAAGUGUUGUAAUUAUGUAUCAAACACAUGUUAUUAAUAAACAUCUUGGUAGGUAUUUAUUAUACUUGCUGUUUAGGUUGACCACCGUUGCGUUUUGAGUUUUGUUAAUAGUAUAAAAGGAGUUGAGAAUAAUAUUUUGCGAUAAGAAAAUUUCAAACUUGUAACAAACUCACAUCCUAUUCCUAAUACUUUGACAUUUUCGUUGCAGUACGGUUUGGGAUGUGACAUGUACACAUGACUGCCUAGCUUAAGUCAUCUCGUUGAGUAAAGCCAUCUCGCCUAAGCUCAAAUGGCCACUCAUGACAACUCUUUAUAUAGAGGUUUUCUUGCCUACACCUACAAAUCUUCAUGCUUGGCGCCUUGACAUGUUCUUGGAGGUUCUUACCUUACUACUUGGCCACAUAAUUGAAUCCUUAGAGAUUCUUUUGCCUUUCCUUUGGCCGCCUAUUAUGUCCAUCUUGCCUAGCGUUCCUUGUGUGCUUAGAGGUUACCUUGGCAACACCACACCUCUCAGCCACACACACACACACACACAACCUUGGCCAUCCAAUACCUUUCUUUAGAGGUUCUCAUGCUUUUCUUAGUCGCCUAGAAGUCUUGCACGCCUACUCUCACAUUUAGCCAUAUGUUGUACUUUGUUUUCCACCUUGACUUUUAAUGACACACAAACCAACUUUCCAAGGAAUUCCCUUUCAUUUUCCUAUUAACUCAUAUUCUCUUUUUUUUUAUCAAGUCCUUGCUAGAGAAAGUGGACUUUGAGUUGUUGGACUUUAGUAUUGCAUGGACAUUCAAUUUUGAAUGAAAAAUCCUUAUAAAUGGGGCAUUUGAACUAAUUUGAUGGGUUAACUAUUGAAUUUGGGCUUUCACACCAAAUGGAAUUUCUUUUUCUUAUUUACUUUUUUAAAACAAAGAAAAUUAACCACGCCCAUUUUUUUUCAUCUAUUUCUCUCGUCCGGUUCUUUCAUCCAAUGGGUCCCACAACUCGAUUAUGAGUCUAGAGGAUACUAAGUCAAACUUAGUGGUUGUUUGAAUAAAAUGCAGCUUCGAAUGUAAGUAUUCUAAAAACCUUUUUUUUGGUUUAGUCUUGUUAAUUAAGCCCAAUUAGGGUAGAAUUUCGAUUCUUUUUCUGUUGUGCAUGUCUUAGUUCUAUCAGUAACUCCCUUCAGGGUGAUAGCUCUCAUCAGCAGACUUUCCAUUGUUGGUUUCUUCCUGAGUCAUCACUGUAUUGUUGUUUUCCACAAUAGGUAGGGUGAGUUGCAGUUUUACAUGAAACGCAUUGCUCAACCCACACUCUUUUCUCACUAGUUCCUUAUUCUCAAUCUUCAACGCAAAUUUCAUCAUCUGGGCCAACCCAAUCGGUUCCACGGUUUCCACUUCCAUUUUUAUUCAUGGGCUAAGCCCAUUCAUCAAAGUCUCCUCUAACACUACCGUUUGAAGAAAUUCUACCAGAGCUAAAUAGCGAUCAAAUCGGUUACGGUAUCCUUCUACAUUCGUUUUCUGUUUGAUUGAGAAAAAUCUUCCAACCAAAGUUCCUUCUCGAAUUGAUCGAAACUGUACAAGCAUUCGUUCUUUCAGGGCUGCCCAAUUCUUAAAAACUUCCAACUCUUCUUGUGCUUGGUACCAAUCCAAUGCCAGAUCAUCAAAACUAAUAACGCCUGUGGUUAAUUUCUCUGAAUCGGUAAGAUCAUGUAUCUUAAAGAAGCGAUAGGCUCUAAAUGUGAGACCCAUUUCUAAUUUGAGUAAUGAAGUAAAAUUUGGCUAGGUAUUAAGAACUUGGCAUUUGAAUAAAUCCAUGAAAAGGAUUAAGUGAUAAAAAAUUUUAUGGUUAAGUAUACGUUAUUGCGAUUCAGUGGGUAGUUCGCGAAGGAAGUUGUGCGACUCAUUUCUAAUUCGAGUAAGGAAGUAAAAUUCGGCUAAGAAUUAAGAAGUUGGUGUUCGAAUAAAUCCAUGGAAAGAUUAAGUGAUAUGAUCUUUUACGGUUAAGUAUACUUUUUUGCGAUAAGUGGGUAGUUCGCGAAAGAAGUUGUGCGAUAAGAAGCGAAAAAGUCUUUGCGUAAGUUAAGAAAUGAAAGUUUUGAGUGUUAGACUAGGAGUUUUGGGUGGUCUUCGUGAGAAGAACCAAGUGUUUCGUGGAGAAGAAGUCUACGAGGAAGCCUUGGAGUUUAAGUUCACGAUAAGAGUUCUAUGCGAGUAAAAGUUGGUUAGUUCACGUGGAACGUUUCUUAUAAUAAAAAUAUAAUCAAGAGAUAAGGUUAUUCACGAGAAAUGUUAAGUGGUUGAAUUUAUUCACGGUUUGGGUUAGGCGGGAAGCAAGGUCUGUAAAGAAAAUGUCAAAUCUGAUUUGACAUGGGUUAACAUGUAAGAUAAAGGAUUUGAGCAUGACUAGGUUAAAUAUUAAGGAUUUGCAUGACUAAGUUAGUAUAAGGGAUCUAUAAAAUAAGAGAAUUUAGGUAACUAAGGAGGGGAUGACGAGAGUUUUGUUGAAAUGUUAAAGUGUUGUUGGUUUAGCCAUGCAAAAAGAUGGUUGUGAGAAGGACUUCUUUAGUAAAGUUUGGUGAGUGCUUUUCAGUCAAAAGAAUUUAUGUUAAGAAACUUUAUUACGAUUUCUCUUUACUCAUUUGAAAGAAGAAUUCAUAUAGGAAUGUUUCAGAAAGAUUUCUAUGAAAAGUUAUGUUUUCAAGCAUUAUUUAUAAUGUUAAAGCUUGAUUUGAUGACUAUGAUUUCAAUAUUAUGUUUCUUUGAGAUGAUGCUAACUUUUAUGUGCACAUAAAGAGUGAAGGCCACUAUGGAGUGUACGAACUACAUGGUAAUAAGAAGCUGACUUAUGCAUUGAAAUGAGCGUAUAAAGCUUAGCGGUAUGAGCAACAAAGACGAAUUUGUAUGUUCUCAGAUGUUGUUGAUACAGUAGUCUAAACGUGAGGUAAUGAGACCAAGCGUAGAGAACGAUUCGGGAUCCUUGACAAAAUGAAAUGAUUUUUUAAGCAUAAAGAAAGGUUUAUGCGAAAUGAAAUAAUUUUUCGGUAUAUUUAAAUGAUUUGAUAUUAUUUUUACAAAAUGAUUAUGAAAAGGUAUUUAUUGUGAAAGGUUUUCAUAAAACCUUAAAGGAUUUUUAAAAAAAAGUGGACCAUUCAACUUAGUUCCCAUCCACUAUCCUUUUCUCCAACAUGAAACUUUAUCUUAGUAAAACUUCUUGAUCCACUAUUUUACAAAAAUAUUCAAAACAAUACCAUACUACACCAAAUGUGAUAUUUUGGUAACACUUAAAAUGGUCAGAAAUACCAUUUUCCUGACUUUUUUUUCGUCGAUCAUUAAAGAAAAAGUAUAGAUGAUGUUUCACAAAAACUUCCAAACCAUUGUGUUAGUUAUCGUUUUGGAUGAGGGUUGGGGUAGAGCAUCAAUACUCAAAGGUUGUUAAGAAUUAAGAACUAAGACUUGAAGACGAAACCGCCUGCCUGGUUGACAACAACACCAUCCCACUAGAGUGCACAAUGAUGAUUUAUUGCAUUAAGAAGAAGAUGGUAGUUAACCUUAGUGCCAUAAUAAGAACCUCAAUCCUCCCUUUGAUGAAAGCACCUAAAGGUGUCAUGCCUUUCCCCUCGACCACAUUGAAGCUCUCUGUCUAACACUACAAGAAACGAGGGCUCUCUCGAUGCAUAAAAUCAUUGAGAGAUAUAUAAAAAGCGUCAGAAAAGGCUUUUCUGACGCAUAAAUAUACGUCGGAACACAAGUCAGGAAAAAUUUAUCGGGAGUGCGUCGAGAGUUUCUAGAGUUAGUAGAUAGGUUGUUGAGGAAAAAUUUAUUGUGAUGGUCAUGGAGGUGCUUUCUCGCAUGUUGAAUAGCCCGCCUCAAAAUUUUCAAUUCCACCAGUUUUGUGAGAAGGUCAGAUUAACUCAUCUUACUUUUGCAGAUGACCUGAUGAUCUUUUGUGCUGCUGAUAAUCAUUCUAUGAGUUUCAUAAAAGAGACUAUUAAGAGGUUUGGUGAGCUUUCGAGACUGUUUGCUAAUCUUGCUAAAAGCUCAAUUUUUCUUGUGGGGGUUAAUAGUUUGGAAGCUUCUCGGCUUGCUGCUAACAUGGAUUUUUCCAUUGGUCAUCUCCAUGUUCGUUAUCUUGGGCUUCCUCUCCUCUCUGGAAGAUUUCGGAGCUCCCCUUAUUCAGCGUAUUACGAGUCGUAUUCGGUCUUGGUCUGCUAGAGUGUUAUCUUUUGCAGGUAGACUUCAGCUUGUUCGCUCAGUCCUUAGGAGCCUUCAGGUUUAUUGGGCUAGUGUGUUCAUGCUUCCUAUGAAAGUCCACAGAGACGUUGAUAAGAGCUUGAGGGCUUAUCUGUGGAGAGGUAAGGAGGAGGGAAGAGGUGGUGCUAAAGUUGUCUGGGAUGAGGUUUGUCUUCCUUUUGAUGAAGGAGGUCUUGCUAUUCGCGAUGGAUCUUCUUGGAAUAUAGCAAGCACGUUGAAGAUAUUGUGGUUGCUACUUGUUAAAUCUGGUAGUUGUGGGUUGCUUGGGUGGAAUCAUAUAUCCUUAAAGGGAGAUCGCUGUGGGAGAUCGAUGCUGGGGUGGGUCGAUCUUAGUACUUUAGGGCAAUCUUGCAUAAGUGGGAUAUCCUUAAAGCUCAUGUUAAGAUGGAGGUGGGCAAUGGAAGGAAGUGUAGAGUGUGGUUGGAUCCAUGGAUUCAGGGUGGGCCGAUUAUCCAGCAGUUUGGGGAGAGGGUGAACUAUGAUGCGGGUAGUCGGCGGGAUGCGUGUUGGAAUUUUUUGUCCUAAAACUCGUAGUUUGUAAUCAUAUUCUGUUUCAAUAAAGUUGUUAUUGAGAAAUUAAAUAUUAUAAUCCUAAAUCCAAUAAAUCAAGUUCCAAGGCUAUUUUUUGAAUAAACUUGAACUUUAUGUGUAAACAUAAACGUGGAUCAAGUUCGAGUAUAUAUAGCCUAAAUAGUCUAUAGUAUAUGAAUUAAGGUUGGGCGCCUUAUUUAGAGAAACUAUGGAUGCGGCCCACUUUGUAGUACAAACGAGGUGAUCCUGAAUCGUUCAUGUAGAGACAUGAAAGUGGAGGCAUCCUAUGUAAAGUGUUUACAUAAGACUGAACCAUGAAUUAGUCUUUUUUUUAAGUUAUAACACUGUUUACUGUUUAAAACUGAUUAUCUCGAUUAUUGAUGACCUAGGUAACUUAAUCUUAAUCCUGAGUUAACUAUGAACUCCUGUUCACACGAGAUUAUCCUCAGAUCUGCAUAGGUGAGGGCAGCCCAUCAGCGUUGGCCCAAUAAGCCUCCCAUUUCAGGGGUAAGAUCGGGUGGAUAGUUGAGAGCAUAGGGUACAAGGUGGAAUUCACUCCUGCCCGCUUUAGGGUUAGUAGAUAGGUUGUUCUCUUAAGCACUGAAUCCAAGUCUUGAACAAGGGGCCCACCCUCUCAUUGGCCCGAGAGGGAUUAAGUUUAUAGGUUGAACCUUAAACCAAUUGUUCAAUAGUGGAUUAGUGGGACUUAAGGAGCAAGAUGUAAUCUUGGGGGUAAAACGGUAUUUUGACCCAGCCAAGGUUACGAGCAACCUGUGAAGGAUUAACUUACUGAUUAUGGUUUUAUCAAAUGGACACAAAUAUAUCUAUAGUGAGGGGAGUGUAACUACGAGACUUUAGUGGAAUGACCCGUUAGUUAACGAAUGUUGAUUAACUCGGUCUAAAAGAGUUUAGCUAGUUAAUCUUGAAUCGUUGGAGUCCAUGAUCUAUAGGUUCAUUAGGUUCCCCUGCUAGCUCAUAUGGAUUAAACUUAGAACAGUGUGAUGAAAUAAGUCGAAUUGUUCGAAUUGGGAGAAGAAAGAGAAACCGACAAAUAUAGUGAUAUAGUCGUCGGUCUUCUAAUUAGAAAUAGAGCUUUAUGUUUUACAUACUAUAAGUAUGAAUCCGGAUUCAUACUAAGAAGCUCGGAAUUGAUGGAAUUGGUCAAAAAUAGUAAAAAGUCAAAAUGUUGACUUUUGACUUUGAAAAGUCAAACUUUGACCGGCCUUAUAUUCAAAUGUGAUUUGAAUUUUGGAAAAAUGAAUGCGGAUUCAUGCUCGGGAGGUUGGAAUUAGUCAAGACGGACAAAAUGGUAAAAAGUCAAAAUAUUGACUUUUGACUAAGAAAAGUCAAAGUAUGACUUUUGACUUGAAAUAUCUAAUGACCAUUUUACCCUUGGACUAAGUUAGUGGAAAAAUCCAACAUUUUGUUGGAUAAUCCCACUAACUCUUAGUGGGAUAUGUGGCUAUAUGAGAUGUAGACACCUAGCCCACUAAGUUCCACUAAUAGUUAGUGGAACAUUAGGUGUUGAGAUUUGGCAAAUUAAUUACAUGCAUUUUUGCAUGUAAUUAGGUUAUAAAUAGGGGAAUUUUCAAAUGGUUGAAGACUUUUGCCUUUUUUAUUAUCCUCCAACAUCUCAACAAAAGAAAAAAAUUCUCUACCAUCCAAUCCCAUUUUAUCUCCAUUUCUUUCUACACCAAAUUGGGUCCCACAACCCAGUUCUUUGUCCAAGAGGAUAGUAGUUGAGUACUAGUGGUGGUCUCGGUUUGAAUUGACAAGAAGGUAUCAAAGUUUUUUGAAAGCUUCAAAGGCAAUAUUUCCUAAAACCCUAACUUGAUUAGUUUAGGGUUACAUGUUAAUUGUGGCAAUUAGGGUAGAAAUUCGAUUCCUUUUUCCGCUGUGCAUGUCUUAGUUCUAUCAAUGCGAGGCUGGUGGAUUUCAUGGGUCAGGAUGGUGAUUGGAGGUGGCCGUUUGUUUCUUUGGAUUUGAUGGACAUUUGGGAUAGGAUUCAGGGAGUGAGGCCGAGUCCGAGUGUUGAGGAUAGGUGGGUUUGGGUGCUGGGGAGUCAUGAUAGUUUUUCGGUCGCCAGUGCGUGGGAGACUAUUCGUCCUCAUAAUAGUAGGGUUGGCUGGUCGAGUUUACUAUGGGGUGGGGAAAUAUUCCUAAGCACUCCUUCUGUGCUUGGUUGGCCAUCAGGGAUAGGUUGGGUACUAGAGAUAGGUUAAGUCGGUGGGAUAGGUCGAUUCCUUUAUCGUGUUUGCUUUGUGGAGGGAACUAUGAGUCUCGUGAUCAUUUGUUUUUUUCUUGUCAUUUUGGGUGGGAGAUUUGGUCGAGGAUCCUUUUGCUUAUGUCAUCUUCUCAAAGAAUUGGUUAUUGGGGGUUGAGUUAUCUUGGAUUUGUAAUCAGGGUAUUGGGAAGAGUGUGAGGAGAAAACUGUGGCACCUUCUCUGGUGUGCUACAAUUUAUUUCAUUUGGCAGGAGCGAAAUCAUCGUCUUCAUGGAGGUGCUGUUCGAGAGCCUAUGGUUGUAUUCCAGCUGAUUCGGUCGUGUAUUAAAGUGUGUGCUGCUUCUUGGUCCGAUGGUGUUCAUGGUCUUAUUUAAUGUUCUUUUCGUUUACUUGUCCCCGGGCUGUGGGGUUUCUCUUCUCUUUAUUAUCUCUGUUGUCUUUCUCUCUUCUUCUUGUCCUUUUAAUGUUUGGAACACUAGUUGGUUUCUUUUGGUUUUAGUUCUUGUCCCCGAGAUGUGGGGUUGUUUUGGGUACUUAUGGGUUGUUUUGUCUAACUACUUGUUCUGUGAGUGUUGUUCGCUCUUGUGCCUUGACCUCAGGCUGUGAGGUCCACCUUGUUGUUGUAUAAUAUUAUCAUUACCUUUAAAAAAAAAAAAUCAAACUCAAUGCUAAGUUUGACUGCUUCCUUCGAAGUGACAACAAGCCUCGUUUUCGCCCUACUGUGGAUCGAGGAGGAUUCCUCCUCUUUUCAAAGCCCUCAAUCAAACUUGACGUUAUGUUUAAAACACUAAAAAUAGAUGGUCGAGUUUUGGUUAGGCCAAAAGCGAUGUUUUCCCCCAAAAGCUCUAAUAGCUAGGGAACUCAACAUGUUCUACUUAACCUAACCGACUUGACUCUGUAUUUUUUAUGAGCUUUUUUAAUGCAUAUUGCAUGUGUUUUUUUUUUUAUAAUUGUUGAUUGUAAAGUGGUCUGCAUUUACGAGCCUCUUUUCUUUCUUUGUUAUGAAAUGCGGUAACUAGGCGUUGCUAGAACCGAUGGGGUAACAUUUCUAUGGUUCUACACUUAGUUUCUAAGUGUGAUUGCUCACCUCUAAUUUUCAAAACACUUAAUUUCUAAGCACAUACAAUGUUCACCUAGAAAAAAAUGAAAAUUGUUGUAGUUAAGAUCAAAACUAAAUAGUUAUGAAAUAAGACAUAAGAGAUUCGAUUUUAACAACCUUCCCGUUGUACUUGGGAUCCACUCUGGCUUUGUGCUGGAAAAUUGGUUUAGAGCUGAUCAUAAGCUUUCAGUUGCUCUUCUGUAACCUUUAGAUACUCUUCAAAGCUAUAAGCUUUGCUUCUUGACAAAGAAUCUUCUACUAUUAAUACAUAAGAAAAUUCUAUUUCAUAAACCCUGUAUCAUAAUUGAGGCUGUAGAAUGAUUAUUCUAUAACCCUACCGAUAGUUUCAUUCUUAACAUUCAUAGACACGAUGCAUGGCAGCUAUCCAAUUCUAUUUCAUGUUCUCGAGAAUGGCUCGGUUUAACAAUAAUGUUAAUUUUUGUUUUCUAUUUUAAAAUAAUAACGCUGCUUACUAAUCUUUUUUUUUUCCAUUUGGCAUUCUACUUUUUCUACUCAGCUUUCUUUCCCUAGUGAUAACAAAUAAUACGGGUGAUAAAAAACUUAAUCACUCACUUGGUUCAGCCACCGAAAGCCCUUCUGCUUUAGAAAUAGAAGAUGGGUUUGAGUAGGUAGAUUUACUUGCAUUGUAUGUGCUGUUCAUUGAACUCUCAAUUUCAUUGAGACCAAUUUCUCACUCAAACAUGGUCUUGCAUUCUCUAGAAACGUCCUACAAACAAAAAUGAAGAACAAAAAACUACAAUAAGGUCUAUGAAAAAGUUAUAAAGGAAAAUCUCAAAAACUGAUAUGUAAGUCAUAACAACCUUAAGUUCUCUUAUCGUGGGUUAAAAUGCACGUAAGGUUUUUCCAAGAGUCCGAGCAACCAGCAUGUAAAUAUGAGGAAGUUAAGUCAACUAAAUUUGUUUCUAUAAAUUUACUCGUAUUAACAUUAUCAUUGUUAUAGACUUGACAACUUCAAAUUUAUCAAUAUAAAAUAUGCUUUAACAAAACGUACCUUGAGGUUCCUCCAACCUUAUUAAAAAAGAAAAUAAUCCAACAAUUUAACAAAUUUAUAGUGCAUAUUAUGUAUAUCAAUUGAUCACAACAAAAUAAGAUCGAACAAAUACCCAUGAGUAAUAUUUAGCCACCAAAUGAAUAAUGAUGAAAACCUGAAAACAAAACCGAGAAAAAAAAAGGAAACAAUUCAUCAACAAAACAAAUUUAGGGGACUAAAAAAUUGCUUACCUUAUUACACACUUCAAAAUAUUAAGAAAAGUGGAGGGAAAAAACCAACCAAUAAUCAAAAAAUAAACUUCAACACAAAUAGCCAUAAAUUUUCUUCUUUAAAGGUAUCACAAAUAAGUCCAUCAGUAAUAACAAAAUAAAAAAGGGCAAUGUGCAAUUGAAUUCUGCAGUCGUAAAGCUAUGCUAAAGGCAGUAUGAAAUCAAACUUGAGCACUAACAAGAAAAUUUGCAAAACAAAAAUUACUAGACAUCAUUAACUAAAGUACCAGCACAACAAUGAAUGUGUAACCUCCGCAAGAGCAAACCCGAAUGGAGAAGAACAUGAAGAAAUAUAUAAAUAGAAGAAACAUAAAAGACAAACAUGAAACACAUGGAAACAUACAAAGGGGAUAAAUAAAAGUACAAUUAUGAAGUGAUGAAGCACAAAUACAGGUACCAACAGAACUAGAAUACAAGUCUUACCCUAUCUCGACUGUCGAGGAGUGUUAACCAACCGUCAGAAGGUUGGUUUUAUUUUUUAGAAAAAAUUAAUGUUGUCUGAAUUCUUUUUCAAGCCACUAACCAGCCCCUCCUUAUCUAUGAUCGGCGAUCAACUCCUCAACCUCUAAUUACAUUUAAAAGAGUGAUGCGAACAUUGUGUGAAAUCCCAAACCUUUGAUGGAUCCCACCAUCACUCUCUUUCUAUCCCCUUCAAAACCUCAUUAUUUUCAAGAGAGGCCUCAAAGCUUCUUCCAAUUAACAUAAAAGAAGAAUGAAAGAGAAGGAGAGAAAGGGAAAGUGGUUCAAAAGCUAUGGAAAAAAAAGUAAAAGAACAUGGUCUACUCAUUGGCACAUCUUACACAGAUGAUAAUGUUAGGGCAAGGCAAUGAGAGACAGAAUGCUUUUGGAGCCUUCUCCUCUACUUUCGAAGAUUUUAAUAAACUAAAAUAUGCAAAUGUUACAAGAAAGAUCUUUGGAGAUUUGAAAUAAUCCAAAAUAAAGAAAAAGGAAAACCCCAAUAUGUACAAAUUUCAGAAUCUAAAACUUGAAAAGUGAUUGAAUGAUGAGAUAUGUUUGUACAAUCAAUUAUAGAGACAGUGAAAUAUUAAAAAAAAAUGAAACGUACCAAGAUAAAAAGAAUAGCAACUAGUAUUAUGACCUUUGUAUGUCUUCAAAAUACAAACAUCAAAAUGAAUCAAGAGAUCUACCACACAAAUAAUGGUAUCAACACAAAUAAAGCAAUUGUUUUAUUGAAAAUAUUUGAGUACAAUUAAACUAAGCAUGCUAUUGUCCUUGACAAAUUUACAUUCUUCUAAUCGAACAAAAUCUGACCUUUAAAUAGUGAUAGAAACUGAAGAUGAAAGCAAGUUCAGCUACAACUUCAGACCGUGAUAUAUAUGGCAGAACCUAUAAAAAAAAGAAGAAUACCUAACUAUAUAUACACAGAGGAGAUCUGACGCUUACUAGCACAUCGGAGGCUCAAUCGAUUUAUAUUUAAUUGAAAGACAAUACCUAUAUUUUAAUGCAUACACAUUGAAUAGCCCCUGUUUCAAUCCAAUUUACAAAACUACCUCCAUAAAAUUACAUAAUGGGGGAAGUUCGACCGGAUGCACUGUGCUUUACCAGAACCACAUGAAAUUAUUAGAACAUAGUUCAUUCAAGUAACUUUCUAUUCAAUAAUUGAAACAAAUGGAAAGAGGACAAUUGAAUAUUAAAUAAAGAUGGAAUUAAUUGGGAACUCACGGAGUAAUGCGAUUCGUUCGGGGCUCACCGCUGGAGUUGAAAGAGAGACAAGGAUUAGAAAGGAAAGGAAGAGGAGCGUCUGAUAAUCCAGCGGAUUCUUUGAUGAGUGGAGUAGUAGUAGUAGUAGUGGAGGUUCCAAGGACAUUGAAGUCAAUCCGGUGAGAGUGACGGAAUCCAGAAGGUUGAGGUUGAAGAGAGUAGAAAUUGCAACCAAAAUCGGUGAGGAUAGUGGAUUCGAAAUUGCGAGGGAAGAAGAAAAGAGCAUCACAAGUCGAAGUAGAGGAGGAAUCAACACUGGUUAAACUGGUUUUGGUUGUACGAACAAAGAAGAAUUAGGGUUUGAGAAGAGAAAGGGAAAAUGGAGUGUACGAACAAAGAAGAAGAAGAAGAAAUGGAAAGGACGCGCUAAGAGAAGAAGAUGGAGAGUGAUGGGUGAAAUGGGUAUGAUAGGGUUUCGAAAAUGGAGUGUACGAAGAAAUGGAAAGGACGCACUGAGAGAAGAAGAUGGAGAUUGGAUCCGCGACUGAGAGAAGAAGAUGGAGAUUGGAUCCGCGACUGAGAGAAGAAGAUGGAGAUUGGAUCCGCGACUAAGAGAAGAAGAUGGAGAUUGGAUGCGCGACUAAGAGAAGAAGAUGGGGAUUGGAUCCGCGACUAAGAGAAGAAGAUGGAGAUGGAUCCGCAAAAUGGGUAUGAUAGGGUUUCUUCCUUACAGAAACGGAAAUUGAGAGAUAGGCCAAAGAAGACAAGAGAGCAAGAGAGAAGGGGGGAGGAGAGGGAGACUUGGCGGUUAGAGAAGAGGGGAAAGAAAUUUGAAAUGAGAGAGACUCUACAUGUAGGGUUUUUAUUAUAAUUUUUUUUUUUUUUGAAAUUUUGCUUAAUUGGAUCUAGAGAAUUUUGCGUAUCCGGUUCACCGACUCAUAUUAGCCGUCCAUUCGUCCAUUGUUUUGUCAUUUUUUUUCAACAAACUAAAUGUUUUAAGCCAUUUGCAAAUUAGAUUUUGAUAAAUCGAUAAUCAUAUUUUUUUACAAUAUAGGACUAAAAAAACUAAUUUAAUAUAUAUAUAUAUAUAUAUAUAUAUAUAUAUAUAUAUACAUAGAACAGUAUUUAGUUAAAUUACAAAAAAAAAGAAAAAUUCUUUUGAAUUUUGUAGUUUGUGUAAAAAAUUAACCUUAAACUUUGAAAAGUUAAAAAAAAAUUGUUUUGAACUUUUAAAAAUUAUUCAUAAAUACAUCUACAUACGUAAGAUGAAGGUAUUGGCAUGCUUCUCUAAAAAAAACUUUCCAAAAAGAUGUCGUGUGACUUUUGAAAAGAAAAAUUACAAACGCGGUCGUUUUUAAACAAACUAGAUAUAUCAAGUUUUUUUUUUUUUUUUUUUUUGAGGUGAGGGAAUCAACCUUUCUUCUUCUUUUUAAUCCCUUUUACUUUUAGUUUAUUUCUUUAUUUUUUUUCCUUUUUUCACAAUUUUGUCAUAUUCGUAAUAUGCACAAAAUAUGUGUCAUGAACUUUUUUUUUUUUUUUUUUGUCAUUUGAUGCAAUUAGUCUUUUUCUUUUAAUGUUUUAAUUUCUUUAUAUUAUUCGUACUUCUCAACCAAAUUUAUUUUAAUUUUAAAAAUCCUAAUUUUAGAACUAGAGUCAGUUUCGAAUACAUCAUUUAAAAAUGAGUCAUUUUGACAAAGUUAGACUUAAACAUGCUAAGUAAGCUAUUCACCACCCCCACUUAAAAGCUAAGCACAUAUUCAUCAAUUAUAUCACAAAUAUAUCCACAAACCCGAACUCAAUGCUCAAGGGUUGACAAUCACGCUUUUUAUACAAGAUCUAAGUAAGCUAAGAAGCUAUAAUGCUCAUUAUUUUAAGAAAAAAAAUUUUAAAAGUUUUUAAAUUUGGGCAAAAUUUGAAAUCCCCUCAAGUUUAGAUUAAACGUGCAAGCUAAGUAAGCUAUUACCCCCACUUAAAAACAUGUUUUGUCCUCAAAACUUUUGAAAAUCAAAGUAAAGGAAAGAAAAGUAAGGGGGAACAUUGGACUCCCCUAGAAGGAUUAACAUCCUUGACUUUGGUUUGAAGUUUGCAUGGAUAAGGCUCUCCAUUCCUUUUUCAGUGAUUUGUAUUAAUAAAAUGAAUUUGUAUAUAUAUAUGAAUGAACACAAGUUUUCCUUAUUUGAACCCAAGUGCAAAUCCAAAUAAGGUUUCUUGGUGAGUCUAGAGUCGAACGUGAGGACUUAUACUAAAAAUAUAUUUGUAUUUUAAAAUGAUCUUAAGGUGAUUAAUAACAUACGCAACUUCAUCCACCUGCAAGGGGGGAGGGGAGUCAUCCACUAUAGAUAAGCUCCACUUGUCUCCCUCACCCAACUUCAUAAGGCUGCCAAAAGAGUUAGGCAUAAUCACAUCCACAUGUUUACCCUUCUUUCGAACAUAAACCAACUCUCUUUUCUUCCUAAUAACGAGUAAUUUCAUCUCGAUUACCUACCUUCUUUUCCUUAAUAUGCCUAAUGGGGGAGCUAUUAGUCUUACUUUCCUCCAACUGUUUAAAGUCUAACACCACAUUCAUAAGACACAAUUGUCAGUUCCUCCUCUUUGUUUGAAACCACCUUGCUCACAUCCUCCUCUUGAUGAACUUUGUUUUCCACAAUCUUAGGACACUUACCACUAGAAUGCCCAAAAGACCGGCAUAAAUUACACUUUCGAGGCUUCCACUCGUAAUUCACAGUCAUAACGAAAUCCUCUCCCCUAAGUUGAAUUGUAAAUUCAGCAGCCAUAGGAGAGUCCACAUUUGAUUCAACACAUACUCAAGCAUGUGACAACCUUCUCUUAUCGAAUUUUAUGUUGUUGUUGAAUUUAAAGAAAUCAAAUGAUUAUAAAUCAACUUUUAAAAAAUUAAAAAUUUGUUUCUAGACAUCCAUAUUCUUACCGAUUAAAAUUCAACUUACAUAUUCUCUUUUUUACUUAAUAUCUAAAAUUUACAUAUACUUUAAAAUUUAUUUCUUGUCUUUUCAUUUUUUUUCUCAUAUUUCAUUUUUCAAGAUUUAAAUAGUUUUUUUGUUUUAUCUGUACUUUUUUGAUAGGUUAUGAGUUAUGAGUUAUGAGCUUAUAGUUUAGCAUUGUUAGGUCGUUUUGAAAAUUCAAGUGAUACUCCAAGGUUAUUCUUGGAAUAUUCUUUUACAUUAUAUUUGUUAAAUCACUAUUUAAUUUAUUAAGAGCUUGAUAAAUAACCACUAAACUAAAACCAUAGAGGAUAAUUGAUAGACCACUAGUACAUGUUCUAUCACUAACUAACAGACGGUAAAACUUUGUUAUAUUUGUGAAUAUCUUCAGCAAUUUUAUCAUUUAAGACAAUUUUUCGUAUAAUAUCGACAUGAACAUCGUAAGAAAACUCAAAUUAAGUAAGUUAAAUUAAAAAAAAAUUGUAUGAAUGUUUCGAGAACCAUUAAUUAUAAAUUCAACAUUUUUGAAUGAAAAAUUGGAUUGGUUUGUGGUGACGGCUAACAUGCAUGUCUAACAAUUAUUUUCAAUUUCUAAUACUUUCAUCCAUUGCCAAAGUUGGAAACUAAUGUUUUUAUCUUAUUAAAUGAAAUUUCACAUUUCUUGAAAAUUUUGGAUUAUAAUUAUUUGAAAAACAAAAAUAUAUAUUUUUUGCUUUAUCGUUACUGAAAAUUUUAUCUCGUAAAAUUUGAUUUUUUUAGUCUAAAUUUUAAAAACAAAAUAUUUGUUUUAGUUAUAAAGAAAUUGUUUUGGGUUUUAAAUGGGUUUUAUCACAAAUAAUUCAAAUAUAUUUUAAUCCCUCAUCUCCCCUUCUCUCUCACUCACGUUUCAAAUUUCUUCCCCUACUUCUUCUCUAACGGCUCUCUCUCUCUCUCUACUUUCUCGUCCUCUCCCUUCUCUUAUCUUCUUCGUCUUCCUCAAAAUCGCCCUAACAGCGUCGGAUUUCUCAACUGUCGAUCGAGUGACAAUCAUGCCUGCCUGCUUGACAAAGCCUUUUCGGUCUACCAAUAAAGGAAAAACGAUUGCUGGUGACACGAAAGCUGUGCUCAACGCUCUUUUUCCUAUUCCACUGCGCGUCGUGGUCUUUCCCUUGCUGGUUGGAUGACUACUAUGGACGAAGAGCACAACUACUUCCAGUCUCUGAUCGAUAAGUACCCAAGGAAGGUAAAUUCCAGCGGAGAAAGUCGAGAGCUCCUUAGUUGAUCACAAAUCCUUCCAAAUUCUUUGUUCGUAGACUAAUUUGAAAUCCUUCCAAAUUCUUUGUUCGUAGACUAAUUUGAAAUCCUUCCAAAUUCUUUGUUCGUAGACUAAUUUGAAAUCCUUCCAAUAUGGAUCCAUGCUGUCUUUUAUAUCCAUAAGAUACCAAUUAGAUUGUGUUAAUUAUUGUUUAUAAGAAAAUAUUUGUGUGCAGAGUUGCAGUGGGUAAAUCUUAAUGGCUGGCAGAAAAUUGGUUCGGGAUAUAUUACUCUCAACACAAAGUAUUUUUUAUCAGUUUACUUCCCAUCGGGUAUUUGCUCUUCCUAUGCUUUAUCCUUAUCCCAUCUUUCUCCGCUCUAGUCUUCAUAGGAUGGAUUUCUGUGGUGUAAAUUUAUUCAUCUACUUUGUUUGAUUUAUGGUUGCAUUUAGGGAGAAGGUAAAUUACAUAAGCCAAAGUAGUUAUGGAAAACAUCUCCAAUUUACAGCAAGUUAAAGAAAAAAAAGAAAGAGAAAAACAGCAGUUCAAAAAAACUGGGCAUCUUGCUUCUUUCUUAUUGAAAGUUCUGCCGUUCCUUUCAAGUCAAAUUGACCACAAAAUGCUCAAAUGAGAUUCUUCAAUAGUAAUAUGUAACAAAAAUAUAAUAUGUAAAAGAAUUUUUUUGAAACGUGGGAGAGAAGCGAUAACAUUAUCCUUCAAAAAAUUCAGGAGUAAAUAUUUAUGUGAAAGGACAUAUUAUUUGGCCAUUUGACCUUAUUUGUUAUUGAAUUAUUUGGUUGGAAAUGAUAAACUAUACAUUAUUGUUUGCUUCAGUUGUGAUCUUGAUUAUGGGCUAUUUGGUAUUUUGCCUACAAACUGUAUAGUUAAUUAUCUGUUAGCUUUUGUUUUCCUGUCACAACUUUAUGUUUAUGUGGCUAAUUGUAGCCGAAAGUUUUAUUUAUCAAUCUUAUUUUUCACAGCAUAAAUGAAACUGUGUUUCAAGAACAAGGUGCCGCUACAUCAUUCAAGGAAAUUCGUCGUAGAGGUCCGUAAGUUUUUUCCUUUGGAGAUGUGAUACUAACCUGUUUGAAUAAAGGAAUCUGACUUGGUCUUUUCCUCUUUAACAUUAUGGAUUAGGUCUUUCUCUUUACCAGAUUUCGUAGCUGAAGUUUAUGAAGUAAUCAAACCGGUGUUAACUUCUUAUAUAAAGGUUAGUGCUAACUGCUAAGCUUAUUUCUAAGAUGAAAGAUGCUUUUAUCCCCUCCCCAAAGAAUAUCAUUACUAUUUAUGUUGUGUUUCUGCUAACUAAUUCUUGCAUAGCAUCUGGUUUGAUAAUUAAAAUAAAGUUUCUGACAUGGAGGUUUUCAAGUUGUAAUAUAUAUUUUUAUGUUUUAGAUAGAUUCUCAAACUUUGAAGAAACACUACAGUACUGGGGUAAUUGAAUGUUGUAAGGCAGAGCAUCGGGCUUUCCAGAGCCAAGGUAUCUUCUUCGAUAACAAGGUAAGGAUAGUCCUGAUACUACCUUUCUUUUGUUAUUGAAGUUUAUUGUUCCUUUUGUUGGGGCUUGGUGGUUGUGCACCUAUAUUGAUUUGUACUUCUGUUAAUUAAUUAUAGUCAUUCUCUCUUGUCUGAGUAAUUAUUGUCAACCAUUUUGUUAGCAAAGGCUUCCCAUGGAUAUUCAGUUUGUUGUGCUGCAUGUCCACGAUGAUUUUCGUGAUUUUAGUUCUAGAUACAUAAAAAGGGCCUUUGCAUCACGACAUGAAUGACUAUUUUUUAAUAUGAACCUACAAUGCCCCAAAUGAAUGCUGGAUUAAAUUAGAUACAGGGUAGAUAGAGAGUGAGAUGGAGAGUGUUUGUGUGCUUUAGAGCCAUCUGUCCCUAAAACAUAGUUUCUUCCCCCCCCUAUAAGAAGUAAGUUUAUUGAUGUAUGUAAUUUACAAAAGGUUUGGUGGAACACCUACAACAAUCUUUUUGAACUUUUUGGUAGGUUAUGAAUUACGAACUUGUAUUGAAUAUUUGUUAGGUCGUUUUAAUAAUUCAAGUGGUGCUUAGAAAAUGCAACCGAGCUUAAACAAUUCUGCACAUUUUUCUAAAAUUUUUAGUUUAACCUUUUUAAUAAAAUUCGAUGGAAAAUCUUGUUUUCUUUUUGUAGGAAUAAAGGAAAAUGAAAUAUAACCAAACUUGGGAUCUUUGCAAGCAAGCUUCCAUGAAGAAACUAGGUUACAAGGGGAGGUCUUCUGUUCUCCUUUUUCUUUUUUUUUUCCAUCCGUAGAAUCUUGCUUAAAAUGCUUUGAGGACAAUGCAUAUUUUUAAGUGGGGGGUGGGGUUGUAGCCUUGCACAUUCCAUGUCCUUUGGGAAAUUUUCAUUUUGCAAAUUUUGCUAAAAAUGUCAAAAUUUAGAAACUUUUGCAAUGCUCUAUGCUUAGAAUAAGUACCAUGUCUACUUCGCUUUUUAGCAUAAAAAAGCAUGUAUGCCUAACGCAUGAGAACGGAGCUCAGAUUUGUGAUUGUAUUUGUUAUUUGAAUAUGUUACAUAUGUUGAAAAUGCAUAUAUUGAUAGCUUAGAAAUGAGUAGAACACUUGGUUCAUUUUCUGAAUAUUGUGAAUUAUGUACAUAAUAUAUGUGCGGUUCUCUUUUUUAUCUCAAUUUUAAUCCCCUUUUUUGCCAUAUUCUAAUGCCUUUUUUAUAUUAAUUUUAAAUCCCUCUUUUGGCCAUACACAUUUGUAUAAGAUUGUUUGAAAGCAAAAUAUGAUUGUUAGGUCAGGUAGAAAGCAAAGUCGGCAAGUUCUUAGAGUUCUUCACCCAACAUAACAGCCGAUAAAAACAAAACAAUACGACAAAGCUGCUAAGGGUUGCAAAACCCCCCCCCCGCCUAGUGGGCCACUAGAGUUCCCAGCAUGGCAGCCGGUAGAAAGGGAGCGAGAAAAAAAAAGAGGGAGCCAAGCCAGCCGCUUAGGUCAAGUAAAAUGCGUGCCGAGAUCCCCCGGUUUCAGAGUUUUCGUGGGGAUCCUCUCCGCUUUUAUUGCCUAAGCAAAACGAUCCCGCCUAGUAGGUCCUUAGAUUUCUUCACCAAGCAUGGCAGCCGUAGAGAGGGAGAGAGAAAAAAAGAGGAGCCAAGCCAGCCGCUUAGAUCAAGUAAAAUGCGCGCCGAGAUCCCCCGGUUUCAGAGUUUUCGUGGGGAUCCUCUCUGCUUUUCUUGCCUAAGCAAAACCUGACCCCCGCCUAGUAGGUACUUAGAGUUCUUCACCCAGCAUGGCAGCCUGUGAGAGGGAGCGAGAAAAAAAGAGGGAGCCAAGCCAGCCGCUUAGGUCAAGUAAAAUGCGCGCCGAGAUCCCCCGGUUUCAGAGUUUUCGUGGGGAUCCUCUCCGCUUUUCUUGCCUAAGCAAACCCGAUCCCGCCUAGUAGGUGCUUAGAGUUCUUCACCCAGCAUGGCAGCAGGUAGAGAGGGAGAGAGAAAAAAAAGAGGGAGCAGCAAGCCAGCCGCUUAGGUCAAGUAAAAAUGCGCGCCGAGAUCCCCGGUUUCAGAGUUUUCGUGGGGAUCCUCUCCGCUUUUCUUGCCUAAGCAAAACCCGACCCCGCCAAGUAGGUCCUUAGAGUUCUUCACCCAGCAUGGCAGCCUGUGAGAGGGAGCAAGAAAAAAAAGAGGGAGCUAAGCCAGCCGCUUAGGUCAAGUAAAAUGCGCGCCGAGAUCCCCAGGUUUUAGAGUUUUCGUGGGAUUGAUCAUUCAAUUUCAGCAAACCCACUUGUUAUAGUCAAAAGCAUAUUUAAGUUGACAAUGGUUAGAAGAUAUAAUAUUACAUUUACCUCAUCACAUCUCUUUGUUCUUCCAACAACCAUUAAGAAAAAUCCCUGUAAACCGAACCCCAUGUAUUCCCUUUUCUCCUCACUCGCCAGAAUUUUGCCCACUCUCCAAACAAAAUCAUUUCAUUUGGGAUGUGAUGCAUGUUGGUUGGUAGGGAGCUAGUUACAUUGUUUUUGAAGAAAUGAAAGUUAUGGGAUGUGAUGCAUGUUGGUUGGUAGGGAGCUGAAUCCUUUCUUAGGAACGUUUUGGGGAACAUGGAGGCUGUUUAUUUGAGUCGGAAGCCCGCUGCAAAAUCUGUUUUGGAGUUUGUUCGAUCUGUCCAUGACGAUAAAUUUGUUAUGAUCAUACUGCAUUUUGAAGUUUUGGGGUAUUUUUCUUCCAAUUCUUUUCUUCUUCCAAUUUCCACUUAUCUUUUUAUUCUUGCUUCUGUUUAUUAUUUUCUAAUGGUCACUUGUUGUGCAAUAUCUUUCUUUCAUUUCGACAAAGUUGGUUAGUGUUCUUUUUCUGUUUUUUUUUUUACCUUGAGUUAGUUACAUUGUUUUUGAAGAAAUGAAAGUUAUGGGAUGUGAUGCAUGUUGGUUGGUAGGGAGCUGAAUCCUUUCUUAGGAACGUUUUGGGGAGCAUGGAGGCUGUUUAUUUGAGUUGGAAGCCUACUGCAAAAUCUGUUUUGGAGUUUGUUCGAUCUGUCCAUGAUGAUACAAAUUUGUUAUGAUCAUACUGCAUUUUGAAGUUUUGGGGUAUUUUUAUUCUUUCUUCUGUAUAUUAUUUUCUAAUGGUCAUUUGUUGUGCAAUGUCUUUCUUUUAAGUCAUUUGCUACUUUAUAAAGAGAAGAACAAAGUGAACUAUGUUAUCUUUCUACUUUCUACCCCAUUUCCGUAAAGAAGCAAGAAAACAACUAACAGGCAGAUCAAUCUGCUUAAACAUUCAAUUGGCCAUUUACUCUUUUGGGUUUUAACAUUCUGCCAUUCUUGUCGUUGCUCUUAAAUCUCCUCACAAUCUCUUUGUUAAAUCCCUGUAAACCGAACCCCAUGUCUUCCCUUUUCUCUCAAUCGGCCAUAAUUUUUCCCACUCCCCAAACAAAAUCGUUUCAACCUUAUUUUUCUUCACCACCCAUUUCCAAAAUUAUCAUUUCCCUCCGAAAUCCUUUGUCGAUGCUGAAACCUGCUGAUAGGAAUCCAUUGUUCUCGAUCUUGUCGAGUGCCGAACCUUCCAAUCCACUGCAAGGAUCAAGGAUCAAGGGUUAAGGUUUAUUUUUUAGUUAUUGUUCUGUUUUUUUCUGUUUUGAUUUCAUUGCAUUGUUAUUGAAUAAUUUAAAGUUAUGGGUUGUGAUGAUCCUUUCUUAGAAACGAUUUCCCAGUCCUGGAGGCUGCUUAUGUGAGUCAGAAUCACACUGUAAAAUCCAUUUUGGAGCUUGUUCGAUCUAUUGAUGGUGAUACUAAUUGGUUAUGAUCCUAUUGCACUUGCAACUUUUAGGGUAUUUUUCUUCCAUUUCUUUUCUACUUCCAAUUUCAAUUUCAAUUUCUGCAAAUUUUUUAGUUUUCAUAUGUAUAUUGUUUUCCAAUGGUCAUUUGUUGUGUGGUGUCUUUCUUGUAAGUCAUUGGUUACUUUGUAAAGAGAAACACAUUAUGCACUAUGUCAUCGUUCUACUCUUUCUGCAACAUUUCCAUAAAGAAGCAAGAAAACAGCUAGCAGGCAUAUCAAACUUCCUUAAAUAUUCAAUUGGCCAUUUCGCCAUUUUGGAUUUAACAUUAUGCAUUUGUGUCGUUACCCUUAAAUCUCCUCACAUCUCUUUGUUCUUCCAACAAUCGUUAAGAAAAAUUCCUGUAAACCGAACCCCAUGUAUUCCCUUUUCUCCUCACUAGCCAGAAUUUUCCCCACUCUCCAAACAAAAUCAUUUCAGCCUUAUUUUUGUUCACUACCCAUUUCCAAAAAUUUCAUUUCCCUAUGAAAAUCUUUGUCGAUGGCCAAACCUGUGGCUGGGAACCGAAUGUUCUCGAUCAUGUCCAGUGCUGAACCUCCCGAUGGACUGCAAGGAUCAAGGGUUAAGGUUGGUUUUUCUAUUUUUGUUGGUUAUAGUGCGUGUUCUGUUUUUCUUUUUUACUUUGAGUUAAAUCCUUUGUAUUUGAAGAAAUUAAAGUUAUGGGAUGUGAUGCAUGUUGGCAGGGAGCUGAUUCCUUAAAAGUAGGUUAGUGUUCUUGUUCUGUUUUUUUUUUUACCUUGAGUUAUUUACAUUGUUUUUUGUAGGGAGCUGAAUCCUUUCUUGGGAACGUUUUGGGGAGCAUGGAGGCUGUUUAUUUGAGUCGGAAGCCCGCUGCAAAAUCAUUUUUGGAGUUUGUUCGAUCUGUCCAUGAUGAUACAAAUUUGUUAUGAUCAUACUGCAUUUUGAAGUUUUGGGUAUUUUUCUUCCAUUUCUUUUCUUCUUCCAAUUUCUGCUUAUCUUUUUAUUCUUGCUUCUGUUUAUUAUUUUCUAAUGGUCACUUGUUGUGCAAUAUCUUUCUUUUAAGUCAUUGGCUACUUGUUGUGAAAUGGUGUCACUUCUUAGGAACGUUUUGGCGAGCAUGGAUGCUGUUUAUUUUAGUUGGACGCCCACUGCAAAAUCUGUUUUGGAGUUUGUUCGAUCUGUUCGUGAUGAUACCAAUCUGUUAUGAUCAUAUUGCAUUUUGAAGUUUUGGGUAUUUUUCUUUGGUUCUUUUCUACUUCCAAUUUCUGCUUAUUUUUUAUUCUUUCGUAUGUAUAUUUCUUUUUAAUGGUCACUUGUUGUGCAAUGUCUUUCUUUUAAGUCAUUGGCUACUUUGUACAGAGAAGAACAAAGUGAACUAUGUUAUCGUUCUACUCUUUCUACCCCAUUUCUGUAAAGAAGCAAGAAAACACCUAACAGGCAUAUCAAUCUGCUUAAACAUUCAAUUGGCCAUUUAGUCUUUUGGGAUUUAACAUUGUGCCAUUCUUGUCGUUGCCCUUAAAUCUCCUCACAAACUCUUUGUUCUUCCAACAAUCAUUGAGAAAGAUCCCUAGAAUCGGAGCCCCAUGUCUUUCCUUUUCUCCACGCCGGCCAGAAUUUUGCCCACUCUCGAAACAAAAUCUUUCCAACCCUAUUUUUCUUUACAACCUAUUUCCAAAAAAUUCAUUUCGCUUUUUGGAAAAUCAUCGUCUAUGCCGAAACCUGCAUCUUGGAACUGAUUGUUCUUGAUCAAGUCCAGUGUUGAACCCCCGAAUGGACUGCAAGGAUGACGGGUGAAGGUUUUAUUUCUUUCUUAUCGUUGGUUAGAGUUUUUGUUUUGUAUUGUACUGCCUUGACUUAAUUCCAUUAUUUUGAAGAAUUUAAAGUUAUGGGUUUUGAUGAUCCUUUCUUAGGAACGUUUUGGCAAGACUGUACACUGCCUAUCUGAGUCGGAAUCCCACUGCAAUAUCCAUUUUGGAGCUUAUUCGACCAGUUCAUGUUGAUACAAAUUUUUUAUGAUCAUAAUGCAUUUGGAAAUUUUGGGGUAUUGUUCUUCGUUCCAUUUUUUUUUCUACUUCCAAUUUCGUUUUCAAUUUCUGCAUAUUUUUUAUUCUUUCUUAUAAUGCUCAUAUGUGGUGCAAUGUCUUUCUUUUAAGUCAUUGGUUUUUUGGUGAAUAGAAAAAACAAAGGAACUAUGUCAUCGUUCUACUGUUUCUACGACAUUUCCAUAAAGAAGCAAGCCAGAUCAAACAUUCUGCCAUUCUUUUGGUUCCCUUAAAUCUCCUCACAACCUCUUUGUUCUUCCAACAAUCAUUAAGAAAAAUCCCUGUAAAUCGAACCCCAUGUCUUCCCUUUUCUCCCCACUAGCCGGAGUUUUUCCCACUCUCCACACAAAAUCCUCUCAACCUUAUUUUUCUUGACUACCCAUUUCCAAAAUUUUCAUUUCCUUGGAAAUUCUUUGUCGAUACCGAAACCUGCAGCUGGGAAUUGAUUGUUGUCGAUCAUGUCCCCGGUGCUGAGCCUCCCAAUGGACUGCAAGGAUCAACGGUUAAGGUUUAUUCUUUUGUUAUCGUUGGUUUGAGUUCUUGUUCUGUUUUUUUCUGCUUUGAUUUAAUUGCAUUGGUUUUGAAGAAUUUAACGUUAUGGGUUGUGAUGCAUGUUGAUAGCAAGCUGAAUCCUUUAUUAGGAAUGUUUUGGUGAGCAUGGAGUCAGUUUAUCCGAGUCGGAAUCCCACUGCAAAAUCUGUUUUGGGGCUUGUUCGAUUUGUACAUCAUGAUGCAAUUUGUUGAGAUCAUAUCGCUUUUAGAACUUUUGGGGUAUUUUUCUUCCUCCCAUUUCUUCUACUUCCAACUUCAUUUUUAUUUUAUGGACUGAUCAUUCAAUUUCAGCAAACCCACUGGUUAUGGUCAAAAGCAUAUUUAAGUUGAAGAUAUAGUAUUACAUUUACCUCGUAAGUUUUUGGAUGAAUUGGUGAUUUAACAUGGUCUAGAGUGGAUAGUUUAGGAGGCUGUUAGGCCACCAUUGUUGUUUACCUAUAAUAGAAGAAAGAAAAAUAAGGCACGUUAGGAACCAACAACAGUUACUUAAAAAAGAUGACAGUUAUCUAAAACUGGAAGUUAAAUGGAUGAGAGGGAGGUGGGAAAGGGCAGGCAGUUUUUAGUAAAAGGAAGGGCCUGCAAUACUCCAUGAGAGAUAGGGGAAGUAGAGGGCUCACGAUCUUGUUCUGGUUUUAAUUGUAGUAUUUUGAAUUGUGUUUAUUUGUGUUUUGGAUUAGGAGGGUUUCUUUGCUUGUUGUUUGUAAUUUCUCUGUAAUUUUCUUUUUAUUGUAACUUUGAGUUUCAAAUAUCAAUAUAAUAGGAACAGUACAUCAGUGUUCUAUCAAGGUUGUAUGUUCAAAAGUGAGUAGAUAGUUGAGGAGGUCCAAUGUUCAAAAGUGAGUAGAUGGUUUAGGAGGGUCCUAUGUUCAAAAGUUUGUUGGUGUGUAUCUUUGUUGGCUCGACAUGUUUUUAAUUUAUGACUGUUGUUGGUGGAGAGAGCGGAAGAUGUCGGGGACAGUUUGGAGAAGAUCAAGCGGCAGCUGGCCUCUGGGUCUGGUCGGAAUUUGUUGCAGGGUCCCCUUCUAAAGCGAUCUGAAACAGUAAACUAACGCAUUGCAACUCUUUCUGUCUUUCCUUUUGUUUUGAAUUGAUGGUUACUGCUUAAUUGCGCUGCCUUUAGGUCUUCCAUUUAAAUCGUUCUGACUGUUUUAGUGAUGUUUGAAGACUUAAUUAAAUCACCUAGAAGUACUUAUUAAGAUUAGGACGUCGGGAUUUGUGAUUUCAAGGAGAUUAGAAAUGUGAGAAAUGCCCAUGUUCAUGAUCUAACUGUCGGCAUAUUUGUGUUUAUGAAUAUGGCCGUCGAUGUGAUAGUAUUCUCAGACUGUUUUGUAGUGCGCAUAUGCAGAAUUGUGGUCACAUUUGAUCAGCCUUCUACUUUCUGCGUUUCUGUUCUUAGACAGCAUUUUUUAUGGCAAUGAGCCUUCAUUGUAGCAAAUCUGAUUUUCUCUAUUACAAUGUUUGCAGUUGAGGAAAUGGAAUGAGCGAUGGGUAGUUUUGGACCAACAACAAGGAAAAUGGAGUAACCAUACGUCCCAUUUACACUGUUUUUGGUCCUUCCUUGCUUGGUUCAAUGUAGUAAUAUGUUGGUGGAAACAGCUCAUUUCUAAUGCUGCUGCCGAUGGUGAUGGGGUCAAUGGACCUCUGCCAAGAGUGUUCAUAUCACAAAUUGUUGUGGAUUAGUUGAGUAAAUAAACUCAGGUGCGUUUCACCGAAUUCUCGAUAUGCAGAAAUCUGAAUAUAUUUUUUCCUUCUGAAAUUUGGCUACAAGCUGUAUCUUGGUGCUGCAGUAAGUGUAUUGUUAGCGAUGUAGUAGGCAUAAGGUGGGAAUAGGAUGCAUUUUGUGUUUUAUCCAUUUAAGUUUUUGGUUUAUGCAACAAAACCUUAGCUUGAAUUACAACUUCAUAUCAUUUUUCCUACUGCAUUCAGUACAUGUUCUUGCAUUGGGAAGAAGCAUGCUGCUUUGGCUGGUUCUCUGGGUUCCUUCACAUGGGAAAAGCCUUUGCAUUCAGAGUUUGAGCAAUUAGCAAGGCUUUUAAUCUCCCAUGACUCUAAAACUUAUGUUAUUUAGGUCACCAUAUUAUCGUGGAGAAUGAACCAAAUUUCAUUUCUGAAUUGUGAUUUCACCAAGAAUUUGAAAACAAAAAUGCAUAUUGUUUUCUUUCUGAUUCUUUUUUAUUGCGUAUUAUUUUUUAUGGUCAUUUACCUCCCACAGAUGACAUGAAUAGCGCCAAACAACUACAAAGAGAACUGCCACACUCCUAUAAUUGCUGCUAACCUACCUAACUAAGAAUAUACGACAAUCUCGAAAAUGUGCCAAUGAGAGACAUCAUCAGAUCCAGAGAUCAAGUUUGCCAAGAACUACUCAUAGUAGAAUUUGCAAAUAUGUGGUGCAAACUGAGCCAAGAAUAGACAACUCCAACCUUUUUGGAAUAGACGUGGUUAUCAACCUUUUGACUCUCUUCUUCUUUUCUUUCCUGACUUGGAUUCACUGCCCUGAUCAUUGGAUGAAUUUAGUGACUUUCCCUUUGAGUUCUCCAUUGUUUUCCCAGAAGUUGAUGAACGCUUCACAUCUCCACUUUCUUUUUCUUUUGCUUUUGAAGAUGUGAACUUAACCUUGGUGGAGAGAUUGGUAUUAUUAGACUUAUCGCCUGUUUUGGUAGACUUGCCUUUUGAAACAGGAGUUUUUGGGGUUUCUUGUUUGGACUUCCCCGUCUUCGAUACAUCUUGCUUGUUGGACUUUGCAACAGCGGCAGGUGUGGAUGUCUCAUCGUCCUUAGAUUUGCUAGUCUUGUUGGAUUUGGCAUCAUCAUUCUUCGACUUGCCAGCGAUUUUUGGACCUGUGCUACCAAGUUUACUUCCAAUUUCAAGAGUGCCUUGAUCCUUUGAUUUACUUCCAAUUUUUGGAGGCUGGUUUCAGCACAGGUGUGGUUUCCUUUUUAUCAUCAUCACCUGACAAUCUUUUCACGUUUUUUCCAGAAAUAGAUUUAGCUGAUCCCUUCUUUCUCUUGACCUCUGAUUGUUUUAAAGAACUCCCCCCACUCUUGCUGGUUCCAUCACCCUUCCUAACAGACUGCUUCAAUGUCUUAGUUUCAAAAUCACUUGUAGUGUCAUUAGUUUACAUUUACAUUUACGUUGAAGAUAUAAUAUUACAUUUACGUCAUUAGUUUUUGGAUGAAUUGGUGAUUUAACAUGCUCUAGAGUGGAUAGUUUAGGAGGUCUGUUAGACCACCAUUGUUAUUUUACUUAUAAUAGAAGAAAGGAAAGUAAGGCACGUUAGUAUUCAACACAGUUACUUAUUCAAAAGGAUGACAGUUAUCUAAAACAGGAAGUUAAAUGGAUGAGAGGGAGAUGGGAAAGGGCAGGCAGUUUUUAGUAAAAGGAAGGCCUGCCAGAAUUGUUCUGGUUUUAAUUGUAGUAUUUUGAAUUGUGUUUAUUUCUGUUUUGGAUUAGAAGGGUUUCUUUGCUUGUUGUUUGUAAUUUCUCUGUAAUUUUCUUUCUAUUGCAACUUUAAGUCUCAAAUAUCAAUAUAAUAGAAACAGUACAUAAGUGUUCUAUCAAGUUUGUAUGUUCAGAAGUGAGUAGAUAGUUGAGGAAGUUCUAUGUUCAAAAGUGAGUAGUUUAGGAGGGUCCUAUGUUCAAAAGUUUACUGGUGUGUAUCUUUGUUGGCUCAACAUGUUUUGAAUACAUUUUAGGUUAGAUUGAGUUUGUUGCACUUGGUUGUCAUUUUUGGUCUUGAAAUGCUUUUUUCAACCUUUUUGGUAGAUUAUGAGUUACGAACCUACAUUUAGGAUUUGCUAGGUCGUUUUGAAAUCUCAAGUAAUACCUAGACACGUUUUGAGCACGUUUUAGGUUGGUUUGAAUUAAGUUUGUUGCACUUACACACUUGGUUGCCAUUUUGGGUCUUGUAGUGCUUUUUUCACAAUAUUUGAACUUUUUUCGUAGGUUAUGAGUCACGAACCUACACGUAAGCUGUUUUAGGUCGUUUUGAAAGUUCAAGUGAAACUUAGACACGUUUUGAGCAUGUUUUAGGUCGUUUCAAGUAAAUGGUAUGUAUGUUGUGAUUGUUUGAUUGCAUGUAUAAUACCUUAUUGAGAUGUUAAUGCUUGAUUGAGAAGCUGAUAGAACACCAAGUAAUGGUUCUUAUUUGUUCAUUAAGCAACCAAACUAUUACAGAAUACAAUACUCAAACCAGUCUUGAAAACACAGAACAAAUAAGUACUAUUACAGACAAUAACCAAGUACAAAAUAAAAAUUCAAACAUCAAAAGUAGUUUACGAUAAUGGAAAACACUUUCUAAGAUUAAAGUAACUGAACAACUUCUGUAAUUCUGCUCUCCAGAAAAUACAGCCCCUCCACUUCCAGAAACUGAUUAACCAACCCCCAUCUUUCCUUCCAUCUCUCCCUUUUAACCUCCCUCCUGUAACUAACUGUUGUCCCCACUAAGGUGGUUUCCACUUCCUCCAAUUCCAUCACCUGUGCACGUGCAAUUCCACUUGUCUUUCUUCUGCUAUAUUGUAUUGCAAUUGGUGGUCUAUCAUUACUCUCCCUCUCCAAAGACACCUUGUUCUCAAGAUGGGAAAUGAGGAAGCUUUUGGGUAAAUUAACACAAUUCUCCCAUGUAGCCUCAUGAGGUGGUAUUCCUUUCCAACUAACAAGCACUUCCCACUUCUUUGUUGCUGGAUUUUUAGGAUAGCCAAAAUUGUCUGCUGGUAGUAACUCUUGAAAUGUAGGAACAUUAUCAAUUCCAUAUAGUUCGGUAAAUGUCAUUCCUCCCUCCAUAGCUCGACAUUUUGUCAAGAAACCGUAAUCAGAUGGUGUCCAUGUCUCCAUCAUGUGUUACAGACUCACUCUAGUCUUUGUCAAACUCGGUCACCCCUUAUAACAACAUUCUUUUCAUUUUGUAUGUAAAUUAAAGUGAGUUUCCGCCAAUCCACUUCAGUUACCCCAACGUGUGCAGCCAUUGCAUUCCAAGGAUGACAUCAUGAUAGAACACUGAUGUAGUGUUUCUAUUAUAUUGACAAUUCAAACACAACUUACAACAUAAGCAAACUGUGAACCUCAGAAAAUGAGUCACGUUACAUAUAAUUCACAAACAGCAAACAAAGAAAACCUCCUAAUCCAAAAUUCCGAACAACAAAAUACUAAUAAGCAAACCAGAAUAUAGAACACCAAUCUUCUGCUUCCCCUGUCUUUCAAGGAGUAUUGCAGACCUUUUCCUUCACUCCAAAAACUCACUUUAACAAAGAGGCAGCCACAUUUUCAGGUAUAGAAAAUAAAGUAGGUAGUAUGUAGGAAGGCUAACCAGAACUGAGUUGCAUAAGGUUUGUCUUCCGCCUCUAGAGAUGUUAUAUCUUUUCCACCUUUCAAGUUUCUUGUGAAUUCGAUCAAUGACUGGUUGCCAAAAAGACUUUUGUCGAGGGUAGCCUCCCAAAAGGAGACCUAAAUAUAUAAUCAGAAGCUUUUCUACCUUGCACCCUAUCAGAUUUGCUGUUUGAAACAAAUCUUCCUCUCCCACAUUAACGUCGCUAAGGGCUGAUUUUUCCCAGUUUACUUUCUGCCCCAAACACCAUUCGAAUAAACUAAUGACGUUUUAAAGUUUAAGGAGCAUCUUAACAUCAUACUUACAAAAGAGAAGAGUAUCAUCGACAAAUUGAAGCAAAGGGAGGUGGAUCAAGUCUUUGCCAACAAGGAAACCGUCAAACUGGCUGUUAAUAUAAAGCUUGUUUAUGAUUUCUCCUAAAACCUCACUUACUAGGAGGAAUAAAAAGGGGGGAGAGGGGGUCCCCUUGGCGGAUACCUCUAGAUGUUGUUAUCCGGCCUCUAGGCUUACCAUUGAUGAAGACUGAAUACUUUGGAAUUUUUAGGCAGCCCAUUAUCCAUGAUAUCCAUUUUGAACUAAACUUUUUCAAAGAUAAAUUUUUUUCUAAAAAGUUCCAAUUCACCCUAUCGAAGGCUUUUUCCAAGUCAAGUUUUAAAAUCCAUCCUUUUUCCGUUUUGCCCUAUAAUCUUCCACGGCCUCGUUAGCAAUUAAUAUUGGGUCAAGAAUUUGCCUACCUUCAAUAAAGGCGCUUUGAGUGGGGCUUAUAAUUGCAUCCAUAACUUGUUUUAGACGUUCAGAUAAAACCUUUGCAACGACCUUGUAUGCUAACGUAGUAAGGCUGAUUGGAUGGAAAUCCUUGACUAGAGUCACAUUCUCUUUUUUCUGCACUAAACAAAUAAAGUUUUCUUGGAUGCAAGCAUUUAAUCUUCCAUUUCUGUGGAAAUCAGACAUUAGUGAUUUGAAGAUAUCCUUGAAAAUAGACCAUUGGGUGAUUAGGAACUUCACUGUGAAGCCAUCCGGGCCCGGAGCUUUAUUGUUGCCAAGUGCCUUUAAUGCCUUAAAGAUCUCCUCCAUUGAAAAUUGGGUAACAAGAGCCUCAUUCUGAAUUGAGGAAACACAAGACCAAUUACUGUUAAUAGGGAUGAAUCUGUCCCCCAGAAUUCUGGUAUAAAGGGACUCAAAAAAUUCCACCACAAGCCUUUCAAUGUCGCGGAAUGAAGUCGAGACAACCCCAUCAUCAUUUUUUAAUUCAGUUAUGAGGUUCCUUCUUUUUUUCGCAUUUAGAAACCGGUGGAAGAAGCCCGUAUUCUCAUCACCCAAAGAAAGCCAAUUGAGUUUACUCUUCUGAAUAAAAUUACGCUCUUCGUUUUGAUAAAUACUAAGUAAUUCUGCUUGCAAAGCAGCUCUAGAAUUCAACUUUUCUUGAUUUAAUCCAAUCAACUCAGCCACAGAAUCAUAUUUUUCUAAUUUUGACAUCAAGGAUUUCUCUGUUUUUUUUUUUACCUUAGCUUGCGCAGCAAUAUUCCAAGCUUUUACUGCCAAUUUAACUGAUCUCAACUGCUCAUGAAGAAUGAAACCAGCCCAUCCCUGGAAGUUAGAGUUGCUCACUGUUUCAACAAUAAUCUGAUUAGAAUCACUGGACACCAACCAACUGUUACAAAACCGAAAAGGAGAGGGACCCCAAAGAAAAGAACCAGCCUCCAAGAAUAAAGGAAAGUGAUCCGAGAAGAUGCGUGCUUUUCGAGAAACCCGAGAAUUUUCAAAACAAAUAUCCCACAUCUGAUUUAUGAAGAAUCUGUCUAAUAAUGAUCUUCAAGGAGAAUUACCGUCUCUAGACCAAGUGAACCUUCCAUUUUGCAAUGGAAUUUCCAUGAGAGAAACCACUAUCUGAUCGUAAUUCUAAUUAUUUACUUGGCCUUGUUUCUGUUGGCUUUUUGGCCCUUAAUCUCAAAUUAAUUUAUUUUAAUUAUUCAAUUAAUUUAUGUUUUGAUGAUAACAAAUUUGAUUUUUUUAUUGACAAUUUUAUUAAUUUGAAUAGACCAUACCGUAGAGCUUGGAAAAAUGAUUCUAACGCCUCUUGAAUCACCCAAAUCGAAGUUUAAAUGAAGAAAAUAUUGCUAAAAGAAGCUUAACGAAAAAAUACCCGAGAUGGUGACGUGGCGACCAAGCAUUCAAUUUGAACCAAUUAGAGAAAGCCACUUGGAGCAAUGAAGAAGUAACAAAUGUGGCUUUUUGUUAUGUUUUAUUGGCUUUUAUAAAGAAAAUGAAUUUAAAAGAAAAAUGAUUUUAAUAUUAUUAUUUUUUCUUGUGUCUAACGGCUAGUUUUUUUUUUAAAAAAAGGGUGAAGUUGCUUUAUUGAUUUCUUUUUAAACAAAAUAUUUUGAAAAGACAUAUUAUUAUAUUAUUAUUUGUAUUGUGUCUAACGGCUAAUUAAGUUUAAAUCUCAACCAUUCAUUUUUCUUUUACUUAUAUCUAAUGACCCAAAUGAUUUUGAAUUUAUCUUUCCUCUCUUUUUAAAUACUUCACAUUUACACAAGAUCAAACAUCUUUACAAUCCUCAAGCAAAAAGCCAACAUUGUUAUUCUCUCUAAAGCUUCCAAUUUUUAUUCUUUUCAUCUUAUUCUUGAGAGCUUCUUAUUGUAUUGUGAGGAUUAAAUUUGUGAGCUUCAAAUUGUAUACUCACUCUUUUAGAGAGUUUUCUUUUGUGUGAUUUAAAAAUUUCAACAUAUUGUAACGGUUGGAUCCUAAUCCGUGGAAAGGAUCGGGUUUGCUCUUGAACCCGAAAAAGGAGCAAGAAUCGGUUCAGCUCAAAUCCGUGGAAAGAGUCCAAAGAAGAUUUUCAAUCAAAAUCCCAAGGGGUGCUUGAGAAAGUGGAUGUAGGUUGAGUUUAACCGAACCACUAUAAAAUUACGGUGUCUUCUUCUCUAACUCUUUUCUAAUUAUUUUUUAAUUUAAUUUUAGUUACAUAUUCUUAUUGGUUGAGUUUGAUUGCAUACUUCCAUUCAUAUCUUUUUAUCAAUCUUGUUAUUUAACAAAGUUUACAAAGUUCUUUAUUUAAAUUUUAGAAAAUAUCUAAUUAGUUGAUUUUACUUUUUAUUUGUCAAAAAGUUUAUUUAAACCCUAUUCACCCCCCUCUAGGGUUGCCAUACCGAUCCAACAGUUUCUUUGUAGGCAGUGAUAGAAAAUACCAGAGCAAAUGAUAUACACAAGCGAGUUCCCUUUUUAGUACCGUUUACUAGCAGGGUUAAGAUUUUCACUGUAAGCAAUUUAUUUUUUUGGUUUCCUUAUCCAUAAUAUUGAAUUUCUUGGAUGACUGUUAGUUAUAGAAAUAUGUAAGAUAUUUUUUAUUUAUGGUUACUUUCUCUAUAACUCAUUUCACAGACACAACUAGCAGCAGCUAGGCAAAGGAAUGGAUCUCUUGCUGUUUUUGCCAGAAACCGAUUUAGAAUUCGACGAAAUCAUAUAUUGGAAGAUGCUUUAGUCAGAUGAGUGCAUUGUCUGAAGUUGAUCUUUGAAGAUCGGUAAUUUCAGACUUCCAUGAUUUAUGAAAAAUGAAAUUGUUAUCUUACUUUUUUCUAUCUUUUUCUUUGCCCUCGUGAAAACGACCCUUUCCCUCUUCUGCAUCAUAUAGUUGCAGAGUUACUUGUAAUUGUUUAUUAGUUUUUUCUUGUUUGUGUUGGGUCAAUUGCUUCAGUUUUCUGCAUGCAGAUACGUGUGUCUUUUGUUAAUGAAUUUGGAGUUGAGGAGGCAGGAAUUGAUGGUGGUGGUAUUUUUAAAGAUGUCAUGGAGAACAUUACACGGGCAGCCUUUGACGUGUAGUAUGGUUUAUUUAAGGUUAUCACGACAUUCCUUAUUAUUAGCAUGGCAUGGCUUUGUUAAUCCUGUAGUAUUAUUGGAUAACAUAGUUGUGAGAUCACAUUUCAAUAUAAAAAUUGGUUGCUUGAAAUCUAUUUCAUAAAAUUUCAGUAAUAUGUGGGUAUGUAUUGUUCAUUUUUUCUAAUAUAAGUUAUUUUCUGCAUGGUAAUCCAGCAAAUUGCUGACCAUUUGCUCUACCCCAAUCCUUGUUCGGGAAUGAUACAUGAGCAACAUCUCCAGUUUUUCCAUUUCCUCGAAGUUCUUUUGGCAAAGGUAUGGCCAUAAUUCCCAAUCAUACAUGGAAUUUACUUUGGUUGAUUAGUUUUUUCUUUUUUUGGAUAAGGAUAUCCUGGUCUUGGCCUUAUCAUGGAAGAUUCUUAUAUAUCUUUCACCCCAUACUUUGGUUGAAUUUUGGAACAUUAAUGUAUCGCCUGACAUUCAUAAAUACAAUGUCAUAAUUUGAAAUCUGCUGUCUUCCUACAUUAUGCAUGUUUUUCUGUUAUUGAAGUUGCUGCCCGGUUGUGCUAAAAGUUCUCAAGCAGUCAUGCUAAAAGAUCUCAAUCACAUUAAAUGAUUUUUGACAGGAUGUUGUUGUUUUACCCUUCUUCCUGUAGGUCAUGUUUGAAGGAAUUCUUGUUGAUAUACUUUUUGCAACAUUCUUCUUGAGCAAGUUAAAACAGAAGUAAGGUUUUUAAAGAUUUACUGUCUUACUGUUUUGUAUUUUGUGCUGAUCCACUAAUCGUAGUAUUGAUGGUCAUGACAAUGACUAGUUGCAAGUUACUUGAAUUUUUAGGGUUCUAAAAAUCUUACAUUUUAUUAUGGGUGCACUGCCUACUAAUGAGAUUGUCAAUUGCUAACUUCCAAAUGUUGAAUUUGGGAUUUCCAUGCUACAUUCACUUUCUUGAUCUGCAAUUACAGAGCUACUCUAUACUGGAAUAAAGUCUGAUCUGAACUAUACACUGUUUUUUAUGCUGUAAUUGCAAAGCUAGGAAAUCUUUAUGUAUAAUGCCUUUUUUUUCAUCAUUUAUUAAUGAAAAUGAGAAGCCUUUUUAUAGGCUGGAGAUUACAAGAGUUGUUAAACUAACUUGGGGUUGAGUUAGUUUACUUAUAACUAACUCAAGAUACAAAAUUGUUAAUUCAAAUAACUAAUCCUAAACUAUAAAAAUGGUAAUUCAAACACCUCCUCUAGGAUAAAACUCAAGAAACAUAAAGAAGGGGGAUGUUCUACAUUAGCUUUUGUCAAGGCUUUAGCCAAAAUUUUAUUUAUCAACUGUGGGGGAGGAUUUGAGAGCUCCCCAAUCUCUACACACUUCUCUAAUGAGAGUCUAUACCAAAAUCAUAUGUCCAAAAAGAUACCCAUACCCUCCCACUCAAGAAACUUAAGUAAUUGCUUAGAGAAAUAACAAAAUACUUGGCCCCACUCUAACAAACACAUUCCUAAGGGCCCACACAAAUAGAAAAAUAUCAACUAACUCUCAAUCAUUCUUUCUUCUCCUAUUCUUGUCUCUACGGGAAUACACCUUUACUAUGGGAGGUCUAUCAUUACCCGCCCCCAAAUAGCCACCUUGUCCUCAAGGUGGAAUUCAGGAAACUGUUUCUUGAAUAAGAGCAGCUUGUUCCCACGUUGCACUUUCAAGUGUCCCCUCACUCCAACGGAUCAAAACUUCUAAGUUGUCCUCCUUUUCUAUUGUUUUGCGAACUCCCAAUACUUCUACCGGAGACACUUGCAUAGACAAAUCAGCAGCCAAAUCUUUUGAAAUUGGGAAUAAUGGCCUGUUUGAACCCACGACCUUGCGAAGAACAGAAACAUGAAAGACCGGGUGUAUAAGCGAUUCCUUGGGAAGGGCCAAACGGUAUGCAACGAAACGAAUUCGUGCCACGAUCAUAAAUGAACCAAUGAAUCUUGGGGCCAAUUUGGAGUGCUUAAAACGGCUGAGAGAGGACUGUCGGUAAGGGCGUAACUUCACAUAAACCCAAUCAUGAACCUCAAACUGCACCUCCCGUCUUUUAGCAUUAGCAUAUUUGACCAUUCGCUGCUGUGCUUUCAGUAAAUUGGCCUUCAAAACGCCCAAAAUUUCAUCUCUUUCUUUCAUCAAAUGGUCUAACUUCAUCAUUCACCCGGCUCGAGCCCUUCACAUAUGGUAAUAUAGAGGGGGGUGGUCGCCCAUAGAGGGCCUCGAAGGGGUCAUCAAUGUGGCUGUACGGACUGUUGUAUUAUAGCUUAAUUCAGCCCAAGCUAGCCAUUUAACCCAUUGUUUAGGUGUGUUCAUAGAAAAACACCCUAGAUACGUCUCCACCCCUCGAUUGACAACUUCCGUUUGACCAUCUGUUUGGGGGUGGUAAGUGGUGCUUCGUCUCAACUGAGUUUCCAACAACCUCCACAACUCUUCCCAUAAUAGACUUGUGAAAAUACGAUCACGAUCCGACACUAUACUUCAGGGCAUCCAUGCAAACGAAUAAUCUCUCGCAUAAAAACAGCAGCAACCACUUUUGCACCAAAUGGAUGUUUCAAGGGGAUGAAAUGUGCAUACUUGGAAAGAAGAUCCGCAACUACCAAUAUAACAUCAUAACCCUCGGAUUUGGGGAGGCCCUCAAUAAAAUCCAUACUAAUAUCUUCCCACACACGGUCCGGAAUGGGUAAUGCUUGAAGGAAACCAGCCGGAGUUAAAGACAAGUAUUUGGCUUGCUGACACACGGAACAUUCAGCAACAUAGGUGCGGAUAUGGGCUGUCAUACCUCGCCAAUAUACCUCCCUUGUUAGACUUUGAUAUGUUUUCAAUGCACCAUGAUGUCCCCCUAUCUGGCUGUUAUGGAAUUCAGCUAAUAAUAAAGUAAUAUUAGGUGAAUCCUCCUCCUUGUAGCGAAUAUCCCUCUGGAGCUUGUUGUCCAUUUAUCAAGGAUAGUCGAAUAUUGUUAAGAGAUUCAUUUCCAGCCACUUGAUCGAUGAAAACUGAAGGGUUUAGCCGCCCACAAUACUUACGAGGCCCAAUUCAAAUACGGUGGUAAUCUCUAUAAGGCAUCGGCCGCUUUGUUUUCCAAUCCUUUCUUGUACUCAAUCACAAAAUCAUACCCCAAUAGUUUAGCGAUCCAUCUCUGAUAUUCUCCCCCGAUAGCCCGUUGUUCAAGAAGAAACUUCAAACUUUUCUGAUCUGUACGCACCACAAAAGGCUUACCCAAUAGAUAUGGUCGCCAUUUUUUAACAGCCAGCACUAUUGCCAUAAGCUCCCGUUCAUAAACAGCCUUAAACCUAUGGGUAAUAGGUAAAGCUUGACUGAAAAAGGCCACUGGUCGUUGAUUUUGCAUUAGGACAGCCCCAAUACCCACACCCGAAGCAUCAGUUUCCAGCACAAAACUUUGUGAAAAAUCAGGAAUACCUAGCACUGGGACAGACAUCAUUGCUGACUUUUAACUGCUGAAAUGCGUUCUCGGUCGUUUCAUUCCACUUAAAGUUACCUUUUUUUAACAGUUGUGUCAAGGGGGGCAGCACAAUAGAACCGUAGUUUGCAACGAAUUUCCGAUAAUACCCCGUUAGCCCCAAAAAAACCCACCUAGCUCCUUCACGUUCUUGGGUGCUGGCCAUUUAACCAUCGCUUCUAUUUUUGUUGGAUCCGCUGCCACCCCCUCUGAAGAAAUAACAUGGCCCAAGUAUUCAAUUUUGUCAACCGCAAAUUGGCAUUUUUUAAAGUUGGCUACCAGUUGAUGAGCUACUAGAGUUUCCAAAACCAUUGCCAAUUGGUGCAAAUGCUCGUCCAAGGACUUGCUGUAAAUUAAGAUGUCAUCAAAGAAAACCAAAACAAACUUGCGUAAAUAUGGGCGAAGAACAUCACUCAUGAUUGAUUGGAAUGUUGCCGGAGCGUUUCAACCCAAACAGCAUCACAAGGAAUUCAUAGGGCCCCUCGUGGGUUCGAAACGCUGUUUUGUGAACAUCGGCUGCCCGCACAAAUAGAAAAAUAUCAGAAUGCUUGUUUUUCUUUAUUUAUUUUGUAAUGUCAAUUAAUUGGCUAAUUAUUUAUCAGAAUGCUUGUUGAUAUCGCUGCAUGUUUUAUUUUGUAAUGUUUGUACUUUUUAGUUGUGAUUUGUGAAUAUGCUAGGAUUGAUUUGAUUUGCUCUUCUGACUGUUAAGAUCGGAAUGAUGUUGCUCAUCUGAAAGUAGGCAGCAUCAUGUGCUUGAAGACUUGUAGAGUAUGGAGAGUGAAUGGUCAAAUUUGAGGAAUCAUAUCUGCUGGCUUUGUAGUCCAAACAGGUUGUCUGGCUAACUUUCUUUUUCUCAUUUUCAACCAAUUAGGAUAGCUGUCAUGUUUUUUGAAUUCCUUGCCAUUCUUGAGUAGUAACUUGGCAUUUAUUUAUUAAAAGGUUUUAAUUAAGAUUGUGGUGUUCAUAACUUUGUAGUCACACUAAAUAACUUAAAAGAGUUAGUUUGACAGUUGACAAACAUGAUAGUAAUGUGAUAGUGAGUGCAAGGGUAAAAAGAGUUGCUUCUGUUGGGUUAAAGUGAUGUUUGUGUUUUUUAGUGUGAUGUGUUUUGUUUUCAAGUUCGUUAGUAGACGUAUUACUUAAUUGAAAAUUUUGAUACCAUAGCCAGUGUAGGGGAAGAUGAAUGGAGGGUGCUAUUAGACUAGUUAAGACUUAUAUGUAUCCUAAUUUUAGUAAUAUAUAAAAUUGAGAGAAUUUCCUUUGAUUUUCAGGAACAAGGAUGAAUAAUCAAUGAAAAAGGAAUGAAAAGGUUUAUCCAUGCAAGCUUCAAACAAAAGUCAAGGAUGUCGAUCCUUCCAGGGGAGUCCAAAGUUCCCCCCUUAUUUUUCUCCAUUUACUUUGAUUUUCAAAAGCUUUUAGGACAGAAAAAGCAAUUUUUUGAGUGGGUGUGGGUAAUAGCUUGCUUAGCUUGCAUGUUUAGUGUAAACUUGGGGGUUCAAAUUUUGCCCAAAUUUCAAAAUUUUUCAGAAUUCUUUCCAUACAAUAAUGAGCAUUAGCUUAAUUAGAUCUUGCAUAAAAAGCAUGAUUGGCAACCCUUGAGCACUGAGCUCGGGUUUAUGAUGUGAAAUUCUGAAUUUUGAUGAGUAUAUGUGCUGAAAUUUGAGCAUAAGCUGCUGUCUUUUUUGUUUUAAGCUCCUUUUAGCUAUUUCUUAUUGAGAUGUGAAUGCAUGAUUGAGAAAAUGGUAUGUGUGUUGUGAAUGCUUGAUUGCAUGUAUAAUAAAUAAGUGCAUGGAUACUUUUCUAGCUUUGUCUUCCUUUGUUGCUUUGUCGUGACUUACCUAUGAUGCACUUAGUCCAAACCUAGCCUAGAUAGAGUAAAAAAGGAUAGGAGGCACUCUUUAGAAACUGGGAUGGUUUUAACAAAUUUGUCUUGUCAAACAUGAGUUAGAAGCCUCUUGUCUAGCCACAAUGAACUAAAUCCCUUUAGAAAAGGGUCGACAUUAACAAAACUUAUUGUCACUUCGAAGGGAGCAAUCAAACUUAAUUAGUAACUAAAUGUAGAACCAUAGAAAGGUUAGCCCACCGGUUCUAGCAAGGCCUAGUUACCACAUUGCAUACCAAAGAAAGAAAAGAGAGACUUGACAAUGCAAAACAUAAAACAGUAAGACAAUCAAGAGCUAUAAAAAAAGUCAAACAAAAGUAGAAAAAGUCCAUAAAAAAUGGGGGAAAACUUCACUUUUGGCCUAACCAAAACCAGACUACCUACUCUUAGCGUUCUAAACAUAGCAUCGAGUUUGAUGAGGGCUUUGAAAAGAGGAGGAAUCCUCCCCGAUCCACAUUAGGGGGAAAACAAGGCUUGUUGUCACUUCGAAGGGAGCAGUCAAACUUAGCAUUGAGUUUGACGAGGGCUUUGAAAAGAGGAGGAAUCCUCCCCGUUCCAUAGUAGGGGGAAAACGAGGCUUGUUGUCACUCCGAAGGGAGCAGUCAAACUUAGAAACUAAGUUUAGAACCAUAGAAAGGUUAGCCCACCGGUUCUAGCAAGACCUUGUUACCACAUUGCAUACCAAAGAAACAAAAGAGAGACUUGCAAAUGCAAAACGUAAAAAGGUUAGACAAUCAAGAGCUAUAAAAAAACAAACAACACAUGCAAUAUACAUUAGAAAAAUCCCAUAAAAAAACAAAGAGCCAACUUGGUUCGGUCAGGUAGAAUGUGUUGAGUUCCCUAACUAUCAGAGCUUUUAGCAGAAAACUUUACUUUUGGCCUAACCAAAACCAAACCACCUACUCUUAGCGUUCUAAACUUAGCAUCGAGUUUGAUGAGGGCUUUGAAAAGAGGAGGAAUCCUCCCCGAUCCACAUUAGGGGGAAAACAAGGCUUGUUGUCACUCCGAAGGGAGCAGUCAAACUUAGCAUUGAGUUUGACGAGGGCUUUGAAAAGAGGAGGAAUCCUCCCCGUUCCAUAGUAGGGGGAAAACGAGGCUUGUUGUCACUCCGAAGGGAGCAGUCAAACUUAGAAACUAAGUUUAGAACCAUAGAAAGGUUAGCCCACCGGUUCUAGCAAGACCUUGUUACCACAUUGCAUACCAAAGAAACAAAAGAGAGACUUGCAAAUGCAAAACGUAAAAAGGUUAGACAAUCAAGAGCUAUAAAAAAACAACAACACAUGCAAUAUACAUUAGAAAAAUCCCAUAAAAAAACAAAGAGCCAACUUGGUUCGGUCAGGUAGAAUGUGUUGAGUUCCCUAACUAUCAGAGCUUUUAGCAGAAAACUUUACUUUUGGCCUAACCAAAACCAAACCACCUACUCUUAGCGUUCUAAACUUAGCAUCGAGUUUGAUGAGGGCUUUGAAAAGAGGAGGAAUCCUCCCCGAUCCACAUUAGGGGGAAAACAAGGCUUGUUGUCACUCCGAAGGGAGCAGUCAAACUUAGCAUUGUGUUUGACGAGGGCUUUGAAAAGAGGAGGAAUCCUCCCCGUUCCAUAGUAGGGGAAAACGAGGCUUGUUAUGAGGAUUUUCCCUUGGGAAAUUAUUAUAAAAGUGACAAAUGAAAAUAUUGAUUGGUUUCUGAACCACUGUGGUGCCCUUGUUUGUUAUUUUCCCUUAUGUUGCUUUAUGCUUGGUUUUCUAAUUGAUAAUAUCAUCUUAAAGUGUUCUAAUUGAUAGCACAUAUCUCUUAGUGUUAGUACUUUCUUACCUUUCUCUCUCUUACAUAUAUAGGGGAUAUGUUGAGCAUUUUCGCUAGCAAGGAUUAUGUACUUAACAAGGCCUUAGUGGAUUAGAGAGUUAAGAAAUUUGCAUAUGCUUGCAUCCAGACUGUACACCAUAAUAGGUAAUUAGUUUUUUCCAUUUCAACAUUCCUUAUUAAAAACUUAUCCUUUUUAACGUUUUGAAUGGAAGAACAGAUGUUUGAUCUAUCAUUGUUGAUUUUGUUGGCUUUCUAUGCUAUGAUCCUUUAAUUGUAUAUGAUAUAUUUCUUUUGUUGAAAAGUGAUAUAUUUCUUAGAUUUUGUUCAGAUAUAUAUAACUGACAUAAAGGUUUUUUUACCUUCAGCUAACGAAUUCAGACUAAUCUUAUUUAUAUAUAUGAUAAGUUGUCUUUAUUUUUCCUCUGAAUUAUUCUUACUUGAUGUUGUUCUUGAUAGAAACCAAUUGAGGAAUCAACUUUUGGCUGCACCUGUGAACUCUAACACACCUGCAACUCUAUUGUUAGACACAAUUAUUUUCUUAUUACAACCUGAACUCCCAUGGGUUUGUAAAAUUGUUGGUUACUUCCUGGAAAGAAAUGCAUAUGCGUUGAUUAGGGAUAUCACUUUGACAGGGAAGGUAUAAAUGUACUUCCUUUUUCUUCUACUUGCAAGUGGUUUUUUUUAUAGAUAUUCUGUUUUGCCGUGGAUUAUCCUCUGCAGGUGUUUUCAGAGAACUAAUUCACACUCAAACUAUUGCAGGAAAGUGCAGAUUCACAUUCCAAGAGUUCAUUGGCUUCUCUAGAACAUCUGCUGUCUCUUUUGAGUUCUCAUGUUGGUAAGAAGCCAUGUUGUUGCCCACGUGUUGAUCCCAAUUGGAGUUUCUCCUCUCAAAUUCUUACUCUUCCUUUACUGUGGCGGACAUUCACAUUUCACACCUCUCUCUACCCAAUGGACAAAGUUGCAUGUGUCAUCCUCUACUAGGUUUGUGUACCUUGCUGUUUGGAUAUAAUGGCGUUAGUAAUGGUUUAAAGGUCAUGUUUUCUCAAUAACGAGAAACAUAACAUGCAUGUACUUCAUUUAAAAAAGAAAAAAAAAACUCUAUAGAUUUUUUUUGAAAAGAUCUUUUUAAGUACAACUUGGUGUGGGACAUAAAAAAUUAUGACUAUUCUAGCAUACAGAAUGGAGUUAGUUCCAGUACUCUGGAGUUUUAUUAAAAAGUGCCACGAGAAUAAAAAAUGGUCAUCCUUUUCAGAGAAAUUGGCAUAUUUAUCAGGAGAUGCACCUGGUUGGCUAUUACCUUUGGCUGUUUUUUGUCCUGUGUACAAGUAAGAUUAUCUUCUUUAUUCCUGUUCCUCUACUUUUGAAUUUCGCUUUAAUUCCUCAUCUGAUGUUAUAUAAUUAUAUGGUAUGUUAUAAGAUUCGGCAUGUCCUGAUCACUUCUUUCCUUAUCAAUCAGGCACAUGCUCAUAAUAAUUGACAAUGAGGAGUUUUAUGAGCAGGAGAAGCCACUAUCGUUAAAGGACAUCAGAUGCCUGAUCGUUAUUUUAAGACAGGUGAGCUCUUUAAUUCCAUCAUAUGUCCAAAAAGAUACCCAUACCCUCCCACUCAAGACACUUAAGUAAUUGCUCAGAGAAAUAACAAAAUACUUGGCCCCACUCUAACAAACACAUUCCUAAGGGCCCACACAAAUAGAAAAAUACCAACUAACUCUCAAUCAUUCUUUCUUCUUCCUAUUCUUGUCUCUACGGGAAUACACGUUUACUAUGGGAGGUCUAUCAUUAUCCGCCCCCCAAAGAGCCACCUUGUCCUCAAGGUGGAAUUCAGGAAACUGUUCUUGAAUAAGAGCAGCUUGUUCCCAUGUUGCACUUUCAAGUGUCCCCUCACUCCAACGGAUCAAAACUUCUAAGUUGUCCUCCUUUUCUAUUGUUUUGCGAACUCCCAAUACUUCUACUGGAGACACUUGCAUAGACAAAUCAGCAGCCAAAUCUUUUGGAAUUGGGAAUAAUGGCCUGUUUGAACUCACGACCUUGCGAAGAACAGAAACAUGAAAGAUGGGUGUAUAAGCGAUUCCUUGGGAAAGGCCAAACGGUAUGCAACGAAACCAAUUCGUGCCACGAUCAUAAAUGGACCAAUGAAUCUUGGGGCCAAUUUGGGGUGCUUAAAACGGCUGAGAGAGGACUGUUGGUAAGGGCGUAACUUCACAUAAACCCAAUCAUGAACCUUAAACAGAACCUCCUGUCUUUUAGCAUUAGCAUAUUUGACCAUUCGCUGCUGUGCUUUCAGUAAAUUGGCCUUCAAAACACCCAAAAUUUCAUCUCUUUCUUUCAUCAAAUGGUCUACUUCAUUCACCCGACUCGAGCCCUUCACAUACGGUAAUAUAGAGGGGGUGGUCGCCCAUAGAGGGCCUCGAAGGGGGUCAUCAAUAUGGCUGUACGGACUGUUGUAUUAUAGCUCAAUUCAACCCAAGCUAGCCAUUUAACCCACUGUUUAGGUGUGUUCAUAGCAAAACACCGUAGAUACGUCUCCACCCCUCGAUUGACAACUUCUGUUUGACCAUCCGUUUGGGGGUGGUAAGUGGUGCUUCGUCUCAACUGAGUUUCCAACAACCUCCACAACUCUUCCCAGAAUAGACUUGUGAAAAUACGAUCACGAUCCGACACUAUACUUCGGGGGCAUCCAUGCAAACGAAUAAUCUCUCGCAUAAAAACAGCAGCAACCACUUUUGCACCAAAUGGAUGUUUCAAGGGAAUGAAAUGUGCAUACUUGGAAAGACGAUCCGCAACUACCAAUAUAACAUCAUAACGCUCGGAUUUGUGGAGGCCCUCAAUAAAAUCCAUACUAAUAUCUUCCCACACACGGUCCGGAAUGGGUAAUGCUUGAAGGAAACCAGCCGGAGUUAAAGACAAGUAUUUGGCUUGCUGACACACGGAACAUUCAGCAACAUAGGUGCGGAUAUGGGCUUUCAUACCUCGCCAAUAGACCUCCCUUGCUAGCCUUUGAUAUGUUUUCAAUGCACCAUGAUGUCCCCCUAUCGGGCUGUUAUGGAACUCAGCUAAUAAUAAAGUAAUAUCAGGUGAAUCCUCCUCCUUGUAGCAAAUAUCCAUCUGGAGCUGGCUGUCCAUUUAUCAAGGACAAUCGAAUAUUGUUAAGAGAUUCAUUUCCAGCCACUUGAUCGAUGAAAACCGAAGGGUUUAGCCCGCCCACAAUACUUACGAGGCCCAAUUCAAAUACCGGUGGUAAUCUCUAUAAGGCAUCGGCCGCUUUGUUUUCCAAUCCUUUCUUGUACUCAAUCACAAAAUCAUACCCCAAUAGUUUAGCGAUCCAUCUCUGAUAUUCUCCCCCGAUAGCCCGUUGUUCAAGAAGAAACUUCAAACUUUUCUGAUCUGUACGCACCACAAAAAGGCUUACCCAAUAGAUAUGGUCGCCAUUUUUGAACAGCCAGCACUAUUGCCAUAAGCUCCCGUUCAUAAACAGCCUUAAACCUAUGGGUAAUAGGUAAAGCUUGACUGAAAAAGGCCACUGGUCGUUGAUUUUGCAUUAGGACAGCCCCAAUACCCACACCCGAAGCAUCAGUUUCCAGCACAAAACUUUGUGAAAAAUCAGGAAUACCUAGCAUCGGGACAGACAUCAUUGCUGACUUUUAACUGCUGAAAUGCGUUCUCGGUCGUCUCAUUCCACUUAAAGUUACCUUUUUUUAACAGUUGUGUCAAGGGGGGCAGCACAAUAGAACCGUAGUUUGCAACGAAUUUCCGAUAAUACCCCGUUAGCCCCAAAAAACCCACCUAGCUCCUUCACGUUCUUGGGUGCUGGCCAUUUAACCAUCGCUUCUAUUUUUGUUGGAUCCGCUGCCACCCCCUCUGAAGAAAUAACAUGGCCCAAGUAUUCAAUUUUGUCAACCGCAAAUUGGCAUUUUUUAAAGUUGGCUACCAGUUGAUGAGCUACUAGAGUUUCCAAAACCAUUGCCAAUUGGUGCAAAUGCUCGUCCAAGGACUUGCUGUAAAUUAAGAUGUCAUCAAAGAAAACCAAAACAAACUUGCGUAAAUAUGGGCGAAGAACACUCAUGAUUGAUUGGAAUGUUGCCGGAGCGUUUCAACCCAGACAGCAUCACAAGGAAUUCAUAGGGCCCCUCGUGGGUUCGAAACGCUGUUUUGUGAACAUCGGCUGCCCGCACCCGAAUUUGCUGAUACCUAACUUUAAAUCAAUUUUGGAGAAUAUGGUUGCCCCAAAUAAUUUGUCUAACAGUUCAUCAACAACAGGAAUUAGAUACUUAUCUGGUAUAGUGGCAAGAUUCAGUGCUCGGUAAUCAACGCAAAAUCGCCAGCUACCAUCCUUUUUCUUAACAAGGAGCACUGAAAAGGCACUUUUGCUUGGCUGAAUUAUUCCGGCUAGCAGCAUUUCCUUAACUAGUUUCUCUAUCUCAUCUUUCUAAAAUUGGGGAUAACGAUACGGGCGCACGUUCACUGCACGAGCCCCUGGUUCUAAUUCAAUAGCAUGAUCAUGAUCACGAGGUGGGGGUAAUUGAUUGCUUGGUUCAAACACAACGCUAAAGGACUGAAGAACUUUUUGAAUUUCUGGUUGUAGUUUACUCAAGUAGUCUGCUAUGUGUUCCCUUGCUUCGCCCACUCCCCACUGUACAACUGCACUUAAUUCGAUUGACACGCCUUGAUCUUCCUUCUCAAAGGUUUUCAUUAUCGAUUUCAGUGACACUUGGGAUCUUACUAAACUUCUAUCCCCUUGAAGAAUUACCACCCAUUCACCCAGUGAGAAUUCCAUCUCCGACAACUUGUAAUAAAAAAUUACUUUCCCUAACAUUUCCAACCAAGUAACUCCUAAUAUAACGUCGGCACUCCCGAGUGGUAGAGGGAGAAAAUCGUGAGUGAUUGAUAAAUUGGCGAUUGUCAGGUUUACAUCCUUACACACACUGGUUGCUUGGACUACGCCUCCGGUUCCCAGAACAACCCCAUAUGCAUCCAUGGUUUCUACUGAAAUUUUUAGCUCUUUGACUACCUCUUCUGCAAUAAAAUUGUGCGUGGCUCCCCAUCGAUCAGCACCACAACCUCACGUCCCCUUAUUUCUCCUUUAAUUUUUAUGGUUUUCGGCGAAUUGAAACCUACCAAUGAAUUUAUCGACAGAUUCACUAUUUUUGUAUUGACUUCCUCAUUCCCGUUGGUUUCGAUUUCUUCCCCACUUGAUCGGUUUUGUCACUUAAGUCUUCCCCUUCUUGUACAGCAAUGAUGUUCAAUUCACGUCUUUUGCAGCGGUGCCCUAGACUAAACUUCUCGUCACAUCUAAAACACAAACCUUUUUCCUUCUUAAUCCGCACUUCGUUGUCAGUCAUUCGGCGGUAUGGUUGAGACAACGUACUCUUCGCGCCCGAUUCCUGCGAUGAAGUAAUCGUCGUGGACGAGUACGACGAAUUUCGGCUAGGGUUAAUCGUAAUCGUUCGUGAUGUAGCGACCCGAUCUGAGGCCUUUGACCCAGUUUGACUUCUCGACCUGCUUGGCCCACUAUUUGACAUUUUAAUUGAUAAAUUAGGGUUUCCACUUGCCCCAUGAAUUCUCUUCAAUUGAACCACUCGAUCAUCUUCUCAAUUAUUUGGGCCAUUAACAUUUUAGCCUCUAGGCCCACUGGAUUCAAUUUUCAGAUCUCACUUUGAAUCUCUUCCUUCAGCCCACACACAAACUUACUUUCUAGGGCUGCAUCACUCAUAUCUUUAAGGCCGACCGAAAAUUGUUCAAAUCGCCGCGGUAAUCCCUCACGGUGGUCUCCUGCUGUAAUUUCAUCAACCUUGCGUGUUUAUCUCCUUGGUCGGACGCUUUGAAUCUGGCCCACAGAAGCUAUCGGAAUUCUGUCCAGCUGCCGAUUUUCUUUCUAUCCUCCUUCCAUUGAUACCAGUCCAAAGCUUCCCCCUCCAAGCACAGGACCGCCGCAUCCAACUUAUCUCUCUCCGUCAGAUAUUCACCACAAAAUAGCGCUCCACACGUUGUAGCUAUCCAUCCACAUUCUCUUCUUCCUCCCCUUUAAAUAUCGACACCUCCAGUUUUCGUAGCCUCAUGUCAAAAAGGGGUAUCUCACGAUAUUUGGUGCACAUGGUACUCCAACUCCCUCAUCCACCACCGGGUUAGUUUUUUGUUCACCUUCUUGAACUUGUUCCUCAUUCAUUAUUCCCUUUCCCUUGUCCGUAAUCAUUCUUUCACUAGAUGUGGAUCCUUUUGAAGCACUUCCCAUCACUCCCAUCCUGUGUAUUAACAAUUUCAUUCCUCACUCAAUUUUUACAGAUUAUCCUCAAUCUUUUGUUCAGCCAUUGUACUUCGAACUUCUGCUUCCGCAAAUUGUUUUUUCAUCUUCCUUUCAAAUGCUAAUUGUCGUUCUUCUACUUGUAAAAAUUUUGCUUCUACUCUACUUUCCAUUUCAGUCGUCCCUGUGGUUACUCCCUCUUAACCUUCUUCCAGUUCAACUAUCCUAGCUUCCAUCUUACCAACCAUACCAGGAAAGAUGGCUCUGAUACCAAAAUUGUUAAGGCUUUAGCCACAAUUUUAUUUAUCAACUGUGGGGAAGGAUUUGAGAGCUCCCCAGUUUCUCCACGCUCUAAUGAGAGUCUAUACCAAAAUCAUAUGUCCAAAAAGAUACCCAUACCCUCCCACGCAAGACACUUAAGUAAUUGCUCAGAGAAAUAAUAAAAUACUUGGCCCCACUCUAACAAACACAUUCCUAAGGGCCCACACAAAUGGAAAAAUACCAACUAACUCUCAAUCAUUCUUUCUUCUUCCUAUUCUUGUCCCUACGGGAAUACACCUUUACUAUGGGAGGUCUAUCAGCUUUCUAUAUAAUUUAUGAGAGUUUAAUAUUGCAUGGUUGCAUGGUAUAAAGAUGGAAUAAUAUUUAACCCAACAUUGAAUAUUUCCAAUUUUAUCAUCACAACAUGUAUAACUAUCUAAAUGACUUGCCAUCCUUGGAUCCUGAAUUGUAUCGCCACCUUAUUUUCUUAAAGGUGUGUAUUCCCUGGUAUCACUUUUAGCUGAUACCACACUUAGCCUGUUCAUCAAUGAUCUAGAUCAAUCUAGUAUCCUGGUAGAAUCUUUUUCUCACUUCUUAUCUUAAAUUAUGAAGGUGACAUUCCUGAACUAGAGCUAUAUUUUGUUAUUAUAAACAAUGAAUAUGGAAAGCAAAUUGAAGAAGAGCUACUUCCUGGAGGAAAAAACCAUCGUGUCACCUGUGAAAAUGUCAUCACAUUCAUUCAUCUUGUUGCCAAUCAUCGUUUGAACUUUCAGCAUAGUUUGUCCCUUGUUUAUCCAAUGUGUCUCCCUACUCCAAUGUUGAUUGAAAACAUGUCCUCCUCAGAUACGACAGCAAAGUUCUCAUUUUUUGAGAGGGAUUCAGCAGCUUAUACAGAAAGAAUGGAUCAACAUGUUCAAUGAGCAUGAAUUCCAGGUAUCACUAUACCGUUUGAAGAAAUUCUACCAGAGCUAAAUAGCGAUCAAAUCGGUUACGGUAUUCUUCUACAUUCGUUUUCUGUUUGAUUGAGAAAAAUCUUCCAACCAAAGUUCCUUCUCGAAUUGAUCAAAACUGUACAAGCAUUCGUUCUUUCAGGGCAGCCCAAUUCUUAAAAACUUCCAACUCUUCUUGUGCUUGGUACCAAUCCAAUGCCAGAUCAUCAAAACUAGUAACGCCUGUGGUUAAUUUCUCUGAAUCGGUAAGAUCAUGUAUCUUAAAGAAGCGAUAGGCUCUAAAUGUGAGACUCAUUUCUAAUUUGAGUAAUGAACUAAAAUUUGGCUAGGUAUUAAGAAUUUGGCAUUUGAAUAAAUCCAUGAAAAGGAUUAAGUGAUAAAAAAUUUUAUGGUUAAGUAUACGUUAUUGCGCUUCAGUGGGUAGUUCGCGAAGGAAGUUGUGCGACUCAUUUCUAAUUCCAGUAAGGAAGUAAAAUUCGGCUAAGAAUUAAGAAGUUGGUGUUCGAAUAAAUCCAUGGAAAGAUUAAGUGAUAUGAUCUUUUACGGUUAAGUAUACUUUUAAGGUUAUGACUUAUGAACUUGUAUUGAAUAUUUGUUAGGUUGUUUUGAAAGUUCAAGUGAAACUUAGACACGUUUUGAACUCAUUUUAGGUUGGUUUGAAACUAAGUUUUACACACAUUUGAUUGACAUGUUGGGUCUUGAAGUACUUUUUUCAUACUUUUUGAAAUUUUGGUAGGUUGUGAGUUACAAACUUACACUUAAGCAUUGCUUGGUCGUUUUGAAAAUUCAAGUGAUACUUACACACGUUUUGAAUACAUUUUAGGUUAGAUUGAGUUUGUUUGCACUUGGUUGUCAUUUUUUGUCUUGAAAUGCUUUUUUCAACCUUUUGGUAGAUUUAUGAGUUACGAACUUACACUUAGGAUUUGCUAGGGUCAUUUUGAAAACUCAAGUAAUACCUAGACACGUUUUGAGCACGUUUUAGGUUGGUUUGAAACUAAGUUUGUUGCACUUACACACUUGGUUGCCAUUUAGGGUCUUGUAGUGCUUUUUUCACACUAUUUGAACUUUUUUCAUAAGUCAUGAGUUAUGAAUCUACAAGUAAGCUGUUUUAGGUCGUUUUGAAAGUUCAAGUGAAACUUAGACACGUUUUGAACUCGUUUUAGGUUGGUUUGAAACUAAGUUUAAAACACAUUUGAUUGACAUGUUGGGUCUUGAAGUACUUUUUUCACACAUUUUGAAAUUUUGGUAGGUUGUGAAUUACAAACUUACACUUAAGCAUUGCUUGGUCGUUUUGAAAAUUCAAGUGAUACUUACACAUGUUUUGAAUUCAUUUUAGGUUAGAUUGAGUUUGUUGCACUUACACACAUGGUUGUCAUUUUUGGUCUUGAAAUGCUUUUUUCAACCUUUUUGGUAAGAUUAUGAGUUACGAACUUACACUUAGGAUUUGCUAGGUCGUUUUGAAAACUCAAGUAAUACCUAGACACGUUUUGAGCACGUUUUAGGUUGGUUUGAAUUAAGUUUGUUGCACUUACACACUUGGUUGCCAUUUUGGGUCUUGUAGUGCUUUUUUCACAAUGUUUGAACUUUUUUCGUAGGUUAUGAGUUACGAACCUACACGUAUGCUGUUUUAGGUCGUUUUGAAAGUUCAAGUGAAACUUAGACACGUUUUGAGCAUGUUUUAGGUCGUUUUGAGUAAAUUGUAUGUAUGUUGUGAUUGUUUGAUUGCAUGUAUGAUACCUUAUUGAGAUGUGAAUGCUUGAUUGAGAAGCUGAUAGAACACCAAGUAAUGGUUCUUAUUUGUUCAUUAAGCAACCAAACUAUUACAGAAUACAAUACUCAAACCAGUCUUGAAAACACAGAACAAAUAAGUACUAUUACAGACAAUAACCAAGUACAAAAUAAAACAUUCAAACAUCAAAAGUAGUUUACGAUAAUGGAAAACACUUUCUAAGAUUAAAGUAACUGAACAACUUCUGUAAUUCUGCUCUCCAGAAAAUACAGCCCCUCCACUUCCAGAAACUGAUUAACCAACCCCCAUCUUUCCUUCCAUCUCUCCCUUUUAACCUCCCCCCUGUAACUAACUGUUGUCCCCACUAAGGUGGUUUCCACUUCCUCCAAUUCCAUCACCUGUGCACGUGCAAUUCCACUUGUCUUUCUUCUGCUAUAUUGUAUUGCAAUUGGUGGUCUAUCAUUACUCUCCCUCUCCAAAGACACCUUGUUCUCAAGGUGGGAAAUGAGGAAGCUUUUGUGUAAAAUCAUCACAAUUCUCCCAUGUAGCCUCAUGAGGUGGUAUUCCUUUCCAACUAACAAGCACUUCCCACUUCUUUGUUGCUGGAUUUUUAGGAUAGCCAAAAUUGUCUGCUGGUAGUAACUCUUGAAAUGUAGGAACAUCAUCAAUUCCAUAUAGUUCGGUAAAUGUCAUUCCUCCCUCCAUAGCUCGACAUUUUGUCAAGAAACCGUAAUCAGAUGGUGUCCAUGUCUCCAUCAUGUGUUACAGACUCACUCUAGUCUUUGUCAAACUCGGGUCACCCCUUAUAACAACAUUCUUUUCAUUUUGUAUGAAAGUUAAAGUGAGUUUCCGCCAAUCCACUUCAGUUACCCCAACGUGUGCAGCCAUUGCAUUCCAAGGAUGACAUCAUGAUAGAACACUGAUGUAGUGUUUCUAUUAUAUUGACAAUUCAAACACAACUUACAACAUAAGCAAACCGUGAACCUCAGAAAAUGAGUCACGUUACAUAUAAUUCACAAACAUCAAACAAAGAAAACCUCCUAAUCCAAAAUUCCGAACAACAAAAUACUAAUAAGCAAACCAGAAUAUAGAACACCAAUCUUCUGCUUCCCCUGUCUUUCAAGGAGUAUUGCAGACCUUUUCCUUCACUCCGAAAACUCACUUUAACAAAGAGGCAGCCACAUUUUCAGGUACAGAAAAUAAAGUAGGUAGUAUGUAGGAAGGCUAACCAGAACUGAGUUGCAUAAGGUUUGUCUUCCGCCUCUAGAGAUGUUAUAUCUUUUCCACCUUUCAAGUUUCUUGUGAAUUCGAUCAAUGACUGGUUGCCAAAAAGACUUUUGUCGAGGGUAGCCUCCCAAAGGGAGACCUAAAUAUAUAAUCGGAAGCUGGAAUAAAAAGAGAAAGAGUAUCAUCGACAAAUUGAAGCAAAGGGAGGUGGAUCAAGUCUUUGCCAACAAGGAAACCUUCAAACUGGCUGUUAAUAUGAAGCUUGUUUAUGAUUUCUCCUAAAACCUCACUUACUAGGAGGAAUAAAAAGGGGGAGAGGGGGUCCCCUUGGCGGAUACCUCUAGAUGCUGUUAUCCGGCCUCUAGGCUUACCAUUGAUGAAGACUGAAUACUUUGGAUUUUUUAGGCAGCCCAUUAUCCAUGAUAUCCAUUUUGAACUAAACUUUUUCAAAGAUAAAUUUUUGUCUAAAAAAGUUCCAAUUCACCCUAUCGAAGGCUUUUUCCAAGUCAAGUUUUAAAAUUCAUCCUUUUUUUCCGUUUUGCCCUAUAAUCUUCCACGGCCUCGUUAGCAAUUAAUAUUGGGUUAAGAAUUUGCCUACCUUCAAUAAAGGCGCUUUGAGUGGGGCUUAUAAUUGCAUCCAUAACUUGUUUUAGACGUUCAGAUAAAACCUUUGCAACAACCUUGUAUGCUAACGUAGUAAGGCUGAUUGGACGGAAAUCCUUGACUAGAGUCACAUUCUCUUUUUUCUGCACUAAACAAAUGAAGUUUUCUUGGAUGCAAGCAUUUAAUCUUCCAUUUCUGUGGAAAUCAGACAUUAGUGAUUUGAAGAUAUCCUUGAAAAUAGACCAUUGGGUGAUUAGGAACUUCACUGUGAAGCCAUCCGGGCUCGGAGCUUUAUUGUUGCCAAGUGCCUUUAAUGCCUUAAAGAUCUCCUCCACUGAAAAUUGGGUAACAAGAGCCUCAUUCUGAAUUGAGGAAACACAAGACCAAUUACUGUUAAUAGGGAUGAAUCUGUCCCCCGGAAUUCUGGUAUAAAGUGACUCAAAAAAUUCCAGCACAAGCCUUUCAAUGUCGCGGAAUGAAGUCGAGACAACCCCAUCAUCAUUUUUUAAUUCAGUUAUGAGGUUCCUUCUUUUUUUCGCAUUUAGAAACUGGUGGAAGAAGCCCGUAUUCUCAUCACCGAAAGAAAGCCAAUUGAGUUUACUCUUCUGAAUAAAAUUACGCUCUUCGUUUUGAUAAAUACUAAGUAAUUCCGCUUGCAAAGCAGCUCUAGAAUUCAACUCUUCUUGAUUUAAUCCAAUCAACUCAGCCACAGAAUCAUAUUUUUCUAAUUUUGACAUCAAGGAUUUCUCUGUUUUUUUUUUACCUUAGCUUGCGCAGCAAUAUUCCAAGCUUUUACUGCCAAUUUAACUGAUCUCAACUGCUCAUGAAGAAUGAAACCAGCCCAUCCCUGGAAGUUAGAGUUGCUCACUGUUUCAACAAUAAUCUGAUUAGAAUCACUGGACACCAACCAGCUGUUACAAAACCGAAAAGGAGAGGGACCUCAAAGAAAAGAACCAGCCUCCAAGAAUAAAGGAAAGUGAUCCGAGAAGAUGCGUGCUUUUCGAGAAACCCGAGAAUUUUCAAAACAAACAUCCCACCUCUGAUUUAUGAAGAAUCUGUCUAAUAAUGAUCUUCAAGGAGAAUUACCGUCUCUAGACCAAGUGAACCUUCCAUUUUGCAAUGGAAUUUCCAUGAGAGAAACCAUGUGAAUAAACUUAUUGAAUAAUGACAUUCCUCUAGUACUUCUGCCAAAAGGAAAUCUUUCCCGGGCCCAACGAGUGAUAUUAAAAUCCCCACCUAUGCACCAGGCCACGGCCGAACAAUCAGCCAAGGAAGACAAUUCGGGCCAAACCAAUUUCCUUUCUCUGCAACCACAAGGGCCAUAGACAUUUGUGAUCCAACAAACCUUUUUGCACAAAGUGAGGCAUUUGAUUGACAAAGAGAGGCGUCUUUUAAUGACCUCUGUUACAGAUAUUUUACUGUUGUCCCACAUGGUAAGAAUUCCCCCAGAAGAUCCAACAGAAGCCACAUAAUCCCAGCCAAUAUCCUUAGAACUCCACAAUGAUUUUAUAAAAGCCGAGUUCAAGGUGUCCUUAGAUUCUUGAAUCAUGACUACAAUUGUUGAUGAAUUUUUUGAGUGUUGCACGUUUAGAUGAGUUGUAAUAUGCAUUAUGCAUAUAUGUGGUUCUGAGUUUGUAUAAAUAUUAUUUCUUAUAGUGUAUUUAGUUUCUUUAAAAUAAUAAUAAUAAUAAUAAUAAAUAUAAAAAAAAGUUUCUUUUACGAAAUUUUAUACAUUGUCCAACUUUUUACUGAAUCAAACUCCAAAAAUAUUGAAUCCAAAAAUAAUUAAAGAAAUUGUAAUGUAUAACCAAAGAACUUGUAUAUUUUGUAAAUACAACAUAGUUCUGAUUUUUUUUUUAUCUUUCACUUUUUUUUUGUCGUGAAAAAUUGUUUUAUAAAGGAUUAGGAGUUUAGUGAAAUAACUCUCAAAUUCCCUAAUGGAUAGCUAGUUUUAAUACUCCUAACGUAUGCAACUUUAGUGGAAUCUGGAUGGAUAUUAUUGGAAUAACUCCUAACGUCAAAUAAAAAGCCUACAUCAGAAACUUCUUUUUAAAGGAACAUGACUCUUUUAAUGGAUAAACAAGUCCUCUGGACGGGGUCCAUAUGAGAAAAGAAUUCUAGAAAGUUUCUUAUCAAUGAUCUUUGUCAAUAUUCUUCCUUUGCAAAAUGAACCAAAAAUCUUUGCAAUAUUCUUCGUACCUCCUACUCAUCCUCUAGACUUGUUUAUCCAUUGAACAAAAACAAAGGCUCCAUAAGAUAGGGUAUUUUUGGGAUAUUGCCUAAAAUCAAGCGAAAAUCUUCUAUAUAUUUUUUUGUGCCCAACUCUUCUAUCUUAGAUUUUUAUCUUUCUAUAUAUUCUCAUUUACAAAGAUCAAGCCUAGGUCUUGAACUUUUUCCAUGAGAAGUGGAACCCUCUAUUGAGGUGCUGAGAACGAUAAUGUACGAGUCAGUCUGUGAAAAACUCACAACUACUACGUGGGCUUCUUCAUCCUAAUCGAAUUUGCGGAAAUUCCAUCAUCUAUCCCAUGAAAGGGAAAUAGAAUUGAUUAUGUAUAAUAAUCAGUGACUUUGAAAGGAGUGCAAAAGAAAGGCAGAGGAGAAAAGGCGAGACCAAAAGCUUUACCGUCUUCUUUUGGAGCAGGAAGCCUCAUUCCUUCUUAUUUCCUUUUAUUCAUUCCCAGUUUCAGCUCUUCUUGCUAAGGAUGGAUCACUCUUUCAUUCGUGAGGUUAUUAGAUAAGUGGCUUAAAAGGAGAAAUAAUAGUCGAAAUACCGUAGGUAUUAGCUCGAAUUCAGAAAUGCAAGGUUUUGACUCCCUCGCUCCUAUGCCUUCCUAUGCCUUUCAUCCUAAAGUUUCUGAAACUUCCUUUUAUUUCCAGGUAGACUUUUGAGAGCAGGAAGACAACUAAUCGUGCUGGUUGGAGUCUCCAACGAGUAUCUGGAUCUCCCCUCCUCCUCAAACCUUUUUUCUUAAAUGCGCUUCUCACGCAUAUUGAAUUGUGCCUCUUGGCACUACCCAUAAUGAUCCUUCUCAUUAUUUAAGUGCAUUUGAACUUCUAAGUCGAUCUCUUGUGAUAAAUGGACAUGAUACCUUCUUACAGAAAGACAAUUGUACCAGUUUGUAAUUAGGUUCUGCGUUGAAGACCUUAUUUGUAAAGCUCUCUAGAAAAUAGAUGAAAACGAAGUGAAAGAAUUUCAUUUUGAUGCUUCACUCAAUUUUUUGAGGUUGAAAAAGAACUGAAGGGGUACGAUCGACCCACGGGGUGUGGCUCAUGGUGGUUAAGCUAGUGGCUAUCUCAUUGCUUAUGAGAAUUUCACAUUCAUACUCUUCAGAAAGGUUUUCUCGUAUUUGGCAUCCAACCUGAAUGACAUCUAGAAUGGUUAAUAAUUUCUUCAUGCCUUGCUUAGCUUCUUCUUGAUUCCCAAACUAACGAGACAAAGGCAAGGAAAAGAGGUUCAAAGAAUAUUGACAGUCGCGGCAAAGGUUGAGGUCUCAAGAAUCUUCCCCUAAUCUCAUAUACUCUAUGGUUGUCCUAUAUUCAUGUAUAUCAAGAAAAGCUAAAAGACAGACACCCAUUCACUUGUCUUAGUGUACAUAAAGUCAAAUUAUUCGAUUUGACAUUCUUCCAUUUCCUAAAGUCCUAAAAACAAGGUGCGUGCAGACGCGAGGUUCUAAUUGAUCAGUAGUUGAAGGAGAGAAAGUAGCUUAUUUCUAAGAAAUUCUUAUUACUAUGGUAUGAUGAACAAGUAAGAAGGAGGGAAGGAAAAAGUCCCAACAAAAGGAACCUACGACAAGGAAGGAAAGCCUAUUACCCACAAGAGUGCAGAAUCAAGGAAAAGUUGCGGGUACGAGCUCUCUUUCAUUCGUCGAACUCAAGCAAUCUCCGUUUAACACCUCUACUAAACUGAAUUAGUUGGCUUUUCCAAACUAGUAAAAAGACUAGAAACCUUGGACCUAUGGCUAUCCAACCAGGUCUUUCCACAUAAAGGGGAAAGAGGUAGAAAGGAAUAGCGAAGAUGAGUUAAAGAUCAAGAGGCAUCAAAAUGAAAUUCUCCUUAUAUCUUUUCUUUCGAGAUGAUUAACUUCCUUAUUUUUAUAUCUUGAGUCUAUCUUCUUCUUUCUUUAUGUAAGACCCAAACUUUGGGUAGUGUAGUCUUUUUCAAAGAGUUUAAGAGGUUUGAAAGAAGGAAAGUUUUUGGUUCAAUAUCAAAGAAUAGUACUUUUUAGGCGUAUUGGGUUGACUUGGCAAAAUGGUUUUAGAGGUUAGAAAGGGUUUUGAGUGUUUAAGGUUGGCAAGAAAGAAGGAUUAAAGAGGUUAGGUGUUUUAGCUAACUUCAGAAAGGAGUUUCUCACAACUCGGAAAAUUACACUCAAUCUAGACUUGAAAAUUCAUAAUUUGAGUCUAGUUUAUUGAAGAAGGUUGUUGGGCGUUUUGGAUAUGAGAAAGUUGAUGUUUGGACAAAAGAAGGCAAGAGGGUCAGUUUGCGAGUGAAUCUGAGCAAGCUACACUCUUAGAACGCUACAGAACGCAUCGUUUGGCGUUUUCUUCCCUCAAAAUUUCAGGAAAAAUUUUUUAGGGAAGAAAACACAUUUAGAGAAACUUUGUAGAAGAAAGUUUUGUCAAAAUAGUUAUGGAUUUUAAGUUAUAACUUUUCUAAGUUGGGUUAUGUAGUUUGGGCGAGAAACUAGGUGAGAUGACCUUGGAAGUUAACUAUGCGUUUUGGACAACUAUGUGGCAUGAUAAGGGCAAGCGGUUUAAGGUUUUAGUGAGGUGUAAAACCUUGUUAGCAUGCAUUUUAAGGUGUAAAGUAAGUAGGAGGUUCCUUAAGAAGGUUUAAGGUGAAUUUAAGCAACGAUGAGGUGUCAACUUGUACUCAUGCAAUGAACUCUAUAAAUAGGCCAAAUUUAGUAUUAAGUUUCUCACAAUCCACUCGAGUGUUUUAAGUGAAAUUAGUCUUAAAAGUUUUCAUUUUGAGUCUAUUUUCUAAGUUGGGGUUUUUGAUUUAAUUUGAGUAACGGAGAGUUGCGUUUUGGCGGUAGAAAGCAAGAAAGGUCAGAAUACAGGUGGUUCUGAACAAUGUGGACUUCCAGAGGGCUGUAGAGUACAUCCGUUGGAAUCUGAAGUUGAAAAUUUUAGGUAUGAAUAACAAGACGUUUUUCAACAACUUUGUAGAAGGCUAUAUGUUUAUUUGAGUUCUGGAUUUGAAGUUCUAAAGCUCUUCCUAAUUAUGGUUGAUUAAUCAUUGAUGUCCUUAAAAGUAGAAACGUGACAUAUCAUGUAUGCCCUUAAGUAUCUCAGGCUUGUGUAGGCCAAGUUCAACAAAGAAAAUCAAUUAUGUUUAAUAAGGAAGAAAUAAAAUAUAACUUGUACAAAUAUUCUGAAAAUCAAAUGAAUAAAUGGAGUAAACACAAACUAUAAUUAUAAACAUCCAGAAGGGUCAAAUGUCUACGAAUAGACUAAUGAGAUUCAAAAAUACCAGUCAUGCUUGCAUAACUGACUGAAAAAAAUGUAAUGUUUCCAAAAGAUGCCGCAUAUCUCAAGUCCAUUAUAAGAAAACCUAAUGUUCUUCAGUUUGUAGUAUCAACAAUGCAUGAGUAGUGUUAAACAUGUCAUUUCAUUUAGUUUGCGAACUACUAUGGCCUUCCUCUAUUCUCAUUCAUUCAUCAUCGAUCAAACAAAGUUAAAGAAAUUUGAUCACAAAAGCUCUUUCAAACAAAAAAAUAAAAAUAAAAACAAACAAAUAAUUCAAAAAAAAUUAAUUAUACCAAACAAGGAAUAAUUAACUAAACAAAAUGUAAGGGAUGAAUCUUAAGAAAACAAAUUACUAAAACCAUAUCUCAUACAAAUUUAGGGGGUUUUUUUGUCUAUCAAAUAAACCAAUAAAACAAUGAACUUCAAGAAUUAAAAUUCACAAAAAUAAUUCAAUAAAAGAAUGGCAAAAAACCUCAAUAUCACAAAAUUAAUAAGACGGAAUAGAUGCAUUCUACAAACUUGUUUUAUUGCAUGCUCACCACCCCUUCCAAAAUUUAUUUGAUAAAAAUUUAGUAAACUUAAAACACAGACAAUAACAAAAUUGUUGCAAACCUGCAUUUACUGGUCAAUGUCUUUAAAUCAGCAUUCUCUGACGUCAAUUCUUGAUUUUUAACUUCAUAAGCAUCCACCUAACCAUGAGACAAUUAUGAGAAUAUUUUAUUUAACCACUAACAAUCAUGCUCAUGCACAGACAUUUAAAAUAGAGGUUUUAACAUACUAUCCUUUUAUAGAAAUCGUUAUCAGUUUUCUUGCCAUUCCAAGUUCCACGUCGUCACCCUUCUUUCUGUUCAUAUCAUACAUUACAAAAGCCAGUAAAUGAAAGGAAUGAUCCAUUAUGGGUAAAAUAUUGAUAAAUAACUAAAAUAUACUUGUAGCAAAUUCAUUAUCUCCGUUCCUGAUAUAGAUUCUUUCUUUUUCUCCAUUAAGACUUGACUUGGUUUAGACAUACAAAAACUCCUAUCUAACUUGAAUCCAACUUGAGCCUAGAACCGAAAAAUAACUAAAAGGUUCUCACCUGCAAUUUGAUGUACUCCUUUUCUUUCUUCUUCAUCUCAUGUAUUUGUUGAGUUCUUACUUGCUUUGCACACAAACAGAAAACAACAUUAGUACUAAAAUUAUUACAUAGAAACUAGUAUCUAUCUCACAGCAUCCAACUACCAUAACCUGAUUGCCAAUAACCCUUCUCUGGAGUUCAACAUUUUCCUACUGUAGCUUGUCAAUUUGAGCUUUAAAAGCAGCCUUACCUUUGGCUUCCUGUGGAAAAGAACUUCCUUGUUCAAUGUUAAAUAGAGAGAAAUCAUAGAAUUUAGACAAGUCUCGAGAUUGUACUAUUCGUGUAACUGUUGCAAUCUCCCUAUCUUUAACUUGUACUACCGACUUUAGCCUCUCAACUUUGGUCUCCAACCUUGAUAUAUCUUAAUGUAGCCUGCCACAAGAAAAUAAAGGUGACUGAAUACAGGGAACCAUGGUUGUGUGAAGGAAUAUUAAAAAGCUUUGCAACAUCAUUACCCUGAAAUGAACUACAUUUAUUCCAUAUCUUAAACCAAUCUCCCAUAACAAGAAAUGAACCAAAAUUAGAAACAGUAGCUCUUUCAACACUACCGAAAGACAUAAUCUCACGAAGACACUUGGCAAUAAAAUCGAAUCUUUAACGCAUCACCAUUCUCAUCAAAUGUUAAACAAAUCUGCUGAAUCAGUACAAAACCACAUGUUACUUGGAUCAAAUGCAACGGUCCUUACCACCCAAGGUGACUACUUAUGACCUAUACACCGAAAGACAAGUGUUGAUUUUUAUGGGCACGAAGUGGCAGAAUAUCCCAUGCAAGAUACACAUAAUAAUUCAUAUGAGAUGUUAAAUCAUAAAUGAGAGAAUAAUAAAGUCAACAGAAAGAGACAUAAAAACGGCCAGUAUGCAAUUAUCAUUUCAGUUACUAUUCUGUUAUUUUCAACUAUUAGUAUUCUUUUUUCUCAAAUAUAAUGUACUUUCUAACUCCAUGUGGCGUUUAUUUCAAUCACUGCUUCAGAAAAGCAAGCUUAAGAUUUUGUUUCUAUUUAUUUUUUAUAAGAAGCAGGAAUGUAUAUAUUCAACAAAAGAGCCGAAAAAGAACAGUGCAUAAAAAGUUAUCCAAUGGAGGGAGAUGGACCAAAUUUGGAGCUUUCUUUGAAGUUUCUCAUAGAGUAUUUAGCAUCUAUAGGCUACCGACUAGAGGCUAUUUAUCCUAUAAGUUGUGGAAUACAGGACGUUUAUAUACAAGUUGAAUUAAAUUGGACCAUGAGGUUGUAAGGUUAAAACUUCAACCUCAUCCCACUUUUUUCUCAUUUAAAUAAAUUACAUCUGAAACACUACUGAGAUCCAUGACAAAAAACACAUAGAGCAAUAGGAAAAAUAUAUAUAUAAUAUAACUAACCCUACUAUUUCUCCAUGGAGCAUGCCAAACCGAACGUUGUCACUUGCUUGGAAUUCUUUCCAUAAUUGCAGAUAUUGACCCUAUAAGACCACGGAUACUAAAAAUGUGAAAAGAGCAGGCUUAAAGGGUGUCGCCUAACAAAUAAAGCUCAACAAUGAGGAGCUUUAGGAAUGUCGAAGGCCCAUUCACGGUAUCAAUCAUAUGUGAUAUGUCCAAAAAAAAGGGGGAGAGCGUGUACUACAAAAUCAAGAACUGAAGAGCUUUCAACAUGUCAUGCUUGAUGAUUUGACAACUAAUUACAUAGGUUUCUAAGUAUCAUAUUGAUGUCAACCAGAGGCCUUAACCCCUGAAACAUAGGGAAGGAAGCAAGCAAGAUUAAGACUCCAGCUAUAGCACAUAUAUAGUUAAAUUUCAUGAUUUUCAUCCAUUAGAAAGGUAUAAAAAAAUUUAUAAACCUUCCAGAUGAACCAGAUGCAGAAACAAUAGUUGAACAUCUACCUUUAAGGCCACCAUCGUUUCUGAAAAUAAAAGAUAAUAUAGAUAGAUUAGUGACAAUUCUACCAAAUAAAAACAGAACUAAAUAAAAAAAUAUUAAUUUACCCCUUACGUUAAAACUAUAAACCAAACAAAUGGGAAAUGGCUGAAAAUUUAAGAUUUGAAUCAAAACAAAGAAUACAUUCAUCACACGUACCCCAAACCUAGAUUUGAAGAUUUAUUCGUGAUUUAGGCUCGACAACAUCAAUAAAAUGAAACAGUUCCCACCACAAAUAUGGAUGUCAUUUGCCAAUUGUUUCUCUGUACAGUCGCUCAUACUUCUAAGUUAUAACAAUUCAAAUAAAGCUCGUGAUUCACAUCAAAAAUUAAAUUAAAUACAAUACAAGAUAAAACAAUAUUACAACAAAGAAAGAUCCACUAAUUUUCAAUCCCUGUUACCUAGUUAGCCUAUGUACAUUAGUUUUCUUCAUCAGACUCAAAAGACUGGUGUUUUCUCAAAGAUUCAAUCACAUUCAAACGUGAAGUAUUUGUGCCAUUGUUUCCACCAGUACGAGACUUGAGUUUAGGCAAACUUAGAGAACCGAGAGGCGGUGUCGAAGUCCCUCUGUUCACUUCUCUAAGCACAGAUUUUGCUGUGGCUGCAGCAGCUGCAUCAGCAAUGGCUGAAGCAACUUUCGAAUCAUUUUGAAGUUUUGAGGUUAGGUUGUUAAGAACACUUACAGCUUGAGGAGGAGCCUCAGGAGAAAGAUAGUUAGUUGACUUUUGCAUCUCGUUGACUGCCUCAGCAACGGCUGACUUGGCUUUGGUACAUUCAUAUCUUUGAAUGUCAUAGAGGAGCUCUUUCUGAAGUUGCUUAUCAGCUACCAAUAAGUCAUCAAUUUCGUUCUUGUAGUCCUUGAGAAGAACUCGAAGGCAUUCCAUGAGGGAACCUAUUAUUAAAGAAUAUGAAUAAAAUGUUAAAUAUGUCUUAGGAUCAAUUUGAAAGGACUUUUUAAGUGUUCAAAAACACUUUUUAAAGCACUUACAAAACCGUCCCAAACAGGCACUUCACAUUUCAAUUUAAAUUAUUUAAGUUUUGGAGUAUUCGUACCUAUAAGGGGGCUAUUCUUGCUUUCCAUUAGCCUUUUUAACUCAAUGAAGAUGGGUAUGGUGUUUUGUAUGAGACUCUUUCUCACUGCGUGAGUGAUGACCUUUCCUCUAGCAGCAGAUGCUCCUCCGCUCUCACCCCUUCCUCACCUACAUCACCAGAUUCUGAUGAUGAUACUCGAUUUAUUGAUAGUCGAAUCUCUUUACAAGCAAGAAUCUCAAAGGUAUCCUGCGCUUUCAGCCAUGGGGAACUAAUGAGAUUCCAGAUCGCAAAUACUGACAAAAGAAAAUUAGAAUAGCAGCAAAAUUAUUGACUAAAGAUGAUUGAAUGCUUUUGAAUAUGGACUGUAAAAUAGAACGUGCAGUAGUAUCAUCUAUAUUGAGUAUACCAUCGGAUGCUGCAACAAGAACUUCUGCACAUAACUUUGCAAAGGUGGCCAGAAGAUGCUCGGGAGCCAUUUGUUUCAAAAGAGAAACAUAAAUGCGCAUUCUCCUGGACCUCGACCUUUCAUCAUUGCCUCUUCAAAUAUAAAGUUGGAAAGAUAGACAAAAGAUAAUCAUUUUCCAUUACAUGUAACUGUAUAAUAAGGCACAUAGUUCAAACAUUCCUUACCGGAUGGAGAAUGGUCGACUUUCAGCUCGUGAUGCCUUCGAAUCGCUAUGUCCAGAAUGAGCACGAUAGUCAUUCAAAACAUAAAUUGCUUCUAUGAAACUGUUGUAAGCCAAAAGUGGGGCCUUCACUGCAAAUUCAGUUUCACAUUUCAAUUCCAUUGCCACGUUGGAAUGGUAUGACCAAUAUUAUAACCAUGACAGUGGCUAAAAAUGUAAAAUUUUAUAACCUUUCAAAAUGUUACCAAAAAGGUAAUCUGCUAGUUGACGAAUCUUCUCCGAUUCAUCAACAAGUGACAAAAGAAACCGAAGAAACAAAACCCCUCUCCAUUUCACAUAGUCUCUCUGAAAAUUAAAACGAUAUUGCUGAACAUUGUUAAUCACAAACAUGACAGUGAAAAUUGGGAGAAGUUCUUAGGAGUUGGGAAAGAACAAAUUACCUGUAAUAAUCUGGAUAGAAGUAUGAAUGUGUGUCUUCUGACAAGUUCACAAGGAUCGCGAAGGCACUUUGUGAUUUUCGUAAGGUAGCUGUUCAAUUCAGAGUUAGUCUGAUUGUAACAAGGAACAAGUUUAAAGAGAUUCUAUUUCCCUGCCAUUUCAAAGUAUUUGAUAAAGCUAGCAUAUCUCCAAGACUUGUAUCAUGUAUCAGCCUUACCAGUCAACUAGAGCAGUAUAGCGUACACAAAAAUCUGCCAUUGUGAUAAUAAGAUUGUUGCGAAGCGCUGAACAAUCACUAUUUCCAAGCUCCUAAACCAAUAUAAAAGACUUAAAACUUUAAGCAAUUUGAGUUGUGUCGAACAAAAUUUGACUACAUAAAAGACACUGAUAAAGGAAUAUAACAUGAAAUUUUAUAUACGAAAACAAGGAAAAUCUCAUAAAUUCUAGCGCAGACAAUAUACUGUAAGUAAAAAUAGAACUUAAUGAACAAACAAAUGAGUAAAAGUUUAUCUACCAUAUAUAUGAAUAGUCGAAAAGAUUAUAUGAUUGGCUCAUGUAGUAUAUGUGGUAUUAUAAAACCAAAAUGCCAGAGACCUACAUGUAACAUUCAUUCAAACCAUCAAAAGAUCAGGCUACAUGAGUGAUAUGAGGCCUGAGAUUCGAGACUUAACCUGUACAAAUAGAGGAAUGUAACUCUUUGCUCGCUUCUCAUCAGUAAGGCAAAUCUUCCCCAUUGUCAACCAUGCUUGAAUGUAUAAAGAAGGAGCAGUUUCCUUCAGAGAUGCGGUUUGAAUUGGUAGUUUAUUAGAUUUGAGAUCACGGUUUCCAGAAGUAAUAAUGGUGUGGAGAAGUGGUACUAUGGUAGUCAUGUCAGCCGAUGGACAAAUGAGAAUCAAAGAGCCAAUGGUGUAAGCUGCAGUGAUUGCUCGGACAAGGACUUGCUCCUAGCAGAUGCUUUCUUCCCCAUUCGACUACCACUUUUAGGAGGUGGUGUUGUGAAGUUCACAUCUUUGUUUGCUUCCGCAUGGUUGGAUAUGUACUUCUCCAAUAUGUCCGAGGCUUUCGAAAGAAGCUGGUUUACCCAUUUUAGGAUGAGGGCAUCGGCUUCAGUAGAUUGCGAAGCCUUCCGCUUGCACAAUGUUUUAAGUGUUUUUACAUGUGCAUUCACCUACCAAGAUAUCAUCAUUAUUUGAAAAUGCGUGUGAGGUAUCAAGAAAAAGAGACUAAAUAUAUACGUACGUGUUGAUCUUUAAAAAUUGGUGAUUAACAGGAAAAGUAGAGUACUAUAAGAAAAUUCAAACCCAGAACACUUUUUUGGCUUGUAUUUAGAUUAGUGCUUUAUCACUGUACUUUAUUAAUUUUUCAUUAUUCCACAAAUGUUUUUCAGGCCUUUUAUCCGACUGUAUAGAUAUUUGAAACAAUAAAAAAGAAUAGUGAAACAAAAUCAAGAGUGAAAAAAUCCCAAUUGCCAAAGCACAGGGAGCUGCAUUCACACGCAUUGGCUGAUAAUAUCCACACUACACACACCGGCCAUAUAUACGCGUUCACUACAUGUAUUGUCAAAUAAUUCCAAGAAGAAUCUUUCCCCACGUUAAAGACAUUUUAGUAAAACAAUAGCAUACACGUUGAGCUGAGCACAUUAGUAACUAGCCCAAACUAUAGCAUGCAUGUAUAGAGUCAUAGAGAUAAAUAGUAUGUAGUAUAGGACAAUGUCCGGAUGAACAGUGUUCACAUACCAUAGAAGUCUAGAAGAUGAGAUUAUUGUCCAUGGAAGCGUGUUAGAAAACUACGUAUAGGUGAAUAGUUUUAAUUAUCUAAACAAUUGUACCGGAGAAAUAAACCAACCAUGAUGAAGUGUAAAACAAAGUUUGAAAACAAUGAUGUUGAUGCUUACCUCCGUUGGAUGCAUGUUGAAUUCUUCAACCCUUUUAAGCAAUUCAUGAGCUAAAUCUGCUGCAGGUUCUGGAGGCAGCUCAACAGAAACAUUGGAGAUGGUUUGUAAGAGAAAAACCCGAUCUUGAGCCCAAGCGACGGAAUUUGACUCUGAAUUGUUUUUUUCUCCAAAUAAACCUACUUGAGUCACUGAACUUUGAACAGUCCUACCAUGAUCAUCAAGGAGUUUCCAGUGCUGAUGAAGAAAUUCCCAAUCAAUGGCUUUCCCAAGAUAAGUGGACACUUCUGACAACAGGAACCAGGCACCCGGAGGAGCUGUCCACUUCUCUGGAGGCAAAGAUUGGCUUCGCCAUAAGGAUUCAGAUGUCUUUAUAAUUACCUGAAGUGAAUCGGCAAUUGUGCGUUUUAAUCGUUUCUUUUUUCCUAAGUUGGCACAAACUUUCUUCACCCAAGGAAUUACCUCUGCAUGACUUAUCUCUUUAAGAAGAUCCAAUACUCCUUUAGGUAAACUUGAAGAUUCAGCUCUAGCCAACCGGUCUAGCACUAGUUCUUGAAACGAGUGUUCACACUCUUCUUGAAUGCUAGAUUCAUUGUCAGCAAUCAAACGUGGAAUUGAGUGUAGCCACUCGACCAUGACACUUCCAUCUGGGAAUCUUCGAAAGGCCUAUAGAAGUAAAUAUAGAUUCAAUGAUAGACCAAUAGUGAGUGAAGAAUUGAAAUUGUAACUUUUAGCAGUUUAGCCUAGUAAAAAAUAUAAAGCAAAAUAAAACUGUAUAUCAACUUCUAGAAAACAUCCAUAUUUCUAAAGUGGCCAAAUGUCGGUGUCCAACACCAUUAAUGCAUGUGACAUGAUACAGAGACGUCUCCCCUACGUGGCCAAAUUGUCAAACUUACUCCUACUCCUACAUGCCAUCUAAAUACAAAUUAUAUCAACUUUAAACUUAUUGAACUCUUACUAAAAAACCCAACUUAGUGUAAACAUAGGAAUUUACCUCGGAAAGAGCCGACAUUGCAGCUUUCCGUAUGCUAACGAGUGGGUCAGAACAAGCAAUUCCUACCGUCUUUAGCAUAUCACCAUCCAUUGCUCCACCAAGGACGGUUGUACACUUGGUAACCAGAAAUAAUGCAGCCUUCCUAACUGCCGCCUUUUGAUCCACACACCUUUUCCGCAAAAGACCAAGAAUUUCACCAUCACCAGGCCCCAAAAUUUCCUUCAUUAAGGCCUUAUUCUUGUCAUUCUCAGACAGGAACACCACAAGGUGAGCUAAGUUGGUAAGUGCUCGAGCACGAAUUGGAGCACUGGCAUCUGAACAACGUUGAACCAAUGCCACCAAGCACCCAAAAACCCACGAAUCCUUUAACUCAAUUUUCGAAUCAAUGACCAUUGGAUCACUCAAGGACAUUAUCAGCAUUGAGAUGAGAUCAACCGCUAACAGCCUAAGAUUAGACUUUCCUUGAGUCAUCUUCACUGCAUAAUCCACAAACCCAAUUUGAUCGGGUAAUUCCAGCGCUUUAACAACCUCCAUUAUUGAAUCAACUGCUAAACUACGAGGCUCAGAUUUCUCAGGCGCCUUCUGAACCAAAUACCUUGGAAGAUUCACUAGAGCACUCUUAACACCAUCUGAUUCCUUUGCCACCUUCCCUAUUUGAAUAGUCACAAACUCUAGCGCAAACGCUCGCGCCUGAUCUUUAUGAUUAAGAAUCAAUGGUGAUAGAGACUUAAUCACCUCAACAGCAGUAUUCGAUAGAUCCCCAUCCUCAGGACGCAACAUAGCACUCAAAAUCCGCGAACAAAAAUCAGUGAACUUACUAUAGAUACUUAAAUUGGUACAUAUUUCAAGUGCCAAAACAGGAAUAUCAAUUACAGUUUCAAUCAAAGAUUUCAAACUAUCCGGAAAUCGAUCCAAAUGAAUUACACUCAUUAAAAUCUCUAACCUCUCAAGUACGGGAUACAAAACUCUUGCAUCCAAUUCACCAUCAUCGUAUCUGCCACUAGAACUCUGCCUCGGACGUUUCCGCAAACCCUUACCCUUAAAACCGGCUUUCCUCUUCCUUUUGGGAGCACUAGACUCCUUAUUAGAAUCAUCCUGGUCCUGUUGACCCUGUGGUCGCUGCUUCAAGAAUCUCCUCACACACCUGAGAAACGAGAGGAAAUCCAUGGGAUUGAAAAGCGUGAAGACCGGUGCAUUAGAGGCCAAAAGAAGAGAGAGAUAGACUGUAGAGGCUAAAACCGAAACACAGGUGGAAGAUUCAUCCAUGGCGGAAGCAAUGGCGCGAGUAAGAGAGGAAGGAGAGAGGGAUUUAGCCGAGAGGUCCUCGUAGAGACGAUCGAGUGGUUGUUGUUCAUCGGUACUAAUUGAGUUGUCUAACAAAGUUUGAAGGUCGAAAAGAGCGGAUUGGGAGAGCGGAGGAUGGGAAUGGAGAGUUGUAGAGUGGUCGAAAUGGCGAAAUUCUUCGAGCUCUGUGAGAAUUCGAGAAAUGGCUUCCUCCAUGGGAGUGAAGUGUGAAGCCCUCGUGAAGCCGCCGCCGUGUUUUAUAUAAAUUUAUUGAGUUUUAAAUUUUUAUUUCCCGCUUAGACCCUUUCUCCCACCAGCCUCUCAAAGUAUGUAUACUGUAUAGUAACUAAGUUCCAAUGUUUAAAAGUAAAUUAAUGAGCUAAUAUAUAAUGAGUGCAAACUAUAAGCUAAUUUUAGUUGUAGUAGUAAUGCUUUUGCUAGUUGAUGUUUCGUUUGAUUAAACUUUAUGUUGAUAUUUGUUUGUUACUUUAAGUUUCUACGGUAUAUUGUCUAUAUAUUUAAUCAAUCGAGCUAUAUAUACAAUGAUGUUAAUGGCUUAUACAUUUAACCAAUUGAGUUAUUAAAACGACGUUGAUGACUUGCACACAUUUACUUCAGUUGAGUUAUUCAACAACGUUUUGAAUUAAAUGAUAGUCUAACUCAAUACUUCAACCAUAUAUAUGAUAUUAUAACUCAAUACAGUAGAUCGUUUUUAUGUGAAUUGUGAAUAUGUGGUAAUUGACAAUCACAUAUUUAGUUACAAAUUUUUUUUAAAUUCGAGAGUUGUGAAACAAAGUGAUCGAACUCUUUAAGAAAUGACACUACCACAAGUUUGAUAGAAAAUGUUAAAAACAAAGGUUGAGAGUGUUUCUAAAGCAUUUUUUAGUAUAUUUAAAAAAUUAAUUUACCAAUCACUUCAUUAAUUUUAUUGAUUUUUUUAUGUUUUAAAAUUAAACAUUUUAAAAUCAAACCCAACUCACCGUAUAUUGGAAUGAGCUUUGAACAAUUUUAAGAGUUUUUUUUGGGUAAUUGUAGUAGAUAGCCAUUUGAGGAAUAAAAAUUAAGGAUAUAACAAUAUUUUUUAAAAAUUGCAAAUAUAGCAAAACUAUCGUUGAUAGACUUGUAUCGUUAAUAAACUUGUAUCGUUAAUAGACUUGUAUGAUCUAUCCGUGAUAGACCAAUAUUUACAAUAUAGUCUAUUAGCGAUAGACUUGUAUCAUUGAUAGAAUUUGACAAAUUUUGUUAUAUUUGUAAAUUUUUUAAAAAGUUACUAUAUAUUUAAUUAUUUUGAAUAUAAUAGCUAAAUUUGCAACUAUCCUAUUUUUUAACGAUUUGUUGAAAAUUUAAAAUUAAGUUUUUUUUUAUUAGGUAGUGAUAUAUAUAAUAGUAUUUCUUAUAUUAAGAAAAGUUUUUAAAAAAUGUUUGUUUAUAAUACACGGAAAUGGUGAAAAAUAACAAAUUUAAUGAAAAAAAUGUAAAUAUUUUAAUUUAUUUUACUAUUUUUAAAAACAUCUCUAUAAUUUAUCACUUUUUAUUCUAACAAGAAAAUGAAAAGAGAGGUUAAAGACAUCAAUUAUUGUUGUAUGGUAAUGGAAGCAAACUUUGGAAAGAUAAUUGAACCUUGGGAAGAGUACUCCUUGAAUAUAAAUUGAAAUUUAGUUUGGAAUACCAAAUUCAUAACAAACUUUGCUACAAAAUUUCCACAAUAAAUUGGUGUGUGCAAAAGAAAAUGAGCCUUUUAUGGGCUAAACUUUUGGUUCAUUCAUAAUUGGUUUCCAUUUGUUACGUAAUUUUAUUUUAAUCUAAUAAAAUCAAUUGAAUUAUUUAUGACUUUCGUUGGCAUUGUAUUGUCGUUGGAAAGAUAAAGCAAACGAUAUAUGGUUGUUGAAUGUUCUUUACAUCGCAAUAACGCAAGAUUGAAAUAUUCAUAACAUAAAUCGUUCUAUUCAUGAUCAAGAAUAUAUUAUUAAAUAGUUGAGUUAUGUUUAGCAUGACACUCAACAAAAAUCACCCAGUCGAACGAACUUAAGGACAUACAUGCUUUAAAGUUAUUAAAAUAAACUAAAUGAAACUUUACUCAUUGUUAAUUAAUGAUCUCAAGAGCAAAUGGAAGAAGAUCGAAGGAGACCAAAAUUUAUUUCUAACAUUCAAUAACAGUUUGAUAGUUUGUUUAAGGUAAUAAAUAGCUAGAAACAUGUGGAUUUAAACUACUGAUCAUAAAAAAAGAAAGGCGUGUCAAUUAUUGUUGAUAAACUAUAUAUACUAACAUAUAUUGAUCACAUAUUGGUGACAAUAACUAAUUAACAAACGAGCAAGACUAGUUAUUGCAUUUCUUUCUUUGGUACACAAAUAGUUACAAAUAACUUUUCACAUAGACACGAAGUUAAAAUCUUGGAGAUAUACAUGUUCAAAAUUUUAUAGAUUUAUAUAUUCAUGAAACGAGAAGAAUGGUAGAUUGAUCAAACAUAUAUAUAUAUAUAACUACAAAAGUUCAUAUUUAUAAUUUAACAAAAAGAAAGGUAUAAAUAUAAUGUAUAUGGGAAGAAGUGAAAUAAAAAAAGAGAGAGGAGAGUUUCAUAAAUAAUAUAGAGCAAAGAUAUACAAAACAGGAGAGGAAGAGAGAGGUAAAUUAGGCCCACACAAUAAAAAAUGUGAAAAUUGGGAGAAAAGAAAGAGGUUUUGAUGGAUGGGAAGAUCCCCUCCUCUUUUUUCUCUCAUCUCUUCAAACUACCAAAUGUUAUUCUUUGGGAGGAAGUGAUUUGAGAGAUCUCUUAUUCUAAAAGGUAUGAGAAGAGAUAAGAAGGAGGGACUAGACCGUGGUGGUGGUGGAGAGGACGGCAGCAGUGGAAAUGUCAUCUUUCGAGUCACCGAAGAUGCGUUGACGAAAGUCAGAAACCAUAAGGGGAAGGCCCUUUCGAAGGGACACGGUGGGCUCCCAACCAAGAAGGUCCUUAGCUUUAGAAAUGUCAGGUUUUCUUUUAUGCGGGUCAUCUUCCGUGUUCGGUCUGAACUCUAUCUUUGCAUUUGGAUCUAUUGUCUCUUGCACUACCUGCACAAUAACUUUAUUGGUUAGAAAGAAAGUACUUAAACAAAAUAUUUUAGUGCAUCUCGAGUUGCACCUAUAUUUGUGUCACUUAUUCAAAUAUUCGAUGAAAAGCGAACACAUAUAUAACAAUUAUUUUGUUGAUAUGGAACCAUUUGGGUAGCUUCAUAAAAUAGAAUUAAGGAUCUAUAUUUAAAAUAGACUGUAUCAUAUAAAUUAUUAGGAUGUCCUUUUUUAUCACAAUUUAAGUCUAUAGUUUAACUUGUUAGAAAAUAA
Molecule: long non-coding RNA, 202983 nt
Filed under: Cucumis sativus (cucumber)
Lineage: Eukaryota; Viridiplantae; Streptophyta; Magnoliopsida; Cucurbitales; Cucurbitaceae
Description: long non-coding RNA (CSAT_LNC003015)
Source: RNAcentral